RNAcentral lists this long non-coding RNA (268797 nucleotides) under Sorghum bicolor (sorghum). Its description in RNAcentral is "long non-coding RNA (SBIC_LNC017152)". The stretch from base 158316 to 158422 matches the Rfam family "Plant small nucleolar RNA R71". Lineage: Eukaryota; Viridiplantae; Streptophyta; Magnoliopsida; Poales; Poaceae. The record is from RNAcentral.
AACACUUUCUGGAAAUCUGUAUUUUCAAAAUUACUUUGAAUUUUGUAUUGAAACUUCAAAAACUCAAAACACCAAAGUUGUACAUCUUGACAAGAUCUACAACUUUUCUUUUGAACUCCAUCUCAAAUUUUGCUUGGUUUUUAAAUUGUGCAAAAGGGGGCAAUUCUAGGGUUCAAAAAUCAGGGUUUUCCCCCCUAAUCUUUCGGAAAUCUUUCACCCUAGGGUUUUAGCAACCAACACAAGCAUCCAAACACAAUAUAAACACACUUUAAUUCCCUAAGCGCAUUCAACUAAAUUAAACUUGUUUUAUGUUAUUGCAUCAGGGUGUGCUUAACAAAUAUGCUGUGCAAUGCUAAUGAUGACAUGAUCCAAAUUUUAGUAACCGUAACAUCGGGGAUGUUACAACUUAAAAGCACCGAACGCCUUGCCAAGAGGUAAACUUCGUAGUUAUCCUUUUCCCUUCAAUUAUUUUGUUUAGUUAAUCAGGUUCAUAUCAUCUCGAAAUAAAAUAAAAAUGUUAAAAAUAGUAAGCCCCAUGUGAGUAUGCUCAUGGCAUAAAACCCAUAGGUACAUUCACUGUGGUGGCAUAAAAUAAAUAUGUUUACAUCUUACAAUAAAAAUAUAAAAAUAAUAAGUGCAUGAUCCUACUAAAUAAAUAACAUUUAUUGAGGAGGCUCAACAUGAUAAAGGCUAGAUAUUUAUGCUAACACUUAACCAGUUCCACAAAGCUUUGUUGUCUAUUUGAGCUCCAUAGAAUUCAAGGAUCAAAGAAGACUAGCAGACGGAGGACAUCCUAAUCGCUGUCAGGGUGCUGCCGACAUUCAAAUACACCUCCGCCACCUACUAGCUACAUCAGAAGAAAUUAUGUCAAAAUCCAGCUUGGGGGAGAGCACCCCCAUUUAUCCAGCUAAGUGUUUCUACUCACGUUUAUACUUUACUCAAAUAAUAAAAAGAUGCAUAAUCAUAAAAAACCCAAAUAAAGAUUUUGUGCUUUUAUAUAUAUCUUUGCUUAGUUUGCUAAAUAAAUAAAUAAAUAAAGUUUGCUAUGAACCCUCAUGAUAAGCUCUCACAUGGAAAUAAUGAAUAGUUGCUCUGCCAUGACUAGUUCUUAAAAUUGAAAUCUCUCUCAAGUUUAGGCAUAACUGUUAUAAUUUAAACCUGCUCUAAACCUGAACUUGUGGGAAGAGUACUUGAUCUAAAGUCUAAGUCGUUAACGGAUAUGAUAUGGGAGGGUUGAGCUGCUGUUUAUCUGUUCCUAGAGAUGAUAGAAUUCUGGAGAAUUUUAUCUUUGAAAAUCUUUAAAAUAACACAUGAUGAGUUCCUGUAUGAUGAAGAGUUUAAAAUCCUACCACAGCCAUAUAUACAUGCUUAUUAGACUUUGAGCCACACAUUUACUUUUUACUGUUUAUGGGCAUUGAGUGUGGUCAAGCUGUGUAGACCCUUAGGAGCUUGUCAUGCGGUUAAAAUCAAGAUUCACUUGCACGUUCACUCAUAUAUGCUGCUUCUACUCCGGAAGUACGCAUCCACAUAUAUCCACUCACUUCCAUCUCCAGAGCCACCCAAAAGUAUUCUAGUCCUAAUCCGGGAGAGAAUAGCCAAAAAGAUUAUCCUAUCCCGGUUAUUCCCUAUGAAAUAAAUGCUCGAGUUAUCUUGGUUACUACCACUUGCUAUAUUAUUUCAGGAGAUGAGUGCUCUAAAAAAAGAAAAAAAAGAAGAAAAAGAGGAAAAAUAUGAGGAAAUAAAAAGGGACAAGUGCCCGGAACCUCGAAGAAAAGAAAAAGUGAGACGAGAGGUAAAAAUGGACAAGUGUCCGACAGUAGAAUUAGGGGUACAAGAUACCCACCUGAGAGGAAAGAAAAAGAAAAUAUAGAGCAUCUCAUUCUCCCCAAAAAGUUACAAAGUGCAAGAAAGGUAUGUAUCCCCUCAAAAGAGCAAAAGUAGAAUUAGACUUUCACCAUUAUUAUCACCAUCAUGACCAUACACCAUUCAUUCGCCACACAUGCACAUCUUGAUUUGACUUAUUGACUUGUUUCUCGGGAUCCAUGGUUUGACUAUGCAAUAAAUGUCUUGUAAGUAUGUAUUAGCUGUCUCCCACCUAUGAGCUCCAGAUAUCAAAACCUUAUUAGAGUAGGGUGAGAGAGAAGGCAAUAUCACUAUGCAUUAUACCAAAAAUACCACAUACUUUGAGAGAAGGCAUAUACCAUUAUUGCCUUGGUAAGGAUCCAGAAAUACCACAAAAGAGAGAUUUGAGAGAAUCAUAUAAGGAAUCUCUGAUUUUUAUUUGAAAAUCUGCAAAAACUCCAGAGCUAUAGCUGAUCAAAGAAUAAGAGACAUGGCGCUUGACUUGACGUUCUAUCUUUUAACUGCUAAAGACACAAGUGACGGUUACAAGCCCCAUGGUGAAAGGUAAAAUGAGUAAGUUUUAAGUCUUAACAGUUUAUUCUAACUCAGAGAUGAGAUCUUGCUUGAAUGCGUGUGUACUUUUAAGGCAUGAAACCACUGCAGAAACUCUUGAGUUCAUCCUUGCUCAGGGAUGAGCAAGAGGUAAGCUUGGGGGAGUUGUUGACGGUCCUUAAGUACCAAAUAUAAUCAUCAAAUAAAUAAAGAAAAGGACCAAUCUACAACCAACACCUAGAAUUAGGGUUUGAUGUUUAUCUAUUUCUGCAGGGGGUUAUCAGGAAAUAAGAAAUAAAGGCCCACAUGUCGGGAUUACAUAGAGAUAUCAACGCACCGCGCAAUUUUCUACCAUCUAGAAGACUCCAGAAGCCACGGGAAGAAAGCAGAGGCCGAAAGGGGCCAGGCCUAGGGCGCCCGCCCUGAGGACCUGGGCGCCCGCCCACCUCUGGUCUCCGUUCGGGACUCUUUUCGCACAUGACAUUCCACCGACCUAAAGGAUCAAGGAUAACGUAGUACCACAUCGCCUGCUGGACCAAAAAUGCACAGAGGAGGACUUAUAAGCAGACCCCCUGGCCCCUAGAGGAGACAAGUUUUUCAUAGAGUUGAGGGGAGCCCUCAAAGGAAAACCUCUUCUCUAAAUAAAAUUUAUUUUAGGCUUAGCAUCCAAUGUGAGUAGAAUUAGAUCUUCUAGUUUCUACUAGAUUGAGAGAGAUAGAGUGGAGGUGUAGAUCGGAGGAAGGCCGGCCUGUCGGUGUCUACUCCGAGGUUGUACCUGUGGGAUCAAGUCUCCUAACUCGAGGCUUGCUUCUAAGAUUCUUCAGUAAUUCGACUUCUAAUUCUAGUAAGUUCUUGUUUUAUUGUUCUUUAGUUUAUGAGUUUACUUUAAUCCUCUUCCGGUUGAGUGUUAGAGUAAUCAUUGCUAGUGUAAACGUGGUGUUUAGGCUAGGGUACUCAUAGAUAUCCCCUGACUAGCUGGACCGUGGUAGUAGCGAGGAACGUGACAUUUCCGAGUUACCUUUGUAUCCCAUAUCUUGUUAGCAGGACGGGUAGGGUUUAUAGGUGCGGGUCGAACAUCCUUUGUGGUGUCUAGAUUCCGUAAGCUUCCCCAAUAGAACAGUAGAUCAUCCUUACCAAGGUUAGAACGAGACAACGGUUGCAGUCUUCUCUAUACAUCAGUCACAUCGAGAAACAUUCUUUGUAGCCUAAAGGGAUAGUAGCAAUAGAUUUGGUUAGUCAGAUGCACCCUUUCUCCCAAUGGUAAAAAUAUAAAUACGAUAACUCUAGAUAACAUCCUGGGUGAAAUGCUCACCGAUAUCCGUGCGCUUGCGGAUCAUUUUCUUACUGCGUUACCAAAUAUCAACACUUUCCUCAAGAAGUUCUUCCCAGCGGGCAAGACCAGUGCCCUGCGUGGGAAGAUUUCGAGCUUCCAGCAGUAGUCCGGCGAGAUGAUUCCUGAAGCAUAGGAACGUCUCAAUGAGUACAUUCGCGCCUGUCCUCAUCAUGGGAUAGAUGAAUGCCUCAUUAUUCAAGAUUUCUACCACGGACUGACCGGCAUGGCCCGUAGUCACCUUAAUGCCUCAGCUGGAGGGGCAUUCUUGUAGAAAAAUGUCAAGGAUGCCAAGGACCUCAUUGAAAAGAUGGUCAUCAACCAAGGAUGGAAUGAGGAGCGCCUCCAACCCAAGAAGAGAGGUGACCACGCCCUCAGUGAGGUGGACAUGCUCUCUUCCAAGAUGGACCUCCUUAUGAAGAAAAUAGAGGAAUCUUCCUCUAAAAAGGGAAUUAAGGCCAUCCAGACCCCUACUGCUGUUCGUGCUGUGGAAAUUGAUCCAUGGUGCAAGGUAUGCGGAGGAGAUGAUCACUCAGACAAUAACUGCCCCGAGACCCAGGAGGAGGUGAACUACAUCAACACAACAACUUCAACAACGGGAACUGGCCCCAAGAACAACAAUGGAGUUCAUGCCCCUUCUACCAAGGCCAAGGUAUGGGUUACAAUAAUAAUUCUGGUAAGCGCGCCCUGAUAUUAGUGGCAAGAAAUGGAAGGCGAGGCGUGAUCGUGUCGUGAAGGGUGGGGGUGGAAAAGGAAAAUAGUGGGUGGGCUGAGAGCGCUGGGGGGCGAGAUCGGGGUCAUCAGACAUGGGACCUGGUGGAUCGUGGCCGUCCGACGCGAUAUCACGAGGAGUUGGCCGCGGUGAGAGGCUAGCUGACUGGCUGGCUUGUGCUUGACUGGAUUGUAGUACUCAGGACAGGCUUUUUGUCUGAAGGUGCCGCUCUAGGUUCCAAAUUUUCUACCUCCACUGCAUCCAAACAUAUAUGUAUGUGUGACAGUGGUAUCCAUGGAGUGAAUUGUCAUUUUUCCAGAACCUUUCUUCUAGAAACUUGUAAUUAAUUGGCCUUGUGAUUGUUCUGCAUUUUGCCUUUGUUCUGCUCCAUUCCUCACAUUUUUUCCUUUUCAAGUCAAAGCACUGAUAGUAUCUACAAUUCAAUCGCCAAUCCUCAGCUGCCCAAUGUACUCCAGUAACAAAGAUGACAUGAGGUGACGUUGUGAGCACAGGUGCGGGUGGCGGCUGGAUACUCCUCUUUGGGAUGUAGGAUGGAACUGUAGGGCUGAGGGAGCUCAAGAGGGGCGCCAUUGCUGCUAUUGCGUGCUUUGGUAGUGGUGGCGAGGGCUGAGGGUUCCUUCAUUCCACCUCUAACCUGGACCUUUACUGUUCAAUGACAUACCUAGUAUACUUCAUCGGUAGUCGUUCCCGUUCCUAAUGUGGUUGCCCUACUCCCCUGCCUCGCAGGUACCAGCUAGAGGCACUCGAGCACGCGCUGGUGGGGAACACGCUAACGUUCCAGGAGACGGGCGCCGGGAAGACGCUCAUCGCGAUGCUUCUCCUGUGCUGCUUUCACUGUCGUUGUCGCCAUCAUUGCUGCCAUAGUCGCUAGUGCCACCACCGUCACCACCAUCCUCAUCCGCGACGCCACCUUGGAUGAUGGGGUUAUCAAGGAGAGGUGAGGAUGCACCAUGGAUGGAGAAUUGUUUCUCGUGUUUACGCCGAAGUAGGCGAGCACCUCAUAGAAGAAGCCGUGUAGCGGGACACGCAUCCCGUCCUACAUGACCUGCUCAUACACGCAUUUGUCCGCCCUCGUGAGAGUAUGUGCCUUUCAUUAUCUUUGCAAUGGGAAAAUACAUAAAUAUUUAACUGUAUUUGUAGCUUGUAUAAAGAACUUGUAUUCUUUCAAAAUUCUACAACACUAUUUAUCAUAAAAUGUGCUAAAUGAUUAAAGCCUGACAACAUAUAAUUUUAUUUUUUUAUGUAUAAAGGUACUUCAUAACACUAAAUCUCAAGUUCAUGUAUCUUACAGUUUAGGGUUUGUUAGGGACACUAUGACCCUUUGGAAAGACUAUGAUGUGGAACGUAGAUCUAAAAAUGACCAUCCAAAGGAGUUUACAAGGGAACACGUAAGUUCUCAUAUAAUGAAAACAAAAUAUCAUGUCAUUAUGGUGGAACAUGGGAAACAAACCAUGCCUAUUAAUUUACCUCUUACAUAACUAAGUUUUUUUCAGCUGUGAAAAGGACUUCUUCAGCUCAUUUGAUUCUUGUAUGAAUGCAACAGAUUAGAUUCAAGAGUUUCUACGGAGAGAGAAGGAAAGAAAGAGAGAGAGAGAGCAGAGAAAAUGGAGGCGGUGUCAGCAUUUCUCCACAACAACACUGGUAGGGAGAACAAAUAAAAUAGAUGAUAAAAAAUGAUCAAAUCUCUCUCACCAAAGAGCAAACCAAUGAUGUCAAAUGGAUGUUGCUUCACAAUAUUUAUGUUCAUCAAUUGUACUUCCAGACUUGGGAUAGAGGGUCAACCAAAUGAUCUUUUUGGCUAUGAUUGUCAAAGUAGAAAGACCGCUGAUUUGGUCAUGUGUGCAAUCUGCAGCUGCGUACAGGAUCCUUUUGCCACAUGUAAGGGAUAUUGAUCAGAAAAUGACUAUUGAUCAGUGUUGUUACACAUUGAACAGUUGAACCAGGAAGCAUCACCAUGUCCAUCAUCGGCAGAAAGUUAUUGGCUCUAUAAUGUUGUUACACACUGGGGCAGCAUCACCUUGUACAUCAUGUGCUCUAAGUUCUUGCAUAUGUAGAUUUGCUGUGCACUGGGCAACAUCACGUUCUGCACUUGUAGUUUUCUCGCAUCAGUAGUGUUCCAACAAGAACAAACAAAUAAUCCACAAACAAUAAACAAACAACAAACAACAAAUAAAUUAGAAACCAAACAAGAAAACAUCAAUUUUGAUGGCGCCCUCGAUGAUAGGAUCAUCACGGAGAGGCAAGGAGGCAUCAAGGAUGUAGCUAGAGGAGGAAGACGAGGAGGAUGAGGAUGCUCAGUGUCUCCAUCUUCCUCUUCUUCCUCCUCUAGCUAGAGCUCUUGGAGCAGAUGAUGGACAAGGUGAUGCUUCUCAGUGCACAGAAAAAUUGCAAGUGGAAAACCUUAGAGCAGAUGGUGGUCAAAGUGAUGUUAUCCACUCCACAGGAACCCAACUGAUGCAAGAAAACUAUAGGUGCAGAACGCAAUGAUGCCCAGUGCACGGCAAGUCUACAUGCAAAGUGAUGGUCAAAGUAAGUACUCCUCUUUGUCAGCCAAGAGUCUCCCACAAAUCAUCAUCUCAUGUACAUAAAUCCUGUAAUAUACACAAGGAUGCAUGGCAUAGAUAAUGCUUUUGUGGCUUUGUUCCUUCAACACAUACGCCCAUCGUGAUCGACAUGUGUGGUGUUUGGGUGUGACUCACAAAUAUGAUGUUACACUAUACGAAGUAAAUGUUUGUAGAAACUAUUUAUUGAUAAAAAACACUUUUAUGAUGUUCAAUAAAAUAUAUAAACAUAUUGUGUACAAUGUAUAAUGUUUGUAGAAACUAUUUAUUAACAAAAAACAUAUUUAUGAUAUUCGAUAAAAUGUAUAAAUUGUAUACAUACAUAGUAAAGUGCAAAGAAUUACCACACAGUUGCACCGAUACAUUGUAUGCAUAUUAUUUAUGAAAAAAUACAUUUAUGAAGCUUGAUACAAUGUACAAAAAAUUAUGGGUAUCGACACAUUGUGUACAUGCAGCCAUGCGUUGUAGGCAUAUGUACAAAAUUGUGAGCGUGCAGUCCACGCCGGUGUCAAACACAGUGCUUGUCGCGUUCCUGAACGGUGUGAGGAUGGUGACGCCUCAAACAAAAUAAAAUGGCCAUAGGAUCGCAUUGACACAUUUGUAUAUGGCUGGUAGCCCUAAUUUGUACAUAGGCACGGAAGAAGCUUCCCAGUCCUUUUGACAAAAGCCUAGAGCUUCUCCAGGAGAGGGAUAUGGAAAUCCAGCUCUUUGUUGUCUUCACUGCCUCCAUUGUAUUUGAAAUUGAUCAGCAGACGAUCCAUGAAUUCCUGGGCCUCCUGCACUGACUUGCCUGAGAUGUGCAGCCAUCGUCGUCAUCGCCUCAAAUACCUGUGUAGUCGUCGUCGCUUCAAAUAGCCAACUAGCUAGAGGUGGCCCAUAAAACCAUACACAAGUUCCAACCAGCAAACCCCUUCUGUUUCAAAGUUUUAGUUUCACACAACCUGUACUAGCCCUUUGGUUUUCAUUCUCUGACUAGACAAAUACUACAUUAAUUAACAAUUUAUAUCAAGUAACUACAACACAUCAAGCUUCUUAUACUAGUACACAACCUGAGAACAUGGAAUGCAUUGGCGUUAAAGGCAUGUCAAUUUGCAAUUACCCUCAAUUGCAAAAAUGUAAUGUUCGGGAGCACUGCCAUGUCUUGUAUCAUUUUUUAUUCUUUUUGUUGUCUUUGUUGUCUUCGGUGCUCUUUGUUUCCCUUCAAGAUAACUUAGUUGCACAAGUAUUUUAAGUAUAUGUAUAUGUAUAUGUAUAUGUAUAUGUAUAUGUAUAUGUAUAUGUAUAUGUAUAUGUAUAUGUAUAUGUAUAUGUAUAUGUAUAUGUAUAUGUAUAUGUAUAUGUAUAUGUAUAUGUAUAUCUAUAUGUAUAUGUGUAUGUAUAUGUAUAUGUAUAUGUAUAUGUAUAUGUAUAUGUAUAUGUAUAUGUAUAUGUAUAUGUAUAUGUAUAUGUAUAUGUAUAUGUAUAUGUAUAUGUAUAUGUAUAUGUAUAUGUAUAUGUAUAUGUAUAUGUAUAUGUAUAUGUAUAUGUAUAUGUAUAUGUAUAUGUAUAUGUAUAUGUAUAUGUAUAUGUAUAUGUAUAUGUAUAUGUAUAUGUAUAUGUAUAUGUAUAUGUAUAUGUAUAUGAUAUGUAUACGUAUACGUAUACGUAUAUGUAUACGUAUAUGUAUACGUAUAUGUAUAUGUAUAUGUAUAUGUAUAUGAAAGGCCUCACUACAUAGUUGUUAAUCAGAACAUUAAGAAAACUCUUUUCUUAAUCAUCGAUGUGAUUCUAGUAAUGAUGUACAAUGUUGUCAUUACAUUUUGUUAAAUAUGUACUCAUCUGAUGACAACUCCUACCAUAAUGGAAAUGAAGUUGAUAGACAUGAAAAAUAAAAAUGUUAUGAGGCCAUGCAAAUAUCAUGUAUAAAUAGCCCAUUAGAACUUAGUUGCACAAGUAUUAGAAAAAUCUGAAAAGUUAUGGGGCCAUGCACAAGACAGAGGACACUACGAAACAGAGCCCAUCUCACCCUGCUGCUAAUCUAAUUAACUCAUCGUCUCAAGCACAGCGAUAACUCAUUAUUUACUCCAACCCUAGCAAGGCACUUCGUUGUCUGAUACCAGAAAACUGAUCUAUGCUACUAAUAUGCUCCCAGUCAAUCCACUUCAUUUUAAAUAUAUUAGCACACUUAUAUAUAUUGGUGUACAAGCCUGCUUCUCAAUGUACCAGAACAUCUUGUCUAUCUCUGUCCUGUACCCCUUAUAGUGGUUAAUAGUUCUGAGUCUCUUAAGCCCAAUAAAAGGGGCCCGAGCGUAACCCAAGGGCUCUCCGCCCUGUACUGGAGCAACUAUGAGGCAAGUCCUUCUCUUUCCAACCUCUAUCAUUGGCACUUGCUUCCCUAACUCGGACUCUAAGGGUGUCUGAUCACUAUCUGUGUCAUUACUGUAUAAGUCAGGGUGCUCAAACUGUGAGCCCUUUGGCUAGUAUUCCUCGUGUGAUAAAUGCGACAGCGCCGUUUCCCCAACUGCUCAGCCACCUACAUAAAGGAAACAUAUCAUAUGAACAUAGUGGAACAUGCAAGAUAUUAAUAUACCCUGCACCCAAAGAAAUGAGUGAAAAAGAAAAACACUUGCAAUAUUGAAAAUUGUCAAAUAAGAUGAUGUGCAUGACAUUUAGGCCUGCAAUGGUGCCAGCAUCUAUGGUGGCAUGUCGCUGGUAGUUGUUGAAAUACGCCGGCAUAGUGAUGAUGGCAUUCUUGAUUGUCAUGCCAAAAUACGUCUCAGUGGUCUCCUUAAGUUUGAUCGGCACCAUCGCCAAAAUCUGCUAAGGUGUAAACUGUCUCUCCUUACCUUCAUACUACACCAAAAUAAUAGGAUGGUCAUCACGUCCUGCGAUGACUCUGAAAAGCCAUGAGAUGAUGUCAUUUUGCAUAGAGUUCUCACUAAAUCGGCGGCCGAUCAGUUGCUUCAUUUUUGUUUAAGACCUCAACAACAAAAUCAAACAAACAAACAAAAACAGCAAUGACAAAAAAAGAAAACAACAAGGAAACAAUGAACAACAAAAACAAACAACAAACAAUAAAUAAUAAACAAAUAUGUAUUUAAUGAAGUAGUUGCUCCUUUUGUGAAGCCAACCGCUUGUGAUGCUGCCGUGGGCAUAAAUGAUAAUGUGGCAGGUGGACCAUCGGUGCCUGAACCCGCAGAACCUUGUUUGCAAAAUUCACUUGUUACUUGGGAUCCUAAGUUGGCUCAUUGUAAGCAAAAGACAACCCAUGAUAUUACUGAUAUAUCUAGAGGGAUAGAGCGGGUAAGAAUACCUGUAGUAAAUGAAUUUGGUAGCGAGACCUGUCCUCCAUUCUUUUAUUAUGUAGCAAGAAAUCGUAUCUUCCAAAAUGCUAAUGUCAAAAUCUCAAUUGCUCGGAUUGGUGAUAAAGAUUGUUGUGUUGAUUGUUUCGGCAACUAUUUGUCAGCUAUUUCGGCAAAUUAUUGUUUGGGCAACUAAUUGUCUUCCAAAAUGAAGACUGUUUGCUAGGUGAGUGAAGCAUAUUUUAUUUUAUAGUUGCUGUCGUGGGAGCUUAAAUUUGGAACACACAAACAAUUGUUUUUUGUUUUUCUAUAAACAUAUUUGUUUUACUUCUACCUAGCAUUAUUCAAGAUACAAACAAUCAACCAACCCAAAUCCACCCUUGACCUCAUGGACUCCUAAGCCCGGCAUUAAAUUAUCUCGUGGUUUUGUUUCACCUCGCUUUGUUCCAAAUGCAGCUUUUUGAUGUAUAUACACACACCUAUAACAUAGCUGAAUUACAUAAAAUUAUUUGUAUUUUGUUCAAAUGUUACUGGAAUAAUACAUAAACAAAACUGUCUCAGACAGCAUAAAAUAAUAUAGGGAAUCUAGUGAAGCGUACGAGACAGAUACUAAGUUUAGCAUCUAAUCUCAUGCAAUGUGUUUGCUAGUACAUAACUAUCUUAUCUACCCAACGUGCAUGAUCCUGAACGGCAUGCCAAAAUAUCUACGCCACUUGCAACCUACUGUGCUCCAUCAUUGUCCACCGACACGACAAGCUGUUCGGGGUCAAGGUGCGGAUACCAACGCAGCGUGGUACGUUUCAUAACCUCUAGACCCUGCUCAUACCUGACCAGUACAUGCUCGGUCAAUUGGCUCUCCAGUUCUUUACAACCCUAGAUCUCGCACACCGCAGCCACCCUAGGGCUCAUCAGCUCCUUCACGUGCGCCUUCUUCGUGCCGGCGAGCUCGGCCUUGGCCUGUGGCAGGUCCUGCCGCAGCUCGUCCUUAAGCUCCCGCGUGUAGCCCAGCAUGAAGGAUGCGUAGUUCGUGGCCUGCGUGCGCAUUACUACGGCCGACGACCACAACAUAGCAGUAUUCUAUGACCAACGUAUCUUUGUAUCCUAUUUACCAAAAUCUUUUCUGUUUUACUGGCCAAGGAAACUUCCAUUUUGCAAAGAUAGCAUUCAGAGGUUCUUGUAUCAUCUGACAAUGCAGGAUCUUGAUAGAAUGUGUGGAAGCUGAUAGAACAAUUGGAAUUCCACUACUUCCCCUGUCAGUAGCAGUUCUAAGUCAACAACGGUUUGAUAUCCAUUCUAGAGGAACACUACUAUGUACACAAUGUUUACAUAUUAUCAACAAAUGUCAGUGCAAUUGUUUGUGUAAUUGUAUGUACAUUAACUAUGUAUGUACACAAUGUGAUUUUACAUUGUAUCGAAUGUCAUAUAUGUGUUUCCAUAACUAGUUUAGUUUGUUGUACAUUAUUUGUAACAUUUGGUUAACAUUUAAGUUAAUAAAUCUGAGCUUGAGAAUCUCAUAAAAUUGGGAGAACAAAUCGUAGGGACGGCGCUGAUUGGUCGCCGCCUCCUUCACGUCCCCAGUUGCUCUCAUGCCAAAGCACGCCGCGAUGUCCAAGAUGAUAACGCUUGCUCUAAUUAUCCGGCCACGACACCAUAUUAGUCUAGCAUGCAAUAAGUGCAAACUUCUCUACAAGUGACGCAUGCUCAAGAAUACAUGCUAGUGCACUGCAAUCAGCAGGCUGACACCAGUAAUCUUCACUAAGGACUAGGCCAACAUAUGUAUAUGUAUAUGUAUAUGUAUAUGUAUAUGUAUAUGUAUAUGUAUAUGUAUAUGUAUAUGUAUAUGUAUAUGUAUAUGUAUAUGUAUAUGUAUAUGUAUAUGUAUAUGUAUAUGUAUAUGUAUAUGUAUAUGUAUAUGUAUAUGUAUAUGUAUAUGUAUAUGUAUAUGUAUAUGUAUAUGUAUAUGUAUAUGUAUAUGUAUAUGUAUAUGUAUAUGUAUAUGUAUAUGUAUAUGUAUAUGUAUAUGUAUAUGUUUGCAGCUAAACCUUAUAUUCAUAAGUUUUUUCAUAUGACUGUGAGAAGAGUAGAGAAGUUAUGCACUUUUUCGCGAAGGUACAAACUGUUUUAUUUAUAAUUAUUCUUUUAUCACACCAAAAUUUAAGAUAUUAUAAUCUUCUUAUCAAAUAAGAACUCCCGCAUACAGUAUUUCACCAUCUCAUUGUCAAAUAAAAUAUUUUAUAUACUAUCUAGGCUAGGAGUAUACAUGAAAUUUUAUCGAUAUCAGAAAUAUAAGAAGUAUUAUAUGCACCUGAGUACUAGCACAUCAAAUUAUUGUUGUAGACACUUCAUACAUACAUACAUACAUACAUACAUACAUACAUACAUACAUACAUACAUGCAUGCAUACAUGCAUACAUACAUACAUACAUACAUACAUACAUACAUACAUACAUACAUACAUACAUACAUACAUACAUACAUACAUACAUACAUACAUACAUACAUACAUACAUACAUACAUACAUACAUACAUACAUACAUACAUACAUACAUACAUACAUACAUACAUACAUACAUACAUACAUACAUACAUACAUACAUACAUACAUACAUACAUACAUACAUACAUACAUACAUACAUACAUACAUACAUACAUACAUACAUACAUACAUACAUACAUACAUACAUACAUACAUACAUACAUACAUACAUACAUACAUACAUACAUACAUACAUACAUACAUACAUACAUACAUACAUACAUACAUAUCUUGGUAGAGAAGAUUUUGACAAUGGGGAGUUCAUAAGGAAAUACACGAAGAUUAUAAUAUUUAAAUUUUUGUUGCGAUAAAGGAAAAAGUAUUAUACACAUAAUUGUUUGUAGUGUAUCAAGCUUCAUAAAUGUAUUUUUUCAUCAAUAAUAUGUAUACAAUGUAUCGGUGCAACUGUGUGGUAAUUGCUUGCACAUUUACUAUGUAUGUACACAAUUUGUACAUUCUAUUGAACAUCAUAAAUAUGUUUUUUUGUCAAUAAAUAGUUUCUUCAAACAUUGUAUAUUGUACACAAUAUGUUUAUAUAUUUUAUCAAACAUCAUAAAUGUGUUUUUUAUCAAUAAAUAGUUUAUAUAAACAUUUACUUUAUAUAGUGUAACAUCUUGGUCUUCUUCCUAAUAUAACUUUUCACCUCCAUCCUGAUGCGAGUGCGGGUGGAGGCGCGCGCUAGGGUUCACAAUCUAGAGGAAAACAGUAGUCUGACUAGAGAUCUCCUUGCCGUGUCGCCUCGCCCUCCGCUGCCGCUUCCUCGUGAUCCCGUCUACGGAAAGCGCCCCGUCGGGUUCGAGUCUGUACUAGAAACAACACACGGCGUUGCCACGCGCUUGUCGUGAGUGAGAACAUUAGUUGGAGGCUGCCCAUGUAUCUCCGUUUAUUCCGUAGUAGAAAGGAUUGCAUAUAUUGAUGUGCUUAUUCACUUAGUAAUAAAUCAUAUUGAAAAUGUAACACAAUGUCACGGCAUAUGCAAAGAGAACGAUAAGCAAAAGAUGUGUAUCUGAAUGCAUGUCGAUGGAGGCACAUUACUUCACAAUGAUCCCUCUAUGUGACUUCAAACAAGAUUACAAAUGGUAAUUUACCGUUGAGGAAAAAUCAAAUCUGUUUGCUCUAGCAUGAUUAUUGUUGUACAUAACUAAGAAAAGUAUGCAAAUAUAAUUAAUAAAAAGGUGGAAGAUGUAUGGAGUCAUGGAGGUAUGACAGGGAAGCAAUCUUUUCUUUUUAUUAGCAUAGUAGCUGAAUGAGUGAUUAUACAUUUUGAAAAUUAGUCCCAUUUGAUGAAGUGACAAGUACCAGAAGGAGCUAUUAUAUUAUGGUAAUUCAACUUGGCACUGUGCAUAUGAUUUCUACAGAAAUAAAUUGAAAACCAGUAGUACUUAUAAACUCUUAAUUCUGAAUUCAUGCUUUGCAAUUUAAGAAGAAAAAGAUAUAAUGCAUGACACAUGAUCAUAGUUCAAAUUGUUGCGGUUGUCUCCCAAAAAAAUGUAUUUUUAAUGACAAUGAGAUGGAAGAAAGAAAAAGAAGCAUUUGAAACAAAGUAGGAUAGGAGCGAGAGGCUGAAGAGGACGUGCAGGGGUGGCCUUGCCUCUUGCUUGCCUGCUGCUGCCGGCUGCCGGAGGGCGACGGCCGACGGCAAGCGGGCCGCCGCCGCACUGCUGCGGGAUGGAGCAGGAGUGCAGGACGAGCGGUGGAGCGGGAGCCACCGUCCCGCCGAGCACCGAGCAGGGGGUAUUCAAACGAGGUUGGUGGCUUGCUGCUCGCCGGGACCCUGCCCUGCCCCUGCCUGCGCCCCGCGCCGGCGCCAGGCGUGCCCCUGCCGGCGCCGCGCCGUCGCCCGCUGAUGCACCUUGCUACGUGCGCGUGCCGCCGCUCUAGCCUGCUGCCUACCGGUUACCGCCGCUGCACGCCGCCGGCAGCUCGAAAUCGCCCCAAAUCACAUGCUGGUUCACGCUUGGGAUGGGACGCCGAGCAGCGGCUGAGGGCUGCUUAGCCUUGUUGGGCCAGGGGAAGGAGGUGAUAUUUUGCCAUUUUGGUUUUGGGCCUGCGGGAUAUAAUAGGCUGCUUAGCCUUGUUGGGCCGCCGGUGGGAGAUAAAAAAUGCUGAGAAUUGGCCUGUUUUGCUAAUACACGUCUCAGUUCACUAUAUUUUUUACUUUUUUUCAUGCUAGAUUGUGGCCAUGCCCCGUGCGUUGCAACGUGAAAACAAAUAUCAUGGUAAUUUGAGGUGUAUCAUGAUAAUCCUGAUUUAAACAUAUAAUGUACUUAGCCAAAAUAAUAUUACUUUGAGUAGUGUUUAUAAUUUUUUUGUAUAGCCAGUCAUCAAUUCCAUAGGAUCAUAUAUGCAUGAUGAUUCAAACCUCAACUGGAUAAAGCACCUCAUGAGGGUAGAAAUUGCUUGAAAAUGCCUCAUAGUCUUGUGUGAUAUAUAUAUUUUCCCCUAAAACUAGAAUGACAUUUGCUUGGUAGUUGUCAGUGUUUUUAUCAGCUACCCUGAUGCCAUUUCUCUUUGAGUUCAAGUGUUCAACUGCCGAGCUAGGCUUGGAUGAUUGGAGGAGAACGCAGCAGCGACGCCGAAUCGAGCUUGUGGGAGACAGGGUCCUGCCUUAGCGCCGAUCCGCACUUCCUGCUUCCAAUUGGAGUGAGGUAAUAUAUUUCCCCUCUAGAUGAUUACUCUCGUGAUUGACACACUACUACUUGAAGCCCUCCAAAUUAGUUACAAGACAAAAUCUAUGCCUUCUAAUGUUGGUGUAGUUGGUACUUGGUACAACAUGUUCUGUAAUGUUGAACUUUGGCUGUGUGGUGCUCUGGUGGCAUGCUACUUUAGGUUUCUUAUCUUGCUGUACAUAAUUUUGUGGCAUCACAUUGAAGCUUAGAUGGCAAUAGCUGUAACAAAACUGUCCAAUUUAUUACCUUGGCAGGCAGCUGAUGGGUUACUUCCCGUUGUCCAUAUCCCUCUCUGUGAGAAGCUCUAGGCUAAAAUUAGAGAAACAAGCAUCACACGCUGGCACCGCCACUGCCAUCCUCAUCCGCGACGCCGCCCACGAUGAUGGGGUAACUCAUAUAGCCGCCACUCUCUCCUCUCAGCCUCCCUAACCUGUUCGGGAACCGCUAUUCCCAAUAGGAUGAAAGGAAAAUCGAAUUCAAUAAACCGGAACCAAAUUCAAUUCACGUUCUUUGAAUUCGGUUGAGAUAAACCAAAAUUUCGAUUUAGUGGGACGGAAAAUGAUUCUUAACAAUCGAAUCCGAUUUGUGUUCUUCGAAUUUGGUAGAGAUAAACCAAAUUCGAUUUAGUGGGAUGGAAAAUCGAAUUCGGUACCGUUUUGUCGAAUGCAAUUCAUUCAUCGAAUUCGGUCGAUAUAAUCCAAAUUCGAUUUAUGCGUCGCUGACGCCGCCACCGCCAAAGUUCUUGUUGUGGCCACCCCUAGAGGCUCCACACCUACCUUCUUUCUCUUGCAAUUCAAGGGGAUAAAACACUAGGUUCAUACAUUUAAGAGAUCUAAGUAGUCACAAAGCUCAUGUUCAUGGCGACUUUUGGACCUAGUGCUUUCUAGAAAACUGGCAAUAUCAUGUCACUGUAUUGACUACCACUAGUUGUAUUAUAAUGCCAGAAAUGCUAUUGAGUUAAACUUGUCCUGAUAAGUACCAACUCCUCAUAAACAUCCUAGGUCCACCUCUGCUCUUCUUUUCUUAUCACAUGCCUCAUUCUCUAUAGCAUCUCUCUUGAGUAUAAACAUUUUUAUGUCCUCAAUAUUUAUGAGAAUCUACUAUUAAUUAGUAUGGGGAUCUACGAAGUAGAGUAACCAUCAUACCAUGAACAAAAUCCAAACAUAGGUUCGGGGGCUACACCCGGCAGGUGUGCUCACCGUAGAAAAAAUUCAAAGGCCUCGACAAGGCAAACUUAGUCUAGCAGGCAAAGGAACAAACAGUUCCCUUACGUGCUCGGGGCUACUGUCGGGGAAAAAACCAGGCUUAGAAGGAAAGGCCAAAAUGAUCUUCAAGAACAAAUCAGCUCAACUCGGCCCAUCUGCACCAUCGGAAGCGAAGGAGGCCAGCCAAGCUAAACUCGUAUGGUGGAUCCGGUGGGUAGUGUAUAUAUUCUCUUCUAUUAGAGUAGUUCUACCUAGAAUAAGGUUGGAUUUCUUACCGGUGGAGUUGACAUCGGUAAGCUUUUGUCCCUUCCAAAUUUUCUCUACUAUUGCUUCUGUUCGUGCUGAGCAGGGAGAGUAGCUACAGCCUGUAGAUGUGAGCAGAGGCAUGAAGAGGAGGGGAGUAGCGCAGUCGGCCUGGGAGGAAAGGAUCUAGUGGUUCUGUGUAUCGGCUGUGGUGCCGCUGGGUGCAGCGAGCGGACGGUGGGAGGCUAAUGGACACCAGCAAUUCGAUGGCUAGAAUAUAGCAGUGAUUUGGCCAUUCGUUUUUGCAAAUUAAUGUGUGUAUAUGAUCUGUUGUUCAAUACUUCAAUACAUCAUAUGAUGAUGUAAUGAAUAAUUCAAGGAAUGGUUGAAAUUCCAUUCUUCUUCAGAUUUGGUUCUAGCUAGCACCUGUUACCUGAAAUUUAUGAGCUGAAUUUAUUUACAAUAAUAAUGCACCAGAAAAUUGAUCAAUAAUGUGCAGUAGAAACACUAACCUUGCUGCAUGUUUUUUUUGGAGAUAAAUGGGAACCGUGGACACCGCAGGAAGAACUCCAAAUCCCAAGGGGGGUCAGAGGCAUCAGAUUUUUCUAUGUCAUCUCAUCUGGUAUGCUCCAUUCGACAAUAAUAAUGCACCAGAAAAUUGAUCAAUAAUAUGCAGUAGGAACACUAACCUUAAAUCCCAAGGGGGGGUCAGAAGCAUCACUUGUUUCUAUGUCAUUUCAUGAGGUAACAUUAACUAUGCCUAGCGCUCAGAUAUAUUUGCUGGUCACUGUUUCAGCGUGUUUUUUAUAGGUAACUAGAGACAAAGGACUCCCCCAGAUGAUGAGUCGGCCAUUAGAAGAUAAGAAUGUGGAAUAUGAUGAUAGUAUAUGUAUUGAUUUUGGUUUUAAACCUGAUGAGGUGAAAGAGGCAGUACAAUACCUUGAUAAAGGAGAUCGUGAUGAGGUGAAGAAGCUUGGUUUUGGAACAUUUCUGGACCUAAGUAUUGGAGAUUUUAAACAAAGACAUCGACAACCUAUUGAUUCUAUUGUCAGAAACGUAACUGUCGAAAAAGAUAGAAUUGCAAUAUGCAUGCGGGAUGGUGUGAUUUUGUACUUGACACCCGAGAUCAUAUCUCUGUGAAUGAAUCUACCGCGUGGUGACAAGGGGCCUCUGGACUGCAAUCCUCAAAAGAAUACUGCAGAGCUUGCUAAUUGCCGCACUGAACUUGGUGUGAAAUCCUUGAAAGUUGAGAAUGUAGUUGAGGUAUUGAAGAAAACAAAGGACAGAAAAUUGAAGGUCAAAUGUUUUAUGCUUCUGGUAAUUUCCAGAAUUCUGAUGCCCACCACCACUACCAAGACUAUCAAUACAAAUGCAGUCAUGUAUACUAAAGAAAUGGACACCAUUAAAGACUUUGACUGGUGCACUAUAGUUUAUGACGAUUUAAGGACCUCAGUCAGUAGUUACAAAGACAAAUUGAAGAAACUUGCGCUGUGUCCACCGAAGAGCAAGCCAUCAAGGGUUAUCAGUGGAUGUGUAAUAAAGCUACUGGUAAGCAUCAACUCUACUUUUCCCAUUCAAAACCAAGCUGUGAAGCUCUGUCUGAACUAAUUCUGGUUGGCAGGCCUAUGUUGUUGACAACAUGGAGAUGGAGCUGCCUGAGAAGGAUGAUGAGGGUAGAAAAAAAUGCCCCAAGAUAAAUCAAUAUAAUAUGGAGUUUUUGAUGGAGAUGAUUUGUAAAGCUAUGCGCAAACGCAAAGAUUGCCCUCCUACAUUUGAGAUGUUUAAGGUAAGUACAAGGCAUCUGGCUCAAUUUUACUUGUGUGAAGAGGUAGGUUUUAGUUCUUAUCUGUUCAAUUUACCUUUUCAGCUGAAAGGAAUUGAGGAUACCUGCUAUCGUGAAACUUCAAGGUAUAUUGUGUCCUCAAGGGACAUAGAAUCCCUAAAUUCUGUAGCGACAUCAUCUGUGUCUAGAGGUGUGCCUCCGUUUGCAAAGAUCGGGUUCCCAUUAGCCCAUCAACACCAAGGGGUACUUGCUGAAGUUGAGCGAGUUGGUCCAAGUGCUCGGCUUAAGUCACAAGCAUCAAAAUGCUUGGCUGUACUGAAGGAUAUCACUUAAGGGUUUAGUCAAGAUCAGGUGGAUCAACUGUACGAGAACCAUGUGCUUUCCAAGAUUGGUCAAUGUGGCAGUCACCAUGUUGUGGACAUCAAUGACCACACUAUCCCUGAAGUUACGCUUGUUAAUGCCUUCAAGCCCAAGGGUGAGAUGGUCUCGAUCAUUAUUCAUGCACAAUGUUCUAUAUGGAAUAUGCAACAUCAUGACCGAGUUUAUCUAAAACAAGAAUGUGUUGAUGAUUUGAUUGUUGGAAUUUCUUCUAUAAAUCUGAGCAGACAGCUAGACAUAUACCGUCAGCCAAAUACAUUAAAGCAUGUAACUCAGGUUGGUUGGUUUUUUCCUGUUUUGUUAUUUUAAUAGGUUCAUUGGAUGGCAUGAUCAUGUUCUUGUUCUUGCAGAUAUUUGUCCCUCUAUUCCAUGACAAACACUUCUCUCUUAUUGUGGUGAAUCUUCAAAAUGGUUCUUUUGAUUGUCUGGACUCAAUGACUAGGCCUACAGGGAACCCUGUAGAGGAAAAAGUGAUUGCAAAUAUGCGUCAAUACUUGGCUGAAAGGUUUGACAUAUCUGAUGUUGAUACAUGGCCUCAAGCAGUCUUGCCAGUUAGGCAGCAAAAGAACACUUAUGAUUGUGGCUUUCGUCUGAUGCUUCAUAUGAUACAUUAUAGGACGAAAGACAUGAAUAGGAUUGAUGAGGUUAGUGCUGGCAAGUCUUGUCUUUUACUUAGUUUUUUGCUGGUGUUUUACUUAGUUUUACCUUAGAUAUACAGGACAUGGUCUUCAGAUACCGCAGAAGACUUGCGGUUGAGUUAUUAUAUAAUGAACAAAACAAAGUGAAGCCCCAUAGAGACCAAGCCUUGAGUUCUUAGGUGUCCAAUUAUUGCCACGGCAGUCCAGAUGUUGCCGUCAUCAGGUCUCAACCGCAACCUUCUGAGACAAAUAAGCCACCUGAGAAACAUAGUUCCAAACGGAAGGUCAAUAAGGCACGUGGUCCCAAACGGAAGGUCAACAAGAAACAUGAUGCCUUGACAGAGACAAAUGAGGAAGUAGCUGCUUCCAACAUGAAGAUGAAACCUGCUGGCCCGAAGACAAAUGAUCAGAAGCCACCUUCUCCGCCACCUGCUUCCAAACCUGCUGAACCUACUGGCAACGAAUGUCGCAGGACCAAUAGGGUAAAGCUAAGACAUAACUAUGGUGUCCUUGACAAGGGUACCUAAAGAUAAAGUGAGAGUCAAACAAGAGGCAAAAAGGGUAAAAAGGUGAAAGGCAGAUCCAGAGCUUUAGAGUUUGGACUCUCGUUUUUGCUUGACAUCAGAUAUUUGGACAGCAUCACAAAAUCUAGGAUACAAGGAAGCAUGUACUGACAGCAGUCUUUGUAUGUUGGUUGCAUUGGCUUUCCUGUUAGUAGUUUUGGUGAUGUAUUAUAACAUUUUUAAGCAGCUAGCUGAGCAGAUUAUCUUGUAAUGAAGUAGUAGCUUGUCCCUUUGUUCUGUGAUCAUUCAGUUCUACAAGGAGAGAAACCUGUUUGUCAGUAGUUCUUGCUCAAUCAUAUUAUUAAGCUUUUGCAUGUAUGUGUAGUGUGGAGCUUAUUAGUAGUUCCUGCUUCUAUCUAGUUCCCACGAACAUGUGAUGUUUUUUUAUUUUUCCUAGAUUAUAUAUUUUUGAUAUAAACACACCGCUCCAAAUUUAUUAGCUUUUUAUUCCACCUCAUUCGCUCUCUAUUUUUGAAAUUAUUAUCUGGUUGGGUAUCAUUGGCAAUGACGGAAUUCGUGACUAACUUUAUUAUCCUGCCAAACACAAGUUCUAAGUUCACAGUCUCCAUAAAUACAAACAAAACCCAAAGUCCAUGGUCUGCUCAACUUUUGUUAUGUCAAUUGGAUUCCAAGCCCACGAUAUCAUGCAGAGAAUACCUACUAUUCUGACACUGAGGUGGUGUGUUACGUACCGAAGAGGAAGAGGAGCUAUCAGACUAGUUUAUGUUUAAAUACUUUGUUCUUAAUAUAGUUCAACUUUUGUUAUGUCAAUUGGAUUCCAAGCCCUCGAUACUUUGAGUUUCAUGCAGGGAAUACCUGUAAUUCUGACAAUGAGGUGGUGUGUUACGUACCGAAGAGGAAGAGGAGGUAAUCUGACUAGAGGGGAAACAUGGCAGGAAGAGAAAAGCUGGAGCAUUGCUGUUUUGGGAAUGCUUGGGAAUGCCACCGUAGCGGUCAAAUAACUAGUGAGCUUAGGUGGACAGAAAUGCCACCCUAGUGGUCAAAAUGCCUGCUUUUUGUUUGUAUAUACAUGCUGCAACAGCUGCUGAAAAUGCAUGAUACUAAUAUCAGCUUAACAGGGCAUUAUUAUCCUUUUAAAUUUGUGUUCUAGUGUUCAAAAGUUGCAUUUGUUACCCUGGUGUUGCUCUGUAUUCUGUUGAUUCAAUUUUUCAUGUUGUUCAUUCAUCAAACCAUCAAGAAACUUGCAAGCCUCGGUUGUACCACUGGGACUUCAAGAUGGCUGAGGCAGCAAUAGUUCUCAUCAACUGUUGUUCCUGUUGGACUCCUGAUGGCUGAGGUUGCAAGUUUAUUGAAGAUUUCAUGCCCUCCAUGUGUAAGCUGGAUCUGAGAUAAACAUAACUUUCUUCAAUUUACAUCAACAUGCAAGCUGGAUCUGGCAUCUCGCUUUCCUUGUUUUUUUAGUUUUAUCACUUGCAGGAUAUGCACAAUUAAACACGUUUCCAUCAUAAGUCAACAUAUAUUUAAAAGCAAUAUUUCAACACAUUUCCUACAUUUUCUAUCCAGAUCAACAUAUAUGCAAAAUCAUAACAUAUGAAUUAAACUCAACAUAUAUGUAAAAUCAACACGUUUCUGGCCUAAAGUUUUCUUAUUUAUCAACAGAGGUUACCGUCGUUGUCGUCAUCCUUGCUCUCUGGAUCUACCCUAAAAUAAGCACAUUAGGGAACACCGUGGUAAAACGACACAUUACUAUUGCUGAUUCACAGAGCAAUACCCCCGUAAAAAGAUACUAUACUUAAAUAAAUGCAACAUACGGUAUAGGGAAACACUAUACAUUUUAAUUAUGAACACCACUAGUCUGCUUUGGCUGCCACAAAGCUGGUCCGUUUUGGCUCGUGCGGAGUUGGUCCGUUUUGGCAUCAUAUAUAGUAGCUGCUAGAAGUCCGGCUUCUGUUUCGAAGUGUCACACUUUUUAACUAACUGUAGCUUUUUGUAUGUAUGUAGCUGUCUCAUGACUAGUGUCGUAGUUUAUACAAUUAACUGUACCUUUUUGCAUUGUAGUUUCUUAUUUGUAUUUGUAGUCCUGCUGUAGUCUCUUAACGUUAUUUUCACAUUUGUAAUAUUCUCCAUAACAUUGCUAAUACCAUAGUCCAACCCUGAUUCAUGGACAUAGGUUAUCUUUGAAGUAUCGCUAAUCAUUAAACAAGGAAGCAUGAAAGCACGUUAUAUGAAUAAUAAAAAUCACAUUACAAAUAAAUACAAAGUCACUACCACAAAACUGAAUACCCUUGAGGGUCAAAAACCCUCAAGGAAACCCCUAAAACCGCCAAAGAAAUCAAUAUUGGCGGCUAGCACUCAAGGAAUAGUCGCCAAGGGUAGAGAGACAAGGUGCCGGCCGCCACAAAUCAAUUUCUUGAGGGUUAAACCAUCGAGAAAAUAAAUCAGUGGUCAGAUUUUUAACAUCGUCAAGAAAAUAUAACGACACCCAAGGAUAUAGGUUUCCUUGAGUGCCAAUGACACUCAAGAAAAUGUAAAAACACCCAAGGAUAUAGGUUUCCUUGAGUGCCGAUGGCACCCAAGAAAAUGUAAAAACACCCAAGGAUAAAUAUUUUCUUGAGUGCCGAUGACCCUCAAGGAUAUGCAUGGAAAAAAAAGAGAAACAAUCUCAUAUUUGUUGUAGCUGAGAAUCGAACUCAUGACCUGAUGUUCCAUGUGAAACUAACUUACCACUACACCACAAAGUCUUUUGUGACUAAGUGAAUGUUUCUUUCUUUUUGUUUUCACUUUAGUGGAUCUUGUAAUGAAUAUUUGAGAACCUAAAUGAUUUCAAAUGAAAAAAGUUUGAAUUAUAAAGUUUUAUAUCUCAUCGAGUACUAUAACUUUGGUUUAGGUUGUAUCUCUAUCUGAGGUCAUUUGAAUAUUCAAAAAAUUUAAAGUUUAAAGUUCUAAUAAUUUAAAACAUAUUUUAUGGACCUCAAAUAAUUUCAAAUGAAAAUUUCAUCAACUAAGAAGUUGUAUAUCUCUUUGGGCUCUAUAACUUUGAUAUAAACUUUGCCUCCAUACGAUAUUAUGUUACAUUUUAGCUUUAAAAUAAGCAAGCAUCUCAAGCUAAGUGCUAGUAUAUGCAUUCUCUAAUGCAUAACAACACAAAAUUAUAACUUUUAUUGGAUUAAUUUACUAACAAAAAUUAUAUAUCAUUUUCCAAACAUGUCAAUGGAGCGUUUAUGUCUAUAAAAUGCAAUGUCUAACUAACAAGAAUGCAAUGAGUUCACUAUAUCGAUGGUUAAGAGAAAUAUGACCAUAAACUGUUUUUUCCUUGGCAGCUAUAAUAAUUUACUUGAGGGUUUACACCCAAAGAAACUAGAACUUCCUUGGCGGUUUCUAGUUACACCCAAGGAAAUGUGAAUUACCUUUGGUGGUUUAUAAUAACACUCAAGGAAACAUAGAAUUACCUUGGCGGUUUCAACUAGCACUCAAGGAAAUAUAGAUUUAACUUGGCGGUUUGGUUUAGUACUCAAGAAUAUGCAUUUUCUUGGGGGUUUUAUACAACCCUCAAGGUAAUUGUAUAUCCUUGGGGGUUUAAUUUCGCCCCUCAAGGAAAUUGCUGGCCCUCAAGGAUACUCAGUUUUCUGGUAGUGAGUAUCGAUCAGUACAAUGAAAUUAUAGUACCAUCAAAUCACAUUACACUAGUACAGAGAGAUACUAUACUGGCGGUUCGCAACCCCUUUGUACAGGCGGAUUGACGAACCGCCAGUAGCUAUAGGCCUGUGGAAAUAAAAGUUUCCACAGACGGUUAACUGAUAACCGCCUGUAGAAACCGAUUUCUACAGGCGGUUCAGUUAUGAGAUCCGCCUGUGGAAAUCAGUUUCUACAGGCGGUUCUUUUAUGUAAGAAAUUGGAUUCUACAGGCGGUUCUCAUAACAGAACCGCCUGUGGUAAGAUUUUCCAAAACCCUAUUUUUACACAACAAGAAAUAAGGCUUUACAUGACGAUUUACUGGUGACGUUCUAAGAAAGCAUCAUAGAAUUGUAUUGUCUGUGACGGUUUAUUCUUGAGGUAAUAUAUCUAUGAUGACUGGUUAAAUUAUCGUCAUGGUUGAACGUCAUAGAUCAUUUUGGCACCUUUGUGGUAAACCUAAACCGUAAAGUUAUAGCUAAUGUUUAAAGUUAAAUGAAUUAUAACAUCUUAGGUGUUAGACAGUCAUUAACACAAAUCAUUGAUGCAUCAACAAAACUAAGAAAUAUAUUGCAUAGAUAGAAACGGAAGUCCUACUUUCCCCGGACUCUAGAAAGCCAAGGAAUUAAAAAAAAAUCAUAAAUAGAAACAAAAAAUAUAGUUGCAUAAAAAGAAAAAUAAAAACAAAAAAGAAGAAGAAAAGAACACGCCACAUAAAUAUAGAAGAAAAAAAUAAAAACCGAGAGAGAGGAGACUGGUUAUAAACAAGUCCUACUUUCCCAUCCCCAUCGUUCUCUCGCAGUCACCUGAGGGCCGACUCCCUUCGUAGUCUUUCUCUCUGUCUCUCUCGAUCUCCCUCACAGCGCCGUCCUCCCUACUCCUCCGCCCAGAAGCCUCCGCAUCCGGCGGCCACCCCUUCCUGCUCCUCCUCCAUAGGCCACCACCUUCACAUCUGGCGCCCUCCCCGCCGGAUGUUGCCCCUUGGCGCUCCUCCCCUUCUCUCUGGCGCCCCCCUCUCUCAGCCCGGUGUCCAGAUCUACUGGUCCGAGCACAAUCGCAUCAGGAAGUGGCAGCUCCGAGCACAGUUUAAUUUGAGUGUCCGAGAUGAGCCCGUAUUCCGGCCGCCAAAGUCUUGGUCAGGCCCUCUGCAGGCGACGAGCAGCCACAACAACGGCCACGUAUGCUUGUUUCUUCUCUUCCCUUCCUUUUGUGCAAAAUUGAGGAUCCCUAAUUUAGGCUAUUUGGUUAUACAUAUUCGAAACUGAUCUGAUAUAAUCCCAAGUGUAUGCAUGUAUGCUGCAGGAUGUGGGUUUAAUUUCUUUAAUAUGACUAUUACUGUUUUUACCAGAGCAAUACAUGUUGAAAAAUUUGUACUAUCAUACUUUCAGUAUCUAUAGAGACCUUUCUUAUAGGUGAAAUUAAUUAGGCAUGUGUAUCUACUGUCAGAUAAAAUAUGUUGCUACGCAGGUUUCAGUAUCUGUAGAGAUCUUUUGUAACACUGAAGUUACUAAUGUAUGCCUUAUUAAGUAUUAUCAUGGCAGAUGAUUGACCUUAAAUUAAAACCCACUUGCUUUACCUUGCAGAUGUGUGACCUUAAAUUUAGUAGUAUUCAGAACUUAGUAACCCACUUGUCGAAUGCAGAAAUAUGGUUGAAAUGGUUUGCCACUUGUUGAACUUAGUAACCCACUUAGGGCCUGUUUGGUUAUCAGGGAUUGGACACUGGGAACAAUUCCAACUUGAAAUGUUGUGCUAAUUUGUACUAACUUUGCUCACAGGAAAUGAUUCUGGGAGGAAUUAUGCCUAAGCGAAUGAUAUUAACCCUUUGGGCAGUAAUUGUUUACAGAUUUUAAAAUACAUCUCUGAGAGGAGUAGGAAAGAGCAAUGAUGGCAGGAAGAGGGUAGAUAUCCACAGGAUGCGGCAGUACAGGUUGCAGCUCGAAUAGAAACUUGGUGAUAUCUUGGUCAUAUUACUUUACAUGAGCGACACUGAACCAUCAUAUCCACUAUUUAAAUAUGAAAAUUAUUUGCAAAGUACUAGUUAUGCAAAGCCCACUUUGGCAUGGAGGAGAAAAUGUUUCUAGAUGUUUUAGGCAAUUGAAUUCCCCUACUACAGAGUGCUAGAGCACUGAACAAUAGGUACUGAAUAUUAAUUAUUAUUCAAAGUAAAAUAUAUGGAUGCAAUGUGCUGAAAUAGAUGUCCUGCACUGAUAAAGAUUUAGUGGUGAUUCACUAAAUGCUGUUAUGGAAGUAUUAAAUAUAAAUGACUUGUUGUGCAGCGUGCAUUUGUACAUAUAUUUGGAAAUAGAUUGCAAGAUUGUCGUUGUGCUUCAUGAUUUCUAAUUCUUGCUAUUGAUUCUGUUUUUCUUAAACCUCAAUCAUUCAGAUAUGCAAGCAAGUGGCAGCACUGUUUUCAAACUUUAAGGUAUGAACAAAUUCAAGUGGACUAUGUGGCAGCAUUGCUCUUAGGCUCUAAAGGCAUGCACUGCUCAGUUUUGGGUGAGUAUUAAGUAUUAGUCCUGCACUUCUUUGGCAGAUUGUCUCUAUGUAGUUGAAGGCUUACAAUUUUGUUGGCUCGUAGUUGCACGGUCUAGGAUCCAAUGCUCAUGUUUCUCCACACAUAUGAGUCUUAACUGGCCAAAAGAUUUACAUUUUUUCAAAGAUAGUACCUUUGCACAUGUGAGUUUUAUUACUGAUCAAGUAUUCUCUGCAGAUGUUUUAUGAGGCUAUCUAUGGAUUGCGGCAAAAGGAUCAAGGCGCUCAUGGUGGCUAUUUUCAUUAGUCGUGAAAGAUUUUGUUGUGCGAGCAAAACAUCUGGGUUGUUGUUGUACAAGCCAACGUCUUAGUUUUCUAGAUACUUGAGUGUAGCUUGGUUAUUGCCUUAGUAUUUCGUGUGAAAUAUUGUACAAGUACAAAUGUUGAUGGUUUUAAUGAAAAUGAUGAGCAAUAUUUGUCAAUUGUGAGUUUUGUUCCAGUUUAUGUGUGUUUCAUGAGUGUUUCAGCAAAACCAUGACAGUUCAGUUCAUCACCAUAGUCUCUUCCUAUAGUUGCCCUCUGGUUCGUCCAUGACGAUCCAAAAAAUCACCCCGUGACGUUCUAUUUUGGUCUAAAAAAUGUAUCACGAGGAAUAGAUGACGUUCCUAUGAACCGUCAUAGAUAGUUAAUUGUGACGGAUUUUUGCUUGUCUGUGACAGAAUCAAACCGUCAUGUAUAAGUUAAUUUCUUGUAGUGUUAAUAUUAUAUAUAUAUAUAUAUAUUAUAUACAUUAAUAUUGAAACUAUGUUAGGCUACAAGAUUCAACCAAUGCAACAUGCAAUAUAUUUAUAUAUACCAUUACUUUGUACAUAAAAUUAUAUUAAUUACAAACAUCACACAUCAAAGUUUUUUGUUUACAGACAUAUGAGGUUUCACAUCUGAAACCUCUGCUCUAAUAACCCGAUCGAGAUAGCUUUAGCCUACUAAUAUCUCUUAGCGCUCUAAACUCAGGCUUUGCUAGGAUGCUGGUCGGGUCGUGAUAUUUCCCUUCGGUGGGAAUGGCUUCUCUCAAGAGAAAAGUGCAGAGGUCCUCAACUAUGUUAUAUAGAACAGCUUGAGUCACGCUCUUCGCCUUUUCCAACUCAUGUUGCUGCAGAGGAAGUUAGAAACAUCAUAAAUUUAUAGUUCAUAUAACACAUGCUUAGCAACAAAAAAUGACACAAAUAAUAUAAACGACUAUUAGAGCAAUACCUUAGAAGGGUUAGUUACAUAUCUUCCGGUCUCUCUCAUGAACUCGCAGACGUAGAAUCCAUAGUGGACCGAUCCGACUGGUUGCUUAUGGCACUGAUGUAUGACAAAAAAGUGGAUACUUAUUAGUUGCAACAUCGUCAUAUGCAUAUUAUAUUUAUAAAAGACAGCUUGUGAUAUUUUGGUACAUACCGGCCAUUUAUAAAAUAAUCUCAAUGGCUGCCCCGGUUCUGAUUAAUCACACCUUCCACCUUUGAUCUUAUAAUACCUAUAGGCCCUAUAGUAUCGAAUACACAAUCCUCAAGUUAUUCUGAAACUCUUAUAAAAGUAGGUAUGGAUAUUUAAUGUACUCAGCUUACCGUUCCAAGUGUGUAAUGAAUUUUGCAUAACUUGAAGGAUCAUAGUCUGCAGAGUCUAGGACUAGCACACGUCCUAGACUAGGAUUAAUGAGGAGGCAGAUCCAGUGGUCCCUGAGAGAAUCGAAUUUAUGAUGCAAGGUGCAUGAUUUAUUGAUACAAAUCCCAUCACCUUUUUUUGCGUGGGGAAUUGUUUUAGAAUAGUUAGGCAAAUUUCUGAUCAUAGGCUAAUUUAUUUGAUUUGUAUAGGUCCUCUGAGACUUAUCACUAAUAGGUUGUUUCUCUUUGUUGGAUAUGUCACUUUUACCAUUAUGAUGUAACUUCGCAAUGUGGCAUGUCGCACUUUUGGCCAUGGAUUUGGCUAGAAAAUGCAUUGGAUAGGGUAGCAAGAAGAUGGAUCAAAAAAAUUACUAUACUCUACAUGUAACUCUUAGAUGACUUGGACGAACUACACAUGAUAAAUCUGGCCUGAUAGGUUUCGGCUUGACUGGCUACAUCUAUGAGAUCUCUUAAAAGCAAGGAAACUAAUGGGAUAAGAGGGAAAAGUACUCUGUCGACUGCUUAGAUAUCUCAAAAGUAAUCAUUGGGAAACAUGUCCUUAACUUGCAAAAUAUAUGGAAACAUUUUGGUAAAUUACCUUUUGAAAAUGCACUCGAGAGUAUGGAAACUAGUGGGAUAAGGGGAAAAGUACCCCGUCAACUAAUUAGAUCUGUCAAAAGUAAUCAUUGAGGAACAAUGUCCUUAACUUGCUAGAUGUUAGGCAAUAUUUCAAUAACUCCUAGAGGGAAAAGUACUCCAUCGGCUACUUAGAUAUCUCAAAAGUAAGACCGAAUAUCCCAACACUUGGAUCCAAGUGCCCGAGUCUCUGGUUGAGUCCUUUUAUUACUUAGCUUGGUUCCGUGGACUAAUUAGAUCUCUAAUCAUUAAGGAACAAUGUCCCUAAGUUGCUAGACGUUAGGCAAGAUUUCAAUAACUCCUAGAGGGAAAAGUACUACAUCGACUACUUAGAUAUCUCAAAAGUAAUCAUUGGGGAACAAUGUCGUAAACUUGCUAAAUAUAGGGCAACAUUUUAAUAAUUCCCUUUAGAAAUGCAUUGGACAGGGUAGCAAGAAGAUGGAUCAAAAAAAUUACUAUACUCUACAUGUAACUCUUAGAUGACUUGGAUAAAUUACACAUGAUUAAUCUGGCCUGAUAGGUUCGGGCCUGACUGGCUACAUCUAUGAGAUCUCUUAAAAGCAAGGAAACUAAUGGGAUAAGAGGGAAAAGUACUCUGUCAAAUGCUUAGAUAUCUCAAAAGUAAUGAUUGGGAAACAUGUCCUUAACUUGCUAAAUAUAUGGAAACAUUUCAGUAAAUUACCUUUUGAAAAUGUACUCGAGAGUACGAAAACUAGUGGGAUAAGGGGAAAAGUACUCCGUCAACUAAUUAGAUCUCUCAAAAGUAAUCAUUGAGGAACAAUGUCCUUAACUUGCAAGAUGUUAGGCAAUAUUUCAAUAACUCCCAGAGGGAAAAGUACUCCAUCGGCUACUUAGAUAUCUCAAAAGUAAGACCGAAUAUCCCAGCACUUGGAUCUAACUUCCCGAGUCUCUAGUUGAGUCCUUUUAUUUCUUAGCUUGGUUCCGUCGACUAAUUAUAUCUCUCAAAAGUAAUCAUUGAGGAACAAUGUCCCUAAGUUGCUAGAUGUUAGGCAAGAUUUCAAUAGCUACCAGAGGGAAAUGUACUCUAUCGGCUACUUAGAUAUCUCAAAAGUAAUCAUUGGGGAACAAUGUCGUAAACUUGCUAAAUAUAGGGCAACAUUUUAAUAAUUCCCUUUAGAAAAUGCAUUGGACAGGGUAGCAAGAAGAUGGAUCAAAAAAAUUACUAUCCUCUACAUGUAACGCUUAGAUGACUUCGAUGAACUACACAUGAUAAAUCUGACCUGAUAGGUUUGGGCCUCACUGGCUACAUCUAUGAGAUCUCUUAAAAGCAAGGAAACUAAUGGGAUAAGAGGGAAAAGUACUCUGUCAAAUGCUUAGAUAUCUCAAAAGUAAUCAUUGGGAAACAUGUACUUAACUUGCUAAAUAUAUGGAAACAUUUCAGUAAAUUACCUUUUGAAAAUGUACUCGACAGUACGAAAACUAGUGGGAUAAGGGGAAAAGUACUCCGUCAACUAAUUAGAUCUCUCCAAAGUAAUCAUUGAAGAACAAUGUCCUUAACUUGCUAGAUGUUAGGCAAUAUUUCAAUAACACCCAGAGGGAAAAGUACUCCAUCGGCUACUUACAUAUCUCAAAAGUAAGACCGAAUAUCCCAGCACUUGGAUCUAACUUCCCGAGUCUCUAGUUGAGUACUUUUAUUUCUUAGCUUGGUUCCGUCGAUUAAUUAGAUCUCUCAAAAGUUAUCAUUGAGGAACAAUGUCCCUAAGUUGCUAGACGUUAGGCAAGAUUUCAAUAGCUACCGGAGGGAAAGGUACUCUAUCAGCUACUUAGAUAUCUCAAAAGUAAUCAUUGGGGAACAAUGUUGUAAACUUGCUAAAUAUAGGGCAACAUUUUAAUAAUUCCCUUUAGAAAAUGCAUUGGACAGGGUAGCAAGAAGAUGGAUCAAAAAAAUUACUAUCCUCUACAUGUGACUCUUAGAUGACUUGGAUGAACUACAUAUGAUAAAUCUGGCCUGGUUUGGGCUUGACAGGCUACAUCUAUGAGAUCUCUUAAAAGCAAGGAGACUAAUGGGAUAAGAGGGAAAAGUACUUUGUCGACUGCUUAGAUAUCUCAAAAGUAAUCAUUGGGAAUCAUGUCCUUAACUUGCUAAAUAUAUGGAAAUAUUUCAAUAAAUUACCUUUUGAAAAUGCACUCGAGAGUAUGGAAACUAGUGGGAUAAGGGGAAAAGUACUCCGUCGACUAAUUAGAUCUCUCAAAAGUAAUCAUUGAGGAACAAUGUCCUUAAGUGUCUAGAUGUUAGGCAACAUUUCAAAAACUCCUAGAGGGAAAGUACUCCAUCGGCUACUUAGAUUUCUGAAAAGUAAUCAUUGGGGAAUAAUGUCUAUAAAAUGCAAUUGGCCCACGUGGAAGCUUGCCACCUCCACACACAAGCACAUACAUAAUGUAAUAUUUUUAUUGGAAACAAACUAUUUGGCAAGUAAUAUUUAGCAAGUUUAGGACAUUGUUCCCCAAUGAUUACUUUUGAGAUAUCUAAGUAGCCGAUGGAGUAGGUUUCCCCCUAGGAGUUAUUGAAAUGUUGCCGAACAUCUAGCAACUUGAGGACAUUGUUCCUCAAUGAUUACUUUUGAGAGAUCUAAUUAGUUCAUCAACUUGCUAAUUAGGCCAGAUUUAUCAUGUGUAGUCAAGCCCUAAACCUAUCAGGCCAGAUUUAUCAACUUGCAAGUUUUGAGAGAUCUAGCAAGUCAAGCCCAAACCUAUCAGGCCAGAUUUAUCAUGUGUAGUUCGUCAAAGUCAUCUAAGAGUUACAUGUAGAGUAUAGUAAUUUUUUUGAUCCACCUUCUUGCUACCCUAUCCAAUGCAUUUUCUAAAGGGAAUUAUUAAAAUGUUGCCCUAUAUUUAGCAAGUUUACGACAUUGUUCCCCGUCCAAUGCAUUUUCAAAAGGGAAUUAAUGAAAUGUUGCCCUAUAUUUAGCAAGUUUAGGACAUUGUUCCCAAAUGAUUACUUUUGAGAUAUCUAAGUAGUCAACAGAGUACUAUUCCCCUUAUCCCACUAGUUUCUUGAGGACUUUACAACUUUUAAAGCAAUCACUAAUGAACUCAUGUAGAUACUCGAAGAGCAUACCACUCGUCUCCAGAUUACGUACAUUGGAUAGCAGCGCCUCCUUCGGCACUCUAGAAUCAAUCUCCACUUCAAUUCUUUAUCAACCGAAUUCGAUGAAAACCAAUCACAUUUGAUGAAAGGGAAUCGAAUUCGGUAAUCUUUAUGGAAUUGGAUUUUCCUUCCUUGGAAAUCGAAUUUGGUUUAUGUCAACUAAAUUCGAUGAACGAUAAUCAAAUUCGAUGAUAGUGAAUCGAAUGCGGUACAGUUCUUCGAAUUCGAUGUUAUGGCUUUCAAAAAAAGAAAUAUACCCAAACAUUGCCAAAUCCAUGGUCAAAAGUGCGACAUGCCACAUUGCGAAGUUAUGUCAUUAAUGGUAAAAGAGACAUAUCCAACAAAGAGAAACAACCUAUUAGUGGAGGAGAGAGGAGAAAUCAUUAUCAGAGGUAGCCAUCAAAGUUAGGGUUUAGAGCUUUUCUCCCACAGAGAAUUAGAAUUAGCUACUCCCUAAUCCUUCAAGUUUAGAGGAUUGAUUAGAUAGAAUUAGAGAAGUAGAACACUACGCUCUGGAUUCGGAUCUUUGUUAAUAAAGAUUGGUAUUAUUUCAUAUCUUUCUCUAAUACUUUGUUCUAAUUGCAAUAUGUCUCUAUUUAUUAUGUUCUUAGUUUGCUCUAGUUCUAUAUUUGAUAUAGUUAUGAUUGAUAAUGAGUUUAUGUAUAAGUUUGCAAAGCGCUUAGCUCUUGACACGUGGGAGUUAAGUGGUAGAUCACAUGUGGGCGUGGUGCUUAGAUGUUAUUUACCUGCAAAUGUAUCCUAUUGGCCGGGUUGUGUGGUAGUUCGCGGUAGUGACAGCUUCGUUGAUUUUUAUAUAGUCCACCCUCCAUUGAUAGGACGGGCAGAAUUUGUAUUGCGGAGUGAGUCUUGCGAUGCUCUGAUUUACUUUAGCAAUGUUCCUUAUACAUGAAUGAAGAGUCUUUUAUACUAUAUAUGAUCUUGUAGAUAACUAGAGUAGAUUGUGACUUAGUAGAUAGUAGAUAACUUAGAAUCCAUUCUCUAGCUAAUCCGACGUCACCUUAUAUAUAUGAGGAGUAGUCUAUUUUCUAAUCGCUGUGUUAUUUACCCAUGAGCUUAUAUUUCAUUAUCAUUAGUAUUAUGGAUUACCCCUUGUCAAAGUAAGUGACUGUGUGACGAGUUCCUCAUUAGUAAUUAUGUUCUUGCAAGUUUAUCUCUAGUCUAUGCCUUGAUAGAUUUUAUCCUUAUUUUAAUUUCACCCUUGUCCUCCUAAGCAAAAUUAUAAAUAACGAUACCUAGAAUACUUUUCCUGGUGAAAUGCUACAAUGAGGUGUUUUAUCUGUUCGCUUGCGGAUAGAAUAGAUUAUUUUCUAGAGAGCCUUUACAUUCAUAAAUACCUUUAUACACUCUGGCACCAUGCUGGGGAUGACAACCUAGUAUUCAAGUGGUGUUAGCUAGUGUCAACAAGCAUUUCUGGCACCGUUGCCGGGGAACAAAAGGGAAACACAUAGGAACGGUAAGGAAAGUCAGGAAAUCAGUCGAGGUUAUUCACAUAAAAUAUUAGACUAGACUAUGGAGAAAUAAUUGCAUAAAAGCUACUAAGUGAGAAAUCAUAACAAGGCACCUCUGCUUUGGCAGGUUCACCCUGUUGUUUUUCUAUGUUUAUAUUUUUAUACAGGGUAUAUCAGGAUUGACUUUGGGUACGUUCAACUCUUCAUCAUCAGAACCAAAGCAAUCAAGAAAGGAAGAAGAAGCUAGCUACCAAUUGCUGAAGCUAUGGCACAAAAGACUUUGCAAGAAUUCUCUGCUCCAAGUCUUGAGAACAUUCCAACUGGUCCAAGAUUUGCAGUAGAAGAAGGAGCACCCGAGUUCGAGCUCAAGUCAAGCCUCAUCAAUUUGGUACAAGCUACACAAUUCAGUGGAAAGGCACAUGAAGAUGCUAGUGCACACUUGCAGAAUUUCUUAGAGAUUGGAAGCACAAUCCACAUCAACGGAGCUGACAAAGACGUCAUACUACUUCGCCUUUUUCCAUUCUCACUAGAAGGGAAGGCGAGGAAGUGGUUUUACACUCAUCAAGAUAACAUCAACAACUGGACGAACUUGUCAGAUGCCUUUCUAUCAAAGUUUUUCCCUAUAGGCAAAACAACUGCCUUAAGAGGAAAUACUGUCAGUUUCCAACAGCAGAAGACAGAAACCAUUCCAGAAGCAUGGGAGCGUUUUCAAGGAUACAUAUCAGAUUGUCCUCACCAUGGAAUGGCCACAUGGUUACUUAUGUAGACCUUCUACCAUGGAUUAACCCAGAAGGCUCGUGAGUGCCUAGAUGCAUCUGCUAAGGGAUCAUUCUUGGAGCUUACAAUUUGAAAAGCAGAGAUACUUUUGGAUAAGAUAGCAGAAAACCAAAGCUGGUUCCAAGAUGAAGCUCAACAAUGUCAUCAAACUGAAGAAAUACCAGAAGAAGUAAAUGCAUUAUCAACCAAGAUGGAAAAUUUGCUCCAUUGGAUUGACUAGAGGGCCAAGUUUAAAGAAGAUCAAAGGGCCAUUGAGACAGCAUACAAAUAUCAACCUACUUCGAGUCAACCCAAUAGCAAAGGUAUGAAUUCAGGUAAUACUUUCAAGCAACUUUCAUUGAAAGAGAUAAUAGCUCAAGAAACUAAAACUAAUGAUGAAGUUAAACAAAGGCUAGACACAAAUGAAUCAUCUCUAAAAGAUAUACAUAAUAAAAUGGAUUUUCUAUUAACUGCCUUUGAUGAGCAAAACACUCUUAAUAAAAGGGUAGAGCUUAAAUUAAUAAAGCUAGCUGCUUCAUUGCCUGUUGCCACUAACAUUGAGCAGGUAAAGAACAUAACUACUAGAGGAGGCAAGGCCACCAGGGAUCCCCCGUACUCAAAAGAGAAACAAAGAACAUCAGCACCAGUGUAACCAGCAGUGAUAGAAGAAGAAAGCCUAGUUGAAGCAGAAGAUCUGCUACAAACAACAAGAACUCGAGAAAUGAGGAAAGAUUUUUACGACACCAACUAUUUUCCAUUUCCCAGAAGAAACAGAGGACUGCAGUCGGAUGAGCAGUUUGGUAAGUUUGUAGAGGUCAUUCAGAAAUUAUAUGUCAACAUACCUCUGCUUGAUGCCAUACAGGUACCUACAUAUGCAAAGUACAUCAGAGAUAUUCUUAACAAGAAGAGACCACUGCCCACCACUGAGGUUAUCAAGCUGACAGAAGAAUGUAGUGCGGCCAUCCUCAAUAAACCACCAAGGAAGAAGAAGGAUCCCGGAUGUCCCACUAUUGAUUGCUCGAUCGGAAACCAACACUUUAACAAUGCACUUUGUGAUCUCGAAGCAAGUGUCAGUGUGAUGCCAGCAUCAGUCUACGAGAAGCUUGAGCAUACGACCCUAGAACCAACAUCAAUGUGCCUGCAAUUAGCAGAUUAAUCAGUUCGACACCCGUUGGGCAUCGCCGAAAACAUUCCAGUCAAGAUAAGAAAUUUCCUUGUGCUAGUAGACUUCAUGGUACUGGACAUGAGUCCUGACUUAAAAGUGUCCCUCAUCCUUGGAAGGCCAUUUCUGAGCACUGCCAAUGCCCACAUUGAUGUCGGGAAGGGAGAAAUCAACUUCAACAUAAACGGACAAGAAGAACACUUCACAUUCAAGCCCAGACUAGAGAGAGACUCUAUAGUGAAGGAAGUUCAUGAAGAAGAACCACUGGAGACACCAUCUCCGGAGGAAGGUAAUUCAGAAGAUUAAAAGAUUUGGAGGUCCAGCUUGGUGGACCUAAAAAAUCCCAAAACCUCGCCGGGAGGUAAAUCGAUAUUUAUCCGCAUCAUUAAUUCUUGCAUAAUUAAUUCUUGCAUUAUUCAUAUUUAUUCAUAGCAUUACUAUAAUAAUGAAAAGCCCCAUAUAAAUAAUAUUUAUGGUGUGUAACAACCCAUAUUUAUUAAUUAUUGUGGAGGCACAAAAAUAUUUUCCAUUAUCAUUUCAAUAAGUUUCAAUUCUCAUAGAUUUUCCUGCAUUAUAUUUAUAGCAACCUUCUAGAAGCAUGACCCACACUCCUUGGGUCCCACAUGUCAUACACCACACCUCACACACAUCCCAUCGCAUUAUUUAAUCCACCAACAUAACUCCACUCACCAGCACUUUUCCAUCGACCAACCACCACCCAUGAACUAUUAUUCUGCGUAAGAGUUAAGCAAAGGAGGGAGUGGAGAAAAGGCAGCCAAGAUGGCCACCAAAGGUGGGUGGCCGCCCACCUACAGAGGGCGCCUGCCCUGUCCCCCCUUCCUCCUAUAAAUUGCCACCUCCUGCCUCCAUCUCCAUCACACAAGCCUCCCAGAAAGCCACGCAAGAUUCAGUUUCCAGAGAAGGAGCUCUUGUAGUGAAGUGAGAAGAGAGUAGAGAGGAAGAGAAGAGUAGAAGAGAGGUUGGUAGUCUUUGAGUGAGAGAGUGAGGUUUACCUAGUAAGUAGUGAUCCUGCUGUCCAAAGCGGAAGUAAAAAUUGUUUAGGGGGAGGUGCUGCCAAAAUAAAAACUUGUCUUGAACGACUAACCCCUAGACUACUGACAUUUCGGACAGCUAACCACUAACAUUUUUUCUCACAUUUUCCACUAGUUGUGUUUGUGUCAACUUUUGUUUGCAGGAUGUUCAAGAAGGUGAAGAGCGCUGGGAAGGCCCUCAAGAACAUAGGUACAAGGAGUUCAUCCCGACACUCCUCACACCCGUCAGAGAUGAGUGUCGACCCCACACCCCCGCAAGCUCCAUCAUCUUCGUCUGAUCCACAAGUCAAGGUCCUCCUCAAGAUAGGAGAACUUGGACUGAAGACCCGCAGGGAAAAGGGAGUUUACUAGCAGCUAAAGAAUAAGGAUUUCAUUCACACCCCCACUCUUGAUCCUAUCUUGCUACAAGAGACAUGUAUGGAUACUGAAUUCGAUUUGAUUUUCCAGAUGGUGGGAUGGACAAAUUUUUGGAACAUAACUGAGCUGGGUUCCCGUCUUCUCACCCUUGAAUUUCUUUGCACUUUACAUUAUUAUGAGGGGGGAAUUGCUUUUCGGAUGUUCAAACAGGACAUUAUGUUGUCUUGAAGAGAACUGAGCGACCAUCUCGGUUUCUCUUCAAGAUGCAUCCUGAACAUUGACUCCGACUUACCCAAUUUUGAGAGACACCAGUUCUGAAGAGAGAUAUCUAGAGAUGAGUUUUAUAGUCAAGCCCGAACAAGUGACAAGGAACACCCCACUCUUAGGAUGUUCCACAAAUGGCUUGGGUACAAUCUUUUCCAUCGUGAUGAUAUUAGAAAAGUAAGAGUAGAAGAUUUACAACUUCUAUAUGCUGCUAUAAAUAAAACCCACUUCACCUGUUACACUUUUGGUUUCUCAUUGGCUUAGUAUACCUAGUCUUCAGGGACCAGUAGGGUGUACUUCACUUAUCACUCGUCUAGCCUCUAAUUUUCAUUUGCUAGAAAACUCAUCAUUGGAAUUCAUAGAUGAGUUACAAAUUUAUCAUGGCUAUGACACAUUUAGGCAAGCUCAGAUGUUGAAAAAAGAGGGGAACAUAAUGUAUAUGUUAUACGAUAACAAAGGCAAGAUUCGGUUACCUAACCCGAACCUUGGCCUCUAUGUUGUUCAAAUUUUUUUUAUUGAGAUUGCAGUGACACCGGUAAACCAGAGAGCUCCACAACGAGUGGCAUCUGAAAGGAUGACCACCCAUCGAGAACGCACUUGGUAUGGAGCUGAUCCCAGGCCGGAAGAAGCAGUGCACCUACAUUAUUGUGACUACAACCCCCGAGUCCUUUGGGACCCAUGGGUUCGACAUGCUCAACCACAAGAGCCAACACAGGAGACAUGGCCGGAGAGCCAAGAUCACCAGUGGACAAACCCACCUUUCCGUACGGGCAGGUACUCCACUGAUCCAUAUGGAGCUUCAGGGUCUAGACCUCCGCCCCAAUUCGAUGCAGGACGAUACUCCGACGCCUCUUAUGCUUUCACGAACGACUACUACCAAGAGGCCGGCGCUUUCUUCACCCGUACCGACAACACCCUCCUCGACAUCCAGAAUAUGCAAGCAGAACAUGGAAGACUCCUGGAACAGCAACAAAAAUGGAACUAGGACCACGCCACUGCAGUACAAGAACUGAGACAAGACACCACGACAAUGAAUGACAACAUCACCACCAUGAUGAGGUUCUAGAACAUUGGGUAAGACCGACAACCACAUCUAGCUUGGGGGAGUUUCUCCCCAUUUUAUCAAGUAAGUUUUUAUUUGCUUUUCUUAUUUAUUCUUUUCUACUUUAGUAUUUUACCUUAAAGAGAAAAACUUAGAAAACCCAAUAAAUAUUUUCUUGCAUUAAAUUACUGCAUUUUAUAAACAUAAAAACAAAAUAAAAAGAGUGUGUAGAUAAGUGUGCUUUAUUUUUCCUGCUAAGUUUAAUCUCUAGAAAAAAAUAAAAGACCAAAAAAAUGCAUGAUGGAAAUGAUGAACAGUUGCUCUCUUUGCUUACUUUCAAGUACCUAACUUUCAUAUUAGAGUUCUUCCAGGAAUUAUUAAAACUGAAAAUUACUAUCUUUAGGAAGCAUAAAACUAAAGUCUAAGUAAGAAAAAGGCAUAAUAUAAAGUUUGAGCUACUGUUUAUCUUGUUCCUACUACACUAAGUUCUGGAGAUUUAUUUUGAAAACUUACAAAUCACAUGAUGAGUUCCUAGCAUGACAAAAUUCCUACCAGAGCCAUACUUGCUAUAACAUCCUUUCCUACUUAUAUUCACAUUGAGUUUGAUCGAGCUGUGUAGACCCUUAGGAGCUUUUCAUGUUGUUAAAUUAAGAUAUUCACUUGCACACAUCUACUACACCAUCCACUACCAUUCAUUAAAAUUGCUAAAAAUAUUAUCACUCACUUUCCCAAGUACUGUUAUUCUCUUUCUCCAAAAAGAUUCAAUGCAGAAGAGGCAUGGGUUAUGCAAAAACAUGCGAGGAAAUAAAAAGGGGCAAGUGCCCGAAACCUCGAGAAAGAAAGAAAAAGAGUGAGACGAGAGGUAAAAAUGGUCAAGUGUUCGGAGUAGAAUUAGGGGUACAAAGAUGCCCACUUGAGCGGAAAAAAAUAGACAAGUGUCCGAUAGUAGAAUUUGGGGUGUCUACUACCCACCUUAAAAAAAAGAGAAGAAAAGAGAUAGCCCAUGUUCUCUCAAAGCAAAAAUCAAAGAAGAGGAGAGAUAGCAAUAUGAGGAGCAAUGAGAAGUAAGCUUUAUCAUCACUUAUACAUUUUUACAAUCACUAUCAUUUACUUCACCACACAUGCACAUCUUGAUUUAAUUAUAUGCUGAGUUCCUUUGGAUCCAUGGUGUUGAUAUUUGGUAACGCAAAAAGGAAAUGAUCCGCAAGCGCACGGAUAUCGGUGAGCAUUUCACCCGAGAGGUUUUCCAAAGUAUCGUAUUUAUAUUUUUACCACUGGAAGAAAGGGUGCAUCUGACUAACCAAAUCUAUUGCUACUAUCCCUUUAGGCUACAAAGAAUGUUUCUUGAUGUGAGUGAUGUAUAGAGAAGACUGCAACCGUAGUCUCGUUCUAACCUUGGUAAGGAUGAUCUACUAUUCUAUUGGGGAAGCUUACGGAAUCUAGACACCACAAAGGAUGUUCGACCCGCACCUAUAAACCUACCCGUCCUGCUAACGAGAUGUGGGCUUCAAAGGUAACUCAGAAAUGUCACGUUCCUCGCUACUACCACGGUCCAGCUAGUCAGGGGAUAUCUAUGAGUACUCUAGCCUAAACACAACGUUUACGCUAGCAAUGAUUACUCUAAUACUCAACCGAAAGAGAUUAAAGUAAACUCAUAAACCAAACAACAAUAAAACAAGAACUUACUAGAAUUAGAAGUCGAAUUACUGAAGAAUCCUAGGAGCAAGCCUCGGGUUAGAAGACUUGAUCCCGCAGGUAUAACCUCGGAGUAGACACCGACAGGCCGGGCUUCCUCCGAUCUACACCUCCACUCUAUAUCUCUCAAUCUGGUAGAAACAAGAAGAUCUAAUUCUACUCACAUUGGAUGCUAAGCCUAAAAUAAAUAUUUAUUUAGAGGAGAGGUAUUCCUUCGAGGGCUCCUCUCAACUCUAUGAUGAACUUGUUCUCCUCCAGUUGCCAGGGGGUCUGCUUAUAUAGUCCCCUCCUUUUGUGCCUUUUUGGUUCAACAGGCGAUGUGGUACUAAACUUUCCACCAUAUCUCUUUAAAAUGCACAUAGGCCUUAAUGGACCAAAAUCUGAUUUGGGCCCAAUUAAUCCCGCAGCUCUUUUAUGUGGAGUCCUUCUUUUAUUAAUAUCUCUUGAUUCCGAACUCCAAAUAUAGCAAAUAAUAUAUGCAUUUCGAUCAGCUCGAUGAGAUCUUUGUAAUGGUGUACUCCAUUCUAUGAUUGGAGCUUGUACCAGGGCGGGCGCCCUGCCCCCGGGCCCGUUCGGUCUCCCGUUCGUUCCCGUGGCUUCUGGACUCUUCUAGAUGAUAGAAAAUUACGCGGCACGUUAAUAUCUCUAUGUAAACCCGACCUGUGGGCCUUUUUCCUUAUUUCCUGAUAACCCCCUGCAGAAAUAGACAAACACCAAAACUCGUGGAAUCUUGUUAGAUAAAACUCUAAGUCUAGGUGUUGGUUGCAUUUGGAUCCUUUUCUUUAUUUAUUUGAUGAUUAUAUUUGGUACUUAAGGACCGUCAACAACUCCCCAAAGCUUACCUCUUGCUCGUCCCUGAGCAAGGAUGGUCUCAAGAGUUUCUGCAGUGGUUUUAUGCCUUAAAAGUACACAUGCGUUCAAGCAAGAUCUCAUCUCUGAGUUAGAGUAAACUGUUAAGACUUAAAACUUACUCAUUUUACCUUUCACCAUGGGGCUUGUAACUGUCACUUGUGUCUUGAGCAGUUAAAAGAUAGAACAGUCUAGUCAAGUGCCAUGUCUCUUGUUCUUGAUCAGCUAUAGCUCUGGAGUUUUUGCAGAUUUUCAAAUAAAACUCAGAGAUUCCUUGUAUGACUCUCUCAAAUCUCUCUUUUGUGGUAUUUCUAGAUCCUUCCCAAGGCAGUAAUGGUAUAUGCCUUCUCUCAUAGUAUGUGGUAUUUUUGGUAUGAGGCAUAGUGAUAUUGCCUUCUCUCUCACCCUACUCUAAUAAGGUUUUGAUAUCUGGAGCUCAUAGGUGGGAGACAGAUAAUACAUACUUACAAGACAUUUAUUGCAUAGUCAAACUAUGGAUCAGAAGAACAAGUCAAUAAGUCAAAUCAAGAUGUGCAUGUGUGGCGAGUGAAUAGUGUAUGGUGAUGAUGGUGAUAAUAAUGGUGAAAGUCUAAUUCUACGUUUGCUCUUUUGAGGGGAUACAUACCUUUCUUGCACUUUAAAGCUUUUUGAGGGGAAUGAGAUGCUCUAUAUUUUUUCUUUUUCUCUCAGGUGGGUAUCUUGUACCCCUAAUUCUACUGUCGGACACUUGUCCAUUUUUACCUCUCGUCUCACUUUUUCUUUUCUUUAAGGUUCCGGGCAUUUGCCCCUUUUUAUUUCCUCGUAUUUUUCAUCUUUUUCUUCUUCUUUUUUUAGAGCACUCUUUUCCUAAAAUAAUAUAGCAAGUGGUAGUAACCAAGAUAACUCAAGCAUUUAUUUCACAGGAAAAAACAGAAAUGUUUUUGGCUAUUCUCUCCCGGAUUAGGAGUAGAAUACUUUUGGGUGAAUCUGGAUAUGAAAAUGAGUGGAUGUAUGUGAAUGCGUACUUCCGGAGUAGAAACAUGUAACACCCUAAAAUUUGCAAUUUUCCAAAAUAGGAUAAAUUGUUAAAUUGUGUAUUUUUGUGCCCAUAAAAUAUAGGAAAAAUAUAUUUUCUUUAAAUUAAAAUUUGCCAUAGGAGCUAGCAACUUGUUUGAGCAUGCAUGUCCUUGCAUUUGUUUUAUUGUAAUGAGUGAUUUUGACUAAGGUUCAAAAAUAUAUUUCAAACAGAUUUUAAAUUAAAUUUGAAAGAGGUUUUGAAUAAAAAAAAGAGAGAUUUAUUUUUCUCCUCCCUCUCCCUGGAAAUCGGCCCGAAGGCCCAGAACCCCCCCUUCUUUUUCUCUCUGGCCCAAGCGGCAGCCGCGGCCCACUCUUCCCCCCCUCGCUCGGCCCCAGCCCACCUGGACGCAACAGCCCAGCAGCUGUGCGCCACGCCUCUCCCCUCUCUUCUUCCACUGCCGAGUGGGUCCUGCGCCCUUGAGUCGCAGACAGGUGGGGCCCACCUGUCGGACUCGUCUCUACCUCGUGACGGAGCCGGACUCCAUCGUGAGUUGGAAACGGCCGCGCGUGACCCUCGCGGUUGGCUUGCCCCGCACGCCGAGGGGGCCUUAAAUAGCACCCCAGCUCCGCCAAUCCCCCUUGCCCAACUCUAGGUCGAGCAGCCGCCGCAGCCGAGCCAUAGAACGCCGCCGAGAUCCGCGCCGCGCUCGGAAUUCCGCAGCGCCGAAGCUUUGCCCCCGUAAGCUCCAUGCCGAGCUUCCUAUCGUCCUUGCGACUUCACCAAGCUUUCUUGCUCGCGUUUUCGUGCUCUCUGCGCCCUGUUUGACCUUGCCGAACCUUGCAGGGGCUCGCCGUCCGCCUUCCUUCGUCGCGAGCGCGCUCCGACCGCUCCUCGACUUCGUUUUGGCCCUAGGUAAGAUCGCAGUAAGCUACUCUAUCUCCCCGUGCCCUUGGUUCUUUGAAUCGUGGCCUAAAUCGACCAGACGCCGAACUCUGGCGAGGUCUGGCCAUGGCGCCGCCGCAGACACCUCCAACUCCGGCCGUCCAACACCCCAGUCCCCACUCCAAUCUAAUCUCAGCCGUCCAAGAGCAAUCCGACGGCCCAAAUCAGGAGAUACCCCUUCGUCCGCGCCUUUUGCAAAAGAGCCCCCUGGUUUUUUAAAGUCUUAACCCGCAGUCCAAGCGCCUUUCUCAAAAUACGUUUUCUCAAUAGGAUUACGUAUUUCUGAUCGGUUGAAUUCAAAAUACGUUUUCAGAAAAUUACAAGUUUGCCACUGGAUUUGUUUUACACAUAAAAUAUUCAUCUUAAUUCCGUUUUGACUCGUUCAAAUUGCGUUGGUUUUGUAUUCAAAAGAUCUACAUGUUAGUAACACUGUUUUCUUAGUUUGAAACUUUUUAAUUCCGUGACCCAAUUAAUUAAUUGUUUUUCUAAAGAAAAUCUUAGAAAAUUCAUAUAUUCUUCGUUUCAACUCCGUUUUGAUCCGUUCAAAUUUCGUUAGAUUCGUUUUUGCGUAAUCUAUAGAUUAGUAGCUCUGUUACACAUGCUUCCAACUUUUUAAAUCUGAACUUAGUUUUAAUCUAUUAUUUUAUUAAAGGAAAUUUUAGGAAAAUCAUAACUUCUUCGUUAUAGCUCCGAUUUUCGUGAUCUUUACGUCUGUGUGAUCGUAGUGCGAUGUAGAUUUGUUUUAUAAAGUUUUUAUCUUUAUUUUCUACUGUUGGUGUAUUGUUCUAAUUAUAGGUUUGCUUUGCUUUGUAUGAUUGCCUCUCGAUGAUUGUUGUUGAUGUGAUGAUUGAGUUUAGUCGGUGAGCUUUUACGUGGUGUUCAAGAAGCAGAUUGUGGAAGGUUUGGAACUAAAAGAAGGAUCUGAGUUUCAAGGCAAGUAUAGCAUGGGAUCAUCCUUGUUUCCUAACAACUUUAAUCACACAAUUCAUAUUGCAUGUGUCUCUUUGCUAAGGAUUUCCUAGAAUUGAUCUUAUACCUUGUCACCUAUGGUUUUGCAUUGGGUAGCUUAUGCUAGUGCUCCACUAAACCAUGAUCUUGUAAUUUGAAUUAAUGGAAUAUGCAAUAAACAUUAAAAGAGGACUUUUUAGCAACUUUGGAAAAGAGGGCUGGAGCAUUGGGCUAUCUUAUGGUGCUCUAGUUUCUCUCCAUAAGGACUUAUCUGUAUCUGACCAUCCGGGACAUACAGUACAACUGUGAGGGCUACAUGGCUCUGGCUUUAGCUCAGUAUGAGGACCUUUUCUAGCUUGUUAGUGGUUACCCUUGUGGCGCAAGUGGGGGAUAGCAGACUGUGGAUUCCUGCGGGUGAGUCACACGGACUGACUAACGAAACCAAGCGGCCCUAAUUUGUUAGACGAACCUUUGAAAGGCUUCAUAGUGAACCCUGCCGGCCUCCCUAGGAAGGGGGUUAAUAACACGCGACCUCAGGCGAAAGGGUAAAUCACGACUCACAGUGAAAGUGUACAACCUCUGCAGAGUGUAAAACUGAUAUAUCAGCCGUGCUCACGGUCACGAGCGGCCUUGGACCAAUACAGAAUAAAUGAUCACUAAUGGCAAAUUGUUAAAGUUAUUGUUGUUAAUAUGUUGUUUAUGCUAUUCUUUAUUCACUUUACCUGAUCAUGAGUUUAAUACAGGAUUUGACAACUUGAUGCUACUCAUAUGCUAAAAUUGAGACAACUAAAAGCUACAUGCAGUUAAACCAGUGUCUAGCCUUUGAGCCUCAUGAACCCCAUGUUAUUCUUGCUGAGUACGAGAUGUACUUACGCUUGCCUUUACAUUUUAUUUGGAUAAAAAUCCCGGAUGGGUACCAGAUUGCUAGUUUGGAGAAGAGUUUAGGCUUGUGCUCAACCAGUCAGUUGUCCCUGUGGAUUUGGAGCUUUCGCCUGAAGAAUGGAGUGUCUUUCCGCUGUUUGCUAUCUAAGGUUAUAUCUUUUAAACUAAGUUCGUUAUAUAUAAGCAUUGACUAUUGAUAUUACCCCUUAUUUGUGGCUAUAUGUGAGAUUUGACUUCCUGGGCUCACAUAUGGUGUGUAUCUGGUUUUGUUCUUAAAACCGGGUGCUACAAAACAGCAUGUGUGAGUGAACGUGCAAGUGAAUCUUGAUUUUAACCACAUGAUAAGCUCCUAAGGGUCUACCCAGCUUGACCACACUCAAUGCUCAUAAGCAGUAAAAAGUAAAUGUGUGGCUCAAAGUCUAAUAAGCAUGUAUAUAUGGCUGUGGUAGGAUUUUAAACUCUUAUCAUACAUGAACUCAUCAUGUGUUAUUUUAAAGAUUUUCAAAGAUAAAAUUCUCCAGAAUUCUAGCAUCUCUAGGAACAAAUAAACAACAGCUCAACCUUCCCAUAUCAUAUCCGUUAACAACUUAGACAAUAGAUCAAGUACUCUUCCCACAAGUUCAGGUUUAGAGCAAAUCUUAAUUCAUAACAGUCAUGCCUAAACUUGAGAAAGAUUUCAAUUUUUAGAACUAGUCAUGGCAGAGCAACUAUUCAUCAUUUCCAUGUGAGAGCUUAUCAUGAGGGUUCAUAGCAAACUUUAUUUAUUUAUUUAUUUAGCAAACUAAGCAAAGAUAUAUAUAUAAGCAUAGAAUUUUUAUUUGGGUUUUUUUAUGAUUAUGCAUCUUUUUAUUAUUUGAGUAAAGUAUAAAUAUGAGUAGAACACUUAGCUGGAUAAAUGGGGGUGCUCUCCCCCAAGCUGGAUUUUGACGUAAUUUCUUCUGAUGUAGCUAGCAAGUGGCAGAGGUGUAUUUGAAUGUCGGCAACACCUUGACAGCGAUUAGGAUGUCCUCCGUCUGCUAGUCUUCUUUGAUCCUUGAAUUCUGUGGAGCUCAAAUAGACAACAAAGCUUUGUGGAACUGGUUAAGUGUUAGCAUAAAAUCUCUUUGCCUUUAUCAUAUUGAGCUUCCUCCUAAUAAAUUUUAUUUAGCAGGACUAUGCACUUAUUAUUUAUAUUUUUAUUGUAAGAUGAAAACAUAUUUAUUUUAUGCCACCAUAGUGAAUGUACCUAUGGGUUUUAUGCCAUGAGCAUACUCGCAUGGGGCUUACUAUUUUUAACAUUUUUAUUUUCUUUUCAAGAUAGUAUGAACCUGAUUAACUAAGCAAACUAUUUUAAAUAGGAAAAAGGAUAACUACCAAGUUUACCUCUUGGCAAGGCGUUCGGUGUUUUUGAGUCCUCCGAACGGGACUCUCCGUUUUCUCAGUCGUCCUGGGAUUCGCUGGGUGGCGUAGUCGGUGGUUCCGGCGAUGCCUCCUCUUCGUGUAUAACUAUCUUCUCCCUCCACACCUGACUCGGUGCUAUGGUCUCCUCAGGAUAGUUCUGUUCAAGCCGUAUGUCUUCAGACCUUACCACUUUUCCUUUGUAGUCUGCCCAUCCGUCCUUGAUGAUUUGCCUCCUGUGGUUGCGUUGUCUUCUUCUUGUCCUGACCUGCUUAGAGUCUUCAACUAUAUAGUUAAGGUCAGUAAAAUAUCGGCAUACCUUCUUAGAGGGGAAGUGCAUGUGGACUUCUCCGGUUCCAAUAUAAAUGAUAACUUUGAUAGUGUUGAGGAACGGUCUUCCAAGGAUGAUGGGUGGAUCGUACUCGUUUUCUCCCAUGUCAAUGACCUGAAAAUCGUCUGGAGCUGAAUGUAUCUUGGUUGUAGGAGCAUGGUUCCAUGCAGGAGCUGAUAAGUGACUGCGGCCAUUAUGUUGUCGUCAGAUCCGGUGUCGUAGAGUGUCUUCUGAAAAGAGUAUCCAUUGAUUGUGCAUUCGAUGCUUGGAACACCUGGGUCAUCUUUCUUGAUCAGGAAAGGCGACAUGAGUCGACGAUCUUGACCCUCUCCGACAAGGAUCCAAUGUUUUAAGUCUUCUAGACAAGACUUCUCACCGUCUUCAUCCUUUAGGUGCAUCAUUUGAUUAGGUGUGGACCUUGACAUCUGCACCUCUUGAUACGGAGUCACCCAUGUUCUUUGUUUGCCUAGCAGUUUGAAGUGCAGUGUUGGCAAUAUCCUGCUCAGUGUGUUUGUGCUCGUAGAUCCAGGUCCUUCACUUGGUGGAGUCUUGGAGUUGUAAAACUCCUCCAUGUUUUGCUUGAAGUGUACCUGUUCAUAGAGACAAGGCAGAGAUCAAGUGCAUGGGCCCUGUUGGUGGAAAACACCAACAGAACCAAAAGUGUAUUUGUUCUUCUCUAAUCCUUAAGCAUAGUGAGCAAGACAAAGUUGAUGGAUCAUGAGUGUAGCAUUUGUCAGAUCAAAUGGCUCAACCUAAUGGAAAGAUAAUCUAUCUAUAUUUAUGUUUUGUUUAUAUCUUCCAAAGAUUGAAUGUGCAACAUUUGAACUUAUAUGAUUAGGAGCGUGGGAUCACGAAGGUAGUACUAAGAACAAAGAUUAAAGGACUAAACAUGUUGAAUUAAUUGGGUUGGUUAAUUUUGAGCUACAUAUCAUACAUGUUUGUCUCUUUAUUUUAUGUGAAUGCUAGAACCAAGGAGAAACUUAUAAAAGCGAUAGUCAAGUACCUUAAGAUGUUACCUUAAUUGAAGAGUGAUGGUAUAGUAUCACCUUGUGGAAGCUUUCCUUUCUUAGCGGUUGUGCAUCGUGUUUGUGGCACCCUCCAUAGAUCAUCUCUUUAUGAUAAAUGAGCUAUGUCCUUCUUGUGCAAAUUGUUAAACUUCAUGUGUCUCCUUUAUCUCCAAUGUAAGUUUGUAUCUCAGGACUUCCUAGGUUGAUAUUGAAAGUUUUCCUGCAGGGGUUAGUCCGACAAAAUAUACCAAUGCCUACUCAAGCAGUUUUUAGUUCAAUAACAAAACUAGACUCCAUGUCUAAUCAGAUUAAGGAAGGUUGUUUAACCUAAGCACCACGCUUAAUUUAAAAGCCAAUAGAAGUAUGUACAGUACUUCCAAACUAACACUUACUAGGAUACACAUAGGUAACAUGACGACUUUUAUAGAGAUCUACUUAAGUGGAGAUGAAGUAGUGUGAUUAGUAUUUAACAAAUUGAGCAUGUCUCAAAGGUAAGGACAACCAACAUAGCAACAUGGCAAAGGAUGUUUUUAUGUGAAGUACUCCCCCAAGCUUGAAUUUUGCAAAAUUCAAGUUUGGAUGAAUUUAAUUCAAUGUUGUGUAAUGGUUGGUUGGACAUACCUUGUGCUUGUCAUUCAUCCCAUCUUCUUGCUCCAAUCCUGGAAAGGUUAGUGGUAAGAAUACCCGAAGGAAUAUUUCUACAAUUAUCUUUAUAUGCUCAAUACACAAGGCAAUGUUGCAAAUAAUUAGAAGUUCAUGUUAUGAUCUGAUAAGUGCUUGUUUUAGGACACUAAGCUUGUCCUUGGGAAACCAUCAAUUAACUCAACGAGAUCUGCAAUAUUUAUUAUAGACAUAUGCAUCGACAAUCGCCCUUUUAAAGUUUUUAUAAAUAGAAAGAAAGAGGGGGUUGGAAAUCUCAAAUGUGGUAGGGUUGGAGAGACCAAUUGAUUGGGGAGAUGUUUUAUAUGAGCAAGCACUUGGUGAGGUAUUUAUGAAAUAACUUCCAUGCUCACUGUUGUUUCUCUCAUUCUCAAACUCCAAGGAUGAUUCUUCAUGAAUGCUUAAAAUUCCUCUAGGAUUGUCUCUCAAGUUUGUUUUAUCCAUCCAUUCAACAGUGAUAGCACAUGGAUUUUUAAUGCCCUCUAGCCAUUGAUGUUGCUCUUCUCGAUCCUCCUUGUGGUCUUGGUGACUCUUAUGCAUGGGAUGUCUAGAGAGAUUCGUAGGAUCAUCGGGAGGUUCAAGAGAAAGAGCAUAGUAGAAAUUAUUAAGCUCAAGGAUGGGUUGGAUAGCCGAAUCAUGGGAUUGGAAUGUUUGGAAAUCGGCUAUUGAAACUUCCUUUCCUUGUCUGGGAGAUGAUUCCUUCUCUAUCUCUAGGAAUUUUUAUGAAGACUAGUGCAAGAAGGAUGUCCACAAAUGAAGACAUACCUUCCUUUACUAAUAGAUAAAGAAAGAAGGACUCUACCAAAGGUUAUAUGAUUAAGACCAAUGUGAAAAUAUCUAGGAAAAACAUGGUCUUGUAGGGCUAGGAUUAAACCAGAAUUUAUAGAAAGAUUAACAGAUUCCCUAGGUGUAGCUAAAAGUUCAUUAUCUUCUUGAUUAAAAGAUAGGACCUCAGCUAUAGAAAAGGGUUGGUUUUGACCAAUUGCAAUCAACUCCGGACACAGAUCAUAAUUAGGGGCAGGACUUGUUGACUCCCAUGGUCUAUGGCUGGUCUCCGAAGGUGCAAAGAAUUCAGUAAUAGGUAUGGAAUUUGAGUUAUCCAUAAAGAUGAAAAAAAUAAAAAGAUAAAAGAAUAAAAGUAUAAAAGUAUAGUACAAGAUAAUAGCAAGACUAAAAGUUAUCUCAGCAAACCGUCUUUCUCCCCGGCAACGGCGCCAGAAAUGCUUGUUGAUAUUUGGUAACGCAAUAAGGAAAUGAUCCGCAAGCGCACGGAUAUUGGUGAGCAUUUCACCCGGGAGGUUUUCCAGAGUAUCGUAAUUAUAUUUUUACCACUGGGAGAAAGGGUGCAUCUGACUAACCAAAUCUAUUGCUACUAUCCCUUUAGGCUACAAAGAAUGUUUCUCGAUGUGAGUGAUGUAUAGAGAAGACUGCAACCGUAGUCUCGUUCUAACCUUGGUAAGGAUGAUCUACUGUUCUAUUGGGGAAGCUUACGGAAUCUAGACACCACAAAGGAUGUUCGACCCGCACCUAUAAACCUACCCGUCCUGCUAACGAGAUGUGGGCUUCAAAGGUAACUCGGAAAUGUCACGUUCCUCGCUACUACCACGGUCCAGCUAGCCAGGGGAUAUCUAUGAGUACCCUAGCCUAAACACCACGUUUAGGCUAGCAAUGAUUACUCUAAUACUCAACCAGAAGAGAUUAAAGUAAACUCAUAAACCAAACAACAAUAAAACAAGAACUUACUAGAAUUAGAAGUCGAAUUACUGAAGAAUCCUAGGAGCAAGCCUCGGGUUAGAAGACUUGAUCCCGCAAGGUACAACCUCGGAGUAGACACCGACAGGCCGGGCUUCCUCCGAUCUACACCUCCACUCUAUAUCUCUCAAUCUAGUAGAAACUAGAAGAUCUAAUUCUACUCACAUUGGAUGCUAAGCCUAAAAUAAAUAUUUAUUUAGAGGAGAGGUAUUCCUUCGAGGGCUCCUCUCAACUCUAUGAUGAACUUGUUCUCCUCCAGGGGCCAGGGGGUCUGCUUAUAUAGUCCUCUCCUUUUGUGCCUUUUUGGUUCAGCAGGCGAUGUGGUACUAAACUUUCCACCAUAUCUCAUUAAAAUGCACAUAGGCCUUAGUGGACCAAAAUCUGAUUUAGGCCCAAUUAAUCCCGCAGCUCUUUUAUGUGGAGUCCUUCUUUUAUUAAUAUCUCUUGAUUCCGAACUCCAAAUAUAGCAAAUAAUAUAUGCAUUUCGAUCAGCUCGACGAGAUCUUUGUAAUGGUGUACUCCAUUCUAUGAUUGGAGCUUGUAACAGGGCAGGCGUCCAAGGGGGGAGGGCGGGCGCCCUGCCCCCGGGCCCGUUCGGCCUCCCGUUCGUUCCCGUGGCUUCUGGACUCUUCUAGAUGAUAGAAAAUUGCGCGUCACGUUAAUAUCUCUAUGUAAACCCGACUUGUGGGCCUUUCUUCCUUAUUUCCUGAUAACCCCCUAUAGAAAUAGACAAACACCAAAACUCGUGGAAUCCUGUCACAUAAAACCCUAAGUCUAGGUGUUGGUUGCAUUUGGAUCCUUUUCUUUAUUUAUUUGAUGAUUAUAUUUGGUACUUAAGGACCGUCAACACAUGGCUCGAUUAAACAACAUAUGAAUGAGCUGUUUUUCACUCCUAUGAGCUCCACUUAAAUAUCCAUUAGCUAUAGGUAAGUGAUAUUUUGGUAAGGAUCUAUAAAUAUCACAUAUAGAGAGACUUGAGAGAAUCAUUGCUAGGAACUCUGAGUUUUAUUUUGAAAACUUAUGAAAAACUCUAGAACAAAGGUGAAGUAUAGACAGGAAGAAUAGUGCUUGACUUAAUUAUUUUGUCUUUCGAUUACUUAAGACUCAAGUGCAGGUACUAAGCUCUAUAACACUUCACUCUAAUCUGGAAGAAUUUUAUAUGAAAGCAUGUGUGCCUGUCAGGAAAGAAAACAUCGAAGCAACUCCUGAUCCGUCUAAGUUUAGCUGUUUGCUCAGGAACGAGCAAAGGGUAAGCUUGGGGGAGUUUGUUGACGGUCCUUAAGUACUAAAUUUAACCAUCAACUAAACAUGGAAAAGGAUCAAUAUGCACCAAACAUUUAGAAUUAGGGUUUUAUCUGAUAGAAUUCCACGAGCUUUGGUUUUUAUCUAUUUCUGCAGGAGGUUAUCAGAAAAUAUGGAGAGAAGGCCCACAUGUCAUAUUUACAACGAGAUAAUUACGUGCCGUGCAAUUUUCUUAACCUAGAAGAGGCCAGAAGCCACGGGAACGAACGGGAGACUGGACGAGCUCGGGGGCAGGGAGCCCGCCCUCCCCCCUUGGGCGCCCGCCCUGGCCUCGGGGCCAAUCAGAACCAAACUCUUGGAUCGUGCUCCACCGAUCUAAAGGAUCAUGGAAAACCGUGCGAUCAAUGUCGGUUUGAUUCGACGACCCAAACUCACUUGAAAGGACUAUAUAAUCAAGGCCUCUCCACCCCAGGAGGAUCGAGGAGAAAUCAUUAUCAGAGGUAGCCAUCAAAGUUAGGGUUUAGAGCUUCUCUCCCACGGAGAAUUAGAAUUAGCUACUCCCUAAUCCUUCAAGUUUAGAGGAUUGAUUAGAUAGAAUUAGAGAAGUAGAGCACUACGCUCUGGAUUCGGAUCUUCGUUAAUAAAGAUUGGUAUUAUUUCAUAUCUUUCUCUAAUACUUUGUUCUAAUUGCAUUAUGUCUCUAUUUGUUAUGUUCUUAGUUUGCUCUAGUUCUAUAUUUGAUAUAGUUAUGAUUGAUAAUGAGUUUAUGUAUAAGUUUGCAAAGCGCUUAGCUCUUGACACGUGGGAGUUAAGUGGUAGAUCACAUGUGGGCGUGGUGCUUAGAUGUUAUUUACCUGCAAAUGUAUCCUAUUGGCCGAGUUGUGUGGUAGUUCGCGAGAGUGACAGCUUCGUUGAUUUUUAUAUAGUCCACCCUCCGUUGAUAGGACUGGCAGAAUUUGUAUUGCGGAGUGAGUCUUGCGACGCUCUGAUUUACUUUAGCAAUGUUCCUUAUACAUGAAUGAAGAGUCUUUUAUACUAUAUAUGAUAUUGUAGAUAACUAGAGUAGAUUGUGAUUUAGUAGAUAGUAGAUAACUUAGAAUCCAUUCUCUAGCUAAUCCGACGUCACCUUAUAUAUAUGAGGAGUAGUCUAUUUUCUAAUCGCUGUGUUAUUUACCCAUGAGCUUAUAUUUCAUUAUCAUUAUUAUUAUGGCUUACCCCUUGUCAAAGUAAGUGACUGUGUGACGAGUUCCUCAUUAGUAAUCAUGUUCUUGCAAGUUUAUCUUUAGUCUAUGCCUUGAUAGAUUUUAUCCUUAUUUUAAUUUCACCCUUGUCCUCCUAAGCAAAAUUAUAAAUAACGAUACCUGGAGUACUUUUCCUGGUGAAAUGCUACAAUGAGGUGUUUUAUCUGUGCGCUUGCGGAUAGAAUAGAUUAUUUUCUAGAGAGCCUUUACAUUCAUAAAUACCUUUGUACACUCUGGCACCAUGCUGGGGAUGACAACCUAGUAUUCAAGUGGUGUUAGCUAGUGUCAACAGCCGCGUCCUAGGAGUGCGCUGGUGCGCAGUACAACUGCUUCAUAGGUUUUAAAAGUUUGUAUAUAUGUGAUGCUGGGAGGGAAGGAUCAUUUGCUGCACUGUUGGUGCUAUCACCCUCCUUCAGCACUCUAGAAUCAAUCUCCAAUUCAAUUCUUUAUCAAACGAAUUCAAUGAACACCAAUCACAUUCGAUGAAAGGGAAUCGAAUUCAGUAAUCUUUAUCGAAUUGGAUUUUCCUUCCUUAGAAAUCGAAUUUGGUUUAUGUUGACUGAAUUCGAUGAACGCCAAUCAAAUUCGACGACCGUGAUUCAAAUGCGGUACAGUUCUAUCGAAUUCGAUGAUAUGGCUUUCAAAAAAAGGAAAUAUACCCAAACAUUGCCAAAUGCAUGGUCAAAAGUGCGACAUGCCACAUUGCAAAUUACUUCAUUAAUCGUAAAAGAGACAUAUCCAACAAAGAGAAACAACCUAUUAGUGGUAAGUCUCAGAGGACCAGUGGAGAAUUGUUCGGUGUUGCUGGCGUGUCCUAGGAGUGCACUGGUACACAGUACAACAGCUUGAUAGGUUUUAAAAGUUUGUAUAUAUGUGAUGCUGGGAGGGAAGGAUCAUUUGCUGCACUGUUGGUGCUAUCACAUCAAUGAUUUCCCUUGGUCAGAUGUAGGCGUAGUUGUUAGUAGUGAUUUUUCUUUUGUAAUGUAAGUAAUCAUGGUACUCAGAAGUGAUGAACUGAUGUUAGCAAAAUGUAAUGUUGGUCCUGUGGUUAACUGGUGAACUUGAACUCUGUGGUUCUACCAAUGUCGAGCUUGAGUUUCAAAAAAGGAAAUAUACCCAAACAUUACCAAAUCCAUGGUCAAAAGUGCGACAUGCCACAUUGCAAAGUUACUCAUUAAUGGUAAAAGAGACAUAUCCAGCAAAGAGAAACAACCUAUUAGUGGUAAGUCAUAGAGGACCUAUACAAAUCAAAUCAAUUAGCCUAUGAUCAGAAAUUUGCCUAACUAUUCUAAAACAAUUUAGCAAGUUUAGGACAUUGUUCCCCAAUGAUUACUUUUGAGAUAUCUAAGUAGCCGAUGGAGUAAUGUUGCUUAACAUCUAGCAACUUAAUAACAUUAUUCCCCAAUGAUUACUUUUAAGAGAUCUAAUUAGUCAACAGAGUACUUUUCCCCUUAUCCCACAAGUUUUCAUACUUUUAAGACAUCUCAAAGAAGUAGUCGGUGAAGCCCAAGCCUAUCAAGCUAGAGUCACAGAGUACUUUUCCCUCUUAUCCAACUAGUUUCCUUGCUUUUAAGAGAUUUCAUAGAUGUAGCCAGUCAAGCCCAAACCUAUGAGGACAUAUUCAUCAUGUGUAGUUCGGGAACAGUUCAAUGUCCUUAACUUGUUAAGCAUCUCCAAUGGUUUGGUUAACCCACUUGCUAUCUUUCAUUAUUUGGCAAAACUAGAAAAAACACCCCUCCAAUGGUUUGGUAAAGCACUUGCCAAAAUUUGGCAACUUGCUAUUCUCUGGGUGAUCACGCGCAUAUAUGCGCGCGUAGUGCCUGCGCGCAUCCGUGCUCCUACAAGUGGAAGUGCUUAGAUUUAAUUUGAUUCCUCCUCGGGGUUCCCGAUGUAAGUUUUCAAGAGGUGGAAGGGCUAAAAAUAAUUUUGAUUUCUUUUCAGGGUUCCCGAUGUAAGUUAGAUCUGGAUUUGGCAAGUGAAUUAUGCCAAACCAUUGGAGAGGAACUCUUUUUUAACUUGCAUACAUUUUAGGGAGUUGCCAAAUUACAAGAUUUGCCAAGUGAAUUAUGGCAAACCAUUGGAGAUGCCCCGGUUGCCGCGGAACCGCAUGGUCAAUCUGAAAACUGCCUUAAUUGUUUUCGACGGCCGCGCCCACGCUCCACUUCCCACGACUGCCCCUCCAAUAGCCCAUGCGACGCUCCACUUCCCACGACUGAGUUUUUAAAAUCUGCUGAUGCGUAGUGUUUUAUCCUUCUAGUCGAUUAUUGGAACCGUCAGGCUCUUGGAAAUCUGCCGCAUGCAAUUAGUUUCGGGAAGUGUCCACGACUGCCUAGCCACCGCGCGUCGGGUGCAAGCGCAUCUCCGCCCACCCCAGCAGAACAUCUCCGCCCACCAGAAUGUACAAGUCCGAGCUGCACGCGCUCUGCUCGAAGAAGCAUUGUCCGAAGCCGGAGUUCGUGCAUACCUGUGAGGGGCCCGUACACUCGCCGGUGUUCACCGCCACCGUGACACUGAACGAGAAGAAGUUCUGCGCGGGCGAGGGCACGCCGUCGAAGAAGGAAGUGGACAAUCUCGCGGCCAGGGCUGCAUUGCUCAGUCUCGCGGACUCGUCAAAACCGUUCGGUGAGCGCCUGACUUCCUGUUGCCGACAUAAUUUUCAUGUUUUCUGGUGCCCAUGAGUUAGUCCAUAGUCUGUACAAAAAUAAGAAAAGGGGUGUGAUUCUAAAACUUGAUUAUGAAAAGGCUUAUGAUAGAGUAAGCUGCGAGUUUUUGUUUGAGAUCCUUGAAUCCAGAGGUUUCUCCCCCACCUGGAUAUGUUUAGCUAGCAUCCCAAUUUAUAUCUCGUCUUUGGAUGGUGUAAAUCUCAAAUGCACUUUUAUUUAGAAGGAUGGGAGAUGAAAUAUGAUGGAAAUUUGGGAUCAGGUGUACCAGAUAGCCUCUACCAUUAGUUAUAGUGAUGAGGAGGAUGCUCUAGUUUGGCAAUUCACCUCAAAUGGCAUUUAUUCUUCCCAAUCACUUUAUAGAAUCAUCAACUUCAGAGGCAUUAAGCCUAUUUUAGUGCCCUCAGUUUGGAAUCUUAAACUUCCACCCAGAGUUAAUUAUUUUCUUUGGUUAGUCUGUAGAAACAAAAUUCUAACUAGAGAUAAUUUAGGAAAAAGGAAGAAAAUAGAGGAUGACACAUGUUUGUUCUGUAAUGAAAAGGAAAGAGUUAAUCACCUGUUUUUCGAGUGUGUUGUUGCUAAACAAAUGUGGACUGUUCUUUCUAGCAUUUUUUAUGUCCAGCUAAGUGAUUACAUUGACUCUGUAGGGAAAUUCUGGCUUAGUAACAAAAGAAAUGGAAUUUUAAACAUGUGCACUUCAGCUAUUUGGAGUUUACCCUUAAUUUGAUUGAUGGGAUACUGUCUUAUUUGGGGGCACAUUUCAGUCAUCAAGCAGCAGGUCGACCAAAAUUGGCCAUCUAAUAAAACACCAAGUUUCAGUAGUAGGUUCCCUUCUUUGCACAUGUUUUUCCCCUUUAUCUAACUCAUGUUGUGUUUACGCAGAGAGCAAGACUGACUUCAAGACCCAACUUUCCGUGUAUGCUCAGAAGCUAGGCAAGGUGCCGCCUCUGUACAAACUCAUUCAGGAAGGUCCAGCUCAUGCACCUCGUUUCAAUGCUGAAGUAACCAUAGAUGGGCAGACAUUUGGGAGGCCAGAGUUAUUAUAUUAUAAAUUGAAGGAUGCUGAAGCUGCUGCUGCAGAAGUUGCUUUGGAUUUGUUACCCCCAAUCCCACCCCAGGAAUCUACGGUUAGUCCAUUUCUUUCUUUUCUUUUCUUUUCUUUUCUUUUCUUUUCUUUUCUUUUCAAUCUAUGGUAAUAUUUUCAUUUCAAUCUACGUUCAUUUCAAUCUGAUGAAAUUUCUCUCUUUUUUCAGAUUCCAUCAUUGUCUUACAAGAAUUUCAUACAAGAAAUCGCUCAAAAAGAAGGCAUAUUAUUGCCUGUUUACAAUACAGUUCCAACUAACAAAGAAUAUUCCACUGCAUAUAAAUCAAGCGUUCAAAUCAAAUGUGAAAUUUUUGAGGGAGAGCCCAGGACAAGCAAGAAACAAGCGGAGAUGAAUGCUGCCAAGAUUGCAUAUCACCAUCUCGCGCUUCUAGAACUCGAUGGAGAUGACAAUGAGCGACCUGAUCAUUAGAAGCAGCUGUGUGAACUUUCAUAAAAGUAAGAUAAUUACUUUAAACUUAGAAGACUCAGAAACUAGUAGAGUUACUGGUAUUUUUAAUUGCCCUGUUGUUCAUUUUCCUUUAAAGUACUUAGGAGUACCUCUACAUCUUGAGAAAUUAAAGAGGGAAGAUCUCCAACCCGUAGUAGAUAAAAUGUUAUAGAGGAUUGCUGGGUGGAGAGGGAAAAGAACAAGUUACUAACUAGGGACAAUCUUAGUAAGCCGAAAAAGGUGGAUGGUCCUUCUUGCUUGUUCUGUAAAGAACCAGAAACAAUCAACCACAUAUUCUUUGAAUGUGUUAUUGCUAAACAGACUUGGUCUAUUCUGUCAAAGAGUACUUAGAUUCAAUAGGAAAUUUUUGGCUUAGUAAUAAACGGAAUGGUGUUUUGAAUAUGUGUACUUCUGCAACACUUUGGAGUAUUUGGAAACUUAGAAAUGAUUUGUGUUUUCAGAUAAUCACAUGGAGGAGUAUGGGUAAAAAAGCUUCCUUACUGCUGAAGAAAGCAAUGAUAUUGGAGGUGACUUCUCAAGAAUUCUGGCUUCAUUGGAGAUAAACAAAGGCGUUGUUCCUUGGUGGGAAGUCAAGACCCUGGUGUUGAAGGUCUAAGUUUUGUUCGGGUUGUAAGCUGGUGGACGUCAGGUCCCUUCUCCUUUUACUUAGUAAGCUAGUGGCAACUGUGCUAAACCUGUUUUGGAGAUGGUGAGUACCAUCUAUUACGAUGUAAAUGUUACAUGGUCUAUUGACAUGGCUAAUAGACGGGGGCUCGUCCCUAAAAUUAAAAAAACUGAUUGUUGUUCUAAAUGAUCUUUAAAAUUCUAGUUGUGCUUCUGUUGAUGCAAUGUGCAGAAAUGACCAACUCUUUUGGGCUUGACCGACUACUUCUUUGAGAUGUCUUAAAAGUACGGAAACUAGUGGGAUAAGGGGAAAGUACUCUGUCAACUAAUUAGAUCUCUCAAAAGUAAUCACUAAGGAACAAUGUCCUUAACUUGCUAAAUGUAAGGUUGUUCAAUAAAUCCAAGUGGGAAAAGUACUCCAUCGACUACUUAUAUAUCUCAAAAGUAAUCAUUGGAGAACAAUGUCCUUAACUUGCUAAAUAUAUGGCAACAUUUUAAUAAUUCCCUUUUGAUCCAAAAGCUACUGGUGUUCCAGGCCAACACCUGUUGAUCAAACAAGCAAACCAACCAAUAAACCAGAGGUCAACGCCCGUGAUCAAACAAGAAACUAGCAAAUACAAGAUCAAACAAGCAAACUAGCCAAUAAGCAUCUCAUGUGAAAGCUCUACUUCAAGAUUUCUAGGCCAACGCCCGACUACGUAGACUACUAACACAAGAAAUUUCCCAACCAAAAAGUCAAGUCUUUCGUGCUAAUCGAAACAAGAGGCCAAGAACAACAUUUUCCACUCCAAGCGGACAUGGCAGGCCACAGCAAAAUCAAUCGACACCCUGUAUGCUACUAAUGCACAGAAAGCAGAGCAAGCGGUGAAACCAUUUUACGUGAGUUUACGGGUACCCAUUACGAUUUUAUGCGCUCCAAGACAGCAUCUAUACAAGCAGUUUUUUCAGACUGUUUUAGGAACCUAGUACAGACAUGCCAGGAGUAGCAGACUCACAACCAGCUAACAGGAUAAAGCCAUACGGGACACUACUCAGAGCAAAAGCUAGUACCACAAAAGAAGAGACCCUGGGAUCAAAGCCCAGACAGAGCUACGUAGCAGCCUAUUACACACAGAGCAAGGCCAAACAGAUGACCCAGGAGAAAAGCAGAAGCUAGAGUAUCAGUCUUCAGGUUCACCAGGAGAUCACUUCUACACUUCAUCAUCAGGCUCGGCAUUGUUCAAGCAGCCAGAGGCCACUGCCCACUAGAGACCAAAAGACAAUUAUGUACAAGACAUCAAAGUUUAUGAUUCACAUAUCACCAUCACAUGUUUUUGAUUUGCCUCUUCUUAGCUGGAGACUUUUAACUUGAUGCAUUCUCCAAAGCAACAUAGCUUUUCACUGCCUUGCCUUGGUUUUGAGCACCGUCAACCUCGAGGACCGGCGAGACGAAGCAAGAUUCGUCUUAGGAGCUUUCUUCCCAGCAGCUUUCUUCUCAGCAGGUUUCUUGGCUCCACCAGUUCCCAGUUAUUCCUGAUCAAGUUUCUCGGCAUCAGCUUUCUUUGUCUUGGUAGCUAUGGCAACUUCAGCAUCUUUGUUGGCACCACCACUUCCUAGUUCCGAUCCUCCUUCCUGACUAGGUUUCUUGGCUGCAGUUUUCUUUGUCUUGGCAGCUAUGGCAACUUCAGCAUCUUCUUCAGCAACUCCACUGAUUUCAGCUGUGCCUUGGCAGCUUACUUUGAGAUUGCCAAAAACUCUGUCAGAAAAGCUGCAGGAAGUCUCUUCUUCACCCAAGUUCUCAGCAGGCUUCUUGGCACCACCAGUUCCCAGUUCUUCCUGAUCAGGUUUCUCGACAGCAUCUUUCUUUGUCUUGGCAGCUAUGGCAACUUUAGCAUCUUCUUCAGCAACUCCACUGAUUUCAACUGUGCCUUGGCAGCUUCCUUUGGGAUUGCCAAAAACUUUGUCAGAAAAGCUGCAGGAAGUCUCUUCUCCACCCAAGGUUAGAGAUCCAACAAGUCCAGCUAACCAUGCAUGAAUUGCUUCAGAUUGAGCAGCAGAUGGUGGCACUGUAGAAAGGAGAUGAUGGAGAAGUGACACUAGCAUGUGCAUCUGCGUCUCAGGAGGCACUCCAGAAGUUACCACGGCAGACAUUGAAUGUUGAGAGUUAGCUGGGGACUGGAUGUAAUGUCUUGAUGAUUCGACAUAGCAGGUCUCCUCUAGAGCUUUCAACUGAAAUGGGAAAUUGAAGAGAAGAUGUAAGAUUUGGAGCCAAGUACGGCACUAAUGGAAACAAAAUAUUGAUAGCUCAUAUGCCAAACUUCAAAAUCAUGAUACAAGAUUUUAGCAUGAUUAUUAGCAAUGAUUAGCAGAAUAAUAAUAAUUAGUUCUCUGUGAACUUCUAUAAGGGAAAUUCCAAAUUAUUAGUAUUGAUUAACAAUGCAGAAUAAAUAAAAAUAUUUCAGGGUCCAGGAAAUUCUAGCAUCCUAAACUUUAGAUGGGUCAGUUUACAGUUCAAUAUCCCAAAUGGUAGGAGGGCCUGACAAGUGAACCACAUAAAAUGAAAUAUAAGCAUAUAAGGCAUAUUGUUUUCAGAGCACAUAGGACUCUUAGUCAUAUAGCUGAAUGCAUACUCACACCACAGAUUUCUUUAGACGGUUCAUCACUCAAAUUUUUUUAGAUUAGUUUGCAGCAUCAAACAUGCAGAGAUACUUGCUUUAGAACAAAGCAGGAGUGAAGCUGAUACAAUAAGAGUGAGAAAACUAUAUGCAUGGUAGAUGGUACUGAAGAGCAUGCAGCUUGACACACAAAAGGAACUAGCUAAAGUAACAACUACAAGGGUUACUACUUAUAGCAAAUUCUGGGUAACAUUGUAUAAUUUCAGAUAAAGAUAUGAUCAAUAUCUCAAAUUUGUCAAAGUUGACCCUGCCAUGGCAGCGCCUAGCUUUUCAAAUACUAUCCAUCAAAGUCCCAAUAGUAUACUGAUUGAUCCGAGGACACUUCUUAUCCUCAAUCUCCAGCAGCUUCAUGUUAUCAACAAUGUAUGCCUGCCAACCGAAUAUACAGUUAAACAUGGCUCUAUACACAAAAACAGAGAGCACUAGAAUGCUUACCAGAGGUAUUAUUAUGCAGCCGGGUAUAGUCACUGUCUUCUUCUUGUCAGAUUUCUUAACAAUGCUCAGCUGCCAAUCAUUGACAUACGACCUCAAAUUCUCAUAAACUAUUGUACACCAGUCAAAGUACUUGAUGUUAGCCAUGUCCUAUGUGUACAUUAUUGCAUUUACGUUUAUAUUCUAUGUAGUACUAGGCAUUAGAAAUUUUGAGAUGAGAAUGAGGAAAAACAUUUCACCCUCAAAUGUUUAUAGUCCUCUUUUGCCAUCAACGCCAAUAUAUUUUUAACUGACAACUUGAAAUCUCUGUCCAUGCCCAAAUCAUCUCGCAAUCUAGCAAAGUCUUUCUGUUGUUGGUUACUGUAUACAAGGCAGGCCUUAUCACCUCGGGCCAAUCUGAGAUGAUAGAUCUCCUCUUGUGUGAUGUAAAAAAUUACAUCUUGCCAUGUUUUCACUGCGAUCCUGUUCUCUUCAAGAGAAACUGAUUUCAGAAACCAACAGGUUUCCUGGCGCUCGCAGAUUGAUCCCAACUUCAGUUCUAGAAAAGUUGAAAACCCAAGGUCCUUGAUCUGCUCAACAUCGGCAUCAUCAAGAUAUCCCGCUGCCUUCAUAACUUCUUCGGCCUUGAAGCCAAAGUCAAGAGUGAAACUGCCUAAGUCCUCAUCUUCACCUUCUCGUGCGCCCAACUGGAAACUGGAAUUCUGAGUCUUCAUCUGGGGAGGACAGUUAAAUGCAUAAUCAUGAGCCAAGAGAAGAAUUUUAGUUUGUAAAAUGCAAAUAUUAGGAGGUAACAAAUUGCUUUCAACAUUUCAUCAUUUUUUGUUCAUCGAUCCAACAUUUGAUUGAACCAUCUUUUUCGACUAGGGGAGAAUACCAUUUCCAUUAGCAUAACCAAUGGAAAUACAAGCAGUACUGCGACUGUUUCAGAGGAACCAGAAGUUUAGACCUGAAAGCAGGAGUAGAAACAUGACACCCAACUGCCCUGUGAACAGCUAACUCAAAGAACCAAGUUUUCCCUACACUAAACCACCACAACGACAAAAGAGAUGCUAAACUCGACACUGAGUUAGCCAAUUUGAUUAAACCAUCUAAUUAACAUUUUGUAGAUCAUCAAUCCAACCAUUGAAUAAUACUGAAUCAUCUAAUUAACAUUUUUGAAGAUGUUAUCCCAACGCAGUUUUAAUGAGCACGAGUCUUUUACCUCACCACAUAUCAGACAUGUAUUCCAUUGUUAAAGGUUAUUUUGCUUAUUCCUUGCAGGUUAACAUUAAUUUCUCUGAUAUUUUGCUUAGAAUAUGUUGUAGACCGGCUAGGCACAGACAAUAAUUGAAGAUGUUUUCCCCUUUUGAACAACCAGUCUUUAUUUUAUGACUACAAGUAUUAUUUACAAAAUGUAAUACAUUUAUUGCAUUUUUACUGUUUUAAUGAGCAAAGUCAUAUGUUAUACCUCGUUAUCCCGCGCAACUACAUGGGGGUCCCUGCUAGUAGUAAAUAACUUCUUAAGUUGCAGGUUUCAACCAAUAUUUCAUUGAAACCAAUGAAUAAGGAUUUAUUGAUUUGCAUGUUUAUAAAGGCACAACCCAGUCAAAGGUCAACUUCGCAAUGAGGCAAAAGCACAAGCAAGAGGUGUUUGUAUUAUAAUUGACCAAUUCCACAAGAAGGUGAUAUUCCAAUUGCUUCUGACUUAGACAAGCAUAUCAUAAAGCCACUAACACCUACAACUUGGUCCUACACAAACUAGCCAAAUGCAUACAUGGGUCGAUGUUGCAUGCUACUUGAGUUUUGCCUUUAAACCUUACCCCAAAAAAAAGGUUCCAAAAAGUAUCACAUUUAUGGCAUACUACACGCCAGUUGCAUUGUAUUGCACAAUCAGAAUAUGGAACAAAAUUUCCACAUUAGUCUCGACUAACAUCUCACAAACCCUAAACCCUAACAUCAAGUCUCAGUGGAGUACGUACCCUAACCGAACAAACGAGUUUGGCAACAUUCAGCUAGGUGCUCUGGGUGUGUGCGUGUGUGUGUGUGGUGGUGGUGGGGGGGGGGGGGAGGGUAGGGGGGAGGGGGAGGUGGUGUGCAGUAUGUACCGGCUCUGUUCCGCUCGGUGCGCGAUUCCGUCGCCUGGCCUAGGGAGGUCGGCGGACCCCUAGGGUUGGCGCCGGUGGGGGUGGAGGAUCGUCCGGCGGAGGUCGCUGGUGGGGGAGGAGGAGCUGCGGCCGGAGGCGCUCGCCACGGGCUUGUGCGGGAUAGGUCUGAGGGAGAGGGAGAGGGCGAGGGAGAGUUGGGCCUUCAAAUGCUGGGGGUGGGGGCGGAGGCGCUCGCCCGAGUUUCUUUCUUUGAAUUUCAAAUACGAACGGCAGGAGGUAGCCGAAGAGCGGGUGUGCGGUGAGCCAGUGAGGCCACAUUCCUGGCCCAUGUAGUGCAGCAAACAAAAAAGGAUUAGUAUGUAGUCCCAAAUGCUUACGUUUUCUCUAAUAUCAAGUUUAUAGUAAACAUUGUUUGGGUAUCUUGUUGCUACCUGUCUAGUGCAUUUUCAAAAGGGAAUUUAUUGAAAUGUUGCCCUAUAUUUAGCAAGUUAAGAACAUUUUCCCCCAAUGAUUACUUUUGAAAUAUCCAAGUAGUCGACGGAGUACUUUUCCCUUUUAUCCCACUAGUUUCCUUGCUUUUAAGAGAUCUUACAGAUGUAGCUAGUCAAGCCCAAACCUAUCAGGCCAAAUUCAUCAUGUGUAGUUCGUCCAAGUCAUCUAAGAGUUACAUGUAGCGUAUAGUAAUUUUUUGACCCAUCUUGUUGCUACCUUGUCCAAUGCAUUUUCAAAAGGGAAUUAUUGAAAUGUUGCCCUAUAUUUAGCAAGUUGAGGGCAUUGUUCCCCAAUAAUUACUUUUGAGAUAUCUAAGUAGUCGAUGGAGUACUUUUCCCUCUGGGAAUUAUUGAAAUGUUGCCUUACAUUUAGCAAGUUAAGGACAUUGUUCCUCAAUGAUUACUUUUGAGAGAUCUAUUAGUCGAUGGAGUACUUUUCCCCUUAACCCACUAGUUUUCAAACUUUUAAGACAUCUCAAAGAAUUAGUCCGUCAAGCCCAAACCUAUCAAGCCAGAGUCAGCUUGUGUAGUUUGUCCUAGUCAUCUAAGAGUUACAUGUAGAGUAUAAGUACUUUUCCCUGUUAUCCCAUUAGUUUCCUUGCUUUUAAGAGAUCUCAUAGAUGUAGCCAGUCAAGCCCAAUCCUAUCAAGCUGGAUUCAUCAUGUGCAGUUUGUUUGAGUCAUCUAAGAGUUACAUGUAGAGUACUUUUAAGAGAUCUCGUAAAAGUAAGAUCGUGGUGCUCCGCUUGUGGUGGGCGCCGUCGCCCGUCACCAUCACGUCACCCUGGUGCCGAGAGGAGAUGGGGGGAAGAGUGGGGCAACCGGGUGUGUUUUUUAGCCUGGAAGUCGAGAACGAGAAUCAGAAGCUGCCUAUAUAUUUUUUGGGCUGGAUCUAGAGCACAAGCCAACAGAAGCUAUAGAGUUCGCGUACAAAACAUUGGAUAAAACCGGGUGGGAAGCUGCUUCGUGCCGAAUUUCCUACAGCGACAAGAAUCCACUCCAGCAAACGAUAACCGCCCAUUGCAAGAUCCAAUGGCUACCAUUAUUUUCAGGCGACGUGGCUCCACGCCCCUUGUAACAUCCCUGAUGUUACGGUUACUAAAAUUCGGAUCAUGGCAUCAUCAGCAUUGCACAGCAUAGUUGUUAAGCACACCUUGAUGCAUCAACUUAAAAUGAGUUUAAUUUGGUUGAAUGUGCUUAGGGAUUUAAAGUGUGUUUGUCUUGUAUAUUGAUGCUUGAGUUGGUUGCUAAAACCCUAGGGUAGAGGAUUUCCAAAAGAUUAGGGGGGGAAACCCUGAUUUUUGGACCCUAGAUUUGCCCCCUUUUGCACAAUUUAAAAACCAAGCAAAAUUUGAGGUUGAGUUCAAAAGGAAAGUUGUAGAUCUUGUCAAGAUGUACAACUUUCGUGUUUUGAGUUUUUGAAGUUUCAAUACAAAAUUCAAAGUAAUUUUGAAAAUACAGAUUUCCAGAAAGUGUCCCCUUUUCUAAUUUGAAUCUCCAAUUCAAAAUCUAUUUGUAAUUUUGAAAAGUGACCAACAUGAAAGUUGUAGAGCUCAAAAAGUUUAACAACUUUCAUGUUGGGAGUUUUUCAAGUUGUUUAGGAAAAACAAAAGUAAUUUUGGAAAUUCUGAUCUGCCCCAAUUCAAAAAUUUGAAUUUCCCCAAAUUGGAUUUUGAAUUUCAAACUGUUUGGUCAAAAUCACGAUGUUCCACUCAAAAUUAGCUCUGGUCACCAAAAUAUGAUUUGUAGCUUAUAAAAUUUUGCACAACUUUUGUUUUGGUGGAAUUUUGGCUUUAGUUCAAAUUUUGGCCGAAUUUCACAAAAAGACAGAAUGAGGGGAUAUGGCUUGCUACAGUACUGGGCAGGGGGGUGCUCUGCCGCCGGACCAGAGCCGCUGCGCCCGGCGCCGCCAUGCGCCUGGCCAUGCAGCUGCUUGCUGCUGUGCCUCGCGCGGACGUCCUCAUCCGCAACCCGCCCUCUGUCGCGUGGAUAAAGCCCCGGGUGGUCGGGGUAUUCCCUUUCUUCUCUUUGAACCUCACCGCCGGCAGCCAGCAAUCGACGCCGAAAUUCACCGUCGCCUUAGCUUCUCCAUCCCCGAGCCCUUGCUCUCAACUCCGCCACGAACUCAGCAAUCGAUUGCGCCCCUGAGCGCAAGCGUUAAUCCCUCCUAGCCUACAACCGAGCUGUUUCCUCUCCAACUCCGGCCGAAGCGCCGCCGUAGGCACUCCACCGUGGCCAGCGUCACUCCAAGCCUCUCCACCGCCGCUCUGCGUCUCGUUGAAGUCGCGGUGAGCCCCUGCAGCUUAUGCGCUUGUUGGUUCGCGCUCUACUCGCUCGUCAUGGCCGGCGUUCGCUCGGCCGAGGCGGCCGUCCGCCGCACCCGUGGCCAUGGGGGCUAGGAUAGGAGAGAGUGGGUGCGAAGGGUGUCUAUGGGUGCGCGGGAGAUUGGGGAAGCUGACGCGUCUCACCGCGGGGGCCGAGAGCUCGCUGACGGCGUGCUCGAGCUCGCCGAAGCCGCGGCGCAAGGAAGAAGAAGGAGCUGACGGGUGGGGUCUUCCCGUCAGCGUCCUGCAGAGAGAGCGCGUGAGAGGGGGGGCAGCGCGCGCAGCGUCCACGUGGGCUGGGCGGGAGCGGGCCGGCCUGCGGGCCGAUUUCCCGGCCGCUCGCCGCGCAGUGUUUUUCUUUUUGUUCAGUUUUUGCUUUAUGUUUGAAUUUGUGUAUUAAAUUGUGUGCUGAUUCAAAAAUCAUGAAAAUUUUUGUAUUGGUUCCAUAAAAUGAGUAGAACACAGGAAAAAUAUUAGAUUUUAUUUUCUAGUAGUUUGCAUGUGUAUAAAAAUUACCUCUUUUAUUUAAUGAAUAAAACUUCUAGGAAUUUUAAUAAUUUAUUGGUAUGCCCAAAAAUCACCAAACUUUGUGGGGAGUCUCUGAAUAUUAUUUCCAGGUUUCACACAAAAUUUAGUGACAUUUGGAUAAUGUUUGAAUAAAAUAUUAUUAAACCCUUAUUUAGUAAUUAAAUAAUAAUUCUAGAAUAAUUAGAUGAUAAUUAGUUAAAUUCUCAAAAUUAGGGUUUGGGUGACUUUGGGAUUAUGUGAUGACCUAAAGUCAUUAACCUUAAUGGCCUUUGGCAUUUAAUUAUUGUUUGGCCUUAAUGCUUAAUUAUUGUCAUUAAUAAUUAUUUAAGAGUUAAUUAAGGUAAAUAGGAUUAAUAAUUAGUUAAUUUAGGAUAAGUAUGAAUUAAGAAAAGUACUAAUUUACAGAUGCAACCUCUUGGGUAAAGACACUAAGAUGUUAAACAACUUUAAUUAUUGUUUAAUCUGUGUUGCACCGAGGAGGCCAGUUAUACUUAAUUUGGUCCUUCUGAUAUAUCUGUCAUACGCAUAUCAUGAGCAUCCAUCAUUUUGCGUAUAGUGCACGUGACCGAAGGAGCGACCGUUGAACCGAACCGCGAGGUGAGUGCUCCGUUCGAGGAAGUAGGAUCCGGGACUUGGGAAGUCUCCGAGGGUCCCUCUCUGCCCUGCAACCAAGGCAAGCCCCGGAUGCAUUAACCCCUCCUUGAAUGUUUUAAAUCUUUUAUCACUUAUGAAUUGAAAAUGAUGCAUUAGGUAGUCGAGAAUUGGGUUAACCUACUUGCUGCAUUUACCACCUUGAUAUUUGUUAUCUUGUCCUUGGCACCUGUUUUAUUUUAAAAACUGCGUAGUGAUGCUUAGCCCUGCUACUAGAUAGGUUUUCAAACAAGAAAGUUUGAAGGGUUGUUGUGGAAUACACUUAUGAUCAAUGAUGUUUCAACUUGAGACCGGUCGGUGGACUUGCUUUAAGAAUGGAGUCUUAAAGUAGUGUCUCCAACUGUGUCGGUUAAGGACCGGUCCGUUGAUGGCCCGCUGGGUUGAGAAUCUAUAGUACUAGCCACUUGCCCUCGGUAAGCCCGGUCCUGUGAUCCCUCGACGCGAACAGCUACUCGCGCACUGGGCGUGGAGCGAUGGCGAGAGUAGUGUGUACCCACCUUACGGAUCUGAGAUGACCGGAAAACAUCUAGAUCGGCUGUAGGAUGGUGGAGUACUAUGCUCUCGGGUGCCGCGAACCUGGUCAAAUUUGGGGAGAGCUUGAUUUGGGUUGACAUAUGCAAGAUCUGGUUCUACAUAUGUCGGGUGGUUAGGAACUCCAGCUGGAUUGCUAAGCGGUUCGAAUCGUCAUUGCUCCCCGAUUGGGAGACUCAAUCCAGUGACCCUCAUCGUAGUUAAAUAUGCAACUAAGUGGUAAAAUGAGAAAAGGGGGAAAUGUCUCAUGAGGUUCGGAUCCCAAUUCCGGGACUCAGAUUGACAUGAAGCUAUGGUCGUUGGAUAAAUAAUACUUUAAUUUAGGACUAGAAACUCACAGACUUGUCUGUGGGAGACAACUAGUUAGACUGCCCUCGAACUCCUCGGCCUCUUAAGGAGAGGAAUUUGCGGGUAAAACUUGAAAGUAAGGAUGCACUAUUAGUAAGCUUUUUAGCAAAACACUUUGGCUCCUUGCUCAGCCACUCCUUGUCUACCCUAAGCCUGCAUUCCUACUUUCUCCUCUUUUUCCACCGGGUAAGUCUUGUUGAGUACUCCCGUACUCAGGGUUUCAUAACCCCGGUUGCAGGUGAAGCUCAGGAGCCGACUUGUUUCGGACCCUGUUGUGUGACCGUCGUCGAGGUUGACGACGAAGAAGAGUGAGCGUGACCCAUGGGCAGGGUCUGUAAAUUUGUAAUCUGUAUACUAAAGUUUAAGUUGCUCCGCUGGACCUGGUUUGUAAUAACACUCUGCUAUUUGGAAGAACUCCUUUUGUAAAAUAAGUUAUGUAAUACUUCCGCUGUUUACUCUGAAAUAUUAUUUUGGUCUUAUGUCGUCUGUGAUACUACAAUGUCUUCGCAACGAGUGAUCCUGGUGUUAAGGUGGCCACUUGCUAUCAUGUAAGGGCGAGGAGAAGAAAUUUUCGGUAAUUGACCAUUGCUGGUGGUCAAGACGAGUUUAUUUGAAUCGCCCCAGGUAGCAGUGGAAUGAGCGUCCUGAGAUGCUCAUCGGACUUCUAGAGUGGGAGGAUCCCCGGCAUCACCGUCAGAGGUCCUUAGGACAAUGAGAGGUGUCGGUGGGCCCAAACACUUAGGAGGUUCUGCCACAGCUGGUAUCGGAGCAUUCGUUGCUAAGAUGACUGUUGUAUCCUUUGAAAAACUUCAAAAUCAUUUGGAUCUAAUGCUAUAAACUGGCCUACUUUGAGUCCAAGUGCUUUAGUCCUAACUUACCCCUGUCUGUAGGCCUUCUUAGAAUUUUUGAAGUGGUUGGGAGGAGCAACAUAAAGUAUUGCCCUAUGUUGUAAAAUUUUGAGUAUUAUCGUUGUGAAUCGUUAGUAGGAAUCGUAAGUUCGUGCAUGCAUCAUGAUGUAUUAAUUGGUUAAGUUCCUUCCUCCUUGUUUGGUUGGGUGAAUAGAAUCAAUCCUAUUCUUGCUAACCUUUAAGGUCUCUCUUACUAAUCCAAACUUACCCUCUACAGGAUGGCCCGUUGGAAACAUACCCCGCGCAAGAGGACUGGUCCAAAAAGGGUCCCCAGACAUCAGUUGGCCCCGCGAAGUGAUCAAGCAAGUAGUAACCGUUCACCGCCUCAGCAGGAGGUGGACAGGUUGUCCGCCGAGUUGACCGAAGUGAUGAGAGAAAGGAUGUACAACGUCAUGGAGAUCGGCGAACUUAAAGCUCAACUAGCCAAAGAAAAACAAGCUACCGAGAACUGUGAGGCCAUGCUGUCCCGUAUGGUGGAGGAGAGGAAUGCCGCUAUUGCCCGAGAAGAAGAGGCCAGGAGCGCACACAGGCACGAGCUGACUAGGAUGAAUGCGAAGCUGGGCAAGGCCAGGUACCUUAAAGAUCUGUACGUGAAGAUGGGGGCCACGGUCACCGCGCAGCGGAAUGUCGCGUGGCAGCGGGAGGACCAGCUCCAGUUGGAGAAGCUGGAGCUGGCACAUCAUUUAGAUACCAUCAAUGACUUGGCAAUGCAAUAUCGUGAUGUUGCAUUUGACCUAUAUCACCAGCUCCAUCCACCUCCAGGCGAAGGAGAGAUGGACACGGAUGGAGAGUUGGCUGACAAUGGGGAACCCGAUCAACGCCUCAGUGAUGAAGAGGAGUCCGACCCUGAUGACAACAACCCGGGGGGUAAUCAGGAUGAUGGCAAUGAUGACCCGGGCUACAGCUCUGGCCACACCGACUAGUUCGGUGAAGCCGCGGGCAACGUCGUUGUAGGAUUCCUAGUUUGCCGUAGUGGGGUCGGGUUUGUAGUAUAAAGUUUUCUUUCAGUUUAAGAAGUUGUACUCAUUUAUUUUCAGUGUGUUGAACUGAUGUUGGAUAAAUAAAUGGAAGUAUGUAAGAUAUGUUCUAAGUUAUGAAUUUUAUGUGGUAACAAGUAUAUAUGACUCUUGUAGCAGAUGCCGAUGCGUACACGCGGAUCUGAUGGAGCUGGGACAUCUCAGGGAGGGGAUGAUAUCCCCAACCCUCCACCUGCUCCACCUUCCCUGGCUGAUGCUAUCGCUGUUCUUUUGAGUGCCACUACCGAUAAUGCUCGCUUGCUACGCGAGUUAGCACAACGUCAACCACACCCCGCCCCAAACUUUAGAGCACCGCACAAUGGGGACGGAGAAGCUCGGUACGUGGACUUUACCGAGACAAGGCCCCCGGUAUUCACUAAGGCUGAUGAGCCGUUAGAAGCGGAUGACUGGCUCCGGACUAUGGAGCACAAGUUCAGUUUGAUUCAGUGUUUAGAAACUCAGAAGCCCCUGUUCGCAGCUCAGCAGCUUCGGGGAGCUGCAGGUGCCUGGUGGGAGAACAUCCUAGCUAUCCAAGCUCCGGGACACCGGGUCACCUGGACCAAGUUUAAGGACGCGUUCCGCGCCCAUUACAUCCCUGAAGGGCUCAUGGCCAUGAAGGCCGAAGAAUUUCUCGCCUUGCAGCAAGGCGAUAAAAGUGUCAUGGAGUACGUGGCAAAGUUUAAUCAUCUCUCUCAAUAUGCCACAGACCAUGUGAACACGACAGAAAGAAGAAAGCCUGCUUCAUGCGUGGUCUAAAUACUAAACUUCAGACCAUGAUGACCACCUGCCAAAAGGCUACCUUCUACGAGGCGGUAAAUAUUGCCAUCACCUCAGAAGAAAAGAAUAGAAAGCACAAAGAAGCCAAGAAAAGGCUGCUUCUUCCUCCUUCUCUGGUCGCGGUCAAAAGCGCCAGAGAAUCAUUUAUCAUCCGCAGGGCCACGGACGUUUUCAAGCACCGUCACCUUAUCGUGGUCCCUUUUCCCCACCACAAUAUAGACCAGGGCAGCAGGUAUAUCCUCGACCUACUGCCAUCGCCCUUGCACCACGCGAGCCGAACGCCCCAGGUGUUCGCCCCACUGCUCCGCCCAGCCACAAUUACCCUUGUUUCAAUUGUGGUAAGCCUGGGCAUUUUUCCAAAGAGUGCCCCUACCCCCGCCAAACCAACCCCACCUUCCAAAGGCCACCUAUGGGCCAACCCCAGCCAAGUCAAUUCAGGACUGGGGCUCAGAAAGGACAAAACGUGCAAAGGGGGAAACCAGCGAAGAAAGUGGGACAAGUCUUCCAUACAGAGGUGGAGACGAUCCCGGAGGGUGAACCAGUAAUGAUGGGUACGUUUCCUGUCGCGAAACAUCCUGCUUUAAUGCUUUUCGAUUCUGGUGCAUCUCAUACAUUCAUCAAUCGCACCUUUGUGUUAAAGCAUGGCAUACCCAUUGGGGAAACACAAGAUCAUUUUUAUAUACAGUCGCCAGGAGGACGGCUGAGUUCUAAAGAAAUGGCUCACCAGAUGCCCAUCGAAUUUGGUGGGCAUAGUUUUCCCACUAGCAUGAUUGUUCUUAAAGACCAGGAGAUUGAUGUCAUACUAGGCAUGAACUGGAUGGCACAACGAGGGGUUGUGCUAGAUACUUUGCAUCGAACCAUUAAAAUACCAUUGCCCAAUGAGAAUUCCUAUCUGCUAAUUCAUUUAGUUACUCCCAAGCGGACAAUUGGGCAAGUUCAUGCCACUAAUGUGUCUGCAGUCAAAGAUAUCUCGGUAGUUCGGGAUUUUACGGAUGUAUUUCCUGAAGACCUACCAGGUCUGCCACCGGAUCGGGAUGUACAAUUCAGUAUAGAAUUGAAACCAGGGACAACCCCGAUAUCUCGAAGGGCCUACAGAAUGGCACCGAAAGAACUGGCCCAAUUAAAAGCCCAACUACAAGAGCUAUUACAGAAUGGUUUUAUUCAGCCUAGUUCUUCUCCAUGGGGUUGCCCAGCCCUGUUUGUGAAAAAGAAAGAUCAAACGUUAAGCCUGUGCGUCGAUUAUCGUCCCCUAAAUGAGGUGACGAUUAAGAACAAGUACCCAUUGCCCCGUAUUGACUUAUUAUUUGACCAGCUAGCCGGGGCCAAAGUGUUCUCAAAAAUUAAUUUGAGAUCAGGGUACCAUCAAAUUAAAAUUAGGCCGGAAGAUGUACCCAAGACAGCUUUUACAACCCGUUACGGGUUGUAUGAAUACUUGGUAAUGUCUUUUGGGUUGACCAAUGCACCGGCCCAUUUCAUGUACUUAAUGAACUCUGUCUUCAUGCCAGAACUGGACAAAUUUGUGGUCGUCUUUAUUGAUGACAUCCUGAUCUAUUCCAAGACUAAGAAAGAACAUGCUGAGCAUCUGAGAAUUGUGUUGACCCGUCUUAGGGAGCAUCAACUAUAUGCCAAGUUCAGCAAAUGUGAGUUCUGGCUGGACAAAGUUCAUUUCCUGGGUCAUGUAUUAUUAGCGGAGGGAGUCGGACCCAGGCAAAAUAGAAGAAGUGUUGAAUUGGAAGCCCCCGACUACGGUACAUGAGGUCCGUAGUUUUUUGGGUAUGGUGGGAUAUUACCGUCGCUUUAUCCCGGACUUUUCCAGAGUCACGAAACCCAUCACGACCUUGCUCAAGAAUCAAACGAAAUUUGUUUGGUCACCGCAUUGUGAGCAAGCCUUUCAGACUCUGAAAAGGUUAUUGACAACUGCACCUGUCUUAGCCCAGCCAGAUAUUGAAAAGCCCUUUGAUGUGUAUUGUGACGCAUCAGGGAUAGGGAUAGGCUGUGUGCUAAUGCAGGAGUGUCGCGUAAUUGCAUAUGCUUCUAGACAGCUUAAACCACAUGAAGAGAAUUACCCGACCCAUGAUCUUGAACUAGCCGCCGUAGUAUAUGCAUUAAAAAUCUGGCGCCAUUAUCUGUUGGGGAGCACAUGUCAUCUAUACACAGAUCACAAAAGCUUGAAGUACAUCUUUACUCAAGCUGAACUUAAUAUGCGCCAGCGAAGGUGGCUAGAGUUAAUCAAAGAUUACGACCUUGAGGUGCAUUAUCACCCUGGCAAGGCAAAUGUAGUAGCUGAUGCCCUCAGUCGUAAGGCUCACUGUAAUUGCUUAACAGUGACGCCUAGAGAUGUAACUUUGUGCCAAGAGCUAGAAAACUUGGGGAUAGAAAUGAUUUCCCAAGGAAGCCUUGCCAAUCUAAAGAUUGAUUUCAAUCUUGAAGCUCAAAUCAUAGAGGCACAAAAGGAAGACAAAGGCCUGAAGCAUCUUAAAGAGAAAAUUUCUAGUAGAGCACCCACAGACUUUAAGGUGGAUGCUGCAGGAGUAAUCUGGUUCAAGAACCGGUUAGUGGUUCCAAAGGUACCUGAGCUACGUCAACAAAUCCUGGAUGAAGCUCAUACCACGAGGUAUUCCAUUCAUCCAGGAAGCAAUAAAAUGUAUCAGGACCUGAAGCAAAGGUUUUGGUGGACGAAAAUGAAGAUAGAAAUAGCCCGUUAUGUGGCCCAAUGCGACACCUGCCGAAAAGUCAAAGCUAUUCAUCUCAAAUCCACUGGAGAGUUGCAACCCUUGCCUAUUCCAGCAUGGAAAUGGGAUGAUAUUAGCAUGGACUUCAUAGUAGGAUUGCCCAAGACGGCCAAAGGCUUUGAUUCUAUUUGGGUCAUUGUGGAUCGUCUCACCAAAACAGCACACUUCUUACCUGUAAAGACAUCGUAUCAUACUUCCACCUAUGCUCAGAUCUAUUUUGAUCGUAUACUAAGUCUGCAUGGGGUGCCAAAGACAAUAGUGUCAGAUAGAGGCACACAAUUUGUCUCCCAGUUCUGGAAAUGCUUACAUGAAUCUUUGGGCACCAAACUUUUAUACAGCACCGCCUACCACCCUCAAACAGGUGGGCAAACUGAAAGGGUGAAUCAAACCCUAGAAGAUCUAUUAAGAUCUUGUGCCCUGAAUUUUCCAGAUAAGUGGGAUGACUGCUUGCCUCUAGCAGAAUUUUCUUACAACAAUAGCUACCAAGAGAGUAUCAAGAUGGCUCCCUUUGAGGCACUAUAUGGCCGUCGAUGUCGAACUCCGUUACACUGGUCGGAACCCGGGGAAAGGUGGUUCUUCGGGGUUGACUUAGUGAAAGAGACUGAGAACAAAGUUAGACAAAUCCAAAAUAACUUGAAAGUUGCUCAGUCCCGACAGAAAAGCUACGUCGAUAAAAGACGUCGACCGUUAAGAUUCGCCAAAGGUGAUCAUGUGUAUUUGAAAGUAUCCCCAAUGAAAGGAGUAAAUCGUUUUGGUGUUAAAGGCAAGUUAGCACCCCGUUACAUUGGUCCAUUUCCAAUCAUUGACCGAUGUGGACAGGUAGCUUACCGCCUUAAACUGCCCGAACGAUUAUCCGGGAUACAUAAUGUGUUCCAUGUGUCUCAAUUGAAAAAGUGUCUUCGAGUACUAGACCAAGUUCAAGAUAUUGAAGAUGUGGAACUUGAACCGGAUCUAACUUAUUCGGAGUAUCCUAUUCGAGUAUUGGACCAAAGAGAUAGAGUUACUCGAAGAACAACUACCAAGUGGUACAAGGUACAGUGGAGCCAGCACUGUGAAGAGGAAGCCACGUGGGAAUCUGAAGAUUAUCUGCUGGAGAAUUUUACUGAGUUCCACGCUUCUCUUCAGGACAACAUCUGAUAAAUAGGGAGUGUACUCUAGUGAAGGAAAAGAGUAGCCAAAGCCAUGUACUUUGUGUACAUAUAUGUUUAUAAUGGAGUGGUUUUUCCCAGCUUCUUGUUUUAUGAGAAAGUUGAAGAUAAAAGAGUUUUGACAAAUUUCCUUUUCCAUUACAUACCCUAAGGCUUUAAAUCUCGGGGACGAGAUUUCUUUAAGGGGGAAGGGCUGUAACAUUCCUGAUGUUACGGUUACUAAAAUUCGGAUCAUGGCAUCAUCAGCAUUGCACAACAUAGUUGUUAAGCACACCUUGAUGCAUCAACUUAAAAUGAGUUUAAUUUGGUUGAAUGUGCUUAGGGAUUUAAAGUGUGUUUAUCUUGUAUAUUGAUGCUUGAGUUGGUUGCUAAAACCCUAGGGUAGAGGAUUUCCGAAAGAUUAGGGGGGGAACCCUGAUUUUUGGACCCUAGAUUUGCCCCCUUUUGCACAAUUUUAAAACCAAGCAAAAUUUGAGGUUGAGUUCAAAAGCAAAGUUGUAGAUCUUGUCAAGAUGUAUAACUUUCGUGUUUUAAGUUUUUGAAGUUUCAAUACAAAAUUCAAAGUAAUUUUGAAAAUACAGAUUUCUAGAAAGUGUCCCCUUUUCUAAUUUGAAUCUCUAGUUCAAAAUAUAUUUGGAAUUUUGAAAAGUGACCAACAUGAAAGUUGUAGAGCUCAAAAAGUUGAACAACUUUCAUGUUGAGUGUUUUUCAAGUUGUUUAGGAAAAACAAAAGUAAUUUUGGAAAUUCUGAUCUGCCCCAAUUCAAAAAUUUGAAUUUCCCCAAAUUAGAUUUUGAAUUUCAAACUGUUUGGUCAAAAUCACCAUGUUUCACUCAAAAUUAGCUCUGGUCACCAAAAUAUGAUUUGCAGCUUAUAAAAUUUUGCACAACUUUUGUUUUGGUGGAAUUUUGGCUUUAGUUCAAAUUUUGGCCGAAUUUCACAAAAAGACAGAAUGAGGGGAUAUGGCUUGCUACAGUACUGGCAGGGGGGUGCUCUGCCGCCGGAGCAGAGCCGCUGCGCCCGGCGCCGCCACGCGCCUGGCCACGCAGCUGCUUGCUACUGUGCCUCGCGCGGACGUCCUCAUCUGCAACCCGCCCUCUGUCGCGUGGAUAAAGCCCCGGGUGGUCGGGGUAUUCCCUUUCUUCUCUUUGAGCCUCACCGCCGGCAGCCAGCAAUCGACGCCGAAAUUCACCGUCGCCUUAGCUUCUCCAUCCCCGAGCCCUUGCUCUCAACUCCGCCACGAACUCAGCAAUCGAUUGCGCCCCUGAGCGCAAGCGUUAAUCCCUCCUAGCCUACAACUGAGCUGUUUCCUCUCCAACUCCGGCCGAAGCGCCGCCGUAGGCACUCCACCGUGGCCAGCGUCACUCCGAGCCUCUCCACCGCCGCUCUGCGUCUCGUUGAAGUCGCGGUGAGCCCCUGCAGCUUAUGCGCUGGUUGGUUCGCGCUCUACUCGCUCGUCAUGGCCGGCGUUCGCUCGGCCGAGGCGGCCGUCCGCCGCACCCGUGGCCAUGGGGGCUAGGAUAGGAGAGAGUGGGUGCGAAGGGUGUCUAUGGGUGCGCGGGAGAUUGGGGAAGCUAACGCGUCUCACCGCGGGGGCCGAGAGCUCGCCGACGGCGUGCUCGAGCUCGUCGAAGCCGCGGCGCAAGGAAGAAGAAGGAGCUGACGGGUGGGGUCUUCCCGUCAGCGUCCUGCAGAGAGAGAAGGGGAAGGCGGGUCUGACGGGCGGGACCCGCCCGUCAGUGUCCGCGUGAGAGGGGGGGCAGCGUGCGCAGCGUCCACGUGGGCCGGGCGAGAGCGGGCCGAUUUCCCGGCCGCUCGCCGCGCAGUGUUUUUCUUUUUGUUCAGUUUUUGCUUUAAGUUUGAAUUUGUGUAUUAAAUUGUGUGCUGAUUCAAAAAUCAUGAAAAUUUUUGUAUUGGUUCCAUAAAAUGAGUAGAACACAGGAAAAAUAUUAGAUUUUAUUUUCUGGUAGUUAGCAUGUGUAUAAAAAUUACCUCUUUUAUUUAAUGAAUAAAACUUCUAGGAAUUUUAAUAAUUUAUUAGUAUGCCCAAAAAUCACCAAACUUUGUGGGGAGUCUCUGAAUAUUAUUUCCAGGUUUCACACAAAAUUUGGUGACAUUUGGAUAAUGUUUGAAUAAAAUAUUAUUAAACCCUUAUUUAGUAAUUAAAUAAUAAUUCUAGUAUAAUUAGAUGAUAAUUAGUUAAAUUCUCAAAAUUAGGGUUUGGGUGACUUUGGGCGGACCCUGUUGUGUGACCGUCGUCGAUGUUGACGACGAAGAAGAGUGAGCGUGACCCAUGGGCAGGGUCUGUAAAUUUGUAAUCUGUAUACUAAAGUUUAAGUUGCUCCGCUGGACCUGGUUUGUAAUAACACUCUGCUAUAUGGAAGAACUCCUUUUGUAAAAUAAGUUAUGUAAUACUUCCGCUGUUUACUCUGAAAUAUUAUUUUGGUCUUAUGUCGUCUGUGAUACUACAAUGUCUUCGCAACGAGUGAUCCUGGUGUUAAGGUGGCCACUUGCUAUCAUGUAAGGGCGAGGAGAAGAAAUUUUCGGUAAUUGACCAUUGCUGGUGGUCAAGACGGGUUUGUUUGAAUCGCCCCAGGUAGUAGUGGAAUGAGCGUCCUGAGAUGCUCAUCGGACUUCUAGAGUGGGAGGAUCCCCGGCAUCACCGUCAGAGGUCCUUAGGACAAUGACAGGUGCCGGUGGGCCCAAACACUUAGGAGGUUCUGCCACACCCCUGCUUCUCGGCCAUUUGGCAGAGCUCCAUGGAGCAGAUUCUCAGCGAGAGCUAAUUCUUUGCUGAUUCUGUGAAGUGAUUCUCUGAAAUGAACUAAGAGGCUGAGAGCUGAAAAAAGUAGCUUCACCUGAUUCUUAUCUAUAAUUAGCAUAUACUUUUCAAUAAAUUAAAGAGAUCUACAGUCUUGUACCUUAGCAUCCUGGAAGUAGUCAUCUCUUUUAAAGUUUCACCUGGUGACUUGUUGUUUGCUACCAUGUACCGUUUUAUUAGGAUGUUGCUCUGUACCGGACAAUGUUGCUUUUCUUAAAAAGUUGCUGUUUGCAGGUGAUGUUUGUUUUCACAUUGGUGUCACACUUUACACACAACUCUUUUUAAUCAAGUGUUUAACUGGAAUCCUAAAGUUACAAAGCUAGGCAAAAGGAAUUGCUACAGGUCAUAACUUAAGUUGCUAUACUUAACGUUGCCUUACAAGAUAAAAAGCACAUCAGUUGCUUUACAAUUUUUUAUCAGUUGCUUUACAAUGUUUCACCAUAUUGUUAGUGAGUAGCCUUUCUGCUACAGAGUCCAUUGCAGCUAUGUGGCCAACUAAAUCUUGAGUUGAGCAAUCUUCUGGUAUACCCUCACCAACUCGAGUAAGAUCAAGACAGGGGAAGGAAGCUCUCACUGAUCCUAGUGCUUGUGAAGCCAAAGUUCUAGCUGUUGUCUUAUUACUUGGAUCAGGCCAGGCACUUGUUCCAAGAUGGGCUUGGAAACUUCAUUCUCAGACGAUCUAGAGGCCACUUGGAGAAUUGAGGUGGCAGUCACCUUGAUUUCUUCUUUUUCUACUAUGGACUUCUCCAAGCGAGUACUCAGAUUCCGCAUCCGCUGUCUAUCAUCAUCUAGUUGAUUAUCAGCAUCCUGGCACAUCUUCCGCUCUGACUCUAAUUCUUCUUUGAGGGCCUUCACUCUCUGAAGAGCUUGGUCCAGCUGGUGCUGAGUGUCUUAGUGGAGAUUCUUUGAGUUGGUCAAUGCUUCCUUGAUUGUGGUCUCAACUUGAACACGCUCUGAAGUACAUAAGACUACAUCAGCAUCAUUUGGGAUGAGUAGAUCAUAACCUCGAAAUAAAGAAUUCUAACCUUUUAGAGAAGCCGAUAGCUCCUUGUUCUUCUCCUUUAGAGAGUCAAGUUGUUCCUGGAGGACAGCAACGGCAGCCUGAUGAUCUUUUUCUUGUUUUGCAUAGCGCUCUUGUUCCUCAACCGACUUUGCUUCAGCAGACUCUGCCUAGGCGAGUAGUUGUUGGCUGGGUUGUUUCAGAAGUGCCAAUUGCUGCUUUAUUAAUUGUUCAACAGAAGUCUGGCAUGCACCAAGACAAGUCAGCAAUAUAAGUAGAUGGCAGUACAGAUACAGUUUCUUAAAAUACAUUGAUACAUAUACUAACCAUAUCAUCAUUAUAUUUCUUCCCCAACUCCAUUGUCUGAGUCAGUGCUUCGUACUUUGUGGCCAUGGGAAGCGCUGCACGUGAGGAAGUAGUCAACAUGGGAAGAUCUUUGGGCAUCUUAUCUUCACUGGCUGAUACAUCGCCAGGUGGGAAAGUACUCGGCUCAGUGACUACAGAGGUAGUCAGAUGCUGUGGGGCUUCUACUGAGGAAGAUGACGCUGCACCAGUAAUCCGGGAUGUUGCUGCUCUUGAUACAGAUUUCCUAAGAGCAAACAUGUUAUCACUCAGUACAUUUGCAGAGAAAGGAAGAAUGCGGAUAUUGAAUUUAAGUACACUUACUGCUCAGAUUGCAACAACUCGAAGCAUGGGCGAGGAGGAGCAGGAACAACUUCUGCAGAUUGUCCUUGCGAGUCCUAGAGGGGGACCUCGAUCUGCAUCCCCUCUGACAGCAACAUGUCUAUGGCUCGUGGCUCUUUAGGAAUGGUGCUUGAAACUUUAGGUUCUGAUACUUUUGGUCUGGCAAGCUGGUCCUCAUGCGAAGAAUGGAGCCUCUUCUUUGAAGGAAUGUGACUAGGAGACAAAUCAAGGUCCCUCUUCCAUACUUCGUCUACUGCUUGUGCAGAUGCAGGCCCUAUAACAUGUGGUACUUUUGAUCCGGCAAGCUGGUCCUCGUGUGAAGAACAGAGCCUUGGAAUGUGACUAGGAGACAAAUCAAGGUCCCUCUUCCAUACUUCGUCUACUGCUUGUGCAGGUGCAGGCCCUACAACAUGUGGUACUUCGGAUCCGGCAAGCUCGUCCUCGUGCGAAGAACAGAGCCUCUUCACUGAAGGAAUGUGACUUGGAGACAAAUCAACGACUGCUUGUGCUUCCUCUACUGCGGCCUUUACUAUGAUAUCACUUGCGAGUUACACAUCUAUAUUUAGCUGGCUGCACCCAGAUGGCGACAGUCUGUUCAUAGAUUUGAAGCUACAAAUUACUUUAUCAAGUUCCAGGUCAGCACGAGCAUCAAAGAAACAAGAACGACCUUUUGCAUCUUGGACUAGCUCGGACCAUACUGAUUUACUCUUAGUGAGAGUUUUUUUCAUUUCCAAGAAUCCACAGGCAAUCCCUGUGGGGAAAACAAUUUAUUUAAAUAAAAGAUAUACUGGGAGAUAAAUUUUCAAAGGAUCCAAAGGCAGUUGCGAAAAGGAAAUAAUGUACUAUACCUUGCUCUUGUCAAGGCCACAUUAGCUCUCCCACAAGAAUCUAGAAAGCCUAUUUUCCCAAAUUUAUUGUUUCUAACUGUUGAAAGUAUUAUGAUAUCCUUCUCAUCACCUUGAAAUGAAUCAACAGUUUUAACUUCAACAGAAAGAAGCUCACCCAUCUGAAUCCUGCCAAUAUUUUCUUUCAAAGCAAUCACUUGGGAUGCAUAAAGAGAUAUAACACCAAUGGUGGCUUUCUUAUUCUAGUCGGUACAUGCUGCAGUUGUAGACCAAAUAUACAUAGAUGAGCCCUAAUCUAAUUGGAUUUAGUAAAACUCUUCAAUUUACAGACUAUACCUUUAGAAAGCUUGGAAACAAUAGUGGCUGCUACAGCAGCUUCAACCACAUUUUGUACACUCUGACCAGUCUGAUGUUCUAUAGCAUACUCAACAUUAAUGAAUGAAUAAUUGCCAAAAAUAUCACCAAUAAAAAUCUUGGCAGACGUCUUUUCAGUGGCAUCUAUAAUUGUUUCAUCAUAAAAAACUUUCAUUGGCAACCUGCUGAUGUCAGGGUGCAUUCUAUAUUGCACAUUUAACAAGUGCUUAUGCCAACCAAUUUCACACAAUCUCUCAAAGAGGCUUCGUCCAUACUUAGCCUCUUUAGCAAUCUAUACAAUUAGCAGCGAGGAGGAUGAGCAAUCUAGAAAUUAGGAAAUAAUCACUGAUUACAUAAGGAUACAUUCAAAUGGCAUUAUAAGGAAGACUUACCUGGCUCUUUACCACUGAUUGGAGCUGCAAGUCAUCCCCAAUAAGCACCAGAUGUUUUAUCCCAUUAAUUGAGAGAGGGACCAUUGACUCACAUUCUUUUAAAUAUGCUGCCUCAUCAAUAACCAAUAUAUCAUAUUGCUCAUUGUUCAACCUAGCCGACAUGAAUGGAGUGCAAAAUACAAGUUGUGAAGCUUGCAACAACAUUCUCUCUUGAUUUCUAUGAUUCAUAUCCCCAUUUGUAUCAAUAAGAUUCUUCAAAAAUAUUUUUGACAGGGUUUUAUCCGUCUUCUUCCAACAUGAUGAGAGCUUAUCGCUACCAAACAAAAUAAUGUUGCCAAGUAAAUGUUUGGUUUCAGUGGACUUGUCAACUAGAGAAAUAAGGCGAGAAGCCAAUUGCACGAGAGCUGUGUUUGUUGGAGCACAUACAAGAAUUCUAAGUUUGCUCGGAAUCAUUAGAAGCUUACACAGAAUCACUGAAACUGUUUUAGUUUUUCCUGUGCCAGGUGGGCCCCAAAUUAGACGUACAGAAGAUUCCCCAGAUUUAAUUGCUGAAAUGCAACUUGCUACUGCAUCACUCUGUGAUUCGUUUAGUCCAAAAUCAACACGGACAGCCUCAACAACUUUUGCUUUACCUUCAAAUAUUCCACAUUCUCCAUCAGCCUACAGCAUAUAUUAAAAAAUGUCAGUGCGCGAUGCAAAGCUUUUCUCAAAUUAAGAGAGAAAUGUCAGGACAUACUCCAUUCAUAUUUUUAGUCCAUCUGAGAUUGCAUAGUUCAGAGCUUUUUCUAGGACAUUUCAUGACUUCCCAACUACUUAAAUAUGUAUUCAGAUUAGCCAGGUGCAUAAUUUGGUAGUAACUUUUCUUCUUCAUUUUCCCAAAUUUCCACUGCGAUAGCCUGACAAUCAUGUCUGUAGUUGACACAUGUAAAACCACAAGGAUGGUGCAAAAGGAUCUGCUAUGUAUAAUUUGGUCUCUAGAUCCCAAUCCCUCUGCUGAUAAUAACAUGACAUCUUCCAUUUUUGGCGCAUUGCCUUCUUUUGUAUUGCCCUUGAUUCGGUACACAUUAGGAGUUUCUGAAUGCUUCUCAGAGCAAGGCACACAUUGGCAUCUAGAAAUGGUAUCCAUGCCUGAGUUUAUUUUAUCCCAAAUUUCCUGUAACAUUGGAAUGCGAAAUGCUUCUUUGUAGUCAUCCCAGGCUUUAAAUUCAUUUGGGAUCAUCUUCGGUAACUGUAACAACAUGGCAACCUUGAAAUGGAGAUGUUUUUUUAGGUUCAAAAUAAGGAAUGUUGCCGGUUGGGAGAGGCUCAUUACCUUAACAGGGUUGUCCUGAUUCAAUAUAUCCAUAAUAGGCCAUGACAACACUUCUAUGUAAAGAUCAUUAACAUCUCCAUGUAGCCCCACCAUUUUAAUGUCUGCGAAAGCUGCUAAGUAAACAAUUCAGAUAUUCAUGAAAUUGGAUUUGACUCUCAACAAUUAAGAAAUCAGGUGCAAGCUACCAAUGGCUACCCAUGUGCAAGCCGGCCAGAACAAGUACAAAUUACUGAAAUUGAUGAAAUAACUUGCAACGUUUCUUCGCUGCCCUGCUCGCCGGGUAGCUAUAGUGCUGCUGGGUGCUUGCUGCUCUACUCCACAACUCCGGAGAGUCCAGAGAGUCCACAGCCACUGCGCUCAGCGUCCCUGAAUCCGCCACUGGUCAGGGCUCGAUUGGAGCUUGGGGGAAAGAGAGAGGGUGGGGCUGGAUUAGGGCUGCAUUACGGACCUGGUCGCGCGCCGGUCGUCCACUCCGCCGUGUGAGUCCGCCGACUCCGAGUCCACCGCGUGAGUCCGCCGACUCCGAGUCCACCGCGUGAGUCCCAACAGAUUCAACUUCACCCCUGCCGAUCACCGUUCCUCGCUUGGGUGAUAACUAGCAAAAUUGCCCGUGCAUUGCAACGGGAUUAAAAAAUAUAUUAAUUUUAUUUUAGUAUGAAAAAAUAUGUUUUAUUUUUUUAAUUUAUUUUAUAUUAACCGUCACAUCUAUAAUAUAAGUUAAUGCUUACAAUAAAUUACAAGUUCCUAUUAAACAUGUAUCAAAUUAAAAUACACCUUGGCAUUUUUUUCUUCUAAUGCGUUGGUCCCACAGUCACAAAAGUUCCCGGUUCGGAGGUAUGGUGGACGCAGUACAUGGAUUAAUAAUAAUUUUAAGUUCCCGGUUCGUAGGGGGUUAUACCUCUUCGGGUACCCAAAGUUGCGGGUAGUGUUUUUUCAAGACUAACAUCGGGUAGCAGUUUUCAUUACCUGAACUUUGAAUACCCGACCCGAAAAAAUCGGGUAACCCGAACGCCCAGGCUGAGGUGCAUAGCCCUAGCCAGCCUUCCACAGUAACACUUGGUCAUGUUUGCUUCGGUCAUGUCCAUGAUUCCUUCUAUCCUUAGUGAAAAUAAGGAAUCUCGUGGGAAAUAGGAAAAAGUACUUCAUACCGAAAUGUAACCCUACAUAUAACUCUAUGAUGACUUGAACAAACUAUGCAUUAUGGAUGUGGCUUGAUAGGAUUUACCCCGGGCUGACUACUUAGAUCUAUUAAAAGUAAAGGAAACUAGUGGGAUAAGACAUAAAAGUACUCCGUACCUAUAUGAUAAGAGGAAAAAGUACUUUGUACUCUAUAUGUAACUCUUAUAUGACUUAGACAAACUACACACGAUGAAUUUGCCUUGCUAGGUUUAGCUUGACCGCCUACUUAGGGUUCGAGUGUUUAGGGUUUCUUCUAUGGGUUUUUUUGGAUUGAUACCACUGCAAUUUUACAAGUUUGGAGAAAUACCAUCACUAUUCGUCUAUUUGGAAACAUGUCAUUAUAAUUUUUGCAUAGCUUAUUCUCUUGACAUGCAAGGGGUCCACCUCAUCCCAUUAUUAUUUGUACAAAUCAUCCACUAACAUACAUUUAGUUGUACACAUCAACAUGACAUGCUAACAUUAAUUUAUAUAGCUUAAAAAAUAAUAUGAAUGGUUAAAUUAUAUUCAAAAUCAAUAGUCUCCAUGGCAACGCGCAGAGACUUCUCCUAGUUCUUUAGAUUUGAGAAGUAUAUAUGGCAGAACAUAAAAAUCCAACCAUUGAGACCGAGCAUGCUCUUUGUCUUCUUCUAGAUCUAGACGAGGUGGACACCAGCACCCAUGGCGCCAGCAACACUGCCAUGGAGCCCGUCACCAUGUCGCUGGCCUAUGAGCUCCAACGAGCAGGUGGGAGGGUGCAUACCCCCUAGCCAGCCUUCCACAGUAACACUUGGUCAUGUUUGCUUCGGUCAUGUCCAUGAUUCCUUCUAUCCUUGGUGAAAAAUAAGGAAUCUCGUGGGAAAUAGGGAAAAGUACUUCAUACCUAAAUGUAACCCUACAUAUAACUCUAUGAUGACUUGAACAAACUACACAUUAUGGAUGUGGCUUCAUAGGAUUCACCCAUGGCUGACUUCUUAAAUCUCUUAAAAGUAAAGGAAAUUAGUGGGAUAACACGUAAAAGUACUCCAUACCUAUAUGAUAAGAGGAAAAAGUACUUUGUAUUAUAUAUGUAACUCUUAUAUGACUCAGACAAACUACACAUGCAUUUAUGGAUGUGGCUUGAUAGGAUUUACCCCUAGCUGACUACUUAGAUCUAUUAAAAGUAAAGGAAACUAGUGCGAUAAGACAUAAAAGUACUCCGUACCUAUAUGAUAAGAGGAAAAAGUACUCUGUACUCUAUAUGUAACUCUUAUAUGACUCAGACAAACUACACACGAUGAAUUUGCCUUGCUAAGUUUAGCUUGACCGCCUACUUAGGGUUCGAGUGUUUAGAGUUUCUUCUAUGGGUUUUUUUGAUUGAUACCGCUGCAAUUUUACAAGUUUGGAGAAAUACCAUCACUAUUCUUCUAUUUGGAAACAUGCCAUUAUAAUUUUUGCAUAGCUUAUUCUCUUGACGUGCGAGGGGUCCACCUCAUCCCAUUAUUAUUUGUACAAAUCGUUCACUAACAUACAUUUAGUUGUACACAUCAACAUGACAUGCUAACAUUAACUUAUAUAGCUUAAUAAAAUUAUAUGAUGGUUAAAUUAUAUUCAAAAUCAAUAGUCUCCAUAGCAACGCGCGGGGACUUCUCCUAGUUCAAAUUAUAAGAGUUGAAAUUUGAAUGUGUCACCCUGCUCAACAUAAUAUUCAGUGACAGAUGCUCACUACUAGACACCACUACAUGGGUAGUGUUUGAACAAAUGCCCAGUAAGAGAAUGAAUUCAAAUUUUGUAUACCUACUUGAAAAUAUAAUAUAUUGUUACUGUUAUAACUUAAAUUUCAUAUUUGCAAUUGAAAUUGAACUUCAAAUUUGUGGAUUCUUGAACUUUAACUUGAACUUGGAUCUGGUCAAGUGGAAUAUUAUUUAUAUUUGUCUUGUGCUCUUGGCUGGCUGGUUCACUCUUUUUCCUCGAAUUCAGAGUUUUUAACACGAAUUUGGUAUUCACGAAUCGAAUUCAAUGUUCGUGAAAAUUUCGAGGUUUCAUUUUGGGUUGGUGUGCACUUCUUUUCAUGGAAGAAAUUUUGAAUUCACGGUAAAAGUACGAAUCGGAUAAAAAAAUAUGAAUUCAUGGAGAAGAAACAAUAAUCGAUGGAGAAAAACAUGAAUUCAUGUCUAAGAAAUGGGAAUCUAGUGAAAAAACACGAAACUCACAUAAUUUCAUUUGAUGAUUCAAGUUUUAAACUCAUGAUCCAAUCAUAAGCCACACAUAGGCACAUAGCAGCAGGAAUAAUAGUCAUCUUAUCCAUACUAACCAACAUCACCUACAAUCAAACUGGCCACCAUAACACUGAGUUUAGGCCAUUAAGGCAGCCAGACCAACAUUACAGACCAAGUUCAUCAAUUGACCAACAUUACAGACCAAGUUCAUCAGUUGACCAACAUUACAGACCAAGUUCAUCAGUUGACCAACAUUACAGGCCUAGUUCAUCAAUUGCAUAGUCUGAAACUAAUCACAUUCCAAACUUUCCCACAAAUUUUGGACCUUUUACCACAACGUUUGGAGACAUGAUCAACCAAGUUCAUCAGUUAACCAACAUUAUAGGCCAAGUUCAUCACUUGCAUAGUCUGAAAUUAAUCACGUUCCAUACUUUCCCACAAAUGUUGGACCUUUUUCCAGGACUUUUGGAGAGAUGAUGAUUCAUUCGCCUGAUGAAACAGAACAUAAUCCAGAACUGACAUCACAUAAUCAGUACACCAUGACUGCAAAGAGGAAUAACAGAGAGAGAUUAGACACAAGUUCAUGGCUGGCAAAAGGAGAAUCAAGCCAGAACAAACUAACCGUUUUAGUAAUAAUCUCCAUAAAGGAUGAACCACCGCCGUAGCUCUCAAUGAAGCUCAUUGCAAGCAGUAUGGCAUCGGCUGAGGUUUCCGGAACUUCAACACUUUGAGACUUCCAUUGACUAAAAUAUAGUUUACCUGAUACUAUGUUUUUGUUCAUGUUUUCUUCAACUAAUUCUGCCAUAGUUUCUGACCAAAAAUCCAUGGCAGCCUCAUGAGCAUUGCUACUCAACACUUCCGCAAUCCCUUGAGGCUUGUUCACACAAAAUAUGAUCCAUUUAUCAUCAUGAAGGAUUGGAAGAAAUAUCUGGAAAACAAGCAUAUCAAAAAGUUUUUGCAGUUAAGCAAUUCAGGGGAAUAAAAACCUGAUAUGUGCAAGUUAAAAUCAAAAUCUGAUGGAUGCAAGUGAAAUUCAAAGUCUUACAAGUGCAAGGUUUCGUGGGAAGGGUUUGGGUGUUGCUUCUCGGCAUAUCUUCAUAACUUCAUCUUUAUUCUCCUUAAAGAUGGACUGAUGUCAAGGCAAGAUAAACAUCAAAUUAAUUUCGUAAUAGAGAACGUCAAACUAGUUUCAAGUGGAAAACAUACCGAGGCCAUUGGUGGGAAAAAUAUCCUUUCUCUUCUUUUAUUUUCCUUGUCAUCAACCGUCAAGCAAUGUAUGAAUGCCUUGAGGAAUUCAAAGCUUGCCAUGGGAUCUCUCAAGAAGGAAUUUAAUUGAACUUUGGUAAUUGAGACACCAUUCAUAUUUACAAACAGCUCAUCCCUAUCAAAGUCGCAAUUCAAAAGAUGAGGAUUGAGUUAGAAGAUAAUUUCUUGAAGGACCAAAAUAAGUCUUUAGAGACUUACCCUUUGCACUUGGUUUUGUAGUUCAAAAUAGCCUCAUGUAACCAUCUAGACCUGCUUCCCGGUGGCUUUGUGUAUAGGGUAACUUUAGUGAUGUGCUCUUUCCAAUUUUUCAUGGGCCUGGCAUCAUUUGGUAUCUUUUGUUCUAAAGAAGGUGAGGUUUUUUGUUGUUUCUGAUGUCUCCUUGGGGGCCUACCAGAAGGUUUCUUUUGUUCCACAGGAGGUGAGGAAUCAGGUGCGAUGUCUGAAUCUAGAUGAGAGCUAGUUUGUUUCUGAUUUCUCCUUGGGGACCUACCAACAGGUUUCUUUUGUUCCACAGGAGGUGAGGGCUCAGGUUGAUUUCUCCUUGGGGGCCUACCAGCAGGUUUCUUUUGUCCCACAGGAGGUGAGGGCUCAGGUGCGAUGUCUGAAUCUAGAGGAGAAGUCAACACUUGGCCUCUGGGGCAAUCGAUCUUGGACGUCACAUGCUUCCCAUACAGUUUAUCCAUUUCAGUGCACAUUCAUUCACUUUAGUCAAGAAUGCUGAAAUUUUUGACUUAGCAGCAUCAUUUGGAGCGUAUGGAUAGACUUCAAGAAAGCAUCUAUUGCAAAUCUUGAAAAAUUGGGAAAUCCAUCUCUGCCACUGCAUCCGGUACUCCUUCGCUGUACUUCACAGUUGACAUCCUUUGAGACUGUAGGUAGUCCAUUUCCCUUGAGAACUUAUUACAACACAUUGAGGACUCAUCAUAACAUGUAUCCUCCCUUGCUUUCAACUGAAAAGGUAAAUUGAACAAACCUUAUAGAAAGAACUAAAUAUCUUGCCAUUAAGAGGUAUGAAAACCAUUUUUAAAAAGGUUUUGGGCAAUGACAUAGCCUCCAAAAGGGAUAUAUAAAUAGUAAGAUCAUGAUGUAUUAACGUUUCUAGAGAAAAUAUAAUUUCCACACUAUGUUUUGCCAUUUUUGUGCUAUCUACCUCCUAUGUCAAUGUUAAGAAUAAGAAAUGCGUGCUAGUACUGAACAUUUCCAAGUGAAACUGAGGAGGGUGCAAUGCAACUGUUUCAGAGUUUCAGAGGUGAUCCUAUGAAAACCAUACCUCUUCACACGAGUAAAACUUAGCAAGAUUCUUUGUACUUACGUGAAACUUGUCAAAUACAAUCUUGCCGCUUCUGCGCCGCCUAGCACUAGCAAUCAUUUUAUUCACAAGUUCUGUAUCAUAUUGAUUAAUUCUUUGACAGGUUUUGAUAUGCUUCUCCUCAUUCCCCCCAUUCUCGUCAGACAUUACAGGAAUCACCAUGUUGUCAACAAAGUAUAUCCGCCAACCAGAAUAUAUACUAUUCAUAAACAUGGCUUUAAUAAAUAAAUAAAAAAGAACCAAUGAAAAAAAAGUAGAGGUAGAUGCUUACCAGUAGCAUUAUAGUACAACUAGAGAUACACCUUGACUUCCUAUCCUUUAUCCCCAACUUCUUAAGGGCAAUAACUUUUCUUUCCACUCAGUGAUAGCAAGCCUAAAAUUUUCAUAAACAACAACAAACCAGUCGAAGUCAUUAAUUGUGGUCAUAUCCCUAGUGUACAUGACCGCAUUUAUAUUGAUCUUUGGGCUGGUGCUAGGCAGUAGAAAUUUGCUAAGUAGUAUAAGAAAAAACAUUUGAUCCUCAAAUGUUUCUCCUUAGAUUUCCUAAUUAUGUCCAUUAUUUUCUCAACUGACAAUGUAUCAUGCUUGUCCAUACCAAGCUCACAGCGCAACUUCCAGAAUUCUUUGUGUUGGCUGGAUGUGUACUUCAGCGGGCAAUUCUUGCCACGAGGAAGUCCCAAGAGCUGAAAUAUGACAUUAGGUGUGAUGUACAAAGUCAAACCUCGCCAUAUGUGUAUUGCUAUCCGGUCCUUUUCAAGAACUGCUACUCUGAGCAGCCAAUCUACAACUUGUCAUUUAGAAAUAUUUCCCACCGUCAGCUCCAAAAAGGUUCCGAAUCCAAGCCUCUUGACCUCCUGACGCUCAGCUUCAUCAAGUAGCGUCACCACUUCCUGCACCUCCUUAGGCUUACAACCAACAUCAAGAUUGAAAUCAUCACAACACUCAUCCUCAUCUUCUGAUGACCCCCCUUGGAAUUUGGAGUGUCCACCCUUUCUUCUGUGAGGUCCUUUGUCUCUAUUACCCUAUAAAAAACAAUGAUGAAACAGUGACCAGCAAAUAUAUGCACUAUUUUCAGCAUCAAUUAUUAUUGACUGACUAUCUAGUUACACUUAUUGAGCAUGAGUUCAUUAAGCAUACCUUAUAAAUUGAUUCAGAAGCGUGUGACGCCUCCGAUCCCCUUUGGAAUUUAGAGUGUCAUCUCUUUUUUCUAGGGGGUCCUUUGUCUCUAUUUCUCUAUAAAAACAAUGAUGAAACAGUGACCACACAGCAUUCUCCAAAUCACGCAUCAGCCUAGCAGGUACAAUUUGUACUAAACGCCUAUUGAAUUGAGGAUUUUAAAUUCCUUUCGUUUACUUUUUCAUGCAAUAAAUUAAGAAAGUGCUUCUCCAAGAUCACACAUACGUGUACAUGCAUAUAUGUAUAUAGAGAUGAUAGUUCAAUCACCAAUGAGGUAUUCAUGAAGAACCAUAUUCAAGAGCAAACAACCCAGAAGGAGGAAUUACACAAGCAAAAAAUGGCCAAACCUCAAGCUACUCGUGCAAGUGCAAGAAUUCAGGAUAAUGGACAAUCUAUUCUGGAAAAGGCUAUUGCCAGGAAAGCAGGUCUUGAUUCUAAAGGUACUAUCCCAACUAAUUCCAAAUCUCACUAUGCUAGUUCCAACCAUGUUGAUAUAGUUUCUAGAGCUUGUGGUAUUAAUAUGGUAAUGAUGAUAACAUCAGAACAGCCAAUAUUUCUUUAAUUCAAGCAAAAGAGGAAGCCUUAUUAGUAUUAUAGAAGGCAAAACAUACAAUAAAGUUGAGUUCUGAUAGAGAUAAGAAGGAUGACAAUGACCCUGAUGGUUUAGAGUUAUAUACAAUAGAGAGUUCUGAUAAUUGUUUAGAGAUAAAGACUGAGCCAGAGCAAGGAGUUCAUCACAUCUCAAAUGAUAUUAGGGCCCGUUUGGAUCUAUGGAAUUGAAUUCAUUUUUGGAAUCAUAAUUUAGAAGGAGAGAGCUAGACAGGUUUGCUGGUAGAAGGGAGAAGAAAUUUAUUAGUAGAGUUAGUCAACAGACAUGAGUUUGAUUGCAUUUAUUUACAAGAAACUAUAAAAUCAGAAUUUAGAAGGAGAGAGCUGGACAGGUUUGCUGGUAGAAAACAUAUGGAAUGGUCAUGGGUACCCUGUUCAGGUCAUUCUGGAGGUAUGCUAAUGGGAAUAGAUAAAUAGUUAGGCUGGAUUUCUGAGACUGACCAGGGAGAAUUCUUCCAAUGUGCCAAGAUUUCAUCCUACAUUGAGGAGUUUGACUGGAUGUUGAUUAACAUUUAUGGACCAGCACAUGAUGAGAGAAAAAGAGAUUUUUUAGAGGAGAUCCAAACAAAAAUGUCAAGUUUGGACUUGCCAAUAAUUGUUUGAGGAGAUUUCAAUUUGGUGAGGAAAAGAAAAGAGAAAUCUACUGGGAAUGUUGACAUUCAUCUGAUGGAUGCUUUCAACAAUAUGAUAAACAGUACUGCUCUCAAAGAAUUACAGAGGUCAGGAAGUAGAUACGCUUGGUCCAAUAAACAGACUCCACCUAUCCAAUGUGUGUUAGAGUUCUGGUAAAUAACUUGUGGGAUGAUAAAUUCAAUUUUGCUUCAGUAUCUACAGGCGAGAGAGUGGGAUCAGACCAUAAUCCUCUUUUUGUUAGCACUGAAGGAAUACAUACUCCAAAGCUAUUCUAUUUUCGGUUUAGUGCUCAUUGGCUUAAUCAAGAUGGAUUCUGUCAAUGGGUCAGAAAUAAAUAGCCAAACAGAUACAAAUUUGACCCUAUGGAUCAUUGGCAUGCUGUUUCUGGUAAACUCAGAAGAGCAAUAAAAGGAUGGGGACAAAACUUUGACAGUCAACAGAAGAGAUAUAAACAACAACUGCUGAAAAGAAUUGCGGAUCUAGAUGAUACUAGUGAAACUAGAGCUCUAGUACAUAUUGAAUGGAAAGAGAGGUAUGAUCUGGAAGUAGAGUUACAAUCAAUACUGAUAGAUGAUGAGAAACAACGGCAAAGAAAGGGUGGUGAGAGAUGGAUGCUGGAAGGAGAUUCAAAUACAAGCUAGUUUCAUAAAUGUGCUACAGGCAGAUUGAGGAAAAAAACAAAUAAACUUUCUUGAAGAUAAGAAUAUUAUGAUCACUGAUCCAAAGCAACUGAGAGAUCAUGUCACUGAAUACAACAAAAAAAUUAUUUGGACCAGCUGAAACUGCUGAUAUGCAUCUUGAAUCAGAUAUGUGGUCAGAGAAUGAGAGAUUAUUAGACUCAGAAAAUGAAUGGUUGACAAGACCUUUCACUUUAGAGGAGUUGGAUCACGCCCUAAAAGAAAUGAAGAACAACACAACACCAGGACCUGAUGGUUUCAGUGUAGAGUUUUUCAAAGCCUUUUGGCUAGAGAUUAGGGAAGACAUAAAGGAAUUGCUGGAUCAUUUGCAUGCAGAUCAGUUGAGUUUAUGGAGGCUAAAUUAUGGAGUUAUAAUCCUUCUCCCAAAAGUGAAACCAGCAACACACAUAAAGCAGUUCAGACCUAUUUGUUUGCUAAAUGUCAUAUAUAAAAUCAUUACCAAAGUGCUAACCAUCAGGCUUACUAGAGUUAUUGACAAAUUGAUCAGUCCCUUUCAAACAGCAUUUAUUCCUGGCAGAUAUAUUCUAGAGGGGAUUGUUAUAAUUCAAGAGGUACUACAUGAGCUCAAGUCAACAAAAGGAACUGGAGUUAUUCUGAAAUUAGACUUUGAGAAGGCUUAUGAUAAAGUAAGCUGGAGCUUUCUAAGAGAGGUCCUUAUUAAGAAAAGAUUUUAACCAGAAGUGGAUAAAUUGGAUUACACAAGUUGUCGAAGGGGGUAGAGUCUGCAUUGAUCUAAAUGGAGAGAGAGGUCCUUUUUUCAGAAGCUUCAAAGGUCUAACACCCUAUCCCCCCUACUUUUUAAUUUGGUAGCUGAUGCUCUCUCCAGAAUGCUGACUAAAGCCACAGAAGCUGGAAUUAUUAGAGGUCUAGUCCCAAAUCUUGUGGAAGGUGGUUUGACUCAUCUCCAAUAUGCAGAUGAUACGGUUAUCUUUCUGGAGUUUUCCACCGAAAAUUUACAGAACAUAAAACUGAUACUAUCUUGUUAUGAUGUUAUGUUAGGAAUGAAAAUAAAUUUUGAGAAGAGUGAAGUUUUUACUGUGGGACUAGAAGAAUCUGAUCAACAAGAGGUCAUUAACAUCCUCAAUUGCAAGAUUGGGACCUUUCCAAGGUAUGCCAGUCAGCACUCAAAAAAUUACCAAGGCACAGUUGAGAUAUGUGAAUGAAAAAAAGACAAAAGACUGAGCACCUGGCAGUGUGACUAUUUAACCUCAGGGGGCAAAUCAAUUCUUAUUGAUUCAUGCUUGUCCAGUAUACCAAUGUACACUAUGGGAGUAUAUCAACUGUACGAAGGCAAUUUUCAGAUGUUAGAUUCUGUUAGAGCUAGAUUAUUUUGGCAAGGUACAGGGAAAAAGAAGAAAUAUCAUAUUGUAAAAUGGGAAGCUAUGAGCAGACCAAAGGAAUUUGGUGGUUUAGGUUUUUUGGAUGUUAGAGCUGUGAACACUUGUCUUUUGGUAAAAUAGAUUGACAAGCUAGAACAUGAUGAUCCCAGUCUGUGCUGUUCGUUGCUAAAGAAGAAAUAUUUAGGGGACAAAAGCAUUUUUCAGAGGUGGCAAUGAUCAAGACCUGGCGGCCUUUGCUGAAGGAGAAGCUGAAGCCUACAGCAGAUGAAAUGUUGGAGUUGCUGGUGGCGGGACCGCACUAGCUCACUAGUUUAUGUUUGUCCUGUUCUCGUUCUAAAACACGAUGUUUGUUGUUUUACUUUUGCUGCGUGGAGAUGUUUCACUGUUUAGAGUUCAGGUGGUUAGAAUGUUGAUGUUGGAACUCUACUGUAAAACUGGUAUCCCCAGUCGCGACCUGUGGCAUUCAUUACGCUUUCUAAUAAAGUUGGGCGGACGCCUUUGGUCGAAAAAAUUUUAGUACUGAUCGGCUGGGAGGCCUGAUCGGACGAUUAAUCGCGAUUAGUGGACGAUUAAUCGGACGAUCAGGUUUCUGAUCGCUCUAGUCUGAUCGAAGGGCCUAAUCGAGUGCUAAGUACCGAUUAGGACGAUUAAUCACGAUUAAUCGGACGGUCAGAAAACAAUGUAGGGUCCUACAAGCAUCCAACAGAUAGGAUAUCCAAACCAAGCCAAAAAAAAAUAUGACAGCUAUUUGCAUUUUAAAAAUCUAAUGCUUGUUGACACCGUUUUUGGGCACGUGUCCAGGAUGGCAGGAUAAGACGGCAGUAUGUGGUUUACAGGAUGAGUUGCCGAUGAGGAUGGUUGCCGACAAAGGAGAGGUUGAACGUGGCUAAGUUUACGGGUGAUGAUGUGUCUGUGCCGAUGGCUAUGGUGAGGAAGUCUGCCGAUGACUAUGGCAGGGGAGUCUGCCGAUGAUACAAAGGGGGAGUCCGGAAGCUGCCGGUCGGUUUGUGGAAGAAUUCCAGUUCGUCACGAGGGAUAGCUUUGUUAUUUCCUUAUUUAUUUGAGUCGUUUUAUAUACGGAUUCUGUGUAAUUUGGAAUUCGAAUUCUAGUCGUGUCUGGUUGUAGUUCUUUAAGCAGGGUAUAAAUAUAAACCCUAAGACCUUGUAAUGAGACAUCUAUCAAUCAAUCAAACACACGUUUUUACUCAUAUUCCAGCAUCUACUUUUUCGGCGACUUCGUCAUACUUUUCCUUUUUAUUACGAGUUCUUAGGAAUUCGUCGACUUAAGCUCGGCGCGUUCUCAAGUUCCGCGUGAGUACCUCUUAGCCGUGACAUCCGGGCGCAUCGCUGUUGUCAGGACUAAAGUAUUCGAGUUAUCACCUUUGCCGAUAGUAAGGUCAAAUCGGCUGGCACGCCUUAACGAUUGAAUCGGCUAUUAGCCCUUUGUGUUUGCAGACCAGCUUUUGCACCAACACAUCUUUUGGCACGCCCGGUGGGACCAGAUUCAAGAUCAAGAUCAAAAUAUCGAUCUCUGACUUUGAUCAGGAGAACGUCAUCCCCGUGACGGAAGCCAAUCUCAAGGAUGAGCAGAAGCAAGCUAUUGCCCAAGCUAUGGAGGAAUACAAGCUGCAAUGCCUGAAGUCCUUCAGCAUAAACAGGAGUGGCGAGGUGAUCCAGAAGGAUGCGCUGCCGGUACCACGGCAGGUUACUUUCGAAGCCAAUCCGGGCAAGCUUCAAGAUAUGGUUGACAGUGCUAUCAACCGUGCUUUGAUCAACCAAGCUGGCGUACUGUCCAAUACGGUUUUCAAUGCCGUGGCAAGAACUUUCAAGGAAGGACAAAUCCCACCAGAUUAUGUGGGCCCCACUCAUCAUCAACCGACAGCACCAGAGGUUACGGCUCCAUCGGCUGCUAUGACCGCUGUGAGUGCGCAGUCUGCCGUCCCUCCAAGUACAUUGGGAGCUACUAGCGUACAAUCUGUGCCGAUGACAACCAACCCACAGACUUCAGGUGGACAGAAUAAAUUAGUUACAGAUAUGGUGGCAUCGGCAAUGUCAGGGUUGACUCCUCCUCCCAACUGGUGGGGUUACGGUAUGCCUCCAGAGUUGACACCGGAAACAUCACAGAUAACUGACAUGAGGGGCAAGACUCCUAUGGCAUCGGCGCCUCCCAAUGCGCCGUGGAACCAGAGUUCUCGGUAUACUACGACUACUACUGCAAGGCCUCACGCUGGGAAUCCUCAAGAUUCAAUGUUCCAGAUGCCUAAUGCAUCGGCGGAUUCAAUGCUGAUGCAACAGAGGUCUAUGGCCCAGUCGGGGUAUGUCAAUUCAAUGAUGGUACCCAAUUACCAAUCAUCGGCAGCGCCUAUGUCGAUGAACGCUAAUAAUGGAUGGCUUGGAUAGCAAGUCUUUCCACAAUCGCCCCAACAGAGUUACCAGGCUACAGGGUUCCAGCAAGGACAGAUCUAUCCCAGAUUCCAAAGUCAGGGGAUCUCCAGCCAGCCAAUGAAUAUUGGACAACAACUCGGGGGCAGCAAGUCGGUGGACAGCAGUUUGGUGGUCCGCAGAUUGGAGGCCAGAUGAUCAACCCAAUGUUCUGUGCAGAUCAUGCCCCAAACAGACACGUGGAAGCUCGUCACCAAGUGCCGGACCCGCAGCCGCCUCAUCGGCAGGAUGCCGAUGCAUAUUGGGCCGAUAAGAUCGCUGAAGUAAUGAGGGAUCAAAUUGGGAUAAAACCCAAAGUCAACACUUACUCUUAUCGGACACCGUAUCCUCCCGCAUAUGAUUUGAUCCCACUUCCGCAUCGGUAUAAGGUACCAGACUUUACUAAGUUUUUCGGGCAAGACGACACGUCAACCAUGGAGCAUGUCAACAGGUUCAUCAUUCAAUGCGGAGAAGCUGGUAACAGGGACGAAUUGAGGGUUCAUCUAUUUUCAUCGUCAUUGUCUGGAUCGGCCUUCACCUGGUUCAUAUCACUACCUCCUAACUCAGUGAUUACUUGGGCCGAUCUGGAGAAACAAUUCCACAAGUAUUUUUUUCCGGAGUUCAUGAGAAGAAGAUCAACGAUUUGGUCAAAUUGAGACAACGCAAUGAUGAAUCGGUUGAAGGUUUUGUGCAGAGGAUACGGGAAGUCAAAAAUAAAUGUUAUAGUCUGGUUCUGGAUGAUCGGCAGCUGGCCGAUUUGGCUUUCCAGGGUUUGUUGCCACAUAUUAGGGACAAGUAUGCUUCUCAGGAGUUCGAAAGUUUAAGUCAUUUGGUGCAGAGGAUUUCUGAUCAAGACAUCAAGCCUUUUGAGCCCAAAAGAGCAUGGAAUAAGAAAGUGUCAUUUGUUGAUGAAGCGACAAGCUCAGAUUCUGAUGAGGAACCAGUCAUCGGCUUGGCAGAGUGGGUGAAAAACAAGAAGCCGAUGUCUUGCCCUUUUGGGGAGAAGGAACUAGAGAAGUUCGCUUUUGACACCGCCAAGGCCGAUAGGAUAUUUGACUUUCUACUUCAGGAAGGUCAGAUCAAGCUGUCUCCUAAUCACGUGAUCCCGUCGGCUGAGGAGUUAAAGAGGAUGAAAUAUUGCAAGUGGCAUAAUGCAACUUCUCAUGACACCAACGAAUGCAAAGUUUUCAGACAGCAGCUGCAAUCGGCCAUAGAGUCUGGGAGAAUCAAAUUUGACACUUCCAAGACCCAGAAGCCGAUGAAGAUAGACCAACAUCCUUUCCCGACAAACAUGUUGGAUGCUAAGGGGAAGGCCAAGGUCUUAACAUCGGAAGCAGCUGAGAAAAGUGCAUCGGUAGACCCUCAGCAUCAAGUUACUACUGCCGAUGCAAGAGGUAAGGGCUUGGUCCAGGAAGGAACCAGUUCAGGUAGGCCCCCUCGGUCUGGCAUCAUUAUAACUCAUAGAAGGCCUCGAGAGAACUGGCAGCAAUGGGAAGAUCGGUAUCGGCGCCAGGAAGAAGAUUAUCGUCGGGAGGAAGAGAGACGCCGACAGGAGUGGAAUCGACAUAGAGAUCAUUGGAACUGUCCGUUCUUUAUCCAUUGUUGGGAGGAAAAUAUUAAGCUUCCCACUGUCAGAGACUGCCCUGAGUGCAACGGUUAUGAUCGGUACGAUAGGACUGAUCGGCGUUAUCAUGAUGACAAUCGGCGAUUUAAUGGGCCGAUCAGAGGAAGAGCAUCAGUUCAUGAUCGGCUGGGGGGCAGGCUCAGCGUGCACGAUAGGCUUGGCAAUCGUGUCCAAUAUUUUCCCAGAAACCAGGAAGAACUUGAGGAGAUGGCUAAUGCAUGAGUUCCCGAUGAGUUCAUAUUUUGCAGGGAUGCUAACACGCAUCAGAUGGAGUCAAGGGAGAAUCGACGCCCAGCAGCAAGGCAGAAGCCACUUCCUCCUUGGUGUCCAGAAGGGUUGACCAAGACACAGAAAAGGAGAUUGCAGCGUGAAAGGCAAGAGGAGCUAAACAAGGGCGAGAACUCUGGAAGUCAGCAGCCAUCAGACACCAAGAGGGAAGGACCAUCGGCAGGAGUUAACAUGGUCUUUAUGUUGCCGAUGGAGUUUCUUGCACCAUCCAGUGAUGAUGAGUUGGAAUUUUCUGAUCAGAUAGCUCAGCUGGCUCUGGAUCCGAUGACAGCUAUCUUUGAGAAACCUGCCGAUGACGAGAGACAGCAUCUCAAGGCUCUGUUCGUCAAAGGGAGGGUUGAUGGGCAGCCAAUGACCAAGAUCCUAGUUGAUGGUGGAGCUGCUAUUAAUAUUAUGCCGUAUGCAGUAUAUCGGAAGCUUGGGAAAGGGGAUCAGGAUUUGACCAAGACCGAUAUGAUGCUCAAAGACUUUGAAGGAAACGUGUCUCCAGUCAAAGGGGCAAUAUGUGUAGAGUUGACCAUCGGCAGCAAAACCUUGCCGACAACUUUCUUUGUGAUUAGUGGAAAGGGUGCUUACAACUUAUUAUUGGGAAGAGAUUGGAUUCAUGCCAAUUGUUGCAUCCCGUCUACAAUGCACCAAUGCUUGGUUCAGUGGGUAGGAGACAAGAUUGAGAUUGUCCCGGGGGAUUCUUCUUAUGUCAUUGCAUCGGCAGAGGCGGAUACUUAUGAGAGGACCAGAUGCAUUUCAGGAGAGGUCUGGGAGAAAGAUUUUCUCAAGGUUGCCGAUUACGAGAUUCCGCCGAUCCAAGCAGUCGAUUCUGACGAGGGUUUUUAAUGGAUAGGUUCGCCGAUGAUGGAAAGUUAGGCCAAGGAUUCACAUCGGCCGAUGAUUUGGUAGAAGUAGAUAUAGGUAGUGGCGAUAAGCCUAGACCUACUUUUAUUAGUGCUAAGUUAAAUCCUGAGUGUAAGCAGCAAUUAACCAAUUUGUUAAAGGAAUAUAAAAAUUGCUUUGCUUGGGAUUAUACCAAGAUGCCUGGUUUAGACCGAUCAAUCGUCGAACAUCGGUUACCUAUCAAGUCUGGAUUUCGGCCACAUCAGCAGCCAGCUCGCCGAUGUAAUCCUAAUAUUCUCCCUGAUAUUAAGGCCGAAAUCACUAAACUUAUUGAAGCUAAAUUUAUUCGGCAGUGUCGGUAUGCCGAAUGGAUUUCCAAUGUCGUUCCGGUCUACAAGAAAAACGGGAAGCUCCGGGUGUGCAUUGAUUUCAGGAAUCUCAAUAAAGCUACGCCGAUGGAUGGAUACCCAAUGCCUGUUGCCGAUCUGCUGGUUGACGCCGCGGCUGGUCAUCGGAUCAUUAGCUUUAUGGAUGGCAAUGCUGGAUACAAUCAAAUAUUCAUGGCAGAGGAUGAUAUUUCAAAAACCGCAUUUAGGUGUCCUGGCCAUGUUGGGUUAUUUGAAUGGAUAGUCAUGACCUUAGGCCUGAAGAAUGCUGGUGCUACUUAUCAAAGGGCCAUAAAUUUUAUAUUUCAUGAGUUCAUCGGCAAGCUGGUGGAGAUUUAUAUUGAUGAUGUGGUGGUUAAGUCUGGGGAUUUCUCAAAGCAUCUUGCCGAUCUACGAAAGGUGUUAGAGUGUACAAGAAAGCAUGGAUUGAAGAUGAAUCCCAACAAGUGUGCGUUUGGUGUGUCGGCAGGGCAGUUUCUGGGCUUUAUGGUGCAUCAAAGGGGGAUUGAAAUUAGUCGAAGAUCCAUUGAUGCCAUCAAUAAGAUAGUAGCCCCUACCAACAAGACUGAACUCCAGUCCUUGAUCGGCAAGGUAAAUUUUAUCAGGAGAUUUAUAUCUAAUUUGUCUGGUAAAAUUCGUGCUUUCAGUCCUCUUCUUAAGCUAAAAGCAGAUCAAGACUUUAUUUGGGGGAAAGAAUAGCAGUUGGCUCUGGAUGAAAUUAAGAGGUAUCUAGUGAAUCCUCCAGUUCUAAUUCAACCACGGCAAGGAAAGCCCUUCAGAUUGUAUCUGUCUACCGAUGGGAUGGUUAUCGGUUCGGCUUUGAUUCAAGAAUUUGAAGGGAAAGAGCGUGUAAUUUAUUACUUAAGCAGGAGAUUGAUUGAUGCUGAAACCAGGUAUUCGGCCAUUGAGAAGUUAUGCCUAUGUUUAUAUUUUUCGUGUAUUAAAUUGAGGCACUACUUAUUAUCGGCCGAAUGCACUGUUGUUUGCAAAGAUGAUGUGGUCCGAUACAUGCUAUCUAUGCCGAUUAUGAGUGGCAGGAUCGGUAAAUGGAUUUUGGCGCUGUCGGAAUUCGAUCUGCAUUAUGAAUCGGCUAAGGCAGUUAAAGGGCAAGUUAUGGCCGAUUUUGUGACCCAACAUUGCAGUACGGUGGAGGCUGUGGAAAUUGUGCCUUGGACGCUCUUCUUUGAUGGAUCUACAUGUGACCGGGGGGCAGGAAUCGGCAUAGUGUUAGUUUCCCCUAUGGGAAGGAAGUAUGAAUUUUCCUUGCCGAUUGUUGCUACAUCAACAAAUAAUCAGGCUGAGUAUCAAGCUUUGAUAAAAGGAUGAGAGUUGUUGAGGGAAGUUCGUGCUGACGCUGUCGAGGUCUUCGGGGAUUCUAUGUUGGUUAUAAAUCAAUUGGCCGGGAGCUAUGAAUAUGCCGAAGUGAAGUUCUCAUAACUUAUUACGAGAAGAGCAUGCAACUGUUAAAGGAAUUCAAAGAUUUCCGAUUAGAGCAUGUUCCUCGAUUGCAUAAUGAAGAGGCCAAUCGGUUAGCUCAGCAUGCCUCGGGAUAUCAGCCUAUGAUUAAUGCAAUAUCGGCAAUCGGUGCCGAUGAUUGGAGGAAAGAAAUUAUUGAUUAUUUGAAAGAUCCAUCUAAGAAAGUUGAAAGACGAGUUCGGUUUCAAGCAACCAAGUAUGUGCUCCUCGGAGAUGAAUUGUAUUAUCGAACUAUUGAUGGAAUUCUUCUCCGAUGCCUAGGUGAUGAUGAAGCUAGAAGUUUGAUGGGAGAAAUCCAUGAAGGGGUGUGUGGAGCACAUCAGUCGGCUUUUAAGAUGAAAUGGAUGAUUAGGAGAAAUGGAUAUUAUUGGCCGACUAUACUUGAGGAUUGCUUUAAGUAUUUCAAAGGAUGUCAAGGGUGUCAGAAGUUUGGUAAUAUUCAAAGGGCACUUGCAUCGGCUAUGAAUCCUAUCAUAAAGCCCUAGCCGUUCCGAGGGUGGGCUAUUGAUCUGAUCGGCCAGAUUUAUCCACCGUCUAGCAAAGGACAUAAGUUUAUUCUAGUUGCCACUGGUUAUUUCACUAAGUGGGUCAAAGCUAUUCCUUUGAAGAAAGUCACAUCGGCCAAUAUGAUUGAUUUUGUGAAGGAGCAUAUUAUUUACCGAUUUGGGAUUCCUCAAACAAUUACUACCGAUCAGGGCACUAUGUUUACAUUGGGGGAAUUUGAUAAAUUUGCAAUCGGUAUGGGGAUUAAAGUGUUGAAUUCUUCUCCUUAUUAUGCUCAAGCUAAUGGGCAGGCCGAGGCAUCUAACAAAGGGAUUAUCAAACUUAUCAAACGAAAGGUUGAGGAAAAUCCUAAGCGGUGGCAUAUAUUGUUGAAUGAAGCGUUGUGGUCCUAUCGGAUGGCUUGUCAUGGAUCAACCAAGGUAUCACCCUAUCAAUUGGUGUAUGGACAUGAUGCAGUGUUGCCUUGGGAGAUUAAGGCUGGAUCUAGGCGAUUAUCUUUUCAAGAUCAGUUAGCUGCCGAUGAUUAUACCACUCUGAUGACCGAUGAGUUAGAUGAUCUAGCAGGACAUCGGUUAAAAGCUUUGAUGAAUAUAGAAGAGAACAAGAAGAGGGUUGCUAGAUGGUACGAUAAGAAAGUGAAGGCUAAGGAGUUUGCCGAUGGGGAUCUGGUAUGGAAGUUAAUUUUACCGAUCGGGACUAAAAGUUCGAAGUUUGGAAAGUGGUCUCCUAAUUGGGAAGGUCCUUAUCGGAUAAGUCGAUCGGCUCCUGGUAACGCCUAUAUUCUAGAAACUCUCGAAGGAGUUGAAUUUCCCAGAGCAUUAAAUGACAAAUAUUUAAAGAAGUACUACCCCAACAUAUGGGUCGAUGCGUGAAAGUUUAAAUGCCGAUAACACUCCUAUCGGCUGGAUUAAAAUGUAUCUGGAGCCAGAUUUAAUGUUUCAAAAGAUGCCGAUAACAGUCCUAUCGGCUAGACUAAGACAUUAAAGAAACUGAAGUGCGGAGGAGCGAAGACGUGUUGUCGAUGAAAGCUUCAGAUGUUCAGCAGCGCCUGGAUUGCCGAUAUGGCGCGUAGCCGGAUUUGGUUGGCUGCUUCUAUCUCCUUAAUAUCAUCGUCGGCAGAACCUUCUAUCGGCUUCAGCUUCUUCUUCAGUUGAAGUGCCUUGCGACCAUGAACGUUUCACUCAUGCUCAAGAAGCUUGAUGGUCUCUGGCAGUUGGCUCUCUUCCUGUUGGGCUUGGGUUAAGGCGUCCUCCACCUCCUUAAGUUCCGCCAAUAGGGAUUCUCUUCUUGCCGAUAGGUCAGAUAUUUUCUGCUUCAGCGCGUCUCCUGAAGAUCUCAAGAUGCCGAUGUUCUUGUGCUUCUCAUCGGUCAGGAGCUUCUCUUUCCUCAUUUCAUCGGAGAGCUGAGCCUGAGCAGCUCUAUCGGCAAGACGCCGAGAAGCCCUCUGGUACUGCAGCUGGCGACUCUCCAAAUGAGCGGCUUGGAAAAGGAUUUCUUCGACAUCGGCUGGGAUUUGGCCUCUGAGAGUUCUGAACAGAGUCUUGGCGGGGUCGGAGUCGUCGACCAAUUGCGCCGUGUCCUGGUGAAGGAGAGCUGACAAUUCCUCCAGCCUGGCCCUAAUCUCUGCCGAUGUAAUGCCGACUGUCUGAGAGGAGCUUGCUUCUUCGCCUUCUUCUUCAGAGAGAUCGAUGGCGAAGGAGAAUAGGCUGUCGGGAGAGUCUUGUUCCUGGGAAGGAGAGCAAAGUUAGUUCAUACUCAGAAAAUCGGCAAGUAAUGCUGGUAAAGAUUGGGUGGCUUACUUGUUUUAAGGCUAUUUCCUGCCUUUGUCUGGAAGAUGCCGAUGGAACUGUAGGUUGAUCGGCUAAAGUUGCUGAUGGGACGACAUCGACUGAGAGAAGACAGGAAAAGUUAUGAGGUUGAAUGAGAAUAAGUUCAUCGGCGGCAGUAUUAUUAAAGCAUGUUACCCGGAGGAGGAACAGCGGUUGUCUGAAUCGGGAGAAUUGCCGAUGAUGUGAUUGGACCUGCUCGGCCAGUUGUUUGUUCACCCGCGUCAGCUGAUGUUCCUUCUGUUUGAGGUUCUUCCUGCUGGGGUUCUUCCAUCUGUGGUGCUUCCUGCAUUGGUUGAGGAGAUGGUGUUUGCUGCGUCUGGACUUCCGGAGAAGAAGGGGAAGACUCCACCGGAAUUGGAGACACCGGAGGAGGAGGGGGAGUUGCCACUUUCUGGCGUUUCGUUCCAGCCCUGGUACUCUUGGUGCCCUUCCUCUUUGGCUGGCUAGACUGGGGGGCAUCGGCACCUUGGCAUGUGACUUUUGCCGAUGCACUGGUUUGCUGCAGUGAUAAGGAAAAGUUUAUGAGUAUAAAUGCAGUCGAUAUAAAGGUGAUUGGUAUGAAUAAAAAGGGUUUGACAAAUUGCCUUGAAAACUUGUGCCAAAGUGGAAGCGGCUAUCGUUAAUGAUGUUUGAGUCCUCUUGGUGGUAACUUUCUUGAGGUGCACACACCGGUGCACGAUGGCAGCCAGAGUGGGAGCAUUGCGGCCGAUGGAGGAAACUGGACCUGAUGGAAACAGGUCAAUCGGCUUAUCGCUUCUGCUGACCGAUGGGGGGAUGUCGUCAACCUGCACAAGGGAUACAAAAGUGAAUUACCGAUGAGAAUAAAAAUGGAACAUCGGUUUGGAAUACUUACAGCGUCGUCGGGGACUUGGUACUCGAGAUCAAUCAUGCCGCAAUACGAAGAGGCUGAUUUGCAGAACAGAUGCUCCUUCCAUUCUGCCCACCAUAGUUUGUAUGCCUGGGUAAUGAAGGCGGCUGGAACCCACUCUGACAGAUCUGCAUCUGUAUCGGCAUUUGAUGGUAGUUGGGCUACUCGGAUCCACUCAAGAAAGUUGGCGAUGGGUUCCCUGGGUUUUAUCACAUCGGCAUAACAGAGUGCAAUCGGCAACUGGCCGAAGGCCAAUUGACGAGCUAAUGCCGAUGGAUUGUAAAAUUCAUAAGUUUGGGGGGAGGUUUUUGUGCUACCAAAGAAAUUCACUGGUAUGGCUCUAGGGGUCACAAUUGCCAUCAUCACCUCAUUAUCCCUGUCAAGAGCUUCAUCAAAUGGAUUGAAGGCCAGGGGGAGCAUACUGUCUGGGUUGUCGUAGGCCAACCAUGGUUCAUCUCUGGCCAAGCCCUCAUACAGAGUCUGGAAGAAUCGGCCGAUCUGAUCUGGAUUACCCCCUGAACCAGGCAGAACUAUGACAGCUUCGCCAAAGUUCAAGGGGGCGCGUGUUGCCGAUUCCUCUUCACCCAACACAUGAUUUUCAGCUAUAUCUCUUGGGAAACGCUGUGUGAACAGGUUGAAGUUGAGGCGCUUGUGCAGAUGCAGAUUAAGCCACAUGUUGAUAAACCACCAGGGGCCUCCCAAGUUGCUAGUGGAUUGACCGAGCAGGAGUUUCUGGGCUACUUGAUGAAGAAGGUGGUAGGCAGCGCCAAGCAAGUAUCGGCCGAGAGGGAAUCGGCCACCGUUAGCCAGUCUUUCUGCUGCCGAUAGAUAGACAGAAGUCGGCCCUGCCGAUCGACCAUAGAAUACAAACUUGUCCAGCCACAUGUUCAGAAAAGUGGUUUGUUCCUUUAUGGUGACAGGCCCCUUCCCACGAUACUUAUGAAUAUACCCUGACCAGCCGCCGAUAGAGCGAGUCUCCACUUUGGCACUAGGAGCGGUAUCAAAAAAGUGGGUGCUAUCGGCAAAAGAUAUAUCUAGACCGGUGAGCAUGGCUACAUCGGCAAGAGUGGGAGAAGCAGGGCCGUGGCCAAAGACAAAAGCAUUGAGGGUGUCUGACCAAAAGUAAGACGCAGCUAUCAACAGUGACUCGUUCCUGUGCAUAUCGGCAAUAGAUAACCUGAUGCAUUGAUCUAGCUUCCUCUCACCCCACUGGACCUCAUUAGAGUUGCUGACCCUCAAGAACCAGUCUUUCCACCCUAUGGUAGGGCUGGGCCAAGAGCGGAAGGUGUCUUUCCACAGAUCUAAAGAAAAAUUUUCGGCUCUGAAGGGGAUCCUGUUGGUUUCUGCGUUGAUAAGGUCAGUUGGAUCUGGGUCCCCUAGAGGGCCGAGGCAUUGAAGGUGUGGUUGAUCGGUGGGGAUGACAAUUUUGUUAGACAGCUCCUAGUGAUUUUGGGAAUAAAAGAAAUACAAAGAAAAGAGAAGAUAUUCAGUAAAAUGAAUUGCGGAUGAACAAGGAUGCGAAGGAAAAAUACAGAAGACGGGAUGGAGAUCUGACCUCAGGAACGACGAAGCCAAUGGCCAUCUUGCCGCGAAGAGAGCGUUUGAGGGCACCGGAGUUGAUGAGGAGGAGUGCUUGUCGGAGGUCUUGGAGAUUUUGAAUGGCGCCGCCGCUGGAAAAGUGAAAGUUGGGAUGGUGGAAUGAUGUGAUGGAGAAGGAGUACCCGAGAAGGAACUAUUUAUAGGAUAAAACGGGCAAGGGCAAAUCUGACUUAUCUCUUUGCCGCAUCCGAGAAACCCGAGGGUGCUCAGGUAGAUAUGGUAACUGUUCGCACGGUAAUCAAGGGAUUGUGCAGGUGAUUUGACGGGAAGCGGUCAUUACCUGGAGAUAUUUUACUGUGUGGGAUCUCCUGGUCGGUCCAUCGGCAGCAUACUGUAACGGUCAUAUUGCCGAUGGGCGGAUAGAGUAAAGGUAGCCAUUUGUACGAACGUCCUGAUUAGUCCAUCGGUAGAUCUUCGUAACGGUAAUAUUGCCGAUGUGCGGAUGAGAAGGAAGUGCCCGUUCAAGAAGUUGAGGAUUUCGAGGAAUCUGCAGGAGAAUAGGAUCGGGGUUGUUUGGAUUGAGGUUGUCGGUUACCAGAUUAGGAGCAUUAAUUGCGGGAAAAGGCAUCAUUUCUGCAGAAAAUUUCGGAGCAUUAAUAGUUUCAUACUCCGAAAUUGGGGGGCAUGUGUUGACACCGUUUUUGGGCACGUGUCCAGGAUGGCAGGAUAAGACGGCAGUAUGUGGUUUACAGGAUGAGUUGCCGAUGGGGAUGGUUGCCGACAAAGGAGAGGUUGAACGUGGCUAAGUUUACGGGUGAUGAUGUGUCUGUGCCGAUGGCUAUGGUGAGGAAGUCUGCCGAUGACUAUGGCAGGGGAGUCUGCCGAUGAUACAAAGGGGGAGUCCGGAAGCUGCCGGUCGGUUUGUGGAAGAAUUCCAGUUCGUCACGAGGGAUAGCUUUGUUAUUUCCUUAUUUAUUUGAGUCGUUUUAUAUACGGAUUCUGUGUAAUUUGGAAUUCGAAUUCUAGUCGUGUCUGGUUGUAGUUCUUUAAGCAGGGUAUAAAUAUAAACCCUAAGACCUUGUAAUGAGACAUCUAUCAAUCAAUCAAACACACGUUUUUACUCAUAUUCCAGCAUCUACUUUUUCGGCGACUUCGUCGUACUUUUCCUUUUUAUUACGAGUUCUUAGGAAUUCGUCGACUUAAGCUCGGCGCAUUCUCAAGUUCCGCGUGAGUACCUCUUAGCCGUGACAUCCGGACGCAUCGCUGUUGUCAGGACUAAAGUAUUCGAGUUAUCACCUUUGCCGAUAGUAAGGUCAAAUCGGCUGGCACGCCUUAACGAUUGAACCGGGUAUUAGCCCUUUGUGUUUGCAGACCAGCUUUUGCACCAACAAUGCUAAAACACUAAAAUGGAUGCGUUUUCAAUUUCAGCAACACAUGACCAUGAGUUCGUUAAGCAUACCUGACUAAGUGAUUCAGAAUCAUGUGACGUCUCCGAUUCAUCAUCUUCAAGUCCCAUCCUAUUUAAAAUCAAAAUCAAGUGUUGGCUCAAAUCCAAAUGAGAACCCUAACUUGGACGGGAAGUCUAGAGCGAACCUCGGUGUAUGCAAAAAAAAGUAGCGAACCUGGGGGAAGAGCUCGGGCGGCGACCCGGAGUGCGGCGGUGACCCGGAGUGACGACGGCACGGGUGACCUCGGCGCGCUGGGUUUGCAGCCAAGCACGGUGGGACAGGAAGGUCGCCAAGCGCGGGGUCUGGCUUAGGGUGGUGGCGACCUGAGAGCACGGCGGUGCUCCCGCCGAGUGGCGGCGGCUAGCGAAGAGGGCGGCGGGGCUCCCACCGGGAGUGCCGCCACCGUGGCAAGGGCGCGCGCGGUGCCGCUGUUCGUGUCACGAAAAUUUCUAGGCAUACCCAGUAAGGAAAUCGAGUAAUCCCUUUUCCUUUUCUAGAGAAUUCCCAGAAAAUUUGUAAAUAUGUAGGAUUCAUAUUUUUUUUCAUAGGAACAAGCUUUCACUAUUAUAAUAUAUCCAUGUCUUAGAUAUUUUGAAAGUUAAUUGCUUGUUGCUCGUCCUCUGCUGCUGAAUUAUCUUUAUCAUCCUUUAUUACCAUAUAAGGGGUCUAAUUAUCCGAUGAACUAGUUUUAAACAAGCUCUGAUUCAGCCGAAUUCGCACAUAACAAUCGAAUUCAACUCGUUAAGUCCAAUUCAGAUAAUCGAAUCCGGUUAAUGUUUGAAAACCAGGAGAACUCCCAUAAUUUGAGAGCAGUACAUCGAAUUCGUCAUAGUACAUUGAAUUGGUUUCAAUAUCGUCGAAUUCGAUGGUCGCACUGAUCCAGUAGAAUUGGUGUCAAUAUCACCGAAUUCAAUAUUUUCAUAGUACAUUGAAUUGGUUUCAAUACCGUCGAAUUCGAUGGUUGCACUGAUCCAGUAGAAUUGGUGUCAAUAGCACCGAAUUCAAUAUUAUAUACAGUACCUAAUUCAAUUGGAGUGAAGGUUACGAAUGAACUCUCUUGACACUGAUUCUUGUGUAUGCAGUUCCGUACUUGUAUGGGAACACAUUGGUUGUCAAAACAUUAGGAAUGAAAACAAUUAGUAGGCUAAUGGUAAUUGGAAGUGCAAUGCAACUUUUUUUAAACAUCAAUGCAACUUAAAAUGAAGAACUUCCUCCGUCCGGUAAAUUUUGCAAUUAUUUGACUUUCAAAUUUCGUGUUUGACCAUUCGUCUUAUUCAAAAAAUUUAUAUAAAUAUCAUCUAUCUUAUUAUGUCUUAUUUUUUUCGUUAGAGAUACUUUAAUAAUAAUAUUUUUAUUUUAUAAUAUAUGUAAAUUUUUAAAUAAGACGAAUGGUCAAACGUGAAAUUUGAAAGUCAAAGAAUUGAAAAAAUUACGGAUGGAGGGAGUAGUUACAUCCGCAAGAGGCCCAAUAAGGGUGCCGGCGAUACUCAUGCUAGGAAAACAAAGGAAUUUUAAGAGUCGUCAAAAAUUCGUCAAAACAAUUUUAAGAGUCGUCAAAAAUAAAGAGCUUGGUUGGGAUCCAAUAUUUGCCAAACCAAAAAUUAGUCGUUGCAUGCGGCUACUCACCUUCUUCCCUCAAAAAAGAGUCGUUGCAGGCGCGGCGUCCCACCGUCUAUAUAGUCUGGUUCUCACCUUGUUCAUCUUCUUCCCCAUCGCCAUCGCCGUCGACCUAGACCUAGAGCCCACCCCCACGCUUGGCGUCCCACCGUGCUCGGCUGCGCACGAGGUUGACGCACCCGCUUGCCUCGCCUUGUCUCGCCGCGACCUGAAGCUCUGCUUGGAUCCCUUGCCGCUGCCUGCCUUGCUUCUCGCUCCGGCAGCAUCAGGGCAUCGAUUCGGCGGCGGAGCCCGAGGUUCGCUCCUUUUUUUUCUGCAUACCCACUUUCCCAUACAAGUUAGGGUUUUAAUUUAAAUUUGAGUGAACACUUGAUUUUUAUUUUAAAAUAGGAUGCCACAUGGAUAUGAUGAAACCCGGUCACAAGAUUCUGAAUCAUUUGAUGAGGUAUGCUUAACGAACUCAUGCAUCUUAUUGGUUCCUUCUCUUGAACCAUCGUGCUGGAAGCAGCUAGGAUCCUUUGGUAGUCUUAUAGGAGUGUCUAGUCCCCAUGUGUUGAUGUAGAACAACACAUCAAGCUAAACAAAUACUGGGGCAUUGCGAUGCUGGCUCUUCGAUAUAUUUCUUUCGAAUUAACGGAGGCUUGCUCCAAUUCGAUAUAUUUCUCUUGAAUUAGGGGAGUUCUCCUGGUUUUUAAACUUUUUCUGGAUUCAAUUAACUUCAAUUGUAUUUGUUCAAUUAUAUUUGUUUUGUCAUAGCAAAAGUAAAGUAACCAGGCAUUCUUAGCUGCCCAGCUUUGGUGCUCUCUGUUUUUGUGUUACCUUGAGCUCUCAGUUUUGAUAUUUCCUAAUAUAAAGUCACGUAGUAGCCAACGAGUACACAACAGAAUUAAAUGUUCUUGUCUAUUCUAUAGCAGAGGACAUCAUUUAACCUCUAUUCUUGGUGAUUCUAUAUCGUGCAUGGGUCAUGUUAGGCAUGUCAUGAGUUUUUCCUUUGUUGUGUCUUGGUGUGUUUCAUAGAUCUCCAACGAAAAUAGAGACAAAGGUUCCCCCAAGAAGAGGAGUCGACGCCCCAAAUUCUAGGGGGGUUAUAGAUAUCAUAUGUUUCAUCAUCAUUUAAUGAGGUAUUCUUAACGAACUAUUCAACAAUAAUUGAUAGGAGUGUCCACUCCCCAUGUGUUGAUGUAGAACAACACAACAAGCUAAACAAAUACUGAGGCAUUGCGAUGCUGGCUCUUCGAUAUAUUUCUUUCGAAUUAAAGGAGGCUUGCUCCAAUUCGAUAUAUUUCUCUUGAAUUAGGGGAGUUCUCCUGGUUUUUAAACUUUUUCCGGAUUCAAUUAACUUCAAUUGUAUUUGUUCAAUUAUAUUUCUUUUGUCAUAGCAAAAGUAAAGUAACUGGGCAUUCUUAGCUGCCCAGCUUUGGUGCUCUCUGUUUAUGUGUUACAUUGAGCUCUCAGUUUUGAUAUUUCCUAAUAUGAAGUCACGUAGUAGCCAACGAGUACACAACAAAAUUAAAUGUUCUUGUCUAUUCUAUAGCAGAGGACAUCAUUUAACUUCUCUUCUUGGUGAUUCUAUAUCGUGCAUGGGUCAUGUUAGGCAUGUCAUGAGUUUUUCCUUUGUUGUGUCUUGGUGUGUUUCAUAGAUCUCCAACGAAAAUAGAGACAAAGGUUCCCCCAAGAAGAGGAGUCGACGCCCCAAAUUCUAGGGGGGUUAUAGAUAUCAUAUGUUUCAUCAUCAUUUAAUGAGGUAUUCUUAACGAACUAUUCAACAAUAAUUGAUAGGAGUGUCCAGUCCCCAUGUGUUGAUGUAGAACAACACAGCAAGCUAAACAAAUACUGGGGCAUUGCGAUGCUGGCUCUGUGAUAUAUUUCUUUCGAAUUAACGAAGGCUUGCUCCAAUUCGAUAUAUUUCUCUUGAAUUAGGGGAGUUCUCCUAGUUUUUAAACUUUUUCCGGAUUCAAUUAACUUCAAUUGUAUUUGUUCAAUUAUAUUUCUUUUGUCCUAGCAAAAGUAAAGUAACUGGGCAUUCUUAGCUGCCCAGCUUUGGUGCUCUCUGUUUAUGUGUUACCUUGAGCUCUCAGUUUUGAUAUUUCCUAAUAUGAAGUCACGUAGUAGCCAACAAGUACACAACAGAAUUAAAUGUUCUUGUCUAUUCUAUAGCAGAGGACAUCAUUUAACUUCUAUUCUUGGUGAUUCUAUAUCGUGCAUGGGUCAUGUUAGGCAUGUCAUGAGUUUUUCCUUUGUUGUGUAUUGGUGUGUUUCAUAGAUCUCCAACGGAAAUAGAGACAAAGGCUCCCCCAAGAAGAGGAGUCGACGCCCCAAAUUCCAGGGGGGUCACAGACAUCAUAUGUUUCAUCAUCAUUUAAUGAGGUAUUCUUAACGAACUAUUCAACAAUAAUUGAUGCUGGUGCAUGUAUUUGCUGAUGAUUUUAACCAUUGUUUUUUAUAGGGAAAUAGAGACAAAGAAUCACCCUGGAAGAAGAGCCGAUAGUCCAGUUUCCCUGUGGUCUCAUCAGAAGAUGAGGGUUCUAUUAGUCUUGAUUUGGGUUGCAAACCAGAAGAAGUGAUGGAUUUGGUGUAGUGGCUCGGUGACCAAGAUCGUGAAGAGUUAAAGAGCCUCGGUUUUGGGACAUUUUUAGACCUGACGGUGGGUAAAAUCUCCAGACGCAAAGAAACAUUUCAGAAUCUCAAAAGCAUAGUUUUUGAAAAGGAUCGGAUUGCAAUAUACAUAGGGGAUGUGAUAUUAUACAUAACUCCAGAAGUAAUAUUUGAACUUUUGAGACUACCACGUAGCAAGAAGAUGCACCCGCUGCACAUAACUCAAGCAAAUAAAGAUUUUGCUGAUCUGCGAAUGUAACAACCUAAAAUUUGCAAUUUUCCAAAAUAGGAUAAAUUGUUAAAUUGCGUAUUUUUGUGCCCAUAGAAUAUAGGAAAAAUAAUAUUUUUCUUUAAAUUAAAAUUUACUAUAGGGUUAGCAACUUGUUUGAGCAUGCAUGCCGUUGCAUUGGGUUUAUUGUGAUGAGUGGUUUUGACUAAAGUUUAAAAGGAAUUCAAAUUUGGUUUUGAAAUGUGUUUUGUUUUAAAAGAAAAAGGGAAACAGAAUUUAGAAAAUGGAAAAAGAAUUUCCUCUCUCCCUCCCUGUCUCGGGCUCGACCCAUUUCUCUUCCCCCCCCCCCCCCCCCCGCGGCCUGCUUCUCCCCUUCCCCCUUUCUUCUCGGUUUCGGCCCAAGCACCAGCGUCCGGCCCAGCAGCUGAGCGCCAGCGCCCUCCUCCCUUCUUCCACUGACAGAGCGGUCCCGUGCCCUGAGUCACCGACAGGUGGGGCCCACUGGUCAGGCCUUUCUCCUACCUCGUGACGGACCCGGAGUCUGCCGAGUUUGAGCAACGGCCGCGCGAAUCCUGCGUUUGGCUUGAUCCGCACGCCAAGGGGGGCUCUAAAUAGCGGCCUCCGCUGCCCCGCGACCCCCUACUCCAAUCCCCGAGCCUGUCGCAUAAGCUCUCGCCGAGAAAAACAUCGCCGAGAUCCACCCCGAAAGCUAUCCGCCGCCGCGACGCGUUUUUGAUCACCGUGAGUACCUUGCCGAGCCUCGUCUCUCGCUUGCGAAGUCGCCGAGACACUUUGCUCGCGAUUUCGUGUUCUCUGUGCACGACAAACCCUCGCCGAACCUGUGCCGAAGCUCGCCGUCCGCCUAUCUCCGUCGCGAGCACGCCCGAGUCUCUUCCCGACCUCGGUCUUGCCCUAGGUAAGUCCGCAUCAAGCUCCUCUACGUCCCAGCGCAAUCGGUUCGCGUUCUAGCGCCCUAAAACCCCCAAACCGCAAGCUCCGGCCAUCACCGGCCAUGGCGCCACCGUCGUCUUCCUGUGCGCUGGUGACCCCCUCCCCCCGAUCUAAUCUCAACCGUCCAAUUGCGAUCCAACGAUCUAAAACAAAGCAUACCCCUUCGGCCGCGCUUUUUGCAAAAGAAACCCCGUGCUUUUUAAAGUCUUAACCCGCAGUCCUUUACGGAUUUCCAGAAUACGCUUCCUAACUCCGAAAGCGUAUUCCCUUCUCCUCUGAUUCAGAAUACGUUUUCACAGUUUAAAAACGUACUCCGUGCUGGUUUAUUCAAAAUACGUUUUCAGGAAAUUACAAGUUUGCCACUGGAUUUGUUUUACACAUAAAAUAUUCAUCUUAAUUCCGUUUUGGCUCGUUCAAAUUGUGUUGGUUUUGUCUUUGAAAGAUCUACAUGUUAGUAAAACUGUUUUCUCAGUUUGAAACUUUUUAAUUCCGUGACCCAAAUUAAUUAAUUGUUUUUCUAAAGAAAAUCUUAGAAAAUUCAUAUAUUCUUCGUUUUAACUCCGUUUUGAUCCGUUCAAAUUUCGUUAGAUUCGUUUUCGCGUAACCUAUAGAUUAAUGUUACUGAAUUACAAGUUUUCAACUUUUAAAAUCUGAGUUUAGAUUUAAUCUAUUACUUUAUUAAAGGAAAUCUUAGGAAAAUCAUAACUUCUUCGUUAUAGCUCCGAUUUUCGUGAUCUUUACGUCGGUGUGAUCGUAGAGCGAUGCAGAUUUGUUUUAUAAACUUUUUAUCUUUAUUUUCUACUGUUGGUGUAUUGUUCUAAUUAUAGGUUUGUUUGCUUUGUAUGAUUGCCUCUGGCUGAUUGAUGUUGAUGUGAUGACUAAGUUUAGUCGGUGAGCUUUUACGUGGUGAUCAAGAAGCAGUUUGUGGAAGGUUUGGAACUAAAAGAAGAAUUGAGUUUCAAGGCAAGUAUAGCAUAGGAUCAUCCUUGUUUCCUAAUAACUUUAAUCACUUAAUUCAUAUUGCAUGUGUCUCCUUGAUAAGGAUUUCCUAGUAUUGAUCUUAUACCUUGUCACCUAUGGUUUUGCAUUGGGUAGCUUAUGCUAGUGCUCCACUAAACCAUGAUCUUGUAAUUUGAUUAAAGGAUUAUGCAAUAAACAUUAAAAGAUGACUUUUUAGCAACUUUGGAAAAGAGGGCUGGAGCAUUGGGGUAUCUUAUGGUGCUCUAGUUUCUCUCCAUAAGGACUUAUCUGUAUCUGACCAUUCGGGACAUACAGUACAACUGUGAGGGCUACAUGGCUCUGGCUUUAGCUCAGUAUGAGGACCUUUUCUAGCUUGUUAGUGGUUACCCUUGUGGCGCAAGUGGGGGAUAGCAGACCGUGGAUUCCUGCGGGUGAGUCACACGGACUGACUAACGAAACCUAGCGGCCCUAACUUGUUAGACGAACCUUUGAAAGGCUUCAUAGUGAACCCUGCCGGUCUUCCUUGGUAGUGGGCUAAGAGGUCAACGGGCCUCGAGCGAAAGGGUAAAUCACGACUCACAGUGAAAGUGCACAACCUCUGCAGAGUGUAAAACUGAUAUAUCAGCCGUGCUCACGGUCACGAGCGGCCUUGGACUAAUACAGAAUAAAUGAUCACUAAUGGCAAAUCAUUAAUGUUAUUAUUGUUAAUAUGUUGUUUAUGCUAUUCUUUAUUCACUUUACUUGAUCAUGAGUUUACUAUGGGACUUGACAACUUGAUGCUACUCAUAUGCUAAAAUUGUGACAACUAAAAGCUACAUGUAGUUAAACCAGUGUCUAGCCUUUGAGCCUCAUGAACCCUAUGUUAUUCUUGCUGAAUACGAGAUGUACUUACGCUUGCCUUUACAUUUUAUUUGGAUAAAAAUCCCGGAUGGGUACCAGAUUGCAAGCUUGGAAAAGAGUUUAGGCUUGUGCUCAACCAGUCAGUUGUCCCUGUGGAUUUGGAGCUUUCGCCUGAAGAACGGAGUGUCUUUCCGCUGUUUGCUAUCUAAGGUUAUAUCUUUUAUACUAAGUUCGUUAUAUAUAAGCAUUGACUAUUGAUAUUACCCCUAUUUAUGGCUAUAUGUGUGAUUUGACUUCCUGGGCUCACAUAUGGUGUGUAUCUGGUUUUGUUCUUAAAACCGGGUGCUACAAAGUGGUAUCAGAGCAAUGCUGACUGUAGGACGCAAGCCUACAUAGUAACGGCCAUGUUAGUCAUCUUUGUUUCACUACAUUCAUGUUUACUAUCUCACCCUUGCUAUUUGCUAAAAUUCUUAUGCUUCCAUCAUCUAAUUCUAUUCUAAAAGUAUUGCUUCUAUUCUAACUCCCUCUUGGUCUAAUUCCAUAGAUGGUUCGUAACGAGAAGAUUGCUCGCAGCAACUCUGGAAGACCAUGCUUAACUCGGGGUAUUUAUGGCUUAACGAAACCAGAAUAUGAGGAAGCUCGCCCUGUCCCAUCAAGACAUAUUGGUUGGAGAAAGGAGUACUUUACCACAUCCUUUAGUGGGGAAGAUUUCUUUCACCCUCGGCUUGUGCGUAUACUACAAGACCAUUAUCCUGAACAGCAAGCCAAGGUGGAGUAUAAGUGCACUAAGUGGACUCAUCCUAAGUAUGAGAGCCACUGGAGCACAGAAGCACACAUCACAAGGUGGAAUGAGUUUACUGGUUCACGCAUGGUGGAAUCCAUUCAUUCGUCUCUCAGUGACCGUUUCAGUAAGCAUGCUAGCAUAUCUGAUGCUGCCCAUCAAGCUCUUCUGGCAUAUCAUGGAAAGCACUACGAAGAGAGGAAGAAUGACAAACAAAAGUAUCUACCUUGUCGUCCACCAGGCAAUUUGCAAUGUGUGAUGGCUGACCCCUACCUGGAGCAGAAUGAACAACUAAAGGAGAUGGCUUUGACUAUCCAAGUCAUGCAUCAAAAGCUAGAAGAUAGUCAACUGGAAUUGGCAGAAGUAAGGCAACACUAUGAGAAAGCCCUUGAUGAGAUUGAUGAGUGGAGAAGUCGUGGUGGAUUACCUAAGAUCAAUGAGGUGGAGGACAUACCUCGCUUAACUCCACGCAAGAGAUGCUACCCUGGAUGCCGCUGCAGUCACACCGUGUUUAAGAAGUAGGAAGUCCCCCUUUGUAAUAAACGUUAGUAAGAAAAGGUUGAGUCUAGUCUAUAUGUGUGCUUUGUGAAUCUUUAAUGUUUGGUUGUUUUGUCUUAGUGCUUAUGAUUGAGUUGGAUUUUUGUAAUGAGUGCAAUGAUCUUGUGGGUUUCUCCACAAUUUCAUCUAGUUUACAGGCCUAAGGUAUAUGGGUUAAUGAAAUAAAUAGUUGGGUUUUAGUUUCUCUUGUUUCUCUGUCCUAUCUUUUGGGAGCAACCUAUCUUCUUCAGUUCAAAUCCCUAAUCUUGGAGGACCAUAAAAUCGUGUGAAAAUUCUGGGUGAUAGUAGACUUCAAGAUCCUUCUCUGACCGCAAGAAUCACCCCCAUAGCUGUUGUGGUUUGGGAAUUACGGAAAUCACAAGUUGGCACCAUUGAGCUGUCAAAGAUCUGGACCAGUUUAGUUGCCUACUGUUUUGGACAAAUGUAACUCCGGAAUUUGGGAAAAGGUUCUAUAAGAAAGUUUUAGGUCUUUUGAUAAGCUUUCCAAUGAUGUAAGCUGCAACUUUAUCGGAUUAAUAGAACUGGGGUUAUGACAUCUACAAGUUGCUGUUGCUGCACAGUUCAAAAUCUGGACAGUUCUAGUUAGCUCCUACUUUUCAGCCAACUUAGCUUCAGAAUCUGGAAAAGUGGGAUAUACAGAAGUUGUGGAGGACUUCAUAAGCUUUUUAACCAUGUAAGACUCGUCCCCAUAUGAUCUAAGUAACUCGAGAUAUGACUUCUGCAAGUUGCUGCACCGAUGCUGAGACAUUGUCGGGAUGGAUAUCAUGUAUGGCUGUUUUACCUAGGCUUAAUGACAGAAACUAAGGAAGCCUUCUAUAUGAAAGGUGUAGGGACUUUGAUAAGGUUUCUAACAGUAUAAGCUAAGACCUUGUUGGAUUAACAGAAAAGGAGUUAUGCCUAUUUUACUGCGCUGGUGUUUUCAUAUCGUGAGGAAUUUCAGAUUACUUGUGCAUAUUAGUACACAUGAGUUUCUCUUCGGUAUUAGAAGAUCUGAGGAUACAAAACCCACUUGAAAGGUGGACUAAACUACCCAUUUAAUCCCCUUGUUUACCUUUUCUAAGGGGGGUAGUCCUAUCAAAGGAGUUACAAGGAAAAGUAUGGGUUAAUGAUGGACCAUCGAUAAGGACCUCAAGUGUUUGGUAAAUUUGGUUUUGAUGCAAGAAAUAGUACCAUUGAAGUGUGUUAAUAUGGAUGGAGAUAUACGUCAUUGCUGGUACCCAUAGCUUGGAAGUGGUGCUUGUGAGAGUCAGGUAACACCAAAGUCUACCAAGUUAUACAUGGGAUGUAAGAGCGAAGCAAUUCAACUCUGACAGAGGUACCAAUAUUUGGAACUUAGUGAUGAAACCAACUCUAGGUCAUGAGACUUGGUACAGUGAUUUUAAAAGACUAUGUGAUGUGUAGCAUCUAAAUAGAAUAUGAGAGCUAGUCCAUACUGUCCCCUACCUAUCUCAUUUUAAGGGGGGUAGUACCUUGACAUUAUUGGUUAAGGCCCCUUUCAAUUUAUCAUGAAGUGAGAAAGUGUCUCUGGAGAUAUCCCAUGGUUAUAAUCAUCUAUUCCGGCUCAAGUUAGUGAAAUUGGUCACAUGACAACUUAGGAAGUGAAUAUGCUACAUCUACUAUUGAUUCUACUAAGAUUCAAAAGGCUUUAUUACUAAAGGGAGCAUGACCAGUAUGUUCUAGUUGAUGGAAGUUCUCAUCUAGGAGGUGUCAUCUUUAAUUAUGGACUUAAGAAAGUUAAAGAUGCAAGAGUUGGAAACCACCAAAGGAAGAUAAAUGAGACUUGGAGUUUUAUAGAUAUGGCAAGAAGCUAUCAUAGGUUUGCUGGGGCCAAUGUGAUCUUGACAUAAGAGUAAAUAAUAAAUUGACUUGGAAUGAUAAGAUUCUAUCAGUGGUUCACGGAAGGUGUUAUAAAGAUGAACAAAUAGAGUUCUGUUAUCCCAGCAAGACUUUAAAUGUGCUUUAUAAAAUAAAAGUAGUGGCCUGUGCAUAAGUUGACUAAGUAACUUGGACCGCCCAACACAUGAUGGGGAGGUGUCCAUAGUGCAUCAUGGAGAGACUAUCUUCUUGGAUGUAAGAGUGAUAUCUACGUGGAAUGAAAGAAUCUAAAGGGCAUCUUUAGGAAGUUGGAUUCGAGCUAGUCACAUUGUCGAUGGAUUCGAGUGAAUCAAGAGUUAUGACUAGGAGAAAUGCUAUCACUUGUAGGAGAAAAAGCCUUUGCGUCAGAGCAUAAAGAGUGUGCUAGAGGAGUUCAAAUAACACCAAGGUUUGAGGAGUUGAUGUGUUGAACUGGAGUGAUGUCACUAGCACUGCCAAAUGAGCUCUACAAAUUACUCAUUUGGGAACCACAGGAAUUGAAAAGAUUACUUAGGAGAUAUGUUGUGAGCUUGUGUAUUGCAGUAUGGUACAAAGAGGUCAUCGUAUGCGAAGUUUUCUUAGAACAACAGUUAGUAGAAGAGCCUUCAGUGGGAGCCUUUUGAAAGUGUAUAUGGAUGUAAGUGUAGAACCCUGUUGAUUUGGAAUCAAACGGGAGAACACAAGUGUUUGGGCUAGAAGUUCUAAGAGAAGUAUGUGGAGGUUUAAUAAGAAAGGAAAAGUUAGCACCAAGAUAUGUCGGGCCUUUCAAGAUGUAGGAGAUAUGGAACAAAGUGGCUUACCAAAUAGAGCUACCUGAAAGUUCAGAAUGAGUGAAUGAUGUCUUCCAUGUGCCUCAACUUAAGAAGUACUUGUGUGUGUCAUAAGAGCAGAUAUCGUUAGAGGAAUUGAUUGUUAAAUCGGAUUUCACAUACAAGAGUACCUAGUAAGAAUUUUGGAAACAACAGAAAGGGUUACCAGGAGUUGGAUUUUCAGGAUGUACAAAGUCUAGUGGAAUCAGUGCACCAAAGCGGAGGCUAUUUAUAAAAGAGAAGAGGAUCUAAGAAAAGCAUACCCGCAGUUGUUGGGGUAAGCAUCAACCGAAUCUCGAGGACGAGAUUCAUCUUAAGGGGGGUAGAAUUUGUAACACCCCAAAAUUUGCAAUUUUCCAAAAUAGGAUAAAUUGUUAAAUUGCGUAUUUUUGUGCCCAUGGAAUAUAGGAAAAAUAAUAUUUUUCUUUGAAUUAAAAUUUACUAUAGGGUUAGCAACUUGUUUGAGCAUGCAUGCCGUUGCAUUGGGUUUAUUGUGAUGAGUGGUUUUGACUAAAGUUUAAAAGGAAUUCAAAUUUGGUUUUGAAAUGUGUUUUGUUUUAAAAGAAAAAGGGAAACAGAAUUUAGAAAAUGGAAAAAGAAUUUCCUCUCUCCCUCCCUGUCUCGGGCUCGGCCCAUUUCUCUUUCCCCCCCCCCCCGCGGCCUGCUUCUCCCCUUCCCCCUUUCUUCUCGGUUUCGGCCCAAGCACCAGCGUCCGGCCCAGCAGCUGAGUGCCAGCGCCCUCCUCCCUUCUUCCACUGAUAGAGCGGUCCCGCGCCCUGAGUCACCGACAGGUGGGGCCCACUGGUCAGGCCUUUCUCCUACCUCGUGACGGAGCCGGAGUCUGCCGAGUUUGAGCAACGGCCGCGCGAAUCCUGCGUUUGGCUUGAUCCGCACGCCAAGGGGGCUUUAAAUAGCGGCCUCCGUUUCCCCGCGACCCCCUACUCCAAUCCCCGAGCCUGUCGCAUAAGCUCUCGCCGAGAAAAACAUCGCCGAGAUCCACCCCGAAAGCUAUCCGCCGCCGCGACGCGUUUUUGAUCACCGUGAGUACCUUGCCGAGCCUCGUCUCUCGCUUGCGAAGUCGCCGAGACACUUUGCUCGCGAUUUCGUGUUCUCUGUGCGCGACAAACCCUAGCUGAACCUGUGCUGAAGCUCGCCGUCCGCCUAUCUCUGUCGCGAGCACGCCCGAGUCUCUUCCCGACCUUGGUCUUGCCCUAGGUAAGUCCACAUCAAGCUCCUCUACGCCCCAGCGCAAUCGGUUCACGUUCUACCGCCCUAAAACCCCCAAACCGCAAGCUCCGGCCAUCACCGGCAAUGGCGCCACCGUCGUCUUCCUGUGUGCCGGUGACCCGCUCCCCCCGAUCUAAUCUCAACCGUCCAAUUGAGAUCCAACGAUCUAAAACAAAGCAUACCCCUUCGGCCGCGCUUUUUGCAAAAGAAACCCCGUGCUUUUUAAAGUCUUAACCCGCAGUCCUUUACGGAUUUCCAGAAUACGCUUCCUAACUCCGAAAGCGUAUUCCCUUCUGCUCUGAUUCAGAAUACGUUUUCACAGUUUAAAAACGUACUCCGUGCUGGUUUAUUCAAAAUACGUUUUCAGAAAAUUACAAGUUUGCCACUGGAUUUGUUUUACACAUAAAAUAUUCAUCUUAAUUCCGUUUUGGCUCGUUCAAAUUGUGUUGGUUUUGUCUUUGAAAGAUCUACAUGUUAGUAAAACUGUUUUCUCAGUUUGAAACUUUUUAAUUCCGUGACCCAAAUUAAUUAAUUGUUUUUCUAAAGAAAAUCUUAGAAAAUUCAUAUAUUCUUCGUUUUAACUCCGUUUUGAUCCGUUCAAAUUUCGUUAGAUUCGUUUUCGCGUAACCUAUAGAUUAAUGUUACUGAAUUACAAGUUUUCAACUUUUAAAAUCUGAGUUUAGAUUUAAUCUUAUACCUUGUCACCUAUGGUUUUGCAUUGGGUAGCUUAUGCUAGUGCUCCACUAAACCAUGAUCUUGUAAUUUGAUUAAAGGAUUAUGCAAUAAACAUUAAAAGAUGACUUUUUAGCAACUUUGGAAAAGAGGGCUGGAGCAUUGGGCUAUCUUAUGGUGCUCUAGUUUCUCUCCAUAAGGACUUAUCUGUAUCUGACCAUCCGGGACAUACAGUACAACUGUGAGGGCUACAUGGCUCUGGCUUUAGCUCAGUAUGAGGACCUUUUCUAGCUUGUUAGUGGUUACCCUUGUGGCGCAAGUGGGGGACAGCAGACCGUGGAUUCCUGCGGGUGAGUCAUACGGACUGACUAACGAAACCUAGCGGCCCUAACUUGUUAGACGAAACUUUGAAAGGCUUCAUAGUGAACCUGCCGGUCUUCCUUGGUAGUGGGCUAAGAGGUCGACGGGCCUCGGGCAAAAUGGUAAAUCACGACUCACAGUGAAAGUGUACAACCUCUGCAGAGUGUAAAACUGAUAUAUCAGCCGUGCUCACGGUCACGAGCGGCCUUGGACCAAUACAGAAUAAAUGAUCACUAAUGGCAAAUCAUUAAUGUUAUUAUUGUUAAUAUGUUGUUUAUGCUAUUCUUUAUUCACUUUACUUGAUCAUGAGUUUACUAUGGGACUUGACAACUUGAUGCUACUCAUAUGCUAAAAUUGUGACAAAUAAAAGCUACAUGCAGUUAAACCAGUGUCUAGCCUUUGAGCCUCAUGAACCCUAUGUUAUUCUUGCUGAGUACGAGAUAUACUUACGCUUGCCUUUACAUUUUAUUUGGAUAAAAAUCCCGGAUGGGUACCAGAUUGCAAGCUUGGAAAAGAGUUUAGGCUUGUGCUCAACCAGUCAGUUGUCCCUGUGGAUUUGGAGCUUUCGCCUGAAGAACGAAGUGUCUUUCCGCUGUUUGCUAUCUAAGGUUAUAUCUUUUAUACUAAGUUCGUUAUAUAUAAGCAUUGACUACUGAUAUUACCCCUAUUUGUGGCUAUAUGUGAGAUUUGACUUCCUGGGCUCACAUAUGGUGUGUAUCUGGUUUUGUUCUUCAAACCGGGUGCUACAGCGAACUGAGCUUGGUAUUGAAGCAGGCACAAAUUUGACAGUUGGUAAGAUAGAGAAGGUCAUGAAAAAAAUAGAACAAACAUUUGAGGCUCAAAUGUUUUUUUCUUGUACUAAUCUCCAAAUUUCUGAUGCCUGCAACUAUCCAAUUUAUCAAUAUAAACGCAGUCAAGUACACAAAGGACAUGAAUGUCAUUGGGGACUUCGACUGGUGCACAGUUGUUUAUGAACAGUUUAGGACAUCUGUCAGUACACUAGUACAGACGCAUACCAUACAGGCGGCUGAAAACCCAUUCAUACUGGCGUUUUUCAGCACCGCCUGCGCUGGAGGCCAAUAGAAAUGGGACAUUUCUACAGGCGGUAACUAAGAACCGCCUGUGGAAAUGCAUUUCUACAGGCGGUUCAGUUAUGCCAACCUCCUGUAGAAAUCUUUUUCCAGAAAAUAGGAAAUCGGUUUUUAAAAAUAGGAAAAACAAAUUUUAAUACAGGGAAGGCUCAUCAGCUAUUCGCCCGCCCGUCUCCGUCGAAGUCGCAAGUCAAGCUUUUUUUGCGUAAAAUCGCGUGCUUCGCGGCCGGUGGGAUUCGAUGGUUGCACUGAUCCAGUAGAAUUGGUGUCAAUAGCACCGAAUUCAAUAUUAUAUACAGUACCUAAUUCAAUUGGAGUGAAGGUUACGAAUGAACUCUCUAGACACUGAUUCUUGUGUAUGCAGUUCCGUACUUGUAUUGGAACACGUUGGUUGUCAAAAUAUUAUGAAUGAAAACAAUUAGUAGGCUAAUGGUAAUUUGAAGUGCAAUGCAACUUUUUUUAAACAUCAAUGCAACUUAAAAUGAAGUACUUCAUCCGUCCGGUAAAUUUUGCAAUUAUUUGACUUUCAAAUUUCGUGUUCGGCCAUUCGUCUUAUUCAAAAAAUUUAUAUAAAUAUCAGCUAUCUUAUUAUGUCUUAUUUUUUCAUUAGAGAUACUCUAAUAAUAAUAUUUUUAUUUUAUAAUAUAUAUAAAUUUUUAAAUAAGACGAAUGGUUAAACGUGAAAUUUGAAAGUCAAAGAAUUGAAAAAAAUACGGAUGGAGGGAGUAGUUACAUCCGCAAGAGGCCCAACAAGGGUGCCGGCGAUACUCAUGUUAGGAAAACAAAGGAAUUUUAAGAGUCAUCAAAAAUUCGUCAAAACAAUUUUAAGAGACGCCAAAAAUAAAGAGCUUGGUUGGGAUCCAAUAUUUGCCAAACCAAAAAUUAGUCGUUGCAGGCGGCUACUCACCUUCUUCCCCUCAAAAAAGAGUCGUUGCAGGCGCGGUGUCCCACCGUCUAUAUAGUCUGGUUCUCACCUUGUUCAUCUUCUUCGCCAUCGCCAUCGCCAUCGCCGUCGACCUAGACCUAGAGCCCACCCCCACGCUUGGCGUCCCACCGUGCUCGGCUGCGCACGAGCUUGACGCACCCGCUUGCCUCGCCUUGUCUCGCCGCGACCUGAAGCUCUACUUGGAUCCCUUGCCGCUGCCUGCCUUGCUUCUCGCUCCGGCAGCAUCGGGGCAUCGAUUCGGCGGCGGAGCCUGAGGUUCGCUCCUUUUUUUUCUGCAUACCCACUUUCCCGUACAAGUUAGGGUUUUAAUUUAAAUUUGAGUGAACACUUGAUUUUGAUUUUAAAAUAGGAUGCCAAAUGGAGAUGAUGAAACCAGGUCACAAGAUUCUGAAUCAUUUGAUGAGGUAUGCUUAAGGAACUCGUGCAUCUUAUUAGUUCCUUCUCUUGAACCAUCAUGCUGCAAGCAGCUAGGAUCCUUUGGUAGUCUUAUAGGAGUGUCCAGUCCCCAUGUGUUGAUGUAGAACAACACAGCAAGCUAAACAAAUACUGGGCAUUGCGAUGCUGGAUCUUCGAUAUAUUUCUUUCGAAUUAACGGAGGCUUGCUCCAAUUCGAUAUAUUUCUCUUGAAUUAGGGGAGUUCUCCUGGUUUUUAAACUUUUUCCAGAUUCAAUUAACUUCAAUUGUAUUUGUUCAAUUAUAUUUCUUUUUUCAUAGCAAAACUAAAGUAACUGGGCAUUCUUAGCUGCCCAGCUUUGGUGCUCUCUGUUUAUGUGUUACCUUGAGCUCUCAGUUUUGAUAUUUCAUAAUAUGAAGUCACGUAGUAGCCAACGAGUACACAACAAAAUUAAAUGUUCUUGUCUAUUCUAUAGCAGAGGACAUCAUUUAACUUCUAUUCUUGGUGAUUCUAUAUGGUGCAUGGGUCAUGUUAGGCAUGUCAUGAGUUUUUCCUUAGUUGUGUAUUGGUGUGUUUCAUAGAUCUCCAACGGAAAUAGAGACAAUGGCUUCCCCAAGAAGAGGAGUCCACGCCCCAAAUUCCAGGGGGGUCACAGAUAUCAUAUGUUUCAUCAUCAUUUAAUGAGGUAUUCUUAACGAACUAUUCAACAAUAAUUGAUAGGAGUGUCCAGUCCCUAUGUGUUGAUGUAGAACAACACAACAAGCUAAACAAAUACUGGGGCAUUGUGAUGCUGGCGCUUUGAUAUAUUUCUUUCGAAUUAACGGAGGCUUGCUCCAAUUCGAUAUAUUUCUCUUGAAUUAGGGGAGUUCUCUUGGUUUUUAAACUUUUUCCGGAUUCAAUUAACAUCAAUUGUAUUUGUUCAAUUAUAUUUCUUUUGUCAUAGCAAAAGUAAAGUAACUGGGCAAUCUUAGCUGCCCAGCUUUGGUGCUCUCUCUUUAUGUGUUACCUUGAGCUCUCAGUUUUGAUAUUUCCUAAUAUGAAGUCACGUAGUAGCCAACGAGUACACAAUAGAAUUAAAUGUUCUUGUCUAUUCUAUAGCAGAGGACAUCAUUUAACUUCUAUUAUUGGUGAUUCUAUAUCGUGCAUGGAUCAUGUUAGGCAUGUCAUGAGUUUUUCCUUUGUUGUGUAUUGGUGUGUUUCAUAGAUCUCCAACGGAAAUAGAGACAAAGGCUCCCCCAAGAAGAGGAGUCGACGCCCCAAAUUCCAGGGCGGGUCACAGACAUCAUAUGUUUCAUCAUCAUUUAAUGAGGUAUUCUUAACGAACUAUUCAUCAAUAAUUGAUGCUGGUGCAUACAUUUACUGGUCACUUUAACCAUUGUUUUUUUAUAGGGAAAUAGAGACAAAGAAUCACCCCAAAAGAAGAGCCAACAGUCCAGUUUCCCUGUGGUCUCAUCGGAAGAUGAGGGUUCUAUUAGUCUUGAUUUGGGUUGCAAACGAGAAGAAGUGAUGGAUUUGGUGUAGUGGCUCGGUGACCAAGAUCGUGAAGAGUUAAAGAGACUCGGUUUUGGGACAUUUUUAGACCUGACGGUGGGUAAAACCUCCAGACGCAAAGAAACUUUUCAGAUUCUCAAAAGCAUAGUUUUCUGAAAAGGAUCGGAUUGCAAUAUACAUAGGGGAUGUGAUAUUAUACAUAACUCCAGAAGUAAUAUUUGAACUUUUGAGACUACCACGUAGCAAGAAGAUGCAGCCGCUGCACAUAACUCAAGCAAAUAAAGAUUUUACUGAUCUGUGAACUGAGCUUGGUAUUGAAGCAGGCACAAAUUUUACAGUUGGUAAGAUAGAGAAGGUCAUGAAAAAAAGAGAACAAACAUUUGAGGCUCAAAUGUUUUUUUCUUGUACUAAUCUCCAAAUUUCUGAUGCCUACAACUACCAAAUUUAUCAAUAUAAACGCAGUCAAGUACAUAAAGGACAUGAAUGUCAUUGGAGACUUCGACUGGUGCACAGUUGUUUAUGAACAGUUUAGGACCUCUGUCAGUACACUAGUACAGAGGCAUACUGUACAGGCGGCUGAAAACCUAUUUCUACUGGCGUUUUUCAGCACCGCCUGCGCUGGAGGCCAGUAGAAAUAGGACAUAUCUACAGGCGGUAACUAAGAACUGCCUGUGGAAAUGCAUUUCUACAGGCGGUUCAGUUAUGCCAACCGCCUGUAGAAAUCUUUUUCUAGAAAAUAGGAAAUCGGUUUUUAAAAAUAGGAAAAAAAGAUUUUAAUACAUAGAAGGCCCAUCGGCUAUUCGCCCACCCGUCUCCGUCUAAGUCGCAAGUCGCGCUUUUUUUCGCGUAAAAUCGUGUGCUUCGCGGCCGGUGGGAUUCGAUGGUUGCACUGAUCCAGUAGAAUUGGUGUCAAUAACACCGAAUUCAAUAUUAUAUACAGUACCUAAUUCAAUUGGAGUGAAGGUUAGGAAUGAACUCUCUUGACACUGAUUCUUGUGUAUGCAGUUCCGUACUUGUAUUGGAACACGUUGGUUGUCAAAACAUUAUGAAUGAAAACAAUUAGUAGGCUAAUGAUAAUUGUAAGUGCAAUGCAACUUUUUUUAAACAUCAAUGCAACUUAAAAUGAAGUACUUCCUCCGUCCGGUAAAUUUUGCAAUUAUUUGACUUUCAAAUUUCGUGUUUGACCAUUCGUCUUAUUCAAAAAAUUUAUAUAACUAUCAUCUAUCUUAUUAUGUCUUACUUUUUCAUUAGAGAUACUUUAAUAAUAAUAUUUUAUUUUAUAAUAUAUAUAAAUUUUUAAAUAAGACGUAUGGUCAAACGUGAAAUUUGAAAGUCAAAGAAUUGAAAAAAUUACGGAUGGAGGGAGUAGUUACAUCCGCAAGAGGCCCAACAAGGGUGCCGGCGAUACUCAUGUUAGGAAAGCAAAAGAAUUUUAAGAGUCGUCAAAAAUUCGUCAAAACAAUUUUAAGAGUCAUCAAAAAUAAAGAGCUUGGUUGGGAUCCAAUAUUUGCCAAACCAAAAAUUAGUCGUUGCAGGCGGCUACUCACCUUCUUCCCCUCAAAAAAGAGUCGUUGCAGGCGCGGCGUCCCACCGUCUAUAUAGUCUGGUUCUCACCUUGUUCAUCUUCUUCGCCAUCGCCAUCGACCUAGACCUAGAGCCCAGACCCACGCUCUGCGUCCCACCGUGCUCGGUUGCGCACGAGCUUGACGCACCAGCUUGCCUCGCCUUGUCUUGCCGCGACCUGAAGCUCUGCUUGGAUCCCUUGCCGCUGCCUGCCUUGCUUCUCGCUCCGGCAGCAUCGGGGCAUCGAUUCGGCGGCGGAGCCCGAGGUUCACUCCUUUUUUUCUGCAUACCCACUUUCCCAUACAAGUUAGGGUUUUAAUUUAAAUUUUAGUGAACACUUGAUUUUGAUUUUAAAAUAGGAUGCCACAUGGAGAUGAUGAAACUUGGUCACAAGAUUCUGAAUCAUUUAAUGAGGUAUGCUUAACGAACUCGUGCAUCUUAUUGGUUCCUUCUCUUGAACCAUCAUGCAGCAAGCAGCUAGGAUCCUUUGGUAGUCUUAUAGGAGUGUCCAGUCCCCAUGUGUUGAUGUAGAACAACACAGCAAGCUAAACAAAUACUGGGGCAUUACGAUGUUGGCUCUUCGAUAUAUUUCUUUCGAAUUAACGGAGGCUUGCUCCAAUUCGAUAUAUUUCUCUUGAAUUAGGGGAGUUCUCCUGGUUUUUAAACUUUUUCGGAUUAAAUUAACUUCAAUUGUAUUUGUUCAAUUAUAUUUCUUUUGUCAUAGCAAAAGCAAGGUCACUGGGCAUUCUAUGCGGCCCAGCUUUGGUGCUCUCUGUUUUUGUGUUACCUUGAGCUCUUAGUUUUGAUAUUUCUUAAUAUGAAGUCACGUAGUAGCCAAUGAGUACACAACAGAAUUAAAUGUUCUUGUCUAUUCUAUAGCAGAGGACAUCGUUUAACUUCUAUUCUUGGUGAUUCUAUAUCGUGCAUGGGUCAUGUUAGGCAUGUCAUGAGUUUUUCCUUUGUUGUGUAUCGGUGUGUUUCAUAGAUCUCCAACGGAAAUAGAGACAAAGGCUCCCCCAAGAAGAGGAGUCGACGCCCCAAAUUCCAGGGGGGGUCACAGACAUCAUAUGUUUCAUCAUCAUUUAAUGAGGUAUUCUUAACGAACUAUUCAACAAUAAUUGAUGCUGGUGCAUAUAUUUGCUGGUCACUUUAACCAUUGUUUUUUAUAGGGAAAUAGAGACAAAGAAUCACCCCGGAAGAAGAGCCGACAGUCCAGUUUCCCUGUGGUCUCAUCAUAAGAUGAGGGUUCUAUUAGUCUUGAUUUGGGUUGCAAACCAAAAGAAGUGAUGGAUUUGGUGUAGUGGCUUGGUGACCAAGAUCGUGAAGAGUUAAAGAGACUCGAUUUUGGGACAUUUUUAGACCUGACGGUGGGUAAAAUCUCCAGACGCAAAGAAACAUUUCAGAUUCUCAAAAGCAUAGUUUUUGAGAAGGAUCGGCUUGCAAUAUACAUAGGGGAUGUGAUAUUAUACAUAAGUCCAGAAGUAAUAUUUGAACUUUUGAGACUACCACGUAGCAAGGAGAUGCAGCCGCUGCACAUAACUCAAGCAAAUAAAGAUUUUGCUGAUCUGCGAACUGAGCUUGGUAUUGAAGCAGGCACAAAUUUGACAGUUGGCAAGAUAGAGAAGGUCAUGAAAAAAAGAGAACAAACAUUUGAGGCUCAAAUGUUUUUUUCAUGUACUAAUCUCCAAAUUUCUGAUGCCUACAACUACCCAAUUUAUCAAUAUAAACGCAGUCAAGUACACAAAGGACAUGAAUGUCAUUGGGGACUUCGACUUGUGCACAGUUGUUAAUGAACAGUUUAGGACCUCUGUCAGUACACUAGUACAGACGCAUACUUUACAGGCGGCUGAAAACCCAUUUCUACUGGCGUUUUUGAGCACCGCCUGCGCUGGAGGCCAGUAGAAAUGGGACAUUUCUACAGGCGGUAACUAAGAACCGCCAGUGGAAAUCUAUUUCUACAGGCGGUUCAGUUAUUCCAACCACCUGUAGAAAUCUUUUUCCAGAAAAUAGGAAAUUGGUUUUUAAAAAUAGGAAAAAAAGAUUUUAAUACAGGGAAGGCCCAUCGGCUAUUCGCCCGCCCGUCUCCGUCGAAGUCGCAAGUCGCGCUUUUUUCGCGUAAAAUCGCGUGCUUCGCGGCCGGUGGGAUUCGAUGGUUGCACUGAUCCAGUAGAAUUGGUGUCAAUAGCACCGAAAAUUCAAUAUUAUAUAUAGUACCUAAUUCAAUUGGAGUGAAGGUUAGGAAUGAACUCUCUUGACACUAAUUCUUGUGUAUGCAGUUCCGUACUUGUAUUGGAACACGUUGGUUGUCGAAACAUUAUGAAUGAAAACAAUUAGUAGGCUAAUGGUAAUUGGAAGUGCAAUGCAACUUUUUUUAAACAUCAAUGCAACUUAAAAUGAAGAACUUCCUCCGUCCGGUAAAUUUUGCAAUUAUUUGACUUUCAAAUUUCGUGUUUGACCAUUCGUCUUAUUCAAAAAAUUUAUAUAAAUAUCAUCUAUCUUAUUAUGUCUUAUUUUUUCGUUAGAGAUACUUUAAUAAUAAUAUUUUUAUUUUAUAAUAUAUGUAAAUUUUUAAAUAUGACGAAUGGUCAAACGUGAAAUUUGAAAGUCAAAGAAUUGAAAAAAUUACGGAUGGAGGGAGUAGUUACAUCCGCAAGAGGCCCAAUAAGGGUGCCGGCGAUACUCAUGCUAGGAAAACAAAGGAAUUUUAAGAGUCGUCAAAAAUUCGUCAAAACAAUUUUAAGAGUCGUCAAAAAUAAAGAGCUUGGUUGGGAUCCAAUAUUUGCCAAACCAAAAAUUAGUCGUUGCAUGCGGCUACUCACCUUCUUCCCUCAAAAAAGAGUCGUUGCAGGCGCGGCGUCCCACCGUCUAUAUAGUCUGGUUCUCACCUUGUUCAUCUUCUUCCCCAUCGCCAUCGCCGUCGACCUAGACCUAGAGCCCACCCCCACGCUUGGCGUCCCACCGUGCUCGGCUGCGCACGAGGUUGACGCACCCGCUUGCCUCGCCUUGUCUCGCCGCGACCUGAAGCUCUGCUUGGAUCCCUUGCCGCUGCCUGCCUUGCUUCUCGCUCCGGCAGCAUCAGGGCAUCGAUUCGGCGGCGGAGCCCGAGGUUCGCUCCUUUUUUUUCUGCAUACCCACUUUCCCAUACAAGUUAGGGUUUUAAUUUAAAUUUGAGUGAACACUUGAUUUUGAUUUAAAAUAGGAUGCCACAUGGAGAUGAUGAAACCGGGUCACAAGAUUCUGAAUCAUUUGAUGAGGUAUGCUUAACAAACUCGUGCAUCUUAUUGGUUCCUUCUCUUGAACCAUCGUGCUGCAAGCAGCUAGGAUCCUUUGGUAGUCUUAUAGGAGUGUCCAGUCCCCAUGUGUUGAUGUAGAACAACACAGCAAGCUAAACAAAUACAGGGGCAUUGCGAUGCUGGCUCUUCGAUGUAUUUUUUUCGACUUAACGGAGGCUUCCUCCAAUUCGAUAUAUUUCUCUUGAAUUAGGGGAGUUCUCCUGGUUUUUAAACUUUUUCCGGAUUCAAUUAACUUCAAUUGUAUUUGUUCAAUUAUAUUUCUUUUGUCAUAGCAAAAGUAAAGUAACUGGGCAUUCUUAGCUGCCCAGCUUUGGUGCUCUCUGUUUAUGUGUUACCUUGAGCUCUCAGGUUUGAUAUUUCAUAAUAUGAAUUCACGUAGUAGCCAACGAGUACACAACAAAAUUAAAUGUUCUUGUCUAUUCCAUAGCAGAGGACAUCAUUUAACUUCUAUUCUUGGUGAUUCUAUAUCGUGCAUGGGUCAUGUUAGGCAUGUCAUGAGUUUUUCCUUUGUUGUGUAUUGGUGUGUUUCAUAGAUCUUCAACGGAAAUAGAGACAAAGGCUCCCCCAAGAAGAGGAGUCGACGCCCCAAAUUCUAGGGGGGUCACAGAUAUCAUAUGUUUCAUCAUCAUUUAAUGAGGUAUUCUUAACAAACUAUUCAACAAUAAUUGAUAGGAGUGUCCAGUCCCCAUGUGUUGAUGUAGAACAACACAGCAAGCUAAACAAAUACUGGGGCACUGCGAUGCUGGCUCUUUGAUAUAUUUCUUUCGAAUUAACGGAGGCUUGCUCUAAUUCGAUAUAUUUCUCUUGAAUUAGGGGAGUUCUCCUGGUUUUUAAACUUUUUCCGCAUUCAAUUAACUUCAAUUGUAUUUGUUCAAUUAUAUUUCUUUUGUCAUAGAAAAAGUAAAGUAACUGGGCAUUCUUAGCUGCCUAGCUUUGGUGCUCUCUGUUUAUGUGUUACCUUGAGCUCUCAGUUUUGAUAUUUCCUAAUAUGAAGUCACGUAGUAGCCAACGAGUACACAACAGAAUUAAAUGUUCUUGUCUAUUCUAUAGCAGAGGACAUCAUUUAACUUCUAUUCUUGGUGAUUCUAUAUCGUGCAUGGGUCAUGUUAGGCAUGUCAUGAGUUUUUCCUUUGUUGUGUAUUGGUGUGUUUCAUAGAUCUCCAACGGAAAUAGAGACAAAGGCUCCCCCAAGAAGAGGAGUCGACGCCCGAAAUUCCAGGGGGGGUCACAGACAUAUUAUGUUUCAUCAUCAUUUAAUGAGGUAUUCUUAACGAACUAUUCAACAAUAAUUGAUGCUGGUGCAUAUAUUUGCUGGUCACUUUAACCAUUGUUUUUUAUAGGGAAAUAGAGACAAAGAAUCACCCCGGAAGAGGAGCCGACAGUCCAGUUUCCCUGUGGUCUCAUCAGAAGAAGAGGGUUCUAUUAGUCUUGAUUUGGGUUGCAAACCAGAAGAAGUGAUGGAUUUGGUGUAGUGGCUUGGUGACCAAGAUCGUGAAGAGUUAAAGAGACUCGGCUUUGGGACAUUUUUAGACCCGACGGUGGGUAAAAUCUCCAGACGUAAAGAAACAUUUCAGAUUCUCAAAAGCAUAGUUUUUGAAAAGGAUCAGAUUGCAAUAUACAUAGGGGAUGUGAUAUUAUACAUAACUCCAGAAGUAAUAUUUGAACUUUUGAGACUACCACGUAGCAAGAAGAUGCAGCCGCUGCACAUAACUCAAGCAAAUAAAGAUUUUGCUGAUCUGCGAAUUGAGCUUGGUAUUGAAGCAGGCACAAAUUUGACAGUUGGUAAGAUAGAAAAGGUCAUGAAAAAAAAGAGAACAAACAUUUGAGGCUCAAAUGUUUUUUUCUUGUACUAAUCUCCAAAUUUCUGAUGCCUACAACUACCCAAUUUAUCAAUAUAAACGCAGUCAAGUACACAAAGGACAUGAAUGUCAUUCGGGACUUCGACUGGUGCACAUUUGUUUAUGAACAGUUUAGGACCUCUGUCAGUACACUAGUACAAACGCAUACUGUACAGGCGGCUGAAAACUCAUUUCUACUGGCGUUUUUCAGCACCGCCUGCGCUGGAGGCCAGUAGAAAUGGGACAUUUCUACAGGCGGUAACUGAGAACCGCCCGUGGAAAUGCAUUUCUACAGGCGGUUCAGUUAUGCCAACCGCCUGUAGAAAUCUUUUUCUAGAAAAUAGGAAAUCGGUUUUUAAAAAUAGGAAAAAAAAGAUUUUAUUACAGGGAAGGCCCAUCGGCUAUUCGCCCGUCCGUCUCCGUCGAAGUCGCAAGUCGCGCUUUUUUCGCGUAAAAUCGCAUGCUUCGCGGCCGGUGGGAUUCGAUGGUUGCACUGAUCCAGUAGAAUUGGUGUCAAUAGCACCGAAUUCAAUAUUAUAUACAGUACCUAAUUCAAUUGGAGUGAAGGUUACGAAUGAACUCUCUUGACACUGAUUCUUGUGUAUGCAGUUCCGUACUUGUAUUGGAACACGUUGGUUGUCAAAACAUUAUGAAUGAAAACAAUUAGUAGGCUAAUGGUAAUUGGAAGUGCAAUGCAACUUUUUUUAAACAUCAAUGCAACUUAAAAUGAAGUACUUCCUCCGUCCGGUAAAUUUUGCAGUUAUUUGACUUUCAAAAUUUCGUGUUUGACCAUUCGUCUUAUUCAAAAAAUUUAUAUAAAUAUCAUCUAUCUUAUUAUGUCUUAUUUUUUCAUUAGAGGUACUUUAAUAAUAAUAUUUUUAUUUUAUAAUAUAUAUAAAUUUUUAAAUAAGAUGAUUGGUCAAACGUGAAAUUUGAAAGUCAAAGAAUUGAAAAAAUUACGGAUGGAGGGAGUAGUUACAUCCGCAAGAGGCCCAACAAGGGUGCCGGCGAUACUCAUGUUAGGAAAACAAAGAAAUUUUAAGAGCCGUCAAAAAUUCGUCAAAACAAUUUUAAGAGUCGUCAAAAAUAAAGAGCUUGGUUGGGAUCCAAUAUUUGCCAAACCAAAAAUUAGUCGUUGCAGGCGGCUACUCACCUUCUUCCCCUCAAAAAAUAGUCGUUGCAGGCGCGGCGUCCCACCGUCUAUAUAGUCUGGUUCUCACCUUGUUCAUCUUCUUCGACAUCGCCAUCGCCGUCGACCUAGACCUAGAGCCCACCCCCACGCUUGGCGUCCCACCGUGCUCGGCUACACAUGAGCUUCACGCACCCGCUUGCCUCGCCUUGUCUCGCCGCGACCUGAAGCUCUGCUUGGAUCCCUUGCCGCUGCCUGCCUUGCUUCUCGCUCCGGCAGCAUCGGGGCAUCGAUUCGGCGGCGGAGCCCGAGGUUCGCUCCUUUUUUUCUGCAUACCCACUUUCCCAUACAAGUUAGGGUUUUAAUUUAAAUUUGAGUGAACACUUGAUUUUGAUUUUAAAAUAGGAUGCCACAUGGAGAUGAUGAAACCGGGUCACAAGAUUCUGAAUCAUUUGAUGAGGUAUGCUUAACGGACUCGUGCAUCUUAUUGGUUCCUUCUCUUGAACCAUCGUGCUGCAAGCAGCUAGGAUCCUUUGGUAGUCUUAUAGGAGUGUCCAGUCCCCAUGUGUUGAUGUAGAACAACACAGCAAGCUAAACAAAUACUGGGGCAUUGCGAUGCUGGCUCUUCGAUAUAUUUCUUUCGAAUUAACAGAGGCUUGCUCCAAUUCGAUAUAUUUCCCUUGAAUUAGGGGAGUUCUCCUGGUUUUUAAACUUUUUGUGGAUUCAAUUAACUUCAAUUGUAUUUGUUCAAUUAUAUUUCUUUUGUCAUAGCAAAAGUAAAGUAACUGGGCAUUCUUAGCUGCCCAGCUUUGGUGCUCUCUGUUUAUGUGUUACCUUGAGCUCUCAGUUUUGAUAUUUCCUAAAAUGAAGUCACGUAGUAGCCAACGAGUACACAAUAGAAUUAAAUGUUCUUGUCUAUUCUAUAGCAGAGGACAUCAUUUAACUUCUAUUCUUGGUGAUUCUAUAUCGUGCAUGGGUCAUGUUAGGCAUGUCAUGAGUUUUUCCUUUGUUGUGUAUUGGUGUGUUUCAUAGAUCUCCAACGGAAAUAGAGACAAAGGCUCCCCCAAGAAGAGGAGUCGACGCCCCAAAUUCCAGGGGGGUCACAGACAUCAUAUGUUUCAUCAUCAUUUAAUGAGGUAUUCUUAACGAACUAUUCAACAAUAAUUGAUGCUGGUGCAUAUAUUUGCUGGUCACUUUAACCAUUGUUUUUUAUAGGGAAAUAGAGACAAAGAAUCAACCCGGAAGAAGAGCCGACAGUCCAGUUUCCCUGUGGUCUCAUCUGAAGAUGAGGGUUCUAUUAGUCUUGAUUUGGGUUGCAAACCAGAAGAAGUGAUGGAUUUGGUGUAGUGGCUUGGUGACCAAGAUCGUGAAGAGUUAAAGAGACUCGGUUUUGGGACAUUUUUAGACCCGACGGUGGGUAAAAUCUCCAGACGCAAAGAAACAUUUCAGAUUCUCAAAAGCAUAGUUUUUGAAACGGAUCAGAUUGCAAUAUACAUAGGGGAUGUGAUAUUAUACAUAACUCCAGAAGUAAUAUUUGAACUUUUGAGACUACCACGUAGCAAGAAGAUGCAGCCGCUGCACAUAACUCAAGCAAAUAAAGAUUUUGCUGAUCUGCGAACUGAGCUUGGUAUUAAAGCACGCACAAAUUUGACAGUUGGUAAGAUAGAGAAGGUCAUGAAAAAAAAGAGAACAAACAUUUGAGACUCAAAUGUUUUUUUCUUGUACUAAUCUCCAAAUUUCUGAUGCCUACAACUACCCAAUUUAUCAAUAUAAACGCAGUCAAGUACACAAAGGACAUGAAUGUCAUUGGAGACUUCGACUGGUGCACAGUUGUUUAUGAACAGUUUAGGACCUCUGUCAGUACACUAGUACAGACGCAUACUGUACAGGCGGCUGAAAACCCAUUUCUACUGGCGUUUUUCAGCACCGCCUGCGCUGGAGGCCAGUAGAAAUGGGACAUUUCUACAGGCGGUAACUGAGAACCGCCUGUGCAAAUGCAUUUCUACAGGCGGUUCAGUUAUGCCAAUCGCCUGUAGAAAUAUUUUUCCAGAAAAUAGGAAAUCGGUUUUUAAAAAUAGAAAAAAAAAGAUUUUAAUACAGGGAAGGCCCAUCGGCUAUUCGCCCGCCCGUCUCCGUCGAAGUCGCAAGUCGCGCUUUUUUUCGCGUAAAAUCGCGUGCUUCGCGGCCGGUGGGAUUCGAUGGUUGCACUGAUCCAGUAGAAUUGGUGUCAAUAGCACCGAAUUCAAUAUUAUAUACAGUACCUAAUUCAAUUGGAGUGAAGGUUACGAAUGAUCUCUCUUUGACACUGAUUCUUGUGUAUGCAGUUCCGUACUUGUAUUGGAACACGUUGGUUGUCAAAACAUUAUGAAUGAAAACAAUUAGUAGGCUAAUGGUAAUUGGAAGUGCAAUGCAACUUUUUUUAAACAUCAAUGCAACUUAAAAUGAAGUACUUCCUCCGUCCGGUAAAUUUUGCAGUUAUUUGACUUUCAAAAUUUCGUGUUUGACCAUUCGUCUUAUUCAAAAAAUUUAUAUAAAUAUCAUCUAUCUUAUUAUGUCUUAUUUUUUCAUUAGAGAUACCUUAAUAAUAAUAUUUUUAUUUUAUAAUAUAUAUAAAUUUUUAAAUAAGACGAAUGGUCAAACGUAAAAUUUGAAAGUCAAAGAAUUGAAAAAAUUACGGAUGGAGGGAGUAGUUACAUCCGCAAGAGGCCCAACAAGGGUGCCGGCGAUACUCAUGUUAGGAAAACAAAGGAAUUUUAAGAGUCUCAAAAAUUCGUCAAAACAAUUUUAAGAGUCGUCAAAAAUAAAGAGCUUGGUUGGGAUCAAUAUUUGCCAAACCAAAAAUUAGUCGUUGCAGGCGGCUACUCACCUUCUUCCCCUCAAAAAAGAGUCGUUGCAGGCGCGGCGUCCCACCGUCUAUAUAGUCUGGUUCUCACCUUGUUCAUCUUCUUCGCCAUCGCCAUCGCCGUCGACCUAGACCUAGAGCCCACCCCCACGCUUGGCGUCCCACUGUGCUCGGCUGCGCACGAGCUUGACGCACCCGCUUGCCUCGCCUUGUCUCGCCGCGACCUGAAGCUCUCCUUGGAUCCCUUGCCGCUGCCUGCCUUGCUACUCGCUCCGGCAGCAUCGGGGCAUCCGGCGGCGGAGCCCGAGGUUCGCUCCUUUUUUUCUGCAUACCCACUUUCCCAUACAAGUUAGGGUUUUAAUUUAAAUUUGAGUGAACACUUGAUUUUGAUUUUAAAAUAGGAUGCCACAUGGAGAUGAUGAAACCGGGUCACAAGAUUCUGACUCAUUUGAUGAGGUAUGCUUAACGAACUCGUGCAUCUUAUUGGUUCCUUCUCUUGAACCAUCGUGCUGCAAGCAGCUAGGAUCCUUUGGUAGUCUUAUAGGAGUGUCCAGUCCCCAUGUGUUGAUGUAGAACAACACAGCAAGCUAAACAAAUACUGGGGUAUUGUGAUGCUGGCUCUUCGAUAUAUUUCUUUCGAAUUAACAGAGGCUUGCUCCAAUUUGAUAUAUUUCCCUUGAAUUAGGGGAGUUCUCCUGGUUUUUAAACUUUGUCUAGAUUCAAUUAACUUCAAUUGUAUUUGUUCAAUUAUAUUUCUUUUGUCAUAGCAAAAGUAAAGUAACUGGGCAUUCUUAGCUGCCCAGCUUUGGUGCUCUCUGUUUAUGUGUUACCUUGAGCUCUCAGUUUUGAUAUUUCCUAAAAUGAAGUCACGUAGUAGCCAACGAGUACACCAUAGAAUUAAAUGUUCUUGUCUAUUCUAUAGCAGAGGACAUCAUUUAACUUCUAUUCUUGGUGAUUCUAUAUCGUGCAUGGGUCAUGUUAGGCAUGUCAUGAGUUUUUCCUUUGUUGUGUAUUGGUGUGUUUCAUAGAUCUCCAACGGAAAUAGAGACAAAGGCUCCCCCAAGAAGAGGAGUCGACGCCCCAAAUUCCAGGGGGUCACAGACAUCAUAUGUUUCAUCAUCAUUUAAUGAGGUAUUCUUAAGGAACUAUUCAACAAUAAUUGAUGCUGGUGCAUAUAUUUUCUGGUCACUUUAACCAUUGUUUUUUUAUAGAGAAAUAGAGACAAAGAAUCACCCCGGAAGAAGAGCCGACAGUCUAGUUUCCCUGUGGUCUCAUCAGAAGAUGAGGGUUCUAUUAGUCUUGAUUUGGGUUGCAAACCAGAAGAAGUGAUGGAUUUGGUGUAGUGGCUUGGUGACCAAGAUCGUGAAGAGUUAAAGAGACUCGGUUUUGGGACAUUUUUAGACUUGACGGUGGGUAAAAUCUCCAGACUCAAAGAAACAUUUCAGAUUCUCAAAAGCAUAGUUUUUGAAAAGGAUCGGAUUGCAAUAUACAUAGGGGAUGUGAUAUUAUAGAUAACUCCCAGAAGUAAUAUUUGAACUUUUGAGACUACCACGUAGCAAGAAGAUGCAGCCGCUGCACAUAACUCAAGCAAAUAAAGAUUUUGCUGAUCUGCGAACUGAGCUUGGUAUUGAAGCAGGCACAAAUUUGACAGUUGGUAAGAUAGAGAAGGUCAUGAAAAAAAAAGAGAACAAACAUUUGAGGCUCAAAUGUUUUUUUCUUGUACUAAUCUCCAAAUUUCUGAUGCCUACAACUACCCAAUUUAUCAAUAUAAACGCAGUCAAGUACACAAAGGACAUGAAUGUCAUUGGGGACUUCGAUUGUUGCACAGUUGUUUAUGAACAGUUUAGGACCUCUGUCAGCACACUAGUACAGACGCAUACUGUACAGGCGGCUGAAAACUCAUUUCUACUGGCGUUUUUCAGCACCGCCUGCGCUGGAGGCCAGUAGAAAUGGGACAUUUCUACAGGCGGUAACUGAGAACCGCCUGUGGAAAUGCAUUUCUACAGGCAGUUCAGUUAUGCCAACCUCCUGUAGAAAUCUUUUUCCAGAAAAUAGGAAAUCGGUUUUUAAAAAUGCGAAAAAAAAGAUUUUAAUACAAGGAAGGCCCAUCGGCUAUUCGCCCGCCCGUCUCCGUCGAAGUCGCAAGUCGCGCUUUUUUCGCGUAAAAUCGCGUGCUUCGCGGCCGGUGGGAUUCGAUGGUUGCACUGAUCGAGUAGAAUUGGUGUCAAUAGCACCAAAUUCAAUAUUAUAUACAGUACCUAAUUCAAUUGGAGUGAAGGUUACGAAUGAACUCUCUUGACACUGAUUCUUAUGUACGCAGUUGCGUACUUGUAUUGGAACACGUUGGUUGUCAAAACAUUAUGAAUGAAAAUAAUUAGUAGGCUAAUGGUAAUUGGAAGUGCAAUGCAACUUUUUUUAAACAUCAAUGCAAGUCGCGCUUUUUUCGCGUAAAAUCGCGUGCUUCGCGGCCGGUGGGAUUCGAUCCUGAGACCUUACCCUUGCACAUUGCCUCCUCUACCACACCACCUAUCACUCACUUGUGUCUAUAUUAGAGUUUAGUUCCCCACAUAUUAUCACAAACCGAGCAUAUAUUGAUUAUUUGAGACCCUAAACGGAUUCCAAUGGAAAAGUUGUCAACUACAAAGUUUCAUAACUUUUUAAGAUCUACAACUUUGAUAUUGGAAGUUUUUCCAUCCGAGGUCAUUUACAAAAUUUGAAUUUCAAAUUUAAGAAAUUCAAACAUAGUUUUCGACGACAAGAUGAUGUCAAAUGAAAAAAUUAUCAACUACAAAGUUUCAUAACUUUUCGAGGUCUACAACUUUUAUUUUGACAGUUUUUUCAAACAAGGUCAUUUGAAAAACUCAAAAAAUUAAAUUUCAAUUUAUUUUUACAGGCGGUUUUCUUAACAAACUGCCUGUACAGGCGGUUUCUUAGGAGAACCGCCUGUAGAAAUACAUGAUUUCUACAGGCGGUUUUGUUAGGAAAACCGCCUGUAGAAAUAUGAUUUCCAGUGGCGGUUCCUUAGGACAACCGCCUGUACAAAUGCAUGAUUUCUACAGGCGGUUCAGUUAGGAAAACCACCUGUGAAAAUGCAUCUUCACAGGCGGUUCGUAAUUCUGACACCGCCCUUUUUACACCACAGGCGCGUGAUAACUACAACCGCCUGUAGUAUAAAAAAGGGGCGUCAGUGUUGUACUCUUUUCUACUAGUGGUAAAUGGCAAAAAUCAGUGGUGCAGUUGCCAGCAGGCGUAAAAAAAUCAAGGACUAUGCCUGGCUGUGCACUAAUGAUCCUGGUAAGCUAACUUGUAUUUACCUUCAUUUAUUGGGUUUGUUAAAUAUCUGAAUGGUGUUGAACAACCCUAUUGUGGAUUAAAAAGAAACAUGUUGAAAGCUUUACUUGUUUUUUAAGUACUAAAGAAUAGAGCCAUGUUUAACUGUAUAUUCUGGUUGGCAGACAUAUAUUGUUGACAAUAUGGAGCUGCCUGAGAUUCAGAAGGAUAAGGAAGCCAAAAAAUGUCCUAGAAUAAAUCAGUACAAUACUGACUUUUUGAUGGAUAAGAUUGGUGAAGCAGCUAAGCGCCGCAGGUUUAAGGUAUUGAUCAUCUCUUUGUCUGAAACUAUACCAUUUUUUUUGCUUUCUUUCACUGCAAACACAACAAAUCAUAUGUAUGUAUAUCAUAUUGAUAUCACCAUGAACACAAGUAGCACCAUUUAUAUCACAAUUCCAUCAAUUUUAUCACCACCGGCAAAGGAUUUAUCACAAUAGCACAUAUAUCUCAUAAUAGCAUCACUUAUUCGGCGAUAAAGUCCAUACAACGACUUGAUUCUAAUGAAGUUCGACACAACAAGUCCAAGUCCAUGACAUGAAGUUCCACACAACAAGUCCAAGUCCAUGACACGAAGAGAAGGAAUACAUGACAACUUCUUCGACAACGUUACUCACUGAGGCGGCGGUGGAGGUGCGUACUCGGGCCACCCAUUUGAUGGCGGCGACGGUCUCCCAUGCUUGUUCGCCACUUGGUUCGAACCCGCCGACUGAGGCUACACACAAGAGCAGCGAUUGCAUGAGACAAAGUUAAAUAGCUAAAUAACAUGCAUGUGUGAUAUAUAUUACUCACCGGAGUAGUGUGGAGAGCAACGAAGGGAGGAACGACGGGAGGAGGCUGAGGUGGACCCAUCAAGUUGGGUGGCAAAGUAACACCCAAAGAACUCUGCAGAAACGCCAGCACAUCUGACAUCCUCUGGUCACUUGCCAGCCGCGCCGCCCGCUCUGAAGCCACAACCGCCUCCAGCUCGUCAGCCCUCUUGUUCGAAGUUUCCACCUGGGCCUAUACAUUGUUGCAAAGGUAAUGUUAGUGAAGCGAGAAGAAAAUCCUUAAUGCAUGAUAGUAAACAAAAACUAACCUGUAGUGCCUCAACCCGGGCCUGUGCAUAGGCCGGCCGCUCGCGUAUCGGCGGGAGUCCGGAGCCGCUCGUGGUCUGUGCUCGGAUAUGGGAGAGAGUGGGAGUAGUGGUGCUGUCGAUCACGCUGUUCACCAUCUAGUAGCGCCCAUGUUGCUUUCCCUUUCCAAGACACAUGACGAGGCGUGCAUCGAUGUUGUCAUUCGUUGGAUCAUAAUCCAACCCAUGCAUCGCCCUCGCCGCCUAGUGGUACUCGGUGACUUUCUUGUAGGCGCUCUCACUUGUGUCCGCCUCGGGCGGGUCCUCUGGGUUGAAGGAGACGUCGGACGUCGCCUUGCCCUUGUGUGACAUGGUAUAUGCCGCGAAGUAGGAGCAUUGCUGGCCACCGUGUGCCGCCGACUGCGAGAACGAAAAGAAGUUUGUUAAUAGUCUUUGCCUAGUUAAAUUAAAGCAUGGAAACAGUUACAAACAUGAUGACGUACCCAAGCUCGGGCGAAGCCGCCGACGUUGCGGUUGCCUUGAUGGUGAGGCACACCUGACAUGGCCAAACGGUGAGCCCGGAAAGUCGCGUGCUGCUGCCGCCACUCCUCGCUCAACCAACGGUCCACGAUUUGCCCCCACGCCUCAGGGGACUUUUCGCACCACCAAGGAAUGACCUACAUGUCAUGAAGUAAGCGACAUGUUAGGCAAUCAAGUUCAUAGCACUUAAUGUUGAAAGGAACUUAAUUUAAAGUUGCUCAGUUACCUGCAUGAACUGCUCUUUGGUCAGAGAGAGGCUCCGCUCUCGAAUUUGUUUCUUGUUGACGCUCUCGCCAAACUGCUUCCCAUAGUAGUCUCUGAUGGCCUGGAUUCUCGCCUCGUGGUACAUGUCCGUGACGCGCUUCCUGCAAGCUUUCCUAGCCACGGCGUUCGCAUUGCCCUCGUAGCUCUCGUCGAGCUUGAAGUAUGUCUGCAUAUGAAGACACAAUGUAUGCAUUAGUUAUUUCAAGUAGGAUCCAAUGAAUGCGUUGCAUUGAGGCAUGUAGUGCGAGGAAAGCUUACCCAGAACUCCUGAAGGAUGAGCGCUGCCAUGUUGCCUGCGGUGGCAUGGUGGGCGGACUCGUAGUGGGCCCACGUGUAGGCAGGCUCGUCCUUCCCGGCAUGCGUUACAAUGCCAGGGAAGUAGUGCCUGACCAGGGCACCUAGGACGCCAUUCACAUGGCGUGAAUCCCCUUCCGACACAACCCUCCAGGUCCUGCACAAGUGAUAAUGUAGACAUAUUAGUAUAUAUUUAGAUUUUGAACAAAGGAUACAAAUUAAUAGUGAUAACAUGUAGAGGUGUCUUACGCUUGCCCCUCUGGGACAAUCGAAACGCGUCGCCUCGGUUUGUCAGGGAGAGACGUGGGACCUCGGAAGUAGACACUGCCCGUUGUAGUGGAAGAUGACGUCCUAGCAGAGCCCUCAGCCCCGCCACCGCCGAGGUCCCCGUCGUCAUCCCCCUCGUCCUCCUCGUCCUGCUGCACCACAACCUGCUACUCCUCGUCCUCAUCCUGCACCACCUGCUGCUCCUCAUCCUCCUCCUGCUGCGGCUGCUCCUCGUCCUCCUCCUCCUAAGGCUCAGGCUGGACCACGUAAGUCAUCCUCCUCGUCGGCCUCCUCGUCGUCCUCCUCGCCAUCUUGCGGCGUCUCGUCCCCACUGCAGUGGGCUCUGGCACGUCGUCUGCACCCCCUCUACUACCAGAGCCCUGGUAGAAGUGGCUCAGGCUCCUCUGACGGCCUCCUGGCAUUGUUGCUCAAUCACCUACAAUUAAGAAGGAAUAUACAUAAUUAGAAAUAGAUAUAAAAUAAACAAAACUAAAUUACAAAAUCUGAAAGUAUUACAUGUAUGUUACAAAUAUUCUUCAUGAUCGGGAUUAGCUAGACCAUAAGUCUCAUCAUCACUAUCAACCAGGUCAAAAUAAUCAACAACAUCUGGCGGAGGAAUGUUGUCUUCAUCAUUAUUGCCUAGACGCAACCGCUCAAGCAUUUGCAAGUCAUUUGGAUCUCGCACCUCAUCUUCGUCAUCAUCAUCAAUGACCAUUACAUUGUGUACAUCCAUUCCUAUCUCACAGGUUAAGUCUCUUCUUGGUAAAACUCUCCAUCAUACGUGGUUGGGUUGAAGUGGUAGUCUUCAUCAUUUGGGAGAGGUGCUCCGCCGUGUGGCGACACCUUGUGCACAACACACCAACCACUGAGAUCCAGUCUAGCCUUGCAAGCAUACGGCAUAUAAUAAACUUGUGUGGCCUGUUGUGCCACAAUAUACACAUCGUCUCUUGGAUAGACAGAAUCAUGUCGAAUUUCAACAAGACCAAGAUUCGGGGUCUUCCUUGUUACUUCCGGAUCAAACCAAUGGCAUUUGAAUAUGACAGGACGAGCUUUGGUGCUACCAGGGAAUGUGAUUUCGUAUAUUUCUUCAACUCUUCCAUAGUAGUCCUUGCCAUCAGUGCCAGGCGUAAAAACCCCACUAUUUGUGGUCUUUCGAUUUGGCUGCACACGCUCGUAGCUUGUUGUGUGAAACCGAAAUCCAUUCACAUCGUAAGCGGACAAUGACUUGACUCGGCGGUCACACCCAUUGGCAACACAUCUCAGGUCAGCACCGAUAGAAGGACAUGAGAGAUGUCUAGGUUUCUAACUAACUUCCAUGACAACAUGCACGAAACUUUACCAAAUUUUUACCAUAGCAUCCACAUGUGCUCCAAAGACGUGUCGCUAAGUUAUGUAAUUUUUCGAGUUCAUUUGCAUUUUAUAUAAUUUAAUAGCACUUCACGCGCAACUUGGUCGCCGUGUUCCGUGCGCGAGAUGUUCGAUAUUUCAUGUGUGCUCCUGGAUAUGGCCUUAACAUACGCUACGUAAAGCGAAUAUCAAUUUUUGGACCGUCGAAUUCGGAAUUUCGAUACACCUGCAGUUCAAACCCGCGUUUAUCGUAGAAAUUCAAUUAAACCAAAUUAACUAAUGAUAUAUAAUAAAAAGAUUUUAAAAACUACCAAAACUAAAACAUAUACUAUUAAAUAAUGUGUAAUACAAAACAAAAAAGUUUGAAAACAAAUAUCAAAAAAAAAUAUUUGCCGAGCGCCAAAAGUCAGCGCUAGGCAAAGAGAUGCCUUUGCCGAGCGCCAAAAUUCAGCGCUAGGCAAAGAGAUGCCUUUGCCGAGCGCCAAACGUCAGUGCUAGGCAAAGAGAUGCCUUUGCCAAGCGCCUAACGGAGGGCGCUCGGCAAAGGGUGACGGCAGGUACCCCAUGUUACAUGUGUUAUCUCUUUGCCGAGUGCAAGCCUUUGCCGAGCGCUUGGCGCUUGGGAAAGAUGUUCUUUGCCAAGAGCGGGCCUUUGCCGAGCGUCUGGUGCUUGGCAAAGACGUUCUGUUGACACCGUUUUUGGGCACGUGUCUAGGAUAGCAGGAUAAGGUGGCAGUACGAUGUUUACAAGGUGAGUUGCCGUUGAGGAUGGUUGCCGAUGAAGGAGAAGUUGAACGUGACUAAGUUUACAGGCAGUGAUAUGACUGUGCCGAUGGCUGGAUAAGAAAGUCUGCCGAUGACUAUGGCAAAGGGUCUGCCGAUGAUGCAAAGAGGGAGUCCGGGAGCUGCCGGUCGUUGUGUGAAGGAGUUUCAGUUUGUCACGGGGGAUAGUUUUGUUAUUUCCCUAAUUAUUUACAUCGUUUUGUAUACGGAUUCCGUGUAGUUUGGAAUUCGAAUUCUAAUCGUGUCUGGUUGUAGCUCUUUGAGCAGGGUAUAAAUGUAGACCCUAGGGCCUUGUAAUGAGAUAUCUAUCAAUCAAUCAAACAUACGUUUUUACUCAUAUUCCAGCAUCUACUUUUUCGACGACUUCGUCAUACUUUUUCCUUUUUACUACGAGUUCUUAGGAAUUCGUCGACUUAAGCUCGGCGUGUUCUCAAGUUCCGCGUGAGUACCUCUUAGCCGUGACAUCCGGGCGCAUCGCUGUUGUCAGGACUAAAGUAUUCGAGUUAUCACCUUUGCCGAUAGUAAGAUCAAAUCGGCUGGCACGCCUUAACGUUUGAAUCGGGUAUUAGCCCUUUGUGUUUGCAGAUCAGUUUUGCAUCAACACAUCUUUUGGCACGCCUGGUGGGACAGAUUCAAGAUCAAAAUCAACAUGUCGAUCUCUGACCUCGAUCAAGAGGACGUCAUCCCCGUGACGGAGGCCAAUCUCAAGGAUGAGCAGAAGCAAGCUAUUGCCCAAGCUAUGGAAGAGUUCAAACAGCAAUGCCUGUGGUCUUUCAGUAUAAACAGGAGCGGCAAAGUGGUCCAGAAAGACGCACUGCCGGCACCACGGCAGGUUACCUUCGACGCCAAUCCUGGCAAGCUUCAAGAUAUGGUUGACAAUGCUAUUAACCAAGCUUUGAUCAACCAAGCUGGUGUACUGUCUAAUACGGUUUUCAAUGCCGUGGCAAGAACUUUCAAGGAAGGACAAAUCCCACCAGAUUAUGUGGGCCCCUCUCAUCAUCAGCCAACGGCACCAGAGGUCACGGCUCCAUCGGAUGCUUUGACGGCUGCAAGUGCACAAUCUGCCGUCCCUCCAAGUACAUCGGGAGCUACUGGUGCACUAUCUAUGCCGAUGACAACCAACCCACAGACUUCAAUUGGGCAGCAUAAACUGACAACAGAUAUGUUGGCAUCAGCAAUGUCAGGGUUGACUCCUCCUCCCAACUGGUGGGGUUACGGUAUGCCUCCAGAGUUGACACCAGGAACAUCACAAAUAACUGACAUGAGGGGCAAGACUCCUAUGACAUCGGCGCCUCCCAAUGCGCCGGUGAACCAGAGUCCUCGGUAUACCACAACUACCACCGCAAGGCCUCACACUGGAAAUCCUCAAGAUUCAAUGUUCCAAAUACCUAAUGCAUCGGCAGAUUCAAUGCUGAUGCAACAGAGGUCUAUGGCACAGUCGGGGUAUGUCAAUUCAAUGAUGAUACCCAAUUACCAAUCAUCGGCAGCACCUAUACCGAUGAACCCUAAUAAUGGAUGGCUUGGACAGCAAGUCUUUCCACAAUCGCCCCAGCAGAGUUAUUAGACUACAGGGUUCCAGCAAGGACAGGUCUAUCCCGGGUUCCAAGGUCAGGGGAUUCCCAACCAGCCAAUGAAUUUCGGACAGCAACUCGGGGGACAGCAAAUCGGUGGACAGCAGUUUGGUGGUCCGCAGAUUGGAGGGCCGGUGAUCAAUCCAAUGUUCCGUGCAGAUCACGUCCCGAACAGACACGUGGAGGUUCGCCAUCAAGUACCAGAUCCGCAGCCACCUCAUCGGCAGGAUGCCGAUGCAUAUUGGGCCGAUAAGAUCGCUGAAGUAAUGAGGGAACAAUUUGGGAUAAAACCCAAAGUCAACACUUAUUCUUAUCGGACACCGUAUCCUCCCGCGUAUGAUUUGAUCCCGCUUCCACAUCAGUACAAGGUACCGGAUUUUACCAAGUUUUCCGAGCAGGACGACACGUCAACCAUGGAGCAUGUCAACCGGUUCAUCAUUCAAUGUGGAGAGGCUGGUAACAGGGACGAGUUGAGGGUUCGUCUAUUUUCAUCAUCAUUGUCUGGAUCGGCCUUUACUUGGUUCAUAUCAUUACCUCCCAACUCAGUAAUUACUUGGGCCGAUCUGGAGAAACAAUUCCACAAAUACUUCUUUUCGGGGGUUCAUGAGAAGAAGAUCACCGACUUGGUCAAGUUGAGGCAACGUAAUGAUGAGUCGGUUGAGGGUUUUGUGCAGAGGAUACGAGAGGUCAAGAAUAAAUGCUAUAGCUUGGUUCUGGAUGAUCGGCAGCUAGCCGAUUUGGCUUUCCAGGGUUUGUUGCCACAUAUCAGGGAUAAGUAUGCCUCUCAGGAGUUCGAAAGUUUAAGUCAUUUGGUGCAGAGGAUUUCUGAUCAAGACAUUAAGCCUUUCGAGCCCAAAAGAGCAUGGAAUAAGAAAGUGUCAUUUGUCGAUGAAGCAACAAGCUCAGAUUCUGAUGAAGAACCAGUAAUCGGCUUGGCAGAGUGGGUAAAAAACAAGAAGCCGAUGUCUUGUCCUUUUGGGCAGAAGGAACCAGAGAAGUUUGCUUUUGACACCGCUAAGGCCGAUAGGAUAUUUGACUUUCUACUUCAGGAAGGCCAGAUCAAAGUGUCACCUAAUCAUGUGAUCCCGUCGGCAGAAGAGUUGAAGAGGAUGAGAUAUUGCAAGUGGCAUAAUGCAACUUCCCAUGACACCAAUGAGUGCAAGGUAUUCAGACAGCAGCUACAAUCGGCUAUAGAGUCUGGGAGAAUCAAGUUUGACAGUUCCAAGGCUCAGAAGCCAAUGAAGAUAGACCAACAUCCUUUCCCGACAAACAUGUUGGAUGCCAAGGGGAAGGCUAAGGUCUUAACAUCGGAGACAGCUGAGAAGAGUGCAUCGGUAGAUCCUCAGCAUCAAGUUACUACUGCCGAUGCAAGAAGUAAGGGCUUGGUCCAGGAAGGAACUAGCUCAGGGAGGCCUCCUCGGUCUGGUAUUGUCAUAACUCAUAGAAGGCCUCGAGAAAAUUGGCAACAACGGGAGGAUCGGUAUCGGCGCCAGCAAGAAGAUUAUCAACGGGAAGAAGAAAGACGCCGACAGGAGUGGAAUCGGCACAGAGAUCAUUGGAAUUGUCCGUUCUUCAUCCAUUGUUGGGAGGAAAAUAUCAAGCUACCUACUGUCAGAGACUGCCCUGAGUGCAACGGUUAUGAUCGGUACGAUAGGACCGAUCGGCGUUAUCAUGAUGAUGAUCGGCGAUUUAAUGGGCCAAUCAGAGGAAGGGCGUCAGUUCAUGAUCGGCUUGGGGGCAGGCUUAGCGUGCACGAUAGGCUUGGUGACCGUGUCCAGUAUUUUCCCAGGAACCAGGAAGAGCUCGAGGACAUGGCUAAUGCGCGGGUUCCCGAUGAGUUCAUAUUUUGCAGAGAUGCUAACACGCAUCGUAUGGAGUCAAGGGAGAACCGACGCCCGGCAGCAAGGCAAAAGCCACUUCCCCCAUGGUGUCCUGAAGGAUUAACCAAGACACAGAAAAGGAGAUUGCAGCGUGAAAGGCAAGAGGAGCUAAGCAAGGGCGAGAACUCUGGAAGUCAGCAGCCAUCAGACGCUAAGAGGGAAGGUCCAUCGGCAGGGGUCAACAUGGUCUUUAUGUUGCCGAUGGAGUUUCUUGCACCAUCCAGUGAUGAUGAGUUGGAAUUUUCUGAUCAGAUAGCUCAGCUGGCUCUGGAUCCGAUGACGGCUAUCUUUGAGAAACCUGCCGAUGACGAAAGACAGCAUCUCAAAGCUCUGUUUGUCAAAGGGAGGGUUGAUGGGCAGCCAAUGACCAAGAUCCUAGUUGAUGGAGGAGCUGCUAUUAAUAUCAUGCCGUAUGCAGUAUAUCGGAAGCUUGGGAAAGGGGAUCAGGAUUUGACCAAGACCGAUAUGAUGCUCAAAGACUUUGAAGGAAACGUGUCUCCGGUUAAGGGGGCAAUAUGUGUGGAGUUGACCAUCGGCAGCAAAACCUUGCCGACAACUUUCUUCGUGAUCGGUGGAAAGGGUGCUUACAAUUUAUUGUUGGGAAGAGAUUGGAUUCAUGCCAAUUGUUGCAUCCCAUCUACAAUGCACCAAUGCUUGGUUCAGUGGGUAGGUGACAAGAUUGAGAUUGUCCCAGGAGAUUCUUCUUAUGUUAUCGCAUCGGCAGAGGCGGACACCUAUGAAAGGACUAGGUGCAUUUCAGGGGAAGCUUGGGAGAAAGAUUUUCUCAAAGUUGCCGAUUACGAGAUUCUACCGAUCCAAGCAGUCGGUUCUGACGACGGUUUUUAAUGGAUAGAUUCGCCGAUGAUGGAAAAUUAGGCCAGGGAUUCACAUCGGCCGAUGAUUUGGUAGAAGUAGAUAUAGGUAGUGGUGAUAAGCCUAGGCCUACUUUUAUUAGUGCUAAAUUAGAUCCUGAGUGUAAGCAACAAUUGACUAGUUUGUUAAAGGAAUAUAAAGAUUGCUUUGCUUGGGAUUAUACUGAAAUGCCUGGUUUGGACCGAUCAAUUGUUGAACAUCGGUUACCCAUCAAGUCUGGAUUUCGGCCACAUCAGCAACCAGCUCGCCGAUGUAAUCCUAACAUUCUACCUGAUAUUAAGGCCGAAAUCACCAAACUUAUUGAAGCUAAGUUUAUUCGGCAGUGUCGGUAUGCCGAGUGGAUUUCCAAUGUUGUUCCGGUAUACAAGAAGAACGGGAAGCUUCGAGUGUGCAUUGAUUUCAGGAAUCUCAAUAAAGCCACGCCGAUGGAUGGAUACCCAAUGCCUGUCGCCGAUCUGCUGGUUGAUGCUGCGGCUGGUCAUCGGGUCAUUAGCUUUAUGGAUGGUAAUGCAGGAUACAAUCAAAUAUUCAUGGCAGAGGAGGAUAUUCCAAAAACCGCAUUCAGGUGUCCUGGUCACGUGGGGUUAUUUGAAUGGAUAGUCAUGACCUUUGGGUUGAAGAAUGCUGGUGCUACUUAUCAAAGGGCUAUGAAUUUUAUAUUUCAUGAGUUCAUCGGCAAGCUCGUAGAGAUUUAUAUUGAUGAUGUGGUGGUCAUGUCUGGAGAUUUCUCAAAGCAUCUUGCCGAUUUACAGAAAGUGUUAGAGUGCACAAGGAAGCAUGGAUUGAAGAUGAAUCCCAAUAAGUGUGCAUUUGGUGUAUCGGCAGGGCAGUUUCUUGGUUUCAUGGUACAUCAAAGGGGUAUUGAAAUUAGUCGAAGAUCCAUUGAUGCCAUCAAUAGAAUAGUGGCCCCUACCAACAAGACCGAACUCCAGUCCUUGAUCGGCAAGGUAAAUUUUAUCAGGAGAUUUAUAUCUAAUCUGUCUGGUAAGAUUCGUGCUUUCAGCCCUCUUCUUAAAUUGAAAGCCGAUCAAGAGUUUAUUUGGGGAGAAGAACAGCAGUUGGCUUUGGAUGAGAUCAAGAAGUAUCUAGUAAAUCCUCCAGUUCUAGUUCCACCUCAACAAGGAAAGCCCUUCAGAUUGUAUUUGUCUACCGAUGGAUCGGUUAUCGGUUCAGCUUUAGUCCAAGAAUUUGAAGGGAAAGAAAGGGUAAUUUAUUACUUGAAUAGGAGGUUGAUUGAUGCUGAAACCAGGUAUUCGGCCAUUGAGAAACUAUGCCUGUGCUUAUAUUUUUCAUGUAUCAAGCUGAGACAUUACCUGUUAUCGGCCGAAUGCACUGUUGUUUGCAAAGAUGACGUGGUCCGGUACAUGCUAUCUAUGCCGAUUAUGAGUGGUAGGAUCGGUAAAUGGAUUUUAGCGCUGUCGGAGUUCGAUUUGCGUUACGAAUCGGCUAAGGCAGUCAAAGGGCAGAUUAUGGCCGAUUUUGUGACUCAGCAUUGCGGUAUAGUGGAAACCUUGGAAAUUGUACCCUGGACGCUCUUCUUUGAUGGAUCUACCUGUGACCGGGGGGCAGGAAUCGGCAUUGUAUUAGUUUCCCCUAAGGGGAGGAAGUAUGAGUUUUCCUUGCCGAUUGUUGCCACAUCAACAAAUAAUCAGGCUGAGUAUCAGGCUCUGAUCAAGGGAUUGGAGUUGUUAAGAGAAGUUCGUGCUGAUGCUGUUGAAAUAUUCGGGGAUUCUAUGUUGGUUAUAAAUCAAUUGGCCGGGAGCUAUGAAUGCCGAAGUGAAGUUCUCAUAACUUAUUUCGAGAGAAGUAUGCAACUGUUAAAGGAAUUCAAGAAUUUCCGAUUAGAGCAUGUUCCCCGAUUGCAUAAUGAAGACGCCAAUCGGUUAGCUCAGCAUGCCUCGGGAUAUCAGCCAAUGAUUAAUGCAAUAUCGGCAGUCGGUACCGAUGAUUGGAGGAAAGAAAUUAUUGAUUAUCUAAAAGAUCCAUCCAAAAAGGUUGAAAGACGGGUUCGAUUUCAAGCAACCAAGUAUGUGCUCCUUGAAAAUGAAUUGUAUUAUCGAACUAUCGACGGAAUUCUUCUCCGAUGCUUGGGUGAUGAUGAAGCUAGAAGUUUGAUGGGGGAAAUCCAUGAAGGAGUGUGUGGAGCGCAUCAGUCGGCUUUUAAAAUGAAAUGGAUGAUUCGAAGGAAUGGAUAUUUUUGGCCGACCAUACUUGAGGAUUGUUUUAAAUAUUUCAAGGGAUGUCAAGAUUGUCAAAGGUUUGGUAAUAUUCAGAGAGCACCCGCAUCGGCUAUGAAUCCUAUAAUAAAGCCUUGGCCGUUCCGGGGAUGGGCUAUCGAUCUGAUCGGCCAGAUUUAUCCACCAUCUAGCAAAGGGCAUAAGUUCAUUCUAGUUGCCACUGAUUAUUUCACUAAGUGGGUUGAAGCUAUUCCUUUGAAGAAAGUCACAUCGGCCAAUAUGAUUGAUUUUGUGAAGGAACAUAUUAUUUACCGAUUUGGGAUCCCUCAAACAAUUACUACCGAUCAGGGCACUAUGUUCACAUCGGGGGAGUUCGAUGAAUUCGCAAUCGGUAUGGGGAUUAAAGUGUUGAAUUCUUCUCCUUAUUAUGCUCAAGCCAAUGGGCAGGCCGAAGCAUCUAACAAAGGAAUUAUCAAGCUUAUUAAACAAAAGAUUGAAGAAAAUCCUAAGCGAUGGCAUACAUUAUUAAAUGAAGCAUUGUGGUCUUAUCGGAUGGCUUGUCAUGGAUCAACCAAGGUGUCACCCUAUCAAUUGGUGUAUGGACAUGAUGCGGUGUUGCCUUGGGAAAUUAGGGCUGGAUCUAGGCGAUUAUCUUUUCAAGAUCAAUUAACUGCCGACGAUUAUGCCACUUUGAUGACCGAUGAAUUGGAUGAUCUAGCAGGGCAUCGGUUAAAAGCUUUAAUGAGUAUAGAAGAAAAUAAGAAGAGAGUUGCUAGAUGGUAUGAUAAGAAAGUGAAGGCUAAAGAGUUUGUCGAUGGGGAUUUGGUAUGGAAAUUAAUUUUACCAAUUGGGACUAAAAGUUUGAAGUUUGGAAAGUGGUCUCCUAAUUGGGAGGGUCCUUAUCGGAUAAGUCGAUCGGCUCCUGGUAAUGCCUACAUUCUAGAAACCCUCGAAGGAGUUGAAUUUCCCAGAGCAUUAAACAGCAAAUAUUUAAAGAAGUACUACCCCAGUAUAUGGGUCGAUGCAUAGAAGUUUAGAUGCCGAUAACACUCCUAUCGGCUGGAUCCAAAUGUUUGGGGACAAGACUUGGUGUUUCAAAAGUUUAGGUGCCGAUAACAGUCCUAUCGACUAGACUAAAAGCUGAGGAAGCAGGAAAGCGCAGAUAUAAUGCCGAUGGAAACUCUAUGUGUUAAGCAGCGUCUGGAUUGCCGAUAUAGCGCGUAGCCGAAUUUGGUUGGCCGCUUCUAUCUCCUUGAUGUCAUCAUCGGCAGAACCUUCUAUCGGCUUCAGCUUCUUCUUCAGUUGAAGUGCCUUGCGACCAUGAGCAUUUCGCUCGUGCUCAAGAAGCCUGAUGGUCUCUGGCAAUUGGCUCUCUUCCUGUUGGGCUUGGGAUAGGGCGUUCUCCACUUCCUUGAGCUCUGCCAACAGGGAUUCUCUUCUUGCCGAUAGAUCGGAUAUCUUCUGCUUCAGCGCAUCUCCAGAAGAUCUCAGAAUACCGAUGUUUUUGUGCUUCUCAUCGGUCAAAAGCUUCUCUUUCCUCAUUUCAUCGGAGAGUUGAGUCUGAGCGGCUCUGUCGGUAAGACGCCGAGUAGCUCUUUGGUACUGCAGCUGGCGACUCUCCAAAUGAGCGGCUUGGAACAGGAUUUCUUCAACGUCGGCUGAGAUUUGGCCUCUGAGAGUUCUAAACAGGGUCUUGGUAGAGUCGGAGUCAUCAACCAAUUGCGCUGUGUCCUGGUGAAGGAGAGCUGACAAUUCUUCCAGUCUGACCCUGAUCUCUGCCGAUGUAAUACCAACUGUCUGAGAAGAGCUUGCUUCUUCGCCUUCUUCUUCAGAGAGAUCGAUGGCAAAGGAGAACAGGCUAUCGGGAGAAUCUUGUUCCUGGGAAGGAAAGCAAAGUUAGCUCAUAUUCAGAAAAUCGGCAAAUAAUGCUGACGGUAAACGGUGACUUACUUGCUUCAAGGCGAUCUCUUGCCUUUGACUGGGAGGUGCUGACGGAGCUACAGGCCGAUCGGCCAAAGGUGUCGAUGGAUCUACAGGUUGAUCGGCUGAGGUUGCCGAUGGAACGAUAUCAACUGAAAGAAGACAGGAGGAGUUAUGAGACUAAGUGAGAAUAAGUUCAUCGGCAACGGUAUUGUUAAAGUAAGUUACCUGGAGGAGGAACAACGGUUGUCUGAAUCGGGAGAACCGCCGAUGGUAUAAUUGGGCCCACCGGGCCAGUUGUUUCUUCACCCACAUCAGCUGAUGUACCUUCUGUUUGAGGCUCUUCCUGCUGGGGUCCUUCUAUCUGUGGUGCUUCCUGCAUAGGUGGGGGAGAUGGUGCUUGCUGUGGCUGGGCUUCUGGAGAAGAAGGAGAAGACUCCACCGGAAUUGGAGACACCGGAGGAGGAGGGGGAGUUGCUACCUUCUGGCGCUUUGUUCCAGUCUUAGCGCCUGUGGUGCCCUUUCUCUUUGGUUGGCUAGACUGGGGGGCAUCGGCACUUUCACGCUUGGCUUUUGCCGAUGCACCGGUUUGCUGCAAUAACGAACAAGAGUUUAUAAGCAUAAAUAUAACCGAUAUAAAGAUAGUCAGCAUAAAAGAAAAAGAUUUGACAAAUUGCCUUGAAAACCCGCGCCAGAGUGGGAGCAGCUACCGUUGGUGAUGUUUGGGUUCUCCUGGUGGUGACUUUCCUGAGGCGUACACCCCGAUGCACGAUGGAAGCUAGAGUGGGAGCAUUGUGGCCGAUUGAGGAAAUCGGGCCUGAUGGAAACAAGUCGAUCGGCCUGCCACUCCUGCUAACCAAAGGAGGGAUGUUGUCAACCUGCAAAAGGAAUGCAAGGGUAAGCUGCCGAUGGAAGUAAUAUUGAGAAAAUGAAACAUCGGUUUGAGUUACUUACAGUGUCAUCGGGAACUUCGUAUUCGGAGUCGAUCAUGCCGCGGUAUGAAAGGGCCGAUCUGCAGAAUAGAUGCUCUUUCCAUUCUGCCCACCAUAACUUGUAUGCCUGAGUGAUAAAAGCAGCCGGAACCCAUUCUGACAGAUCUACAUCUGUAUCGGCGUUUGGUGGUAGUUGGGCUACUCGAAUCCACUCAAGAAGGUUGUUGAUGGUUUCUCUGGGUUUUAUUACAUCGGCAUAAGGAAGUGCAAUCGGCAACUGGCCGAAAGCUAACUGGCGAGCUAAUGCCGAUGGAUUGUAAAAUUCAUAAGUCUGAGGAGAGGUUUUUGUGCUACCAAAGAAAUUCACUGGAAUGAUUCUGGGAGUCACAAUUGCCAUCAUCGCCUCAUUGUCCCUGUCGAGAGCUUCAUCAAAUGGAUUGAAGGUCAGAGGGAACAUGCUAUCUGGGUCAUCAUAAGCCAACCAUGGUCGUUCGUCUUUGGCCAAACCCUCAUACAGAGUCUGGAAGAAUCGGCCGAUUUGAUCCGAAUUACUCCCUGAACCAGGUAGAACUAUGACAGCUUCGCCAAAGUUCAAGGGGGCACGCGUUGCCGAUUCCUCUUCACCCAACACAUGGUUUUCGGCUAUAUCUCUUAGGAAGUGCUGUGUGAACAAGUUGAAAUCAAGGCGCUUAUGCAGGUGCAGAUUGAGCCACAUAUUAAUAAACCACCAAGGGCCUCCCAAGUUGCCGAUGGACUGGCCAAGCAGGAGUUUCUGGGCUACCUGAUGGAGAAGGUGGUAAACAGCGCCAAGCAAGUAUCGGCCGAGAGGAAAUUGACCACCGUUAGCCAGUCUCUCUACUGCCGAUAGAUAGACAGAAGUCGGUCCUGCCGAUCGACCACAGAACACAAACUUGUCCAGCCACAUGUUCAGAAAGGUGGUUUGUUCCUUUAUGGUGACAGAUCCUUUCCCACGGUACUUCUGAAUGUACCCUGACCAACCGCCGAUAGCGCGAGUCUCCACUUUGGCACUAGGGGCAGUAUCAAAAAAGUGGGUGCUAUCGGCAGAAGAUAUAUCUAGACCAGUAAGCAUGGCUACAUCGGCAAGGGUAGGAGAAGCAGGGCCGUGGCCAAAGGCAAAAGCAUUGAGGGUGUCUGACCAAAAGUAGGAUGAAGCUAUCAGCAGUGACUCGUUCCUAUGCAUAUCGGCAAUGGAAAACCUAAUGCAUUGGGCUAGUUUCCUUUCGCCCCACUGGACUUCAUAAGAAUUGCUGACUCUCAAGAACCAGUCUUUCCACCCUACGGUAGGGCUAGGCCAAGAGCGGAAGGUAUCUUUCCACAGAUCUAAAGAAAAAUUUUCAGUUCUGAAGGGGAUCCUGUUGGUUUCUGCAUUAAUAAGGUCGGUUGGAUCUGGAUCUCCUAGAGGGCCGAGACAUUGGAGGUGUGGUUGAUCAGUGGGGAUGGCAAUUUUAUCGGACAAUUCCUAGUGAUUUUUGGGAAUAAAAUGAAAUCCAAAGAGAAAAGAAAAGGAAGAUAUUCAGUAAAAUGAAUUGCGAAUGAAUAGGGAUAUGAAGAAAAAUACAGGAGACGGGGUGGAGAUUUAACCUCAGGGACGACGAAACCAACGGCCAUCUUGCUGCGAAGAAAGCGUUUGGGGGCGCCGGAGUUGAUGAGGAGGAGUACUUGUUGGAGAUUUUGGGAGUUUUAGAUGGCGCUGCCGCUGGAAAAGUAAAGUUGGGUAGUAGAAUGAUGUGAUGGGGAAGGAGUACCCGAGAAGGGACUAUUUAUAGGACAAAAUGGGCAAGGGCAAAUCUGACUUAUCUCUUUGCCGCAUCCGAGAAAUCCGAGGGUACUCAGGUGGAUAUGGUAACUGUUCGCACGAUAAUCCAGGGAUUGUGCAGGUGAUUGUUGACACUUCUUAACGCAACCACCGGAUAUCGGCGACGGCGCCAGAAGUGCCCUGGUAGGGUAACUCUAUUUACUAUUGGAUAAUUCCGCAAGCGCACAGAAUGUACCGCUGUAGCACUUCACCAAGGAGUAUUCCAAGGUAUCGUAAUUUAUAUUUUCCCAAGGGAAAGCGGCUAAGUGUGUUUAACAAAAAGGGGAAUGAGAUUCCUUGAGUUAUCUAGUAUCAACUAGUGAAUAAGGGUGGUAAAUAACGAAUAGGAAGGGUAGUGGUGAAUCCAAGGUCCUAUGCUAAAGGUAAAUGGUAGAGUUAGCUAGGUGGGAGGACAACGAGUGAGUAAAGGACUCCUAUGUAUCUAACUUGACUUCUGUGACUUACUUUAAUAGAUAAUUGUCUUAACUACGCUAGAGCCUUACUAACUGUGUGCGAGGGAUAGCCGAGCUGGUAAGACGCUUAGAAGGUUUUUCACCUAACCCCUUACCGAAAGCGACUAUUGGGCUUAUGGACGCCUUACCUUUUAAGAACUAGCCUGUACGUGAGGAGAACCUAAUGCCGCCCACGAUCUGUCACCUACUAGGGAGUGCGCUCCUACUUUCCGUUCAAGCCAGCGGUAAUCAAAGGUAAUCUUAAGUAUGAGCACCACGCUCACACUUAAUCCUACAACGCUAACUAGUUGCAGCUAGCUAGAGCUCCUAUACAAGAUAGGACGAUGAUGCACACACAGGAGUGGUUACAGGUCACUAACUUCACUAAGACAACUAUAUUACUAAAGUAAAUGCACAACAAGACUAAAAGACUUGCACUAAGUAAGAACUCAGUAAAGUAAAGUAAGAAUAAUAUAUUAAUAAAAGGAAAGUCUUACAAAAGUAGAAAGGUACAAGAGCUAUACCAGACUCUCCAGAAGACGACUCCGGAGACCCCGAGCUUCGCUCGACUCGACUCUAACUCCCACUCUAGACUAACUACUACUCUACUUGUAUGCUUGGAACUUGUAAUGCACUUGGCCUUGGAAUUGCACACUUGAAAUGAAGGAUGGAGGCUGCCUUUUAUAGAGGGAGAUGGAGUAGGGGUUACUCCAUCGCCACGUCAUCGAUCCGCGUGACAUCUUCUCUCCACCCUUGGAUCAAACCGACCUCACAACCGCCAUUUGAUCAACGGCAGGGGCAAAUCAACAUGUGGGACAUGUGGGGAAGGUCGGUGGGAGGCCACCGACCCUGGAACCGCCUUUGAUGUGGGGUCGGGCGACCCCACUUCUGGGCCUCUGGGCCCACCAGCAGUGUCCACAGGGGUCCCUUAUGUCGGUGGACUAGGUGGCACACCUGGGUCCCACCAAAGAGGGGUCGGGCGACCCCCUCCCUGUGGGCCCAGGGUGCCACCUGUUGUCCCCUCGAUCUCCUCUUGAUGAUUCUGAUGUUGGCUUUGUCAAAUAAUGUCUUGAAUUUGUUGUUCCUGCAUAAACAAGCUAAGAGUACAAGUGGAACUAGUUAUGGAUAAAAUAUGUUCAUGUCAUGUCGUUUCCCCUUGCAACCGAGGCAUGUUGACGGUGUUUUGUAUGUGGAUUUCUAUGGUAUAUCCACCGUCAACAAGAUCCCCCAAGCUUAACCUUUGCUCGUCCCGAGCAAACAAUCAAACUUAGCCUCGGUGGAUCAGGUAUUGUUACUAUGUUCACAUUUCAAGAGUACCAUGUGUACAACAAAGUUCUUCUCUUUGCAUGAAAAAUUUAGCUAUGUAAACUUACCCCUAUUACCUUAGUCCCUUAUGGGGCUUAUGGCUUUUCCUUUGUCUUAGGUGGUUGAGAGACAGAACAGUUUGACUUGAGCACUAACUUUCUCAUUCUUAGCAAGUUUCAUAUCAGAGGUUUUGUGAUAUUUUCAAAAGAAAGCUUAAAUGUUCCUCUUAUGGUUCUCUCAUGUCACUCAAAUGGUGUAUGAUUCCUCACCAAGGCAUAUGGUAAGAGUUGCCUUCUCUAUUUCAUCCUAUUUCUAAAAGGCUUAUGUGGAGUUCAAGGUAGGGAUGAAAGGAGAUAGCAUACUUACUUUGCAUGUAUUGCGAAGUCAAAGCUCGGAUCCUUGAAGAGAAGUGUCAUACUCCCAGAUCAAGAUGUGCAAGUGUGAUAUAUGGUGGACUAGGUUGUUCCUUUAUUUGAUAGACUCUCUAUGUAUUGAGACAUGGCUAGCAUUUUUUUCUUCUUUUUUUUUGUUUAUAUAUGAGCUUUCAUGUGCUCAAUUUUCUUUUUCUGUGGACUUGCACAUGUCCAUCUUUUUAUUUCAUUUUGCCUAGCCUUUUGAUGUCUCAUUUACCAAAUAAUGCUUAGAGAGAUGUUCUAACAUUUAGAGUAUGGAGCAACCUAUUUAGUGGAUGCGAAAUACAUGUGGUUGCGUACUUCCAGUGUAGAAGCAGCAUAUAUAUAUGUGGUGUGUACGUGAUCUUGAUCUUAGGAGCAUGAAAAGUCUCUUAACAAGGGUCAACAAGACUUGACGACACUCAACACAAAGCAAAUAGCUUAUGUGGAAAGGUUGCAAUUAUGUAAAGUAGAUAUGGCUGUGGUAGGAAUUCAUCACCAUUGAGGAACAAUUAAGGUUUUGAUCAUUUUAAGAAUAAAUCUCUGAUAAUCAUGCAUGCUUAGAAAAAUAUUAUAGUAGCUCUUGUCUUACUAUCUCAUGUCCCACAACAACUUAGACUUAGUUCUAGCACUUGCAACCCACAAAGUUUUUAGGUUCAUGGCAGUUUAAGUGAGCUAAGUGAUCCAUACUUAGAGAAAUACUAAGUUGUAUACUAGGCACUAGAGAAACAUUAACAAGCAACUAGUCAUAAUUUCCAUGAGGGAUAUAAACAUGCAUGAAGCAUAUAUGCUAAAGGGAAAUGCUAAUAAAUAUUUAUUUUUUUUUUAAGUAAGAAUGAUAAAAUGCAUGAAAAUAAAUAGGAUAGAAUACUUACCUUAGUGGGGGAGAGGAUCUCCCCCAAGCUAGAUCUUCGCUCACUAUGGUGGCGGGAAAUUUUGGUACCAUCCAGCCCAGCGUUGUGCGUCUUCCUCUCGCACACGUCGGAUAUGUUGGCCGUUUUGUAACGCCAGUUGCAAUGUUGCUUCUUGCCCAAUCUGCAAUUCGCCCAUGUCAUUAAUGAGACUGUCCAUACCUGUGGGCUGGUGACGCCUAGCCCUGUCCCUUGGGCGUGGAGUGCGUUGUGGAGGUAGACCCAUGGAGUCUGAAGCAUCCACUGACAUCGCUUCAUCGCCCUCUUCAACGUCAUGGUGCGAGGAUCCUCCUUGCUCCAUCUGGGCGGCUUGCAUCAUCCUUCUUGUCACCCUGCGUGUCCCUGCAACAUCUGGACUUGCCACUCGGGCUAGUCUAAUGGUAAGUGUGCGGACCCCAUACAACCGGCGCCUCGCACAUGGGAGAGGAAUUUCGGUUGUAUAGCCCGGAUAAAUCAUUUUAAGUUCACCAUUUGGAUCUCUUAUGAGCAUGUUAGCAUUGAUAAAGAAGUUCUCAUCUACCACUCCUCUAACAUAGCCAAUGUCUUCAAAAUAAUGUGAUUCAAGUAAUCCAAAAGUAUCGGCUAUUCGAGUAAUAAAGGAUGUGAAAUAGAUGGGCUUCCCAUACUCAAUAGAGUUAAGCCAAUAGUUCACUAGCAGUUUCACAGGGGAGACCUUGAUUUUACUAACCAUGGCAUAGAGAAUUUUAAGUUCAUCAUCAAUUAAAGUAUCAGUUCCCAUGCCAGGAUAUAGAGUGCACAUGAUCCAGAAGUGAAGAAAGCGCAAGGUUGGAUUAUGGAUUUCAAUGGGAGUAGGAUUUGAACAAUCAUUAGAGCCAGAAAUUGCUUUCCAGAAUCUAAAUUUAUCGAACAUUCUAGUGGCAUGAUCUAGAUCAAGUUCACAUUCAUGUUCACACCCUAAAGCAGUGUUUAGCAAACUCCAAUUUAAUUGAUGUUCUUGCUCACACAUGCGAAAAGAUAUUCCAUUAUUUGUGAGUUUUAGGGUGCAUAGAAAUUCCUUAGCAAGCAAUUCUUUUCCAAAUUCAGGCACUUGCCAAAAACUACUCCAACCAAUUGCUCUAAACACCUUAUCGAAUUCAACAUCCAUACCUCUGCGGGCCAAAAGGUCCGGAUCGAUGAUGCUAGUGUGUAGGAAGAGACCCUCUCGGAUGAUGUAGUACCUUUGCAACUCUUCUUGGCUUAACAUGAGGCCGCUCUCGGGCUCUCUCAUCCUUGAUGGAGGCUCGUAGGGUACCAUCCCAUGGUAACCUUCUUCUUCCUCCCUUCCAUGAGCAUGGUGAGAGCCUUGAGAAGAGCUCUCACCCUUUGCUUUCUUGAACUUGCCAAAGAUAUGCUUCUUCAUCCUCCUACACAAGUGAGGCAAACCAAGCUCCUACUACUACUACUAUGCAAGGGGAAUCUUUUUGGGUUUUUGUUUUGAUGACUAUUUCUAAACUAAACUUGAGAAAUGGCUUGUAACAAAGAGAGAAGAGAAAGGAUUGUGAGCUCGAAAUGGUUCUGGUGGUUUUGGGUGUGGAGUUGAGCUCACAAUGCUGUGGUAUUUAUAGGGGGAGAAGGGCAAGUAGUGGACCCACAAUAUAGGGGUCGGCCGCCCCCCCUAGAAGCACUUUGAAUUUGAGUUUAGCUUUAUACAGGGAACCAUUCUGCAUGCUUUCAAGAUUUUGCAGAGAUGGUCCAAAAUGGGGGUCGGCCGACCCCCAUCCUAGCCCCUCCUCCACUUUAAACAUUGUGUCAUUGAUUGUCCGGAAAAGUAAAGGCUAGGUGUGGACCAAAAGUUUUCAAAUUGUUUAUGAGAUUCCCUGUUUUAGUGCUUUGUGAAAGGUAAAAGAUGAAUGGCAAAAGUGGAGACAUGUCUAAAGUGAUUCCUAUGGACCAUGGGAGCACUCAAGCAUGCCUAGGUGACCACUUUGCAGAAUUUAAGCUAGUGGAGUGGUCCCAAAAGAAUCAAAGAUGAAAGGAGCAUCUUAUGACUAAAGUAAAGGAUCAAGGGACCACUCUUUUUCAAACUUUAGCUAGUGUUACAAGCAUAGGACUCCAUUGUGAUUCAAAUGGUGGCCAGCAGGAGGCAAGUGGGGCCAAUAUGGGGGUCGGCCGACCCCCACAUUGGAGCUCCCAGAGCAUCCAAGUGCUGGGUUGGAACCUCUAUGACUAGCAAGGUUGAAAUGCGGUGAAGUGGGCCCCAAGGUGGGGUCGGGCGACCCCCCUUUGGGAGCUCCAGCAGCUCAAAUUUUUAUGACAAGUUAUUCUCAAGAUUUUAUUUAUUAUGGCUAAACAUUUUGUCGAAAUAAGAUAUGCAAAAUUCAAAGUAAGAAUGCAAUUGAAAAGUGAAUAGUAGAAAUUGAAAUGCAGAAAAAUAAAUAUGGGAUAACUACUGAUUUACCUUAUCAGCAAGGGCUCCAUGUUUUAGGUCCGUAGAGCAGGACCUCUCCAUCUUGUUCAUCCUUCGGGUGCAUCAGAUGGUCCCGGAGAAGUGGACCUUGAUUGCACCUCUUUCUCCCGCCAUACUUGCUUGGUAUUGAUUUUUGGUUCAGCGGGUUCCUCUUCUUUCUUUUCGGCCCUUUUGGCCGACUUACCUCUCUUGUCCCUUCGGCGUCGGAUGUGGCGAGGCUUAGUCGGAGGUUCUUUGUCCUUCACCUGCAUGUUAGCUUUAUAACCAUUGAAUGGACAUUUUACCUUCCAUCCUGGGAAUUGGAGGUGAAUCUGGCCGGACCCCACAUAGAUGACUGCAUUGACCGUGUUGAGGAAUGGCCUUCCCAAGAUGAUCGAGACAUCAUUAUUGGAUCCCAUAUCUAGAAUGAUGAAGUCGGCAGGGACGUAGUCGUCUUGAACCUUUACCAGUAUGUCCCUUGCCAACCCCUCAGGGAACCUGAUCGUCUGAUCUGCCAUCUGCAAACGAACAAAUGUGGGGUGCAAAGGCCCCCCUAGCAAAUUAUCAUAAGUUACCUUGGCCAUGAUGUUGACACCCGAUCCAAGGUCGCAGAAGGCGUUGUGGAAGAUUUGCGGUCCGAUCUCACAGGUGAUGGUCGGCAGGCCUGGGUCGUCCUUCUUGGUGAUGAAGGGCGAAUCCAGAAGAUAGCUCCAGUUGGAUUGUACCGGAGGCUUACCGAACCUCGUAGUAACUAGUUUAACUCCUUCAAUUGGGUCCUCAGGUUUCCCUGGGAUCUUACCUUGCUCGAAGGAUGGGACAGCUGCUGCUAAUUGAGCUAAUUGUGUUUCUAGCAUUUUGUUAAAGCUCAACUAAUUUUUCAUAGCAGAGUUAAAGCUAUCCAACUUUUCACUUAAGUUUUCAAGGAUCUUAUCAUUAGCCAUCAUUUUCUUGUUAAUGCUAUCAUUGAUUUUAGAUUGGCCUAAGACAAGAUCUCUAAGAGAAGGUUGGUUACCAAAAGAAUUAUUGAAAUUUUGAUUGUAACCAUUACCUUGAUUACCUUGGUAGAAGGGGCGCGAGUUCCAUUGCUGUUGUUGGGGCCGGUACCCAUUGUUGUUGUUGUUGAUGAAGCUCACUUCCUCCUUUGUUUCGGGACAAUUGUUUCCCGAAUGAUCAUCUCCUCCGCACACUUCGCACCAUGAAUCAGAUUCAAUGGCCCGUGCAGUGGCGUAAGGUUGAAUGGUCUCUUGCUUGGAACUUUCUUCCAUCUUCUUCAUUAAGAGGUCCAUCUUAGCAGAGAGCAUGUCCACCUCAUUCAAGGCAUGGACACCUCUUCUCUUGGGUUGGAGGCGUUCCUCAUUCCAUCCUUGGUUUAUAACCAUCUUUUCAAUGAGGUCCUUGGCAUCCUUGACAUUGUGUUGCAAGAAUGCUCCUCCAGCGGCAGCAUCAAGGUGACUACGGGCCAAACCGGUCAGGCCAUGGUAGAAACCUUGGAUUAGGAGCCACUCCUCUAUCCCAUGAUGAGGACAGGCGCGAAUGUACUCCUCCAGACGUUCCCAUGCUUCGGGAAUCGUCUCAUCUGCUUGCUAUUGGAAGCUGGAAAUCUUUCCACGAAGGGCGCUGGUCUUGCCCAUCGGAAAGAACUUCUUGAGAAAUGCAUUGGCGCACCUCUCCCACGUGGUCACUUCACCCUUGUUGGCGUAGAACCAUUGCUUCGCCUUCCCCAAUAACGAGAAUGGGAAGAGGCGAAGACGGAUGGCGUCUGCGGCGACAUUCUUGAUGGUGAAGGUGCCGCACACCUCCAAGAAGUGUUGGAGAUGGGCAUUGGCAUCCUCGUGUGGCUUUCCACAUAAGGGAUUAGCUUGCACCAUAUUGAUAAGCGCAGGCUUCAACUCAAAAGUCGCAUCCCCCAAGUUAAGCUGCGGACCCGUGGCGACAUUGUCAGCCGACGGCGCAGAGUACUCAGAGAUGGUCUUCUGGGCCAUAGCUUCUUUGAUAACCGGUGCAAAAACUCCUUCCUCUAACGGAUUCAGGUUCGAGAUGAACCUUUGAGGUGGAACUUGACGACGUCUAGUUCUCCUCAACAGUUGCUCAGGAUCUUCAACGAAGUUUGACGGCAAUUGGAAACCGCUCAUACACUGUCAGGCUUCACAAUAAAGGAAGACAAGACAAGUGAUGGGUUAUCCCUAUCACAACUUGAUAACUAGCAAACUCUGGAUUCUCUUUUUGUUAAAACUCUUAGACAGACGCUUUCCCCGGCAACGGCGCCAGAAAUGCUUGUUGACACUUCUUAACGCAACCACCGGAUAUCGGCGACGGCGCCAGAAGUGCCCUGGUAGGGUAACUCUAUUUACUAUUGGAUAAUUCCGCAAGCGCACAGAAUGUACCGCUGUAGCACUUCACCAAGGAGUAUUCCAAGGUAUCGUAAUUUAUAUUUUCCCAAGGGAAAGCGGCUAAGUGUGUUUAACAAAAAGGGGAAUGAGAUUCCUUGAGUUAUCUAGUAUCAACUAGUGAAUAAGGGUGGUAAAUAACGAAUAGGAAGGGUAGUGGUGAAUCCAAGGUCCUAUGCUAAAGGUAAAUGGUAGAGUUAGCUAGGUGGGAGGACAACGAGUGAGUAAAGGACUCCUAUGUAUCUAACUUGACUUCUGUGACUUACUUUAAUAGAUAAUUGUCUUAACUACGCUAGAGCCUUACUAACUGUGUGCGAGGGAUAGCCGAGCUGGUAAGACGCUUAGAAGGUUUUUCACCUAACCCCUUACCGAAAGCGACUAUUGGGCUUAUGGACGCCUUACCUUUUAAGAACUAGCCUGUACGUGAGGAGAACCUAAUGCCGCCCACGAUCUGUCACCUACUAGGGAGUGCGCUCCUACUUUCCGUUCAAGCCAGCGGUAAUCAAAGGUAAUCUUAAGUAUGAGCACCAAGCUCACACUUAAUCCUACAACGCUAACUAGUUGCAGCUAGCUAGAGCUCCUAUACAAGAUAGGACGAUGAUGCACACACAGGAGUGGUUACAGGUCACUAACUUCACUAAGACAACUAUAUUACUAAAGUAAAUGCACAACAAGACUAAAAGACUUGCACUAAGUAAGAACUCAGUAAAGUAAAGUAAGAAUAAUAUAUUAAUAAAAGGAAAGUCUUACAAAAGUAGAAAGGUACAAGAGCUAUACCAGACUCUCCAGAAGACGACUCCGGAGACCCCGAGCUUCGCUCGACUCGACUCUAACUCCCACUCUAGACUAACUACUACUCUACUUGUAUGCUUGGAACUUGUAAUGCACUUGGCCUUGGAAUUGCACACUUGAAAUGAAGGAUGGAGGCUGCCUUUUAUAGAGGGAGAUGGAGUAGGGGUUACUCCAUCGCCACGUCAUCGAUCCGCGUGACAUCUUCUCUCCACCCUUGGAUCAAACCGACCUCACAACCGCCAUUUGAUCAACGGCAGGGGCAAAUCAACAUGUGGGACAUGUGGGGAAGGUCGGUGGGAGGCCACCGACCCUGGAACCGCCUUUGAUGUGGGGUCGGGCGACCCCACUUCUGGGCCUCUGGGCCCACCAGCAGUGUCCACAGGGGUCCCUUAUGUCGGUGGACUAGGUGGCACACCUGGGUCCCACCAAAGAGGGGUCGGGCGACCCCCUCCCUGUGGGCCCAGGGUGUCACCUGUUGUCCCCUCGAUCUCCUCUUGAUGAUUCUGAUGUUGGCUUUGUCAAAUAAUGUCUUGAAUUUGUUGUUCCUGCAUAAACAAGCUAACAGUACAAGUGGAACUAGUUAUGGAUAAAAUAUGUUCAUGUCAUGUCGUUUCCCCUUGCAACCGAGGCAUGUUGACGGUGUUUUGUAUGUGGAUUUCUAUGGUAUAUCCACCGUCAACAGUGAUUUGAUGGGAAGCGAUCAUUAUCUGAAGAUAUUUUACUGUGCAGGAUCUCCUGGUCGGUCCAUCGGCAGCGUUCUAUAACGGUCAUAUUGCCGAUGGGCGGAUAGAGGGGAAGUAACCGUUUGUGCGAAUAUCCUGGUCAGAACAUCGGUAGAUCUUUGUAACGGUAUUAUUGCCGAUGUACGGUUGAGAAGAAAUGCUCGUUUAGGAAGUUGGGGAUUUCGAGGAAUUCGCGGAGGAAUAGGAUCAGAGUUGUUCAGAUUGAGGUUGUCGGUUACCAGAUUAGGAGCAUUAAUUGCGGGAGAAGGCAUCAUUACUGCAGAGAAUUUCGGAGCAUUAAUAGUUUUAUACUCCGAAACUGGGGGGCAUGUGUUGACACCGUUUUUGGGCACGUGUCUAGGAUAGCAGGAUAAGGUGGCAGUACGAUGUUUACAAGGUGAGUUGCCGAUGAGGAUGGUUGCCGAUGAAGGAGAAGUUGAACGUGACUAAGUCUACAGGCAGUGAUAUGACUGUGCCGAUGGCUGGAUAAGAAAGUCUGCCGAUGACUAUGGCAAAGGGUCUGCCGAUAAUGCAAACAGGGAGUUCGGGAGCUGCCGGUCGUUGUGUGAAGGAGUUUCAGUUUGUCACGGGGGAUAGUUUUGUUAUUUCCCUAAUUAUUUACAUCGUUUUGUAUAUGGAUUCCGUGUAGUUUGGAAUUCGAAUUCUAAUCGUGUCUGGUUGUAGCUCUUUGAGCAGGGUAUAAAUGUAGACCCUAGGGCCUUGUAAUGAGAUAUCUAUCAAUCAAUCAAACAUACGUUUUUACUCAUAUUCCAGCAUCUACUUUUUCGACGACUUCGUCAUACUUUUUCCUUUUUACUACGAGUUCUUAGGAAUUCGUCGACUUAAGCUCGGCGUGUUCUCAAGUUCCGCGUGAGUACCUCUUAGCCGUGACAUCCGGGCGCAUCGCUGUUGUCAGGACUAAAGUAUUCGAGUUAUCACCUUUGCCGAUAGUAAGAUCAAAUCGGCUGGCACGCCUUAACGUUUGAAUCGGGUAUUAGCCCUUUGUGUUUGCAGAUCAGUUUUGCAUCAACACGUUCUUUGCUGAGCGUCUCCAUUUGCCGAGGGCACUACCCUCGGCAAAGAAAUCUUUGCCGAGCGCUGUCUUUGCCGAGGGCCUUGCGCUAGGCAAAGGUGGCCUUUGCCGAGCGCCCGAUGAAUAGCGCUCGGCAAAUAACCAGGCGCUAGGCAAAGGCGCUGUCUGCCGUAGUGUACAAUCACCAAAUUUAUAAAUGUUAAUUUGAUUAAUGAUCUAUGAUCAAUGUUAAAAUGAUUAUUUUUAGCAACACAGAUAUAAAAGGGGUUGGAGCAUUGGGCCUUCUUGGGUGCUCUAGACUGCCCUAUAUAAGAACUGAAUAUUAAAAUAGUAACCCAUGACUUACAGUACGACCGUGAGUAUUGGUAUUAAUUAACUCAUCACUUGUUCUAGUAUCCACCUAUCAAUUACCUACACCUCUAGCAUUACACUAGGUUGUCAUCCCCAAUGAUAAAGCCAAAAGUGUUUGUUGGUAUUAUAUAGCAUUACUACAAGAAUAAUACUAAGUAGAUCUCUAUCAUUUUAUGUGACUAGAAAGAAUAUAAAGAUAUAUACAUGAAAAGGAUCCACAAGCGCAUGGAUAAUUAUACCAUUGUAGCAUUUUACCUAGAGUAUUACCAAGUUAUCGAUUUAUAUUUUACCACUGGGAAGGCCUGGCUAGAUAUAUAUUGGUAACUUAUACUAUUAAUGGAAGAAGAAAACCAUAACCACAAUCCUAGUCACAACAGGGGUGAAAGCCCUAGUUUGGUUUUGGAUAAUUGAUGAAACCCUAGUACUAACCUCUAUACUAAGUGUGUGUAGACUUAAUGAGGUUGGUACAUGCCAAGUGAUGGAGCAAGAGAUGAUCAUGGUGAUGAUGGUGAUGACCACAAGAUGAUCAAGUGCUCAACUUGGAAAAGAAGAAAGAGAAAAACAAAACCCUAUGGAGAUCAAGGCAAAGGUAUUGCUUGGGGUUUUGGUUUUGGUGAUCAAGACACCAUAGAGGGUGCGAUCACAUUUAGGAUAGAUAGCCAUACUAUAAAGAGGGGAAUUCUUUGGCUAAGCGGUUAUCAAGUGCCACUAGGUGUCAUUGUUCAUGUGCAUGCAUUUAGAACCUAGUGAGCUAACUUAACUCCUUCAAAGAAAAUGAUUAUGAAAAUGCUAACACACGUGCACUUGUUGGUACACACUUGGUGGUGUUGGCACACUUUGAGAAGGAGGUGGAGGUUGAAGAGUAGAGUGGAGUUUAGGUUCCUCUCUCCCUCCUGCCGAGCUUGCUCGGCAGGAUUCGACGCUUUUUGAGAAAAUGAAAUGUAUAUUUUCUAUUGCGCCGGUGGGAAGUUUGGAGAAGUUAAACACUCACCGGACGCUGACUGCGGAGGCACCGGACACUAAGCCUGCAUGUCCGGUGUGCUGUCAGUGCCUGGCUCUGUUAGGGUUAGGCACCGGACGCUGAGCACCGGAUGCAGGGUAACUCCUGUUCAUGCGUUCGGUGCUUCCUGACUUCUUCGGGUGUUUCUGACUGAGAGCACCAGACGCUCAGGGUCUAUCCGGUGGUGCGCGUCUGGUGUCCUUGCGCAUUUGCAGUGCUCUCUGGGUAAGGGCCGGACGCUUAGGGCGUGUCCGGUGGUGUGAGUCCGGUGACCUUGCGUGUUUGUAGAACUCUCUGCGUACAUGACCGGUGUACACCGGACGCGUCCGGUGCUAACUUGAGCGCGUCCGGUGGAUCAUAUUUGACCAUUAGAGAUCAACGCGCCUGGUUCAAAGGUUGACACGUGGCUUCUUUUGGUGCACCGAACGCACGGGCUGUGCGUCCAGUGAUCACUAGCUGUGCGUCCGAUGGCCCCAUGUUUUGCCCAGUGAAGGAGCCAACAGCUGUAUUUGUUUGAGGGGCUUAUAAAUAGUUGUUGCCUGGCUUGAGGCUCACUCUCUUAGCAUUCUAGCAAACUUGACAUCCUUGUGAGCCUAAGCAAACACCUCCCACUCAUUUCUUUCAUAGACUAUCCAUCUUUGUGAGAUUGGGAGUGAUUCCAAGUGCAUUUGCUUGAGUGAUUGCAUCUAGUGGCACUUGGGGAUCAAUUUGGCUGCGGUUUUCUUAUUAGUCUUGGUGGUUGCCGCCACCUAGACAGCUUGGAGCAGUGGAGGAGCAUUGGCAGGAGUUGGUGAUUGUUCGUGGUCAUCUCCCGGUGAUUAUGAGGGGUCUUGUGCCUUCCCCGGUGGAGAGCCGAAAGGUAACUCUAGUGGAUUUCUCGUGUCAUUGAGUUACCUCACUUGUGGGUCGGUUCUUUCGGUGUCCUAGUGAGGACGAGGUUCGUGCUACACCUCUUAGCCGCCGAACCACCAAGUGUUGGUCGACACAAUGGGGAUGUAGCAUGCCGGUAAGCACGUGAACCUCGGGAGAAAAUUGUGUGUCUCCAUUGUGAUUGUUCAUUGUAUUUCUCCCGGUGAUUGGACUUCAUAUUAUUGUGAUUGGUUCAGCCCCUCUACGCGGCGGUAUAAAGAUCAAACCCUCUCUCUUACAUUCUCGCAAACUAGAGUAAAUUACUUACUUGUAUAGAAACUUUAGGUAGCUCUCUAGUGUAAGUAGAGACUUACUUCUUGUGUGCCUAGUGAUCAUAGAAACUAGAAUUGUUGGUUAGGUGGCUUGCAAACACCUCAUUAGAGCUAGAGCAAAAAGCUUCACUUUGUUAUUUACUAACCUCUUGCUCUAGUGAGUUUGUAGAAUUUUUAAAUAGGCUUUUCACCCCCCUCUAGCCAUAUUAGGAUCUUUCAAGGGGUAAGUCAUAAGAUAAAAUAUGUACAUAUAUAUAAUAAGCAUUGAUCAAGCGUUAUGAUAAAUAAGUGAUUCACUUAGAGCACUCUAAAAAUGGCAAUAGCAUUAGUCCAAUUAGAAUAUUAGAGGAAUAAUUCCUAAGUCAUUCUAUAACUAAAAGUCAAAGCAUACCUCAAUUAGUGCAAUUGCAUCUAGUAAUCAUUGUUAAUAUUACUAUUACAUCCACGCAUAAGGGGCAUAAAUGAUAGGAAGUUUGGAAAUACAGUUCGCACAACCAUUGCAACAUAGGCCCUACUUGUUCUACAUAAGGGAGAAGACUAUAGAGGAAUCAAUAGGUCUGUCAUACCUAUGAACUACCUCAGAACCUGAUACAUAGGGUGCAUCCAUAGAUAUACAAUAUCUAAGCACCACGCUUACAUAGUGCAUACCCCCAUGGCACCUAAAUAUUAGGGUUAGCCCUAUACGAUCUUAUGCAUAAAAUCAUAGUAAACUAACUAUACAAGAUAUAUAAUCAAAGUAAACUAUGAACAUUGCAAUCAAGAAUAUAAUAAAGAUGAAGAUUAAUGUUGCCAUAAACAUUAUUGUAGCAAGCACACAAAUACAAUGGAGAAUACAAUGAGAGGGGGGUACAAAGAAUUAUACCUAAAAGAAAGCCACACUCUUGACAAUGUCAAGCCCUCUAGACCUAAUCUAAUUAGAUAAACUCUAUAACUAAAAAAACUCUGAGGAAUUAGGGUUUCUAGCUCUAGAUGACUUGAUCUCCAAUGAUUUAUUGCCUUUAGGGAGGCUAGGGUUUGAUUAUAUAGCCCGGAGGGAUCAAUGUGAGCCCUUAGAUCAAACCAACCUUGAAACACGGUGGAGAUGCAUCCAAGGAGGCGGUGGAGGAAGGUUCUAGAAGCCAGAGGCAAAUGUGGUCCACGGGAUGUCGAGUGGCACAGGCCUAGGGCUAGCUGGUCCCCCAUGUGGGCUUUUCAGGGCCCUCUUUGGUGUGGUGUCUUCAUGAUCCUUCUAGAGUCUUCUCUCAUAUUUUUUGUGGAACAAGUUGAUUGUUUUAUUUGACGAAUAGAUCUUUCUUUAUUGUUUUCUAGAAUAAUCCUUUAGAAAAUAAUAAUUCACCAAAGCUCGUGGAAUUUGUCAGUUUAAACCCUAUACUUAUGUAUAUUCUCUCAUUUGUACCAUUUCUCAUGUUUAUUCAACUAUAAAUGUUGACAUUAACCACCGUCAACGGCGAGAACUAGAUGACUCUAGUCUUAGCCUAGUAUCUUGAUCUAUUCUAGUUCAUCAAUAGCUUACCGAAAGGGCAAUAAGGGGGUGCCAUGAUGGGCAUGGUCCUUGUCCUAUCAAGUGUGUGCUAGGCUACAAUCACAAUGUGCCACUAAUGGAUGAGUCUUUCAUGACACUUGCCAUCGAAACCUUAGUGGCCACUACUUAUUAAACAACUAGUGAUAAGCUUUAUACGAUCCUUACCAACUUACCUUGGAAGCGAGUCAAGAGGUUGGCCACCUCAGCCAAAGGGCAAUCAUGAUUCAUGGGUAAAGAUGUACAAAAUCUUAGAGUUACUUUGAACUGUUACAGUAGUCAUGCUCUCAAACAUGAGUGGCCUGGAUCCUUUUCGAGAUAGAUGGUUCAAUGGAUGGUUUGGAUGAUAAUUAAUCUUUAUGUUAAUUAUUCUUUCACCUUGGGAGCUUAAGCAUAACCUAGAAACUUAGGUUUAAUAAAUAAAAUAUGACCAACUAAAAGUGCUUACUGCAGUCAGCUCUGUCUUGCUUUUUAGUCUUACAUACCCUUAUGUUAUUUUUGCUAAGUAUGGUGCACUCACACUUGCUUUACAAUCAACAAAAUCCUAGAUGGUUACCAGGUCGUGUUCCAAGUGACAAGUUCCCUAAGGAGUUUUGUUAACCAUCCCUAUGGAGUAUGGAGUCCCAAAGAAAAGAUUAAGAAUAUUUUCCACUAUGCUUUGUAAUAGAUGUAGGUCAUGUUGUAAACAUGCAUGUUUCAAUACAUAAUAACACAUUUGUCUUCCAUAUUUGUCACUAUAUGCAUUGUGUGGACAUCCUAGGCAUGCAUAUAGUUAUUGUUUGGUAUUCUUCAAAAAACCGGGUAUGGCACGUGUGAGCACCAUAGGUUUUGAUGGUCACUGAAGAAUAAGCAUUGGAGAAAUGGUCUUAACCCUUCUUUCCGGUGGACACCUAAGAGCUGUCACCAGAGUUUUCUGAUAGUCACAAAGAAUAGCACCUGAGUUUUCCACUGCUCAACUUUUAGCAUGACACUUUGUAUUUGGCAUAACUUUUUACUCUGAACUCUAAUUUUAAUGAUCUUAAAAAUUUUGGAAAGAUAAUGAAGAGCUCUACAUCUUUGAGCUGAUAUCAUAUCAAUUUGUGAAAAAUUCAAAAUCAUAAGACAAGACCAAUUCAUCUGUCUCUUCUUCCUAGCUUCAUGGCUUCCAUUUCUUUUGUGUCUUCAUGUCCAGGCUUCUACUUCUUGGUGUUUUGUACUUCUGGCAUGUACUAGGUAGCAUGCCCGUGCGUUGCUAUGGGACAAUAAAACUUUUGUACUAAAAGCACAGAAAUCGCACGAUAAGAUAACACGAAGCCGCUUGCCACCGCACUAGCGUCAUAGCCACCCCGACCCCACAGUGAGCCCCCGCGCCUACCUUGCUUGCCGGUAUGCACUCGCCAUGGAUGUCGUCAUGGUUUCUCCACCUAAGAGGCCCAAGGUCCCGCUUUUUCUCUAUCACGAUACACAGCACGCACACACGAACACAAGUACGUCCUUGCCAAGCCCAUAGCGCUUGGAAACGUCGGUGCCAACGAACUGUCCCAAACGCUCGCCAUGGCCAGAGCACCGCCAUGCAUGACAAGCUUUGUACCGGCCAUCACAAGCCGGUAGAGACCCUAAAGCCCCCACAGUGAGUUAUAUUUCAACUAAAAUAGGGGGCCUUUUUUAAAUAAUCAAAUUUACACACAUUAAUGAGUAGCAUAAACAUCGCCUAUUGUGUAAAAACUGGCAUUUAUGCCUUCUAUAGAGGACAGAAGGUCGCUGAUCUAAUUUGGUGGCUUCCCAAGUGGUGCCUUCUUCUAUACAGUAAAACCAAUGCAUCAUUAGCUACUGCAUAGUGCAUACUGUAGAAAUAUGAAAUGGAGGACCUCUCUGGUGGAAAAUGAAAAUACUACUACCAGUUAAGUGGGCCUUUCUUAAAGAAAAGAAUGGACUCACAUCAACAAUAUCGAUAAGCAAUUAACCAUGGUGAUGUCCCCCUUCAGUUCUAAAAAAAAUUAAAUAAUUUGAGCCUGAACCCAACCAAGCUUUACUCAGAAUCAUUCAUAUGGAAUGAGUUUAGUAGCAAAAUGAUGUACAGAUUUCAAGAAUUAAAAAAACAGUAUACCACAUAUGGACAGUUAGAACUGAAUCACCCAUACUGAGCAACAAUUUCAAAAUUCCACAGAGAGAUAACAACCAAAUAAUCCAAGGAUGCCUAACAUAUGAUCAAGAGCAAAAAAGAAACAAAUAUAAUAAGAAAAGAGAGAGAGGCUCAACAACAGCUAAGACAAUAUAAUUAUAAUGCACAAUUCAGAUACCUCAGUGGACUGCGUGGUACAGAAACAGAAAAAUAUGUAGGUCUGAAAUCUUGAUUCCACAAUAUGCAAAUUUAACAUGGACAAAUGAUGAAUAAAAAUAAAUAAAUAAAUUGCAAAUAAAUAGAUGGUAUUUUUUAUUGUUGAACUGAACCACUUGUAUCCGUAGAUAUGCUUCACUGGGAUAUUUUGUGAUGCAAAACUGAACCACUUGUAAACUGAGUGCGGAGUUGAGGCACGGCGAUGAAGGGAAGCCCUAGACUGGUGUUCACAUUACUUACCUGAUAUUCUGUGACUCUCAGAUUGAUAAAUUUCAGAUUACUUAUCUGAAAUUAAUUCAUAGUCAUGGCUGAACCAUGUGUCAUGAUACUGAUCUGAUACUCAUAGCAAUAGCAUUAGUUACCCAUGCCUCUCCUGAACAUGCCUCGAUGACUGGAUUUAUAAAUUAAAUAAAAAAUCAUAAGUUGACAGAUUGGUAGAGUGACCAUGACGAAAAACACAAACCGGAAAAUAUGAGAAUAGUGAAAGCAAUUGAUUUGAGAUCCUGCUGUUCUGUCAUUUGUAGGGACCAUGAUGUGUUGAUGAAUUGGUUUGCAUAUUAUCUUUGAGAAAACAACCAUAUCAAUAAUAUGUCAUUGUGUUCCUAUUAUUUAUUAAAUAUAAAUAGGCAGUUUUGAUAUCUUUGAACUAUAACAAAUAUACUUCAUAAAAAAUUCAAUUCAAUUAUUCUUGAUUGCCUACUUAGAUUUCCAAAUAAGACAAUUUUAAGUAUCUAAAACAUAAUAACCUUUUAGAGGCAUUCUGUUUAACAUGUGGUGGGCAGGUUAAAAGUAAAAAAAAUUAUCCAUCUUGUCAAUUUCACAAACAAAUAGUAUCCAUUGUGCGGAUCAAACAAAGAGUAUUAAAUAGAACUGAUGGGCAGGAGCACCUACCGACGUCACUGAAGACAGGGCAGUGCAAAUGACUGGGCUUGCACCACUGCUCCAUGAGCCAGCAAGGUGUAUACCAUCAUCAUAAUCAAAUCCGACCCCUCGAAAUUGGAAUUAACUGGAGUUGAGGGUGGAGUGGUUGUUCUGAUCUGAUCUUGCCUAGCCCAAGGUUCUAGACAUUUUGAGCAGCAGAGCAUACUAACCUACCUGACCCUUUGUGCGUGUCCUAUGCCUCCUCUGUGCGUCCCACGUGGUGGCGGCCGCUGGCCUCAGCCUGCCAUUGACCCGCCCGUUCCCAGCCCUCACCACCUUCCUAGGCUUUGCCACCAUGCUCCCUUUGCCAUGUGGAGCAGAAGCUGAGAGGAGGGUCAGGGAUCAAUUGCCAGGAGUUGGAAUUAACCAAUUAAGGUAUUGAUUAAAAGGCACACUACAAUUUUCAAUACAUAUCUAGCAAGGUAGCACACGACAAGCAUGGAUAAAUUAGGUUACAUGGUGAUAUGAAGUGAACACAAGCAGAAACCUUUUGUCAGCGGCUGCCAUCCUGAGCAGUUCAUCAAAAUCUUUCGAUAUAAGGUGUUGAACACCUUCUGAAUGAAGCACCACCUCCUUCAGAUGCUUUAUGCUAGGCUCCGAUAGAGAACGCAUCAUGUUAAAGCAUUUAGCUAUAGUAUUUUCUACCUCAAAAGCCAGCUUGGCUAUUUUGUUUCCCUUUGCUGCAGAACUUGACACAAAACCACUGCUAGAAUUUCAACCUGUUAUGCUACUACCGAGUGUGUCUAGAACCUCCACUGUCUUGUCAAGCCCAACAGUGCUAUCUCUAUUUAAAAUUGAGCUCACUUCUGAAACCUGUUGAACACAGGAAAAGAACCAAUAUGAAUGAUAGAGAUGCCUAACUAAAAAUCUCCAACAUAAACAUAGCACUAACCUAGACUUUGAGGUAUAUAAAAAAUGAUAAUUGAAGCACAUGUAGCUGUCAAAAUGCAAAAGCUAAUUGCGCUUGUGCAUGAUAGACCAUUUAAUUUUUUAACUAUAUACGAUGUCUUAGAGAACGUUAACAACUAAAUUUUCUUUUGCCAGGAUGCCAAUAAGCAGUAAAUACAGAUAAAACAAUGAGUAAAUUUCUUGAACUAUUCCAGUCAAAUGGUAAAGAAGGCUAUAGAUAUCAACAAACAAUGAGUGCUGUCCCCAAUAUAAAACAGUAUCAUGAUUAGAAUUAUUUAGUUUUUAUAUACUAUAGGGACACUGUAUAUUGCUGCAAUCUAACAAAUGAUUGAGAAUCACUCAAAACAACUGCUACAAAACAAAACAUGUUAUAUUGUGGUCUAAUUAAACAUAGAUAAAACAAAAGGACCAAACUUAAAUGUGAUAAGAAUCCAUCAAACUAUUAGCAGCACUCGCAGCCUGUAACAACUCAAACAUUGGGCGACAAGGAUCUAACAACACGGGAGGAACACGUAUGAAGACAACUGGAAACUAAGAGCAGAACCUCGAAUUGGUUUCAGGAACCAGAAGUCCAAGAGAUCUUUUUUUUAUCGCACAAUCUAGAAAAGACAGCGUAAUCAAACGCGCAAAGAACCAAUCCAAUCCAUCCCAUUCCCAUCGAAUAGCUGUGAGUAGUCCUCAGUCCUCACCUGCAGGAAACUAGCCGAUUCACCUCGCUAAUCCAAGAACACGAGGGACGGGCAGCCACGUAGUAGCAAUCCCAAUUAACCACCAAUUGGGUUCAGCUCCAACCAACCCUGUUGGGAUUACACCAUGAGGUGAAAGCCUGGCUGGGACAGCCGUUCAGGUUACAGGAAGAAAUAAAAAGAAGGGAAAAAAGGAGCUGAAAAAAAUUACCACCACCGGACUCCAAGAAUAGCAAAGGCAAAUUGCAUGUGGAGAAAAAAAAAUAAAUCGGAGAGAAAUCUGUAGACCAAUCGGAGAUAAACCUCAGAGGAGGGACGGAUUAAUCAGGCAGUUACGAAGCGAUCGGGACGCCACUGAUGCUGGAGUUUGAGGGGGCCUUGCAAGUGUUUUGGGUGCAGGGGGAUCAGGAUGUUGUUUACUUCAGUUCUUUCCUCCACGCGACGUAUGGGGAGAGAGGAGUAGAGAGGACCUUGUCACACAAGAGGCCUCAACUGCGCUAUUAGGUUUUGCCUUGUGGAGCGCGCAUCACGAACCGGUGCCGGUGAGGGCGGAGCAGCGGUGGCUUCGUAGCAUCGGCGGUGCUGUGGGUCGCAUCGACGGCGGCACUGCCUCUGGGGUAGGGGGCAGCGGCGAUGGAGUGCCAUGGCAUGGGGAGCAUGUUGUUGGAGUGGCGGUGCAAGGGCAGUGAGAUUGAGGGAAGUGUCAGGUGCAGGAUCUCGUGACGUCGGGGUGGAUGUGGAGGUGCGAGUGGGGUCCCACCUGCCGGCCACGGUAUGCGCGGGGGAGUCCCGAUCGUAGGAUAGGCAGACGGACGACCGAAACUAUAUCACACGAAAAAAUGUUCACGUUUUGUUCUUUUUAGUUGUAGGAGAUUGUAGGUCUUUAACAUAGAUUCUAAUGUCUUGCUUGAGGUUUUGAUCACUCUAAUCUUUUCAUUUCCUAAGUCCAAGCCAACCUUGCAUCCACUUGAAUAUCCUUCUAUACUAGUAGACGCCACUAGUCCAAAUAGUCAUGUUGUUCAUCAAACAUCAAAAUCAUAUAAUGGACAAUGCAAGGUAAAAUUUUUCCUUGCAGUAUCAAAACGCCAGCUUCCAACUUGGUCACGCUUGAACCCAAGUACAAUAGUGUUUUUGCUUCCUUUCUCAUUUCCUCCAAGUUUUUCAGAUUUCUUGCCUCAAGGAACUAUGGCUCCUAACCACUUACCCUCUGGUCUAGACCAUCUACCACAACAUCAUUAGCUAAAGUUUCAUGGUCAAUUUCAUUGAUGAUUUCUAGGCGGUUUCAUUUAUAGUUUUCUAGCUGGUUUCAUUUUCCUUGAUGGUUUCAUGGAUGGUACCACGCAUGGGUGCUCGAUGUUCUGACACUACUUUUGAUUUUUGUAAUCAACACACUGGCAUUGUAUAUAUAUCCAUAACCCCUAGAUUAUUUUCCAUGUACCUUAUGGCGGUCUUCAAAAAAUAUUUAGUGCCUUCCACGAACUUGGCAAAUAUGUGAUCUGAGUACAUCCAUCUGUGAUCCAUCUAUGUAUAACAAAAUGGGUAUCACAUAGGCCAUACUAAUAUAUAUGCCAUUCAGUUUGAUAUGUGGGCAUUUAAGGUGCCAUAAGAAAUUUGUUACAAUUUUUUUACCUAAUAAUAAAGAAAAUAAAUGUUAUAUUUUUUUGAAAGAAUGAUUGUCCUAAUAUCUAUAGUCAAAAAAAUUUUCACCAUAAAAACAUGAUUUAGCAUACAUGAUAGGGGAAGAUUGAUUUUUCAUCACACAAGCAUCAUAAUUUGGUAACAUAAUGUAAUUUUCUAGUUUUAACGGCAUAAGAAUAUUAUCAUAGGAGGUCAAAUGUGUUAUUAUGCACUAAAAAUCAUAAUAUAUAACUCACAAACAAGGACUUAUCUAAUAGGUAACAAAGCGUACUAGCUUGAUAGUACAAGUAUUUAUGAUUUGAAGUUAGUUUUAGGUGUCUAUUAUUAAUUUUGCCAAAAUAUUUUGGCUAUCAUUAAUUUCAUUAUUUCUAGGGGCUAUUUAUAUAAGUCUUAAAUUUCUUCAUCUGCCUUGUUUCCUUUUGUCCACCUUUACAUGACAAGUGGCUUUCAUUCACAGCCAAAUGACACGUGGUGAACAUGCAAAGAUUCAUUAAGACACGUGUUUUGUUUUGUCUAUCUUCUCAUGACAAGUGGCUUGCUUCCAUUCAUAACCAAAUGACACAUGGCAGACAUGCAAAGAUUUCUUAAGACAUGUGUAACUUCUCAUUCCAUAGGAUGACUAUAUAUAAACUUCUUCUGUUUAUGAGUAGAACAAUAGUGAUAGUCGCAGAUGGAAUUCAGGCCAACAAUUAUUGCCAUGGUGAAGGAGGUAUGGUUUUCCUAUCUAUGUAUCUUACGAUGAAUAUGGGUGCUAGAGGUUAAGGGUUCUCAAUCUAAACGGUUGAUUGUUGUGAGAGCAAGAUCGAUGGAAGUAGCACAAUUAACAAAAUAAUGAGUUUGAUUUGAGAAUCUCACAAGAUUAUUGUUGGAACAUGAUUAUGGCUGCACAUAGAUCAUAGGUUCAGUUAAGUUUUUAAUGUUAGUACAUUUGAUUUUUUUUUUCUUUAUUUUAGUCCUAACAACCAUAGGAAGUAAGCCGAACUGCAUAGAUAUGAUUAGCCAUGGAUUACAAGCAACCUUUACUUAGCAGAACUAGAAGCAAGGUUGGCUAUCAGUAGAGUCACACAUGAUGAAUUAGAGAGUUGUGGACAGUUCAUUAUGUGAGUUAGAGCGCUUAAAUAUUUGAUUUUUAGUUAAGCUUCCCUUCAUCCCUUUUUGUAUUAUGUAGAAAAUUGAAGUUACAUAUUGACGUAUAUCGUACAUGUCUUCUACGUGGAACAAUUUUUUUGGAAGACCUUGGGGACAUUGCUUGACCGUUAAUAAUAGUUUUGUUUGAAGCUUUUCUUCUGAUCAGUGAGCUACUUCAUAUUUGGUCAACAUUAGUUACACAUUUUCCAUAUAAAAUCAGCAUGCAGAAAUAGAAGCAUCUGAUGCACACACCGUCCCAACAAAACAAGCAUCCUUGUGCACAUCAUGCGGGCAUGCGGCUCGCCAUGCCAACCAGCUCAAACAUGAUGCACAAUCCACCCAACAAGCAUCCUCAUGCACAUCAUGUGGGCAUGUGGCUCAUCCUCAUUCAAUUCUCACCCAACUAGCAAUUGCAUCUUCUAUACUAAACACUUGCAUCUAUUCAUGACUAUUACACAUUAUGGUCUUAGUGGCUUUGCAUUCCAUUCUAUGUUGCUUUGGACUACUAGAGAAACAAAUAUCACACUACUAAUUCUAAUGAGUUCUAUGUCACACUUCAAACCUCUAAUCUGGAUGGGAGCAAAUAGCUCAAAGAUGAUCACCGACAAAAGCCAUGGAUCCCAUGAAAAGGUACCUCGCUUCGCUUGGACAGCUAUAGAGAACAUAGGAGGGCAAAGAUCCACUUUUUGUCUUCAUUUAUAGCCUUGGAUUUUCUGACUAUGGUAGCUCUAAUAGAGUUCCUAGGUCACUAUCAUCAAUCCGAGGCCACUAUCAUCCCAUGCAACUAGAAUUUAAUGGUGUAUAUUUCUAGUGCUGACGGAAGUGAUCCUAGUAGUCAAGGUGCCAUCAUGGUCUAUCGGCACGUGACAUGUGCCCUUGGAAUUAUGGUACUAGUGUAGGGACUCGAUCAGAGGUUGUACAUAGUCAGCUAAUGCAAGGCUUCUAAUACCGAGGAUACUAGAUCAUCGCCUCAAUAGUCAAAUGUCAGUCUUGCAUGGAAACCACAAACAACUCCGCAUGAUGGAUGUGCACUAGUCCAUGUCCUCCAGAGGGCUGCUGGUGAUCCUAGAAUUUUUUGGCAGAGAUUAAUGCAUGAUGCACAUCAUGGUCGCCUUUUAGGAUAAUAUAUUCUUCAUCAAGUGCACUUCUUUUCUAGCAUAUUGUACUACUAAAUGUUUAUGAGUAUGAUAAUUACCAUGUAUGAAUAUCUCUCAACUCGAAUGGUACAAAAAAUAUUGAAACAAAUGCACUAUCAACAAUCUAGCAAUGUGCUUCAAUGGUCUUUCCAAAAGCAGCUUAUUUUGUGUUGACGACUUAUAACAUAUUAUGAUUUUUUUAUUUUCUCUUCUAGAAAAUCUACCUUUUAGGUGACAUGCAUUAAUUUCAUCCUAAUUAAAUUCUCACCCAACUUGCCAACUACAUCUUCUUUACUUCACAAUUGCAUCUACUCAGGACUAUUACAACACUACUACCUAAAUGACCCGCCUCAAAAAAGGUCGAGGCCCAAAUAGACCUAGGCGAGCCCACCAGCGUGAACUGAGUAUAAAUACUCUCCCUCACCUCUCCCACUUCCUCUCCCUUAGUUGCCCCUCAUAAGCACAGCCUCACCCCGACCCCUCCCUUCCCUCUUGACAGCACAUGCUCCACCCCUCCCCUCUCCUUCCCUCAUAGCGACCCUUGCUUGUAUGUCUAGUGGCUUAAGCGAGGCCAGAUCCGGUGGCCUAGGUGAGCGGCCACUCUGAUGGGUGGAGGAUCCACCUAGGAGUGCCCCCUCCAGCGAGUGCAGGGGGUGGUGUGGUAGGAUACGGAGGUGGCGAAUGCGAUGCAGUGUCCUCUCUAGCAGUAACAACACGGCUCUACUCUCGCUCACCAACAGCAUGAGGACAACAUGGGGGAAACACCAACUAAGGAGCAUAGGGUGAGCAGCCACCACCAGAUCCAGCGAGGAGAAGGCUAGAUGUAGCAAGAAGGAGGCUAGAUACGACAAUGAGGAGCCUAGAUCUAGUGAAAUCCUCCAAGUGGAGUGGUGGUGUGUUGAUGGGCUUGGCAGGCCCAUGGAUUGGCUUGUUGGGCUUAUCCAUGGAUUUUCUUAUUUUAUUUUUAUUUGAUUUACCAAGGUAAGCAUUUGAGUCCACUCAGCAAGGGUCAAUUUACUAUGGCCUUUGGUCCAAGGUAGUUGUGAUGCCCACCUUAGUAAAUCAAAAAUGCCUGUCUCUAGUAAGUUUUUCUGUAGUACUACAAACUGUGGUCUUACUGGCUUUGUAUUCCAUUAUACCUUACUUUUGACUAUCAAAGAAAUAAAGAUCACACAUACAACUAAUUCUAAUGAGUUCUAUAUCAAACUUCAAAUCUCUUAUGUAGAUGGGAGCAGAAAACUCAAAGACGUUCACCAGCAAAAGCCAUGGAGCCGAUGACAAGGUACCUUCACUUGGUCAGCCAUAGAGAAAUGUAUAAUGUCAAACAUAUGCUUUUUUCAUCAUUUGUAGCCUUGGAUUUUUUUUACUAUGGAAACUCAGAUAGAGUUCCUAGGUCACUAUCAUCAAUCUGAGGCCACCAUGCCAUGCAGCUAGCAUUCAAUGGUGUGUAUGUGCAGUGCUGGUUGAAGUGAUCCCAGCAGUGGAGGUGGCAUCAUAGUUUGCCGACCAAGUGACAUGUGUCCUUAGAAUUAUCGUACUGGCAUAGGUACUCGAUCAGAGGCUACACAUAGUUAGUGAAUCCAAGGCUACUAAUGCCAAAAAUACUAGUUCAUCACCUACAACAGUCAAGCGCCAGUCUCACAUGGUGACUAUAAAGAACUCCGCAUGAUGCACGUGCGCUAGUCCAUGUCCUCCAUCAGGUUGUUGGUGAUCCUAGAGUUUUCUAGCAGAGAUUGGUGCAUGAUGCAUGUCACGGUGGCCUUUUAGGAAUGUGUAUUCUUCAUCAGGUUAGCUUCUUUGCUAUCAUAUUGUACUAUUAAAAUUUAUGAGUAUGAUCAUUACCAUGUAUGAAUAUCUCUCAACUAGAAUUGUGCAAAAAAAUGUUGAAGCAAAUAUGUUGUAAAAAUUAGGCUAAGUGCUUUGAUUGUCUUUCCAAAAUUAUCUUAUUUUGUGUUGAGGACUUAUAACAUAUUAUGAUUUUUUAUUCUAUUUUUCUAGAAAAUCUACCUUUUAGGUGACAUGAAUUAGUUGCAUCCUAAUUUAAUUCUCGCACGACUUGCCAACUACAUCUUCUUUACUUCACAGUUGCAUCUACUCAUGACUAUUACAACACUACUACCUAAAUGACCCGUCUCAAAAAAGGCCAAGGCCCAAAUAGGCCUAGGCAUGCCCACUAGCAUGACCUGAGCAUAUAUACUCUCCCUCAUCUCUCCCUCUUCCACACCUCUCCCACUUCCUCUCCCUUUGUAGCCCCUCAUAAGCAUAGCCUCCACCCCUCCACUCCCCUCCUACCCACCUCUCCCCUCCCCUUCUCUCCCAGCGACCCUUGCUUGCAGAUCUAAUGGCUUAGGCGAGGCUAGAUCAGGUGGCCUAGGUGAGUGGCCCCUCUAAUGGGUGCAGGAUCCACCUAGGGAGUUCCCCCUCUAGAUGGUGUAGGGGAUGCUAUGGCCGGAUAUAGAGGUGGUGAAUACAGCAUGGUGUCCUCUCUAGUAGUAGCGACAUUGCUCUACUCUUCCUCACAAACGGCACGAGGACAACAAGGGGCCAAAAAAAACUAAGGAGCAUAGGAUGAUUGGUCACCACUAGAUCUAGCAAGGAGAAGGUCAGAUGCAACAAGAUUGAGGCUAGAUACGGUGAGGAGGAGCCCAGAUCUAGUGAAAUCUUGUGGCAACAAGGCUUGGUGGUGGCCUAGAUCCUGCAAGUGGAGUGGUGGUGUGUUGAUGGGCUUGACAGGCCCAUGGAUUGGCUCAUUGGGCUUGUCCAUGGGUUUUCUUAUUUGAUUUUUAUUUGAUUUACCAAGGUAAGCAUUUGAAUCCAAUGAGCAAGUGUCAAUUUACUAUGGCCUUUGGUCCAAGGUAGUUGUGAUGCCCACCUCAGUAAAUCAAAAAAGCCUGCCUCUAGUAAGUUUUCUAUAGUACUACAAACUAUGGUCUUAGUGGCUUUGUAUUCCAUUCUACCUUACUUUUAAUUAUCAGAGAAAUAAAGAUCACACAUACAACUAAUUCUAAUGAGUUCUAUAUCAAACUUCAAAUCUCUUAUGUAGAUGGGAGCAGAUAACUCAAAGACGUUCACCAGCAAAAUCCAUGGAGCCGAUGAAAAGGUACCUUCACUUGGUCAGCCAUAGAGAAAUGUAUGAUGUCAAACAUUUGCUUUUGUCAUCAUUUGUAGCCUUGGAUUUGUUGACUAUGGAAGCUCUGAUACAGUUUCUAGGACACUAUCAUCAAUCUAAGGCCACCAUGCCAUGCAACUAGCUUUCAAUGGUGUGUAUGUGCAUUGUUGGCUGAAGUGAUCCUAGCACUGGGGGUGUCAUCAUAGUUUGCCGACCAAGUGACAUGUGCCCUUAGAAUUAUGGUACUGGCGUAGGUACUCGGUCAGAGGCUAUACAUAGUUAGUGAAUCCAAGGCUAUGAAUGCCGAAAAUACUAGUUCAUCACCUGCAAUAGUCAAGCGCCAGUCUCACAUGGUGACUAUAAAGAACUCCGCAUGAUGCAGAUGCGUUAGUCCAUGUCCUCCAUCAGGUUGCUGGUGAUCCUAGAGUUUUCUAGCAGAGAUUGGUGCAUGAUCAUUACCAUGUAUGAAUAUCUCUCAACUAGAAUUGUGCAAAAAAAUGAUGAAGCAAAUAUGUUGUUAAAAUCAGGCUAAGUGCUUUGAUUGUCUUUCCAAAAUUAUCUUAUUAUGUGUUGAGGACUUAUAACAUAUUAUGAUUUUUUAUUUUCUCUUCUAGAAAAUCUGCCUUUUAGGUGACAUAAAUUAGUUUCAUCCUAAUUUAAUUCUCACUCGACUUGCCAACUACAUCGUCUUUACUUCACAGCUACAUCUACUCAUGACUAUUACAACACUACUACCUAAAUGACCCGCCUCAAAAAAGGCCAAGGCCCAAAUAGGCCUAGGCAAGCCCACUAGCAUGACCUGAGCAUAUAUACUCUCUCUCAUCUCUCCCUCUUCCUCACCUUUCCCACUUCCUCUCCCUUUGUAGCCCCUCAUAAGCAAAGCCUCCACCCCUCCACUCCCCUCCUACCCACCUCUCCCCUCUCCUUCCCACCUAGCCACCCUUGCUUGUAGAUCUAGUGGCUUAGGCGAGGCUAGAUCAGGUAGCCUAGGUGAGUGGCCCCUCUGAUGGGUGCGGGAUCCACCUAGGGAUUUCCCCCUCUAGAUGGUGUAGGGGAUGCUGUGGCGGGAUACAGAGCUGGUGAAUAUAGCAUGGUGUCCUCUCUAGUAGUAGGGCACAACUCUACUCUUCCUCACCAACGACAUGAGGACAACGUGGGGCCAAGAAAAACUAAGGAGCAUAGGAUGAGUGGCCACCACUAGAUCCAGCAAGGAGAAGGCUGGAUGCAACAAGAUUGAGGCUAGAUACGGUGAGGAGGAGCCUAGAUCUAGUGAAAUCUUCUGGCAACAAGGCUUGGUGGUGGCCUAUAUAAUGCAAGUGGAGCAGUGGUGUGUUGAUGGGCUUGGUGGGCCCAUGGAUUGGCUCAUUGGGCCUGUCCAUGGGUUUUCUUAUUUUCUUUUUAUUUGAUUUACCAAGGUAAGCAUUUGAAUCCACUCAACAAGGGUCAAUUUACUAUGGCCUUUGGUCCAAGGUAGUUGUGAUGUCCACCUCAGUAAAUCAAAAAUGCCAGCCUCUAGUAAGUUUUCUACUGUACUACAAACUAUAGUCUUAGUGGCUUUGUAUUCCAUUCUACCUUAUUUUUGACUAUUAGAGAAACAAAGAUCACACAUACAACUAAUUCUAAUGAGUUCUGUAUCGAACUUCAAAUCUCUUAUGUAGAUGGGAGCAGAUAACUCAAAGACAUUCACCAGCAAAAGCCAUGGAGCUGAUGAAAAGGUACCUUCACUUGGUCAGAUAUAGAGAAAUGUAUAAUGUCAAACAUAUGCUUUUUUCAUCAUUUGUAGCCUUGGAUUUUUUGACUAUGGAAGCUCUGAUAGAGUUCCUAGGUCACUAUCAUCAAUCUGAGGCCACCAUGCCAUGCAGCUAGCAUUCAAUGGUGUGUAUGUGCAGUGCUGGUUGAAGUGAUCCCAGCAGUGGAGGUGCCAUCAUAGUUUGCCGGCCAAGUGACAUGUGCCCUUAGAAUUAUGGUACUGGCGUAGGUACUCGGUCAGAGGCUAUACAUAGUUAGUGAAUCCAAGGCUACUAAUGCCGAAAAUACUAGUUCAUCACCUGCAAUAGUCGAGCGCCAGUCUCACAUGGUGACUACAAAGAACUCCGCAUGAUGCAGAUGCGCUAGUCCAUGUCCUCCAUCAUGUUGCUGUUGAUCCUAGAGUUUUCUAGCAGAUAUUGGUGCAUGAUGCAUGUCACGGUGGCCUUUUAGGAAUGUGUAUUCUUCAUCAGGUUAGCUUGUUUGCUAUCAUAUUGUACUAUUAUAAGUUUAUGAGUAUGAUCAUUACCAUGUUUGAAUAUAUCUCAAAUAGAAUAGUGCAAAAAAUGUUGAAGCAAAUUGUUUUAAAAAUCAAGCUAAGUGCUUUGAUUGUCUGUCCAAAAUUAUAUUAUUAUGUGUUGAGCACUUAUAACAUAAUAGGAUUUUUUAUUUUCUCUUCUAGAAAAUCUACCUUGUAGGUGACAUGAAUUAGUUUCAUACUAAUUUAAUUUUCGCUCGACUUGCCAACAUCUUCUUUACUUCACACUUGCAUCUACUCAUGACUAUUACAACACUACUACCUAAAUGACCCGCCUCAAAAAAGAGCCCAUAUCUAGUGAAAUCUUGUGGCAACAAGGCUUGGUGGUGGCAUAGAUCCUGCAAGUGGAGCAAUGGUGUAUUGAUGGGCUUGGUGGGCCCAUGGACUGGCUCACUAGGCUUAUCUAUGGGUUUUCUUGUUUCAUUUUAUUUGAUUUACCAAGGUAGGCAUUUAAACCAACUCAGCAACGGCCAAUUUACUGUGGCCUUUGGUCAAAGGUAGUUGUGAUGUCCACCUCGGUAAAUAAAAAAUACCUGCCUUUAGUAAGUUUUCUAUAGUAGUGCAAAUUAUGGUCUUAUGUAUUACAUUCUACCUUACUUUUGAUUAUCAGAGAAACAAAGAUCACACAUACAUCGAAUUCUAAUGAGUUCUAUAUCAAACUUCAAAUCUCUUAUGUAGAUGGGAGCAGAUAACUCAAAGGCGUUCACCGGCAAAUGCCAUGAAGCCCAUGAAAAGGUACCUUCACUUGGUCAGCCGUGGAGAAAUGUAUGAUAUCAGGAUCUUCUUUUUGUCAUCAUUUGUAGCCUUGGAUUUGUUGACUAUGGAAGCUCUGAUAGAGUUCCUAGGUCACUAUCAUUAAUCUAAGGCCACCAUGCCAUGCUGCUAGCAUUUAGUGGUGUGUAUUUCUAGUGCUGGCUGAAGUGAUCCUAGCAGUAGAGGUGCCAUCAUGGUUUGCUGGCCAAGUGACAUGUGCCCCUAGAAUUAUGGUACUGGCAUAGGUACUCGGUCAGAGGUUAUACAUUGUUAGUGAAUCCAAGGCUACUAAUGCCGAGGAUACUAGUUCAUCACCUGCAAUAGUCAAGCACCAGUCUCACAUGGCGACUACAAAGAACUCCGCAUGAUGCACAUGCACUUGUCUAUGUCCUCCUUCAGGUUGCUGCUGAUCCUAGGGUUUUCUGGUAGAAAUUGGCGCAUGUUGCAUGUCACUGUGGCCUUUUAGGAACGUGUAUUCUUCAUCAGGUUAGCUUCUUUGCUAUCAUAUUGUAAUAUUAAAAGUUUAUGAGUAUGAUAAUUACCAUGUAUGAAUAUCUCUCAACUAGAAUAGUAUAAAAAAAAUGUUGAAGCAAAUACGUUGUCAACAAUCUGGUUAUGUGCUUUGAUGGUCUUUGCAAAAUCAUCUUAUUCUAUGUUGAGGACUUAUAACAUAUUAUGAUUUUUAUUUUCUCUUCUAGAAAAUCUUCCUUUUAGGUGAUAUGAACUAAUUUCAUCCUAAUUUAAUUCUUGCUUGAAUUUCCAGCUACAUCUUCUUCACAUAACAGCUACACCUAUUCAUGACUAUUACAACAAUACUACCUAAACGAUCCACUACAAAAAAGUUUGAGGCCUAAAUAAUACCAGGUGAGCCCACCAGCAUGACCUAAAUACAUAUAUGGUGACAACUUAUUAGGGUUUGACUCAUUCGAUCCUCUCUCUCUCUCACCUCUCACAUUACCUCUCCCUUGGUUGCCCCUCAUAAGAACAACGCCCCACCCCUUUCCUCCCACUCCACAUGUCCCCUCCCCUCCCAUCCCGAUGGCACAUGCGCCACCCCUCCCCUCUCUGCAGCAUGUGCCCCACCCAUCCCCUUUCCUCUCGGUGACCCUUGCUUAUAGAUCUAGUGGCUUAAGUGAGGCAAGAUCUAGUAGCCUAGGUGAGUAGCCCCUCUAACGAACGCAAGAUCUGCAUAGGGGAGUGGCUCCUCUAGUGGGUGCAGAGGGUGGCAUGGUGGGAUAUGGGGGUGGCAAAUGUGGCAUUCUGGUAGCAGUGGUUAGCUCUACUCUCUCUCACCAGUGGCAUGAGGCCGACAUGGGGCCAAUCAUGACCAAGGAGCAGAGGGUGAGUGGUGACCACUAGAUCUAGUGAGGAGGAGGUCUGAUCUGGUGAGGAGGAGCCCAAAUCUAGUGGGCUCAUGCCACAGUGGGGCUUGGUGGUGGCGUAGAUCCAGCGAGUGGAGUGGUAAUGCGUUGAUGGCCUUGGUGGGCCCAUGGAUUGGCUCACUAGGAUUGUCCAUGGUAUUCUUAUUUUAAUUUUUAUUUAAUUUACUGAGGUGGCAUUUCAACCACCUCGGCAAAGGUAAAUUUACCAUGACCUUUUUCCAUGGUAGUUGUGAUAUUUGCCUUGGUAAAUAAAAAAUGCCUAGCUCUAGUAAGUUUUCUAUAGUAGUGAAAAUUAUGGUCUUAGUGGGUUUGUAUUCAAUUCUAUCUUACUUUUAUUACCCAAGAAACAAAAAUCACACAUACUACUAACUCUUAUGAGUUCUAUAUUAAACUUCAAACCUCUUGUGUAGAUGGGAGCAGAUACUCAAAGACGUUGACCAGCGAAAGCCAUGGAGCCCAUGAAAAGGUACAUCACUCGGUCAGCCACAGAGAAACAUAUGAUGACAAAGAUCCACUUUUUGUCAUCAUUUGUGGCCUUGUAUUUGUUGACUAUGGAAGCUUUGAUAGAGUUCCUAGGUCACUAUCAUCAAUCUGAGGCCACCAUGCCAUGUAACUAGCAUUCGGUGGUGUGUAUUUUCAGUGCUAGCCGAAGUGAUCCUAGCAGUGAAGGUGCCAUCAUGGUGUGCCAGCAAGUGACAUGUGCCCUUGGAAUUAAGGUACUGGCAAAGGUACUCGAUUAGAGGUUGUACAUAGUUAGUGAAUCCAAGGCUACCAAUGCCCAAGCAUACUAGUUCAUCGCCUACAAUAGUCAAGUGCCAGUCCUGCAUGGCGAUUACAAGGAACUACACAUGAUGCACAUGCGCUAGUCCAUGUCCUCUUUCAUGUUUCUAGUGAUCCUAGAGUUUUCUGGCAGAGAUUGGCACAUGAUGCAUGUCAUGGUGGCCUUUUAGGAUUAUGUAUUCUUGAUCAAGUGUGCUUCUUUGCUAGCAUAUUGUACUAUUAAAAGUUUAUGAGUAUGAUAAUUACCAUGUAUGAAUUCUUUUGGUUCUAAUAGUACAAAAAAUGUUGAAACAAAUGCACUAUCAACAAUCUGGCUAUGUGCUUCGAUGGUCUUUCCAAAAGCAUCUUAUUCUGUGUUGAGGACUAGCAUAUUAUGAUUUUUAAUUUUCAUUUGUAGAAAAUCUACCUUCUAGGUGACAUGUAUUAAUUUCAUCCUAAUUCAAUUCUCACCUAACUUGCCAAUUGCAUCUUCUUUACUUAACAGUUUCAUCUAUUCAUGACUAUUACAAAUCAUGAUCCUAGUGGCUUUGCGUUCCAUCCUACCUUACUUUUGAAUCAUAGAGAAACAAAGAUCACUGAUGAUUUCAAUGUGAAACUUCAAACUUCUAAUCUAGAUGGGAGCAGUUAACUCAAAGAUGAUCACUAGCGAAACUCUGUCGGCCACGAAGAACUGUAUGAUGGCAAAGAUUCGCUUUUUAUCAUCAUCUGCAGCCUUGGAUUUGUUUACUGUGUACGCAUUGAUAGAGUUCCCAGGUCAUUAUCACCAAUAAAAGGCCACCAUGCCAUACAGCUAGCAUUCGAACGUGUGUAUUUCCAACUCUGGCUGAAGUGAUCCCAUUAGUGGAGGUCCAUCAGGGUCUAUCGGCCACAUGACAUGUACCCUUGGAAUUAUGGUAUUGGUGUAGGUACUCAGUCAAAGGGUGUACAUGGUCAACUAAUCCAAGGCUGCUAAUACCGAGGAUACUAGUUCAUCGCCCUACAGUAGUUAAGUGGUAGUGUGGCAUCGCAAUUGCAAUGAACUCCACAUGAUGCACGUGUGCCGGUCCAUGUCCUCCAUGUUGCUGGUGAUCCUAUAGUUUUCUGGUAGAGAUUGGUGCAUUAUGCACAUUAUGGUGGCCUUUUAGGAUCAUUUAUUCUUCAUUAGGAGUGCUUCUUUGCUAGCAUAUUGUUUAUGAGUAUGACAAUCAAGUAUGAACAUCUCUUAACUCGAAUUGUACAAAAAAUGUUCAAACAAAUGCACUAUCAAUAAUCUAGCUAUGUGCUUCUAUAGUCUUUCCAAAAGCAUCUUGUCCGGUGUUGAAGACUUAACAUAUUAUGUUUUUUAUUUUGACUUCUAGAAAAUCUUCAUUUUAGUGACAUGCAUUAAUUUUGUCAUGAUUAUAUUCUCGCCCGACUUUGCCAACUACAUCUUCUUUGCUUAACAGUUGCAUCUAUUCAUGACAAUUACAAAUCAUGGUCUUAGUGGCUUUACAUUCUAGUCUACCUUGCUUUUGACUACUAUAGAAACAAAGAUCACACUACUAAUUCUGAUGAGUUCCAUAUCAAACGUCAAACCUCUAAUCCAGAUGGGAGCUGUGUUGUUAACUCGAAGACAAUCUCAUCGGUGAAAGCCAUGGAGACCAUGAAAAGUUACCUCACUCAGUCAGCCAUGGAGAAACAUAGGAGGGCAAGGAUCUGGUUUUGCCAUCAUUUGAAACCUUAGAUUUGUUGAUUAUGGUAGCUUUGAUAGAGUUCCUAGGUAACUAUCAUUAAUUCGAGGCCACCAUGCCUUGCGCCCAGCAUUUAGUGGUGUGUAUUUCCAACGCUAGAUGAUGUGAUCAUAGUAGUAGAGGUGCCAUCAUAGUCUACCAGCCACAUGACUAGUGCCCUUUGAAUUAUGGUACUGGCAUAAGUACUCAGUGAGAGGCUGCACAUAUUUGACUCGUUAGAGGUUGCUAAUGUUGCGGAUACUAGGUCAUCGCCUGGAAUAGUCAAGCACCAAUCUCGCAUGGCAAUCACGAGGAACUCCACUCGAUGCAAGUGUGAUGGUCCAUGUCCUUAAUCACGUUGCUCAUUAUGAUCUUAGAGUUUUCUAGUAGAGACUGGGGCAUGACGCAUAUCACUAUGGCCUUUUAGGAUCUUGUAUUCUUCAUUACAUGCUUUUCUUUGCUAGCAUAUUGUACUACUAAAAGUUUAUGAAUAUGAUAAUUACCAAGUAUGGAUACCUCUCUACUGGAGUUGUACAAAAAAAAAUUUGUAAUGAAUGCACUAUCAAUAAUCUGGCUACGUGGUUCAAUGGCAUUUCCAAAAUAACCUUAUUCUAUGUUGAAGACUUAUAACAUAUUACAAAUUUCUUAUUUUGACUUCAAGAAAAUCUACCUUUUGGUGACAUGCAUUAAUUUCAACCUGAUUCAAUUCUUGCUCAACUUGUCAGCUACAUCUUCUUUACUUAACAGUUGUUCUAUUCAUGACUAUUACAAAUCAUGGUCUUACUAGCUUUCCUUCCAUUCUACCUUGCUUUUGACUACUAGAGAAAUGAAGAUCAAACUACUAAUUCUGAUGAGUUCCAUAUAAAACUUCAAACCUCUAAUCUAGAUGGCAGCAGAAAACUAUGAAGACGAUAACUGGCGAAAGCCAUAGAGCUAAUCAAAAGUUACCUUGCUCGGUCAGCCACAGAGAAAGGUUGGAGGGCAAAGAUCCAUUUUUCCAUCAUUUGCAGCCAUGGAUUUGUUGACUAUUGUAGCUCUAUGAAGACGAUAACUGGCGAAAACCAUAGAGCUAAUCAAAAGUUACCUUGCUUGGUCAGCCACAGAGAAAGGUUGGAGGGCAAAGAUCCAUUUUUUUGUCAUUUCCAGCCAUGGAUUUGUUGACUAUUGUAGCUCUGAUAGAAUUCCUAGGUCACUAUUAUAAAUUUGAGACCACCAUGUAUUUGGAGCACCGUGUGAAGUGAUCCUAGUAGUGGAGGUGCCAUCAUAGUCGUCUGCUGGUCACAUGACAUGUGCCCUCAGAAUUAUGGUGCUAUUGUAGGUACUUGGUCAAACGUUGUGCAUAGUUAGCCAAUCCAGGGCUGCUAAUGCCAAGGAUACUUGGUCAUCACCUGCAGUAAUCAAGCACCGAUCUCUCAUGGCGACCGCUGUUGACACCUCGGGUGGCACACAUAAUUAACCGCAAGCGUACGACAGUCAGUUGUAGCUUUUUACCAAAGGAGUAUUCCUAGGGUUAUCGAAUCCAUGAGGAACGUGAAGAGAUCUAUAGGCUAGAGGGAAGAAUGACUAUGGGGAUAGAAGUAUAGGGGCUAACUACUAGGGUUGGUCCGCUACCGUCACUACACUAAGGGAUUAUAUAUUCUUGACUUAUGCACUGUGAGCGUACGCAUCCUAAACUCACCCAAGAGGGUUGAUUAGUCAUGACGCACAACUAGCUCUACGUUUAAAUAACUAGGCGCAACAUGGUGGAAUACAUAGGCAAACAGGGCUGUCACCACCUACCGCUACCACAGCUAUCCGGAGGCCUAGCCGUAUUCAAGGGUAAGCUAUAGCCUAAGCACCGCGCUUAAUCUAUGCACUUACUACUCUAAUCCGGAUCCUGGAACUAGAGCACUCUCACCAAGCAAUGAAACAAGCACACAAAUAGGAAUAAAUAAGUACUUAGAAAUAAUAAAGGUUUAUAGGAUUACCAAAGAAGAAGCACAGAGUAGAGGGAAGCAGAGGUCGCUGACAAGCCUUGCUCCUCUCCUGACUUCUCGUCUUCUCCUCCCUAACUCCUCUUCCAAGGGAGGCAACUAGCUAGCUACUCACUAACUCUAGUAGACUAACUAUCAAAUGAACCUGCCUGCCUUCAAAGUGACCCGAGGGGGGUGGUUUAUAUAGGCUGGAGGUGACGGGGGCACUACAAAAGGUGAGUGGAGUGGCGGGCGCCACUGUGGAGUGGCGGGCGCCACUCCAUGCAACCGCUUUUCGAUCCUACGGCUCCUGCUUGCUCCUGGCUGUGGUUCCCCAAGUAAAUAAAUGAUAUCUAUCAAACCUUAUCAACACAUUGGCAUAGAAGUAUAUAAACAAUUUAACAUCAAAUUGCAAUGUGAAGGCAGAAAAGUAAAGAGGAUCGGGCAAUGACAUACCUGGAUUUGGGGGAGGCACUUCCCCAGGCUGGCCUUUUGCUCGGAGUUGAAAUCUUCUUUUCGAACGGGUCUCUUUCUUCUUUAUUUAUUUAUUUAAUACUACUAUUAAGACACAUGACUACUAUCAUGCAAGACUAUUAUUAUUAUUAUUAUUAUUAUUAUUAUUAUUAUUAUUAUUAUUAUUAUUAUUAUUAUUAUUAUUAUUAUUAUUAUUAUUAUUAUUAUUAUUAUUAUUAUUAUUAUUAUUAUUAUUAUUAUUAUUAUUAUUAUUAUUUGUUUUGUUUUUUAACCUAUUUUAAAUGCAUGGUACUUCUAUGAGCACUUUUAUUGAAAUGAAAAGAUGCAACCUAUCAACUGAAAAUGUAAAUUUGGAAAGGGAAAUUUGCAGGUGUAACCUAUACUAAGUAGACUAAAGCAAUGAAACUUACCUCCUUGCAGUGUCGUGGGUUGCAGUCUUCAUGGUUGCUUGGACAGAGGUUGGGUUGCCCAAUGCACACGCCAGUUCUUUCAUUACCUGUGCUUACUUGAAGACAUAGAAAGUGAAAGCAACAAGGUUCUACUAGUACAAACGUACUAGUGAACCAAAACCUUAUUCCUCUCAAAGCAAACCGAGGCGCAUAGCAUGAACAACAUUUAUCAUGAUAAAGGGAAGAUCAAGGCAAAGGAGAAAGACACUUAUGUCAUGCAUGUUAUAGGAUUUUAGUAAACAUGACAAGAAGUUGCAUAGGAGAGGUUUCCUGUUUGAGCAUUUGAUUUAGAGAUGAGAAUGUAAAUACAAAAGAUGGUCAUUUAAACUGAACAUCUCAAUCUCCACUCUUCCUACAUUUGUUUAAGACAAAACAAGAUAGAAGAACAUAUGCACAAGAAUUCGAGUUGUUUCUAGUUAAUGCUAGGUCAGGUGACUUAUACAUGCAUCUAACAUAUAUACCAGCAGUUUUAGUUCAAUAACCAAACUAGACACCAUGUCAAAUUAUGCUAAGGAAGGCUAUUUAACCUAAGCAUCAUGCUUAAUUUAAAAGCCUUUGAAAUUAUGUAUAUCAAUACUUCCAAACUAAAACAAAUUAGCACAAAUGGAAAGAACCAUGAAAGGCACAAAACUUUUGGCACAUUUUUAUUACUCAAGGUGACAAGGAAUUAAAAGCAUAGGCCAUGAUUAUGAAUAGAAAGAAAGCAUGACUGAAAAUCUAAGCAUUACCAUAUUAGCAAAACUUAAACAAGUUCAAUCAAUUAUUCAUAUAUUCAUGAUCAUAAGACCAAGGGUAAUAUUGAAACAUUAAGCACAUACCUUAGCAAUAUUACCUUUGUCACGUGAAGCGUGAGGAUGACCUUGGAUGGAUCAGGAUCGAUUUAAAGCUUCUUAUUCUCACUAUUGAAUUGCACAUUUGCAUCUUGUCUUUGUUUUGAAUUCCUUCUUAUUGAUGUCGCCCAUGGCUCGCUUGCUAAGUCUUGAGUCAUAAUUUUGAAAUCUGCUACAAACACUAGUGCAAGGUGAUACUACAAACCCGACCGGUGUGAGAGCACAUCGGCCGGUGCAACAAUCAAGCUUAAUUUAGGUUGGCACCAUUUUAUUCAAAAGGGAAAACACUACUACUACUAUGAUGGACACUAAACUACUAUUACAAUGGACACUAAAUGAACUAAAAAAGCAAAUAAAUGGGUUAUCUCCUAGUAGUGCAUUGUUUUAACUCAUAAGCUCGACCCUUGCAGUUGGACUGCAAAAACUUGUGCCUAGGAAAUUACGAGCUUUGGAAUGCUUAUGGUAAACAAAAGCAUCCGUAACCAUCCUUUCAAAUGAUUGAUGAAGGAGAGACAUAGGAUGGUUGCAACUCUCGUAAAUGCUAGCAAAAGUAGGAAGGAAAGAUUCUAGCAAUUUCUCAUAAAAUUGUGGAUCAGGUGGCUCUUCCAAAAAUAUAACUUAUAUGCUCAUCCACCUAAUUCUCCUUAUUGAACUCCAAAGUUGAUUCCCCAAGAAUGUCAAUAAACCAAAUAUCUUUGUGCAUCAUCUCCUGCCUAUGAAACUCUAUGAAUGGAUUUUCAUCCUCAUCCUCCAUUAAGAUGGGGAUCUAUUCCACCAGUGACUCUCCUUCCAUUUCGACAUCAACCGGAAGAUUUGGAUUGUAUCCUUGGUUUGAAUGGUCAAAUAGAUAAGGAGGGUCAUAUGGAGGAUCAAGAUCUCGGUCGCUAAAAUCUCUAACAUGUUGUCGGUUGCUCAAAGUUGGACCAUCAAAUGGUCCAUUGCUAAAUAUGAUGACCAUCGUUGUAUGCAUACAACGACGGUUUCAUUAGCAACUGGGGGGUCUGUUGCUAUAAGUUUUAGCAACGGACUGUCCAUCGUUAUCACUCCUUUUAGCAACUUCAAGUUAGUCGUUGUUUAAAGGUUGUGGCGUAGUGGGUGUGGCCCAUGUCAAGCUAUGAGGGUAGGGUUUAUACCCCCACAUAAAGGCUAACUCAUGUCUCCAACCUUUCUCAUGCUAGGGUAAGAAACCUAAUGAACCCCUCGCACUAAGACGCACCAAAUCCAUAGUGUGAAUCAGUACAACAUGGUACUCAACAACUUAAUAUUCCAUGAGUAGACAUGUGGUUUGCAUGGAAACUAGAACAUCAGGCACCUUUGGGCGCCUGUAACACCCAAAAAUUUGAUUUCCAUUAAUAGGAAUUAAUUUGAUUUAAUUAAGUAUUUUUGUGAGUAUUUAAAUUUAGCACUUAAAUAUUUUUUGUGGAAAAUAAAAUUUAUCAUAGGUUUAAUAAACAUGUUGGUGCAUUUCAUGCUGGAGCAUAUUUAAUUCUGUGUUGUUGGCUUUUUGGUUUGAAUUUAUUUGAUUCAAAUUCUAUUUGGAAAAUGCUUUAGAAAAAGAAAAAAAGAAAGGGAAGGGCAAACCACCCCCAGCGAUUUUUUUUUAUUUUUAGCCCAAAUUCGAAACAUAUUUCAAAUUUGACCCGGUUUGAAUUUUUUUUAAAAAAACUAACCCGUUUGGCCCCGCCACCAUGCAUGGCGGGGCAAAUGCACUGUACUCCGCCAUGCAUGGCGGCGGGGUACAGCCUCCACGUGACGUGCAUGGCGACGAGGCUGCUGAUGUGUACCCUGUCAUGGACCACGGCGGGUUAGGGUACCCCGCCAUGGAUCAUGGCGGGGUACGUACCAGCUGUAUACACAGAGGAGGCAGAGAGCUGGCCUUGUUUAGUUCCAAAAAUUUUGGAAAAAUCGAUACUAUAGCACUUUCGUUUGUAUUUGACAAAUAUUGUCCAAUCAUGAACUAACUAGGGUCAAAAGAUUCGUCUCAUCAAUUUCGACUAAACUGUAUAAUUAGUUUUUAUUUUUAUCUAUAUUUAAUACUCUAUGCAUACGUCUAAGUUUCAAUGUGACGUGGAAUCUGAAAAAUUUUGUAAAACUUUUUGAAAACUAAACAAAGGCUGACAACCCGCGAGUGGUCUGGUCACGUACACCACAUCAUGGAGUCUAGGGUAGUCUGGGUUCUUGUUUAAUUGCGAAAAUAUUUUGGUUUCGGUACUGUAGCACUUUCAUUUUUAUUUGACAAACAUUGUCCAAUCAUGAAGUAAUUAGGCUUAAAAUAUUCGUCUCGUGAUUUACAGAUGAACUGUGCAAUUAGUUUUUGUUUUUAUUUAUAUUUAAUGUACUAUGUAAGAUUCGAUAUGACGAAAAAUCUUAAAAUUUUGGGAACUAAACAAGGCCUGAACAGUUGGCGCAGCUUUGUGGACAUGACGACACAGCUGCUGCUAGAGCUAGGCUUUAUUUAGUUCACACCAAAACUCAAAAAAUUUUCAAGAUUUCUUAUCAUAUUAAAUUUUGCGGCACAUGAAUGAAACAUUAAAUAGAUAAAAACAAAAACUAAUUACACAGUUUGCCUGUAAAUCACGAGACGAAUCUUUUAAGUCUAGUUACUCCAUGAUUGAACAACGUUUGUCAAAUAAAAACGAAAAUGGUACAAUACCGAAACCAAAAUAUUUUCGCAAUUAAACAAGACCCUAGACUACUGAUGUGACCCUAGACUCCAUGAUGUGGUCGGUACGUGACCAGACCACUUGCUGGACAAACAUGUCUUGUCAGCCUUGUUUAGUUUCCAAAAAGUUUUACAAAAUUUUUCAGAUUCCACGCCACAUUGAAUCUUAAACGUAUGCAUAGAGUAUUAAAUAUAGAUAAAAAUAAAAACUGAUUGUACAGUUUAGUCAAAAUUGAUGAGACGAAUCUUUUGACCCUAGUUAGUUCAUGAUUGGACAAUAUUUGUCAAAUACAAACAAAAGUGCUACAGUAUCGAUUUUUCCAAAAUUUUUGGAACUAAACAAGGCCAACUCUCGGCCUCCUCUGUGUAUACAGCUGCUACGUAACCCGCCAUGAUCUAUGGCGGGGUACCUUAACCCGCCAUGGUCCAUGGCGGGGUACACGUCAGCAGCCUCGUCGCCAUGCACGCCACGUGGAGGCUGUACCCCACCGCCAUGCAUGGCGGGGUACAGUGCAUUUGCCCCGCCAUGCAUGGUGGCGGGCCAAACGGGUUAGUUUUAAAAAAAAAAUUCAAACCGGGUCAAAUUUGAAGUAUGUUUCGAAUUUGGACUAAAAAUAAAAAAAAUUCCCCCCAGCUCGGCCCAGCACCCCCUCCCCUUCUCUCCUCCCGCCUCGGCCCGUUAGCGCGGCCCACCAAGCGGCCAGGCAGGCCCGCGCGCGCCUCCCCCUCUCUCUCUGGCUGGUGAGCAGACCCCACCCCUUCUUUCACCGCUAGCCGGGUCCCACGCGUCAGUCUCUUCUCUCACCUUUCCUUCUUCCUCACGACCGAGACCGACUCAAGUCCAUCGAGCCGGCCGAAUCAAUCCCGAAAACCGCGGGAUUUUCCUUGCCUAUCGCGUCAACCGAGCGCUAUAAAGCUUCUCCCCCACCCCGCGGCUCCAUCUUUGCAUCUAAUUAGCGAGACCGAGCCCUAGCCAUCCCAAACCUCGAGCUUUUGGAUCUCACCGUGGCCGCGCCCUAUCUCCACCGCGGCGAGCACCUCCUCGUUCUUCUCAGCGCGAACCGAGCGUCUUGGUGAGUCCGCAGUGAGCUUCUCGACCCUCUGGCGUUUUCCUUUUGAAGAAUGGUGCACCGAGUCGUGUUUUUGACGAACUCCGGUGAACUCCCCUAUGGCGCCGCCGCGGGGAAGGCUCUAUUCCGGCCAGCUCGCCGUCGGCGUCCUCCUGUCUCUCCCGGAGCGAUCUGAGCCCUCCAAUUCGUGAUCGACGCACAGGAUUAGAACUUACCCCUUCGGGGUAAAUCUUGUUAAAGAGACCCUAGAAAAGUUAUGAUUUAACCCGCCGUCCAAAGCGUUUUCUUCGUUUUACGCUUUCUGAAUGGGAACACGUAUUCUUUACAGGUUUGAAUUAGAAUACGCUUUCUGCUAUUUACAAGUUUGCCACUGAAACUAUUUUGCUCAUAAAAUACUCAUUUUAACUCUGUUUUUGUCCAUUCAAAUUUCAUUAGAUUCGUAUUUACGAGCUCUACAUGUUAGGAAAUCUUCGCAGUAGCAUUUAAUUAAUUAUUUAUCUAUAGGAAAUCUUGGAAAAUUCAUAUCUUCUACGUGUUAAUUCCGAUUUUCGUGACCUUUACGUUUGUAUGAUCGUAGCGCUUCGUAGAAUAUUUUCAUAAACUUUUAUCUUCGAUUUCUCACUGUUGGUGUAUUGUUCUAAUUAUAGCUUGUUUGCUUUGUGUAUGAUUGUCUACAUUGGAAUGCGUGUUGUUGAUUGAUGUUUGGGAAUAGACGGUGAGCCGUACGUUGGUGAUCAAGACCAAGCCUUUGAAGACCAGCAGGCUCAGGAGAGCUUUGAUCAAGGCAAGUAUAACUUGGGAUCAUUCUUGUUACCUAUUCACUUAUAAACACACAGAUAUAUCAUAUGCAUGAUUUCACCUUGUCGACCUUAGCAAAAUCAUAGAUGAUUGUUACCUGGAUUCCUUGCUACCUACUUGAUAUGCAUUUGGUGUAGAUGUGCUAGUGCUUGAUAUAAUCCAUGAUCUUGUAAGAUGAUUAAUAGCUAUGCAAUGAACGUUAAAGGAUGAUAAAUAACUAUAUGAGAUCUUGUGUGUAAGUGAUCACCGGGACAACAGUGCAACCAUGAGGGCUAUAAUGGCUCUGGCUUUAGCUCAGUAUGAUGACCUUUUCUAGCUUGUUAGAGGUUACCCAGAAGGGCGCUAGAGGGGCUCAACCGUUUUGGGUAUAGUGCGAGCCCCUAUCCUUAUGUGUAUAGGCUGCACGUCAUUGUGCCAUUUGGAAGGGGGCAUCUAUAUCUGCGCGCCAGGGAAACCUUGUGGCCCUAACAUGUUAGACGAACUUUUGAAAGGCUUCAUAGUGAUCCCUGCCGACCUCUCUUGGAAGGGGGUUAAGAGACUAGCUACCUCGGGCGAAAGGGUAAAUCAUGACUCAUGGGUAAAGAUGUACAACCUCUGUAGAGUGUUAAAAACUGGUAUACUAGCCAUGCUCACGGUUAAGAGCGGCCUUGGGGGUUCUUACACCAACGAUGAUGAGCUUGUUAAGUUGUUAUGUUCAUUUGAUUAUCGUUUAUGCAAUGGGUUAAUUAUGCUUACAUUUGAUCAUAUGAUUAUCGGAUUAUUCAUGCUACCUUGAAAUUUGCUAUUGAAUUAUGAACAUGCUAUCCACUAUUAAAAGCUAAAUGCAGUCAAACCAGUGUCAGCUAUUUGAGCCUCAUGAACUCCUGGUUAUACUUGUUGAGUAUGAUAUGUGCUCGCUCUUGCAAUUUCCCAACACCCCAGGUUAUGCAAAUGAUGAAGCUUGGAAUGAGGACUACCGUUAUGAGUAUUAGGCUUGAAGUCAACCAGUCAACACUGUCCCUGUGUGGUGCUUCCGUCGGGAGUAUCUUUAUUUGUUUGAGAUUAUGUAAUAAUUAUUAUCCCGCUAUGUAAUAAACACUGCAAUGGUACAUUUGAGAUUUGUCUACUUAUGUGUGCGACUGUUUCUGGGGCACAUAUGAGUCUUUUAUGCAUCCUAUUUUGUUCUUAAAAUAUGGGUGUGAUAAAUUGGUAUCAGAGCUUUGUUGACUGUCGGAUGCAAGUCUAGUUAGAUAUUGGCCGUCUUAAGAUUUUGAAAUUGCUACAAAAUCCUUGUUCUAUAAACCUUGAUAUUUUCCUCUGCACUAUAUCCUUUUCAUUGCUAUUCAUCAUCACCUUGUUGCUUAAUUUAAAGACUUGUUCUCAUCCUCACUCCUUGCUUGAUAUGCUUUUAGAACCUUCUCUUACCACCUUCCGGCGUCUUUGAAAUGGGAGUUUUAGGAUCUUUACCCCUAAUAGGAAGAGAACGAUAGCACCGCAAGUUGAGUCAAUGCUUAAAGUGUGAACCUUUGAUGCUUGGUUUGGUUUGUCAUUAUGCUUAUGUUUGAUUUAGAUCUUUCUAAUGAGUGUAAUGAUCUUGUAGAUUUUCUCUACAAUUUCAUUUAGUUUAUAGGCCUAAGGCAUAAGGAUUAAUGAACUAGAUAGUUGGGUAUGGUAAAAAUUAUGUUUCUGUCUCUUGCUGAUUUCUGGAGCAGUCUGCAAUAAAUCUGGUACAUCUUCAAAUUUGUUCGUGCAAAGUUCAUCAAUUUUUUCUGGAAACACGAAGACUUUCAUAUAUUUCCAAUGUCGUAAGAAUGACAAUAUUAUCUGUUAUGAGCUGUGAGAUAUGACUGUUCAAAGUUGAGGUUUAUGCGCAGUCUGGAAUUCUGGAACAGUUUUAGUUAUGACCAGUUUUGACUAAUUUAACGACAGAAUCUGUUGAUAUGGUUUGAAUGAAAGUUGUAGAUAAUUCCUUUAUCUUUCCAACGGUGUAUAGAUUGUAUCCUUUUGAAUUCCAGAAGUCGAGAUAUGACUGAUUUUCUGAUCUGCUGAUGCUGGAUGUUACCCAGAAAAUUUCAGAUUCCAUUAUCUCUUGUAAUUGUCAUGUUGGACGUUAGUAAGACAUGUUUCUAUACCUUGGAAUGCAGAUGGCAGCAAGGGGAAGAGGCAGAGGCAGAGGCCGUGGCAUGGGUGGCAAUGUCCCAAUUACUGUGGAAGAGCUCAUGCAAACCCAGAAUGAGAUGAUGCAUGUCUUCAUGCAGCACCUACAGCAGCAACCUCCUGCACCACCACCACCUGUCCAUGUGAGGGACAAGCGUGGGGAGUUUAUGAAGGGAAGAUCUCCGGCAUUUACACACUCAGCUGAUCCCAUGGAGGCAGAUGAUUGGUUACGUGCUGUGGAGAGGCAACUGAAUAUAGCACAGUGCAAUGACUUGGAGAAGGUAUUGUCUGCUUCUGGACAGCUUCAGGGAGCAGCUCAGACAUGGUGGGAGUCGUAUCAAGCUACUCGUCCCAACAAUGCUCCUACUGUCACAUUGUUGGAAUUUUGUAGAGACUUCAAAGCUCAACAUAUAAAUGAGGGAAUGAUGGAGCUCAAGCAAGAAGAAUUCAGAUCUCUCAGGAUGGGCUCUAUGACUGUGGCAGAAUAUCAUGACACAUUUGAACAGUUGGCUCGCUAUGCUCCAAAUGAUGUCAGAGAAGAUGCUGAUAAGCAGCGCUUGUUCAUGAAAGGCCUAUACUAUGAACACUGGUUGCAACUGGCUGGAAACACUUAUCCUACCUUCCAAGCUCUGGUGAAUCGUGCUAUAGUGCUGGACAACAUGCGCAAGGGGCAGGAUAAGAAGAGAAGGAUGCUGGCACAAGGCUCUGGGAGCUACAACCGUCAGCGUUUCAGUUCUUAGCAAGGCUAUCAGCAGAGGUUCCAAGGACCAGUUAGUCAGUGGAACCGCAACCAGCAACCUCAGCGUUUCCAAAAUCAAUCCCAAAGUGGGAACCAACGUCCUCCAUUCUAGCAGCGUAAUCAUAACCAACAGUAGAAUGGUCAGCAGACACCCUGCUCAGGGAACUCAAAUGCCACCUCCAUGAAAAGAAGUGCUUCUAACACUCCUACAAGGUGUUUCCGUUGUGGGAAGGAAGGACAUAUGUCAUAUGAUUGCCCGGAGAAUCUCAACAAGCAGAACAACAACCAGAAGUCUACUGCUUAUGCGGCAACAGUGAACAAUGUGGCUACAGAAACAGUUCAGGAGGGACCAGAAAUCAUGAUGAGUACGUUCAGCAUCAACUCUAUCCCUGCUACAGUUCUAUUUGAUUCUGGAGCUUCGCAUACAUUCAUUUCACAAGCAUUUGUUAGAGUUCAUAGCAUUCCACUAGUUGCCAUGAAAACCCCUAUGCUAAUAAAUUCACCGGGUGGGACUAUACCAGUUUCUUAUUGUUGCCCCUCAGCAAGUCUUUCUUUAAGGGGGGUAGAUUUUCCUAUUAGUCCCAUGGUUAUGAGAACUUUAGGCAUAGAUAUGAUCUUGGGUUUGGAUUGGAUGAAGUAAUAUGAGACAGAUAUUAAGUGCAAAGAGAGAGUAGUGGCUCUGACAACACCAAAGGGAGAACGAAUCAGUGUUGAUGUAACAGUGCAAGCACCACUCACAGCUAAAGUGAACCAACUGAAUGAUGAUGUUGAUCCUCAGAAUCUGGUAGUGGAUGAGUUUCCGGAUGUCUUUCCAGAUGAAUUGCCAGGUAUGCCACCUGACCGAGACAUUGAAUUUAUUAUUGAAUUGCUACCUGGUACUGCACCAAUAGCUAAAAGACCAUAUAGAAUGGGGGUUAAUGAACUAGAAGAACUUAAGAAACAAAUUAAGGAAUUGCAAGAUAAAGGGUUCAUUCGUCAUAGUUCAUCACCAUGGGGUGCACCAGUUAUCUUUGUUGAUAAGAAGGAUGGUAGUUAGAGGAUGUGUGUUGAUUAUCGGUCACUUAAUGAGGUCACUAUCAAGAAUAAAUACCCACUACCUAGGAUUGAUGACUUAUUUGAUCAGUUAAGAGGUGCUUGUGUGUUCUCUAAGAUUGAUUUGCGUUUUGGUUAUCAUCAAUUGAAGAUUCGGAAUUCGGAUAUACCAAAGACAGCCUUCACAACAAGGUAUGGGUUGUAUGAGUAUACAGUUAUGUCUUUUGGUUUGACCAAUGCACCAGCUUACUUUAUGUACAUGAUGAAUAAAGUAUUUAUGGAACUUGAUAAGUUUGUGGUGGUCUUUAUUGAUGAUAUUCUGGUAUUCUCUAAAACCAAGGAAGAACAUGCUGAACAUCUAAGAUUGGUCUUACAGAAACUUAGAGAACAUAAGUUGUAUGCUAAGCGUAGUAAAUGUGAGUUUUGGUUGGAAGAAGUUUCUUUUCUUGGUCAUGUUGUCUCUAAUGGUGGGAUUGCAGUGGAUCCUAGUAAGGUGAAAGAUGUGCUGAAUUGGAAACCACCUACAGAUGUAAGUGAAAUUCGCAGUUUUCUUGGUUUAGCUGGUUACUAUCGUAGAUUCAUUGAAGGGUUCUCAAAACUGGCAAAGCCUAUGACUGCUCUGUUGGAGAAGAAUGCUAAGUUUGUAUGGUCUGAUAAGUGUCAAGCUAGUUUUGAGGAGUUUAAGAAGAGAUUGACUACUGCACUUGUGUUGGUAUUGCCAGAUCUGAGUAAGAGUUUCUCUAUCUAUUGUGAUCCUUCUCGUCUGGGUUUGGGUUGUGUUCUUAUGCAAGAAGGUAGAGUUGUUGCUUAUGUAUCUAGACAGUUGAGGAAACAUGAACUGAAUUAUCCUACUCAUGAUCUAGAAUUAGCAGUUGUGGUCCAUCCAUUGAAGAUUUGAAGACACUAUUUGAUUGGGCAUAAGAGUGACAUAUACACUGAUCAUAAGAGUUUGAAGUAUAUCUUCACCCAGACAGAUCUGAACUUGACGCAAUGAAGAUGGUUGGAGCUGAGAAAGGAUUAUGAUUUGGAAGUGCAUUAUCAUCCUGGGAAGGCGAACGUCGUGGCUGAUGCACUUAGCAGAAAGAAAUAUGCUAAUGAGCUUCGGACGACACCUGAAUCCAAGGAGUUGUGUGCUGAAUUUGCAUAUUUGAACUUGGGGAUUGUAGUAAAUGCUAUGGAAAUUGAGGUCACUCCUACUCUAGAGGAAGAGAUAUUGAAAGGACAGUUGAAAGAUGAGAAAUUAAAGGAGAUAGCACAGAAUGUGGUACUAGGCAAAGCACCAGGAUUCAGAAUAGAUGACAAUGGUGUACUGUGGUUUGGAAAAAGGAUAUGUGUUCCUAGGCUAUUCGCGAUAUGAUUCUGAGAGAGGCUCAUGAGUCAGCAUAUUCCAUUCAUCCUGGUAGCACUAAGAUGUAUCUAGAUCUAAAACAGAAGUACUGGAGGUAUGGAUUAAAGAGGGAUGUGGCUGAAUAUGUUGCUAUAUGUGAUACUUGCCAGCGGGUGAAAGCUGAACAUCAAAGGCCUGCUAGACUAUUGCAGCCAAUGAAGAUUUCGGAAUGAAAGUGGGAAGAAGUAGGUAUGGAUUUUAUAGUGGGUUUACCACGUACGCAAAGAGGGUAUGACUCAAUAUGGGUGAUAGUGGAUCGUUUAACUAAAGUUGCUCAUUUCAUACCUGUCAAAACUUCAUAUAGUCGAGACCGACUGGUAGAGUUAUACAUGGAAAGAAUUGUUUGUUUGCAUGGGGUACCUAAGAAGAUUGUGUCAGAUAGGGGUACUCAAUUCACAUCUCACUUUUGGAAAACAGUGCAUGAUUCAUUGGGAACAAAGUUGAAUUUUAGUACAGUGUAUCAUCCACAGACAGAUGGAUAGACUGAGAGGAUCAACCAGAUACUGGAGGAUAUGUUGAGAGCUUGUGCUUUGCAGUAUGGGACUAGCUGGGACAAAAGUUUGCCAUAUGCAGAAUUCUCCUACAACAACAGCUACCAGCAAAGUCUUAGGAUGGUACCGUUCGAGGCACUGUAUGGUCGUAAGUGCAGGACGCCUUUGUUUUGGAAUCAGACAGGAGAAACCUAGGUGUUUGGUACAGAUGUGCUUAGGCAUGCAGAGCAACACGUGCGGACUAUCCGGGAUAGCUUGAGAGUUGCUCAGUCUCGUCAGAAAAGCUAUGCAGAUACGCGUAGGAGAGAACUGGUUUUUGCAGUGGGUGAUUAUGUCUACCUAAAAGUAUCACCAAUGAGGAGUGUGAAGAGGUUUAGUAUGAAGGGAAAGCUAGCUCCAAGGUAUGUUGGUCCGUUUAAAGUAUUAGAAAGGCGUGUAGAAGUAGCAUAUCAGUUAGAAUUGCCUGAAAGUUUAUCUGGUGUGCAUGAUGUGUUCCUUGUGUCACAACUUAAGAAGUGUUUACGUUUACCUGAGGAGCAAAUACCAUUGGAAGAGCUCUGUGUUAAAGGUGAUCUCACUUAUGAAGAGUAUCCGGUCAGAAUAUUGGAGACAGCUGAGAGAGUCACUAGAGGUCGGGUUAUUAGAAUGUGCAAAGUGCAGUGGAAUCGGUAUUCCGAAGCAGAGGCAACUUGGGAAAGAGAGGAUGAUCUAAGGAAAUCAUAUUCAUAUCUGUUUGAGUAAGCACCGUUCAAUCUCGAGGACGAGAUUCUUUUAAGGGGGUAGAGUUUGUAACACCCAAAAAUUUGAUUUCCAUUAAUAGGAAUUAAUUUGAUUUAAUUAAGUAUUUUUUUGAGCAUUUAAAUUUAGCACUUAAAUAAUUUUUGUGGAAAAUAAAAUUUAUCAUAGGUUUAAUAAACAUGUUGGUGCAUUUCAUGCUGAAGCAUAUUUAAUUCUGUGUUGUUGGCUUUUUGGUUUGAAUUUAUUUGAUUCAAAUUCCAUUUGGAAAAUGCUUUAGAAAUAUAAAAAAAUAAAGGGAAGAGCAAACCACCCCCAGCUUGGCCCAGCACCCCCCCUUCUCUCCUCCCGCCUCGGCCCGUUAGCGCGGCCCACCAAGCGGCCAGGCAGGCCCGCGCGCGCCUCCCCCUCUCUGUGGCUAGUGAGCAGGCCCCACCCCUUCUUUCACCGCCAGCCGGGUCCCACGCGUCAGUCUCUUCUCUCACCUUUCCUUCUUCCUCACGACCGAGACCGACUCAAGUCCAUCGAGCCGGCAGAAUCAAUCCUGAAAACCGCGGGAUUUAACUUGCCUAUCGCGUCAACCGAGCACUAUAAAGCUUCUCCCCCACCCCGCGGCUCCCUCUUUGCAUCUAAUUAGUGAGACCGAGCCCUAGCCAUCCCAAACCUCGAGCUUUUGGAUCUCACCGUGGCCGCGCCCUAUCUCCACCACGGCGAGCACCUCCUCGUUCUUCUCAGCGCGAACCGAGCGUCUUGGUGAGUCCGCGGUGAGCUUCUCGACCCUCUGGCAUUUUCCUUUUGAAGAAUGGUGCACCGAGUCGUGUUUUUGACGAACUCUGGUGAACUCCCCUAUGGCGCCGCCGCGGGGAAGGCUCUGUUCUGGCCAGCUCGCCGUCGGCGUCAUCCUGUCUCUCUCGGAGCGAUCUGAGCCGUCCAAUUCGCGAUCGACGCACAGGAUUAGAACUUACCCCUUCGGGGUAAAUCUUGUUAAAGAGACCUUGGAAAAGUUAUUUACGCUUUCUGAAUGGGAACACGUAUUCUUUACCGGUUUGAAUUAGAAUACGCUUUCUGCUAUUUACAAGUUUGCCACUGAAACUAUUUUGCUCAUAAAAUACUCAUUUUAACUUCGUUUUUUGUCCAUUCAAAUUUUGUUAGAUUCGUAUUUACGAGCUAUACAUGUUAGAAGUAUUUAUUCUCUGUUUUGAAACUUUUUCUUUUUGCAGUAGCAUUUAAUUAAUUAUUUAUCUAUAGGAAAUCUUGGAAAAUUCAUAUCUUCUACGUGUUAAUUCCGAUUUUCGUGAACUUUACGUUUGUAUGAUCAUUAAUAUUUGCAUAAACUUUUAUCUUUGAUUUCUCACUGUUGGUGUCAUGUUCUAAUUAUAGCUUGUUUGCUUUGUGUAUGAUUGUCUACAUUGGAAUGCGUGUUGUUGAUUGAUGUUUGGGAAUAGACGGUGAGCCGUACAUUGGUGAUCAAGACCAAGCCUUUGAAGAGCAGCAGGCUCAGGAGAGCUUUGAUCAAGGCAAGUAUAACUUGGGAUCAUCCUUGUUACCUAUUUACUUAUAAACACAUAUAUAUCAUAUGCAUGCUUUCACCUUGUCGACCUUAGCAAAAUCAUUGAUGAUUGUUACCUGGAUUCCUUGCUACCUACUUGAUAUGCAUUUGGUGUAGAUGUGCUAGUGCUUGAUAUAAUCCAUGAUCUUGUAAGAUGAUUAAUAGCUAUGCAAUGAACGUUAAAGCUAUAUGAGAUCUUGUCUGUAAGUGAUCACCGGGACAACAGUGCAACCAUGAGGGCUAUAAUGGCUCUGGUUUUAGCUCAGUAUGAAGACCUUUUCUAGCUUGUUAGAGGUUACCCGGAAGGGCGCUACAGGGGCUCAACCGUUUUGGGUAUAGUGCGAGCCCCUGUCCUUAUGUGUAUGGGCUGCGCGUCAUUGUGCCAUUUGGAAGGGGGGCAUCUAUAUCUGCGCGCCAGGGAAACCUUGCGGCCCUAACAUGUUAGACGAACUUUUGAAAGGCUUCAUAGUGAUCCCUGCCGACCUCCCUUGGAAGGGGGUUAAGAGACUAGUUACCUCGGGCGAAAGGGUAAAUCAUGACUCAUGGGUAAAGAUGUACAAUCUCUGCAGAGUGUUAAAAACUGGUAUACUAGCCGUGCUCACGGUUAAGAACGGCCUUGGGGGUUCUUACACCAACGAUGAUGAGUUUGUUAAGUUGUUAUGUUCAUUUGAUUAUCGUCUAUGCAAUGGGUUAAUUAUGCUUAUAUUUGAUCAUGUGAUUAUCGGAUUAUUUAUGCUACCUUGACAUUUGAUAUUUAAUUAUGAACAUGUUAUCCACUCUUAAAAGCUAAAUGCAGUCAAACCAGUGUCAGCUAUUUGAGCCUCAUGAACCCCUGGUUAUACUUGUUGAGUACGAUAUGUGCUCGCUCUUGCAAUUUCCCAACACCCCAUGUUAUACAAAUGAUGAAGCUUGGAAUGAGGACUACCAUUAUAAGUAUUAGGCUUAAAGUCAACCAGUCAAUAGUGUCCCUGUGUGGUGCUUCCGUCCGGAGUAUCUUUAUUUGUUUGAGAUUAUGUAAUAAUUAUUAUCCCGCUAUGUAAUAAACACUGCAAUGGUACAUUUGAGAUUUGUCUACUUAUGUGUGCGACUGUUUCUGGGGCACAUAUGAAUCUUUUAUGCAUCCUACUUUGUUCUUAAAAUAUGGAUGUGACAUCGCCCUACAAUGAAUUAAAGAAAACAAACCGUUAUCCACACUUUUAUAUGAUUGUGAUAGCUAAAAUCCAAAGACAUUUAUAUAUAGACAUAAAUAUUACCAAAGGAUCUGUCUAGCCAACAACCGGUUGAUUUAGUCCUUCCCAUCAGCUGAAUUUUUCUAUGCACUUACAUUGUUUUAUAGCUAUAUUUACACUCUUUUAUUACUAUAUUUACAAUAAUUUCUUCAGUAUAACUUAUUUAAAAGAGUGAUGUAAUUUAUGAAUAACACAAAUAUAUGUCAAAUUUUCAAACAGAAUUACAAAUUAUUUUUAUGGAUUCCAGACAUCAGAGAAAUAUAUAUCAAAUUAUUCAUAAAUUCUUCACAAAAUUUUAAAGAUACAAAAUUCAAACAAAACUGUUGCAACCGCAAGGGGCACCCUUGCCGAAGACGCCCGCGCACACGCGUCCCCAGGCAAAAGGAAACAGCGUCGACCUCUCUCAGCACGGCCCCCACGAGCAACUCCCUCUCCUUUGCUCAAAUACACGCUGCACCACGCAACUAGGGCCUUGUUUAGUUCACCCCAAAAAGCAAAAAGUUUUCAAAAUUCUCCGUCACAUCGAAUCUUGUGGCACAUGCAUGAAGCAUUAAAUAUAGACGAAAGUAAAAACUAAUUACUCAAUUGAGCUGGAAAUCGCGAGACGAAUCUUUUGAUCCUAGUUAGUCCAUAAUUAGAUAAUAUUUGUCACAAACAAACAAAAGUGCUACAGUACGGAAUUGCAAAAUCUUUUCGGAACUAAACAACACCCUGGCAAGCAGGCCGCCUACGGAUGGGACGCCAUCCGGCAGAAAAAAAACGGUUGAGAGAUGAUCCUAUAGCAAUACUGUUACCAAAAUAGUGCAACCACAUAUCCUGCAUGUCCUAAUUUUCAAAGGAAAUGAAAAAUCCCAUCAUUUAAAUAGCUCACCGAAGAAUCUGGUUGACUAAGUACAGUAAUAAGUUUUUUCAAUGCCAAACAGAGAUGGUGAGCAAUAGGUGAUUUGACAUAUUACAAAAGGAAUGUUGAGAAAUAUAUGAAAUAUGGAUAACUAAGCAUCAUGUAACUUAAACACACUAAUUGGAAAAUCUCAACAACCGACCAAAGCGACAUCCUAGAACACAUUUCAGGGUGUUGACCAUUGCAUGGCGGGGAGAAUUUGUACUGAUGCCAGCAUCUAGCAAUGGCCUGCGAUGAAGCAUGGUAAAAAAAUAUUACUAUUAUGCUUCAAACACUCAAAGACUGAAGCAAAUUAUAAAAUCCCAGCAUAACAAUAACACUUAAAUGAGAAGCAAGAGUUUCAUUUUUUGAAAACAUCUUAAGGUAAAUAUAUUGUGCAAUGCUUAAACCUGAUCAGGUAGGAAAAGAUAGAAUAUUAGCGCACCAAGAGCUUCAUUAAUGGUGUAUAAAAACGCAAGCCUCCACACAAUCAGUAGUCUAGAGUAGUAGUAAACUCGGUCAAUGAUGAUCUUGGUGAUGUGUUUUGCACCACAUGUUAUACUCUUAGCAACCUAUAUAUUCAUCAAUAAGGUAUUGAACAAACAACACACAGUAGGAUAAUUAAAGAGAUCAUAAUCGAUCAUAAUCUGGUGUGAGUAGAAGUAAUUUUAGUCAAUGCUCCAGGCAAUAUGUUUUGCACCAUAAGCUAUACAUUUGGCAACCUAGAUAUUCAGUGAUAAACUAACAAACAAUACGCCUAUGUAAAAGUACUCUUUGUUGCCCCUGAACAAAAUCCGUAGCCGCAAAACUUUCAAGCCAUAAAUGUGUGUUCGAAGCCUUUAAGAACAUGCGAAACUUAGGCCAUAAAUUUAUGUCUAGGAAGCAUUCAAGAACAUGCACGGUGCACAUAUCUUCCAGAGACAUCUAAACUAUAGCAUAAAAACACUUGGCUGUGGAUAUUGGCAAAUAUAAAUUGCAGCGUGAAUGCGUGAUGAAUGCUCAGUCAUGGAAGUUGGAGAACUUCUUGAUCUAGAACUUUACCUAAUUUUUUGUACCAAUCGGAGACAUUCCAAGAUAAUUUAUUCCUGGGGAGCUGCAGCAACCACCUUGAAUGCAGUUCUUCUAAAAACAAUAGCUCUUCAACUCUUGUGCAUCUCAGAGCAACCUGUUUAUAAUGAGAUAUAAUAUAAUGGAUGUCUUUAUUUGCUCAGAAAAAAACAGACGGUUAAUUAAAUCUCAAACAAAUAAAAACACUUUGGAUGGGAUCAGAAAAUUGAGAUGUAGCAUCUUGUUCCAGGCCAUCACAAAAACAGAGGCAAAUCUGCGCAGCACAAAGAACUGCAGGAUCGAGUUUGUUCUAGCCAACCUCAACCAAAGACGACACUCUUCUGGCCCCUUUGCUUCAAUUAUUUACAUCUGAAAUUGAUCAGAAACACUGAUUAAAAGAGAACGAGCAAAUCCAAAACCCACUUAUAAAGAAACACCCAAAGAUGAACACAUAUUGUCAUGCGGAUCUUAUGAGAUGAAUGUCGCGGCGCCACUGUCGGAUUAGCAGCCGAAGACAACAUCAGCGCACCUUUCCCACUUGGGAUCGCUCUUGGCGGAGGAGUCAUGCACCAGUCGCCGCAGCGGAGGUCUCGGACAUUCUGUCGAUGGGGGAUGCGGGCGACUAAACAGAGGAGGAAAGUUACAACUAAUCAGAGCUUCCACCUCUCCCUCCACCAGAUCUCGCAUGCUGCCGGACCUGCGCGCCGCCAGAUCCCGCACGGCUCCACAUACUCCCUCGUGCUACAUAGAGUCCAAGCAUGGAACAGAGGGCACGGAGGGGCUCACGCUUCUGCCUACGCGGGAAGGGGAAGGAGAUGGAAGAGAGGGGCAGAGGUGGGGCAGCGGGGAGAGGAGAGAAAGGAGAGAGAGAGCAUGAGGUCUGGCCAUCGCGGAGGGUUGCCAGCGUGGGACAGGAGCGGGGGUGUUUCUAACAGACUGCGAUGGGCUUCUCAAAACAACGACCUGUUUUCCUUCUUCGCAUCAAAAUAAAAUUGAACUCAGGGGUUUAAUCGAAACAUAUUAGAACACGUUUACUGUUUUUGACUGAGGAGUUGGACCGCGGGUUGACUCUAUGAAUUUAGAGGGCCUUUUUUGCGAAACGAACAAACCAUGUGUCCGCGCUCGCAGAAGCCACCGAUGCCCCCAAUUUCUAAGGUGCAAGCAGAAUGGAGUGGGUUUUAACAUCUUCUGAUGUGCUUAAAUAUCAAAGCAGUGACUUAACGGUUCUUAGGGCGUCCUUAAUGGUUGAUAAAUAGCUAGUAUAAGAAGAAUUCUAUUGGCUAUCAAGGAGAGAUCAAAUAGCUAGCAACUCCUAAAUAACUAGUUCAACUCUCUCACAGCUCACAUAACUCACCAUUAAAAUGUUUAUUUUUAUUAUUAUUUGUCAUUGUGAACGCCCUUAGUUAACCAAAACGAGCCUAUGCCAUUUGGUACCACCGCUAACAUUCACAAAUCCGGUGCAAUGUUGUUAUUGCAAAACAAACAAAAUUAUGGAAUGAUAAAAAUUAUUUGUCACAAUGGCAAAUGCAACUAAUCUUCAAGCGAUAGAGUUGUCAACAACAAUGAUAGAGAAAAGGGCCAGGUUAUCCUGCGACUGGUGACAUUUUCCCUUCUUGCUCGUCUAUGAUAGUCGCAUGCUACCACCGUAGCCCACCGAUGGGACAUUUCUCCCUCAGAGUUCACUAGAGAUCCAUCCCCAUCCCCCACACCUUGAACCGAACCUAUCCCGACAUGCAAUAGAUCACGUGAUAUAGUUUUUUUGGGGAGGGGUGCGAAAGCAUUGGUGAAAUGCACUUGCUACACAUGGAUCAACACAGUUCUAAAGUAAACAAUAUAGCAACAAGAUAAAAUCAAACACCCACGCUGUGAGGGAAGAAGAAAAUGUAAGAGGUACCUCCAAUCCUGCAGAUCAACACCCAACCGUAGGCACCUCGCCUAAUUGACGGAUUGGAAGGUGAAAGAGAGUGGCGACAGAGUGGUGACAACGACAAAAUAGUGAUAGGCUGAGAGUGAGACGGAUGAAACCCCUAGCUACACUGUGGUGGUGAGUGGAGACGAUAGGGCCAUAAGGGAGUGAUGCUAUAAGGGCGACCGGUGGAUGUGGGCUCAUGGCAGCCGCUUUAGGCCCAAAAGCACUUUCUAGUAGGUUAGGCUCUCUCAGGACUUUUUCUCUAUAGACUUUGUUGGAGCUUCUUGGCUGACUUAACAAAAAAUCUUAUUAAAUAUGUACGUAUGAGAAUGACUUUCAAGGCUAUAUAUAAUAACAAAACCAAAAAUAGUAAAACCAAAGCCACCAAAACAUAUUUUCCCCUGAUUUGAGCAUUUUUGAGAAGCCCAAACUUCCUUAUUUUACUAAAGUCCAGGAGUAUUAACGUUCACUGUUUUUUCAUUCAGGGCCCGUUCGUUUCUAGGCUGAAAUGACUUGGAACUGUUUCAGGCCUAAAAUCAUUCGAUAUUUCGGACUGUUCUAGGCCGAAAAUGUCUAACUGAAACAGAACCUAAGAGUGUAAUCCCCACACCCCUUUCAGAGAAUUACAUAAUGCAAAAGUUAGUUCACUUCCACUCCCAAUAAGGCCUUGUUUAGUUCCCAAAAAAUUUUAUAAAAUUUUUCAGAUUCUCUGUCAUAUCGAAUCUUUAGACGUAUGCAUGGAGUAUUAAAUAUAAACGAAAAUAAAAACUAAUUGCACAGUUUAGUCGAAAUUGACGAGAUGAAUCUUUUAAGCCUACUUAGCCCAUGAUUCGACAAUAUUUGUCAAAUACAAACGAAAGUGCUACAGUAUCGAUUUUCUAAAAUUUUUUGGAACUAAACAGGGCCUAAAUAAAAAAAAAAUCUUGACUCCUUUCGAUUGCCCACAAUCGGGGAAAAAAAAUUUCUAAACAUCUUUCAGUUACCGCUAAUAAAAAGCCAGGCAUGGCGGCGUUGCCACGCGCUUGUUGGAGGGAACCAACCUGUGAAUCCAAGUUGUUCAAUGUGUUGUUGAUUUUUAACCGCCUUUCUUUUGCUAGUCAGGCUAUAUGCCUAUAUAUAUGGCUGGUUCAUUUCGAAACCAUCCUAAUGACUAUUCUAAGCUUACCUUCUUGUUGAUAAGGUUUAAAAACUUCUGAUGCUCCUUUGAAGAUGGAGUGGAAGUAGAGCACGAUGUCAUCGAGGGUGUGCUCGUAUUCCGCAAUAUGGAUGCGGACGAGUGAUCAGAUCCGUGUGCCUCCUGCAUGCGAAGCACAGAUGAAAUGGUGACAAAGGUCACAGAAUUAUGUUGCCGUUGCAAGAGCAGGGCCUUGUUUAGUUCCGAAAAGUGAAAAGUUUUUGGUACUGUAGUACUUUCGUUUAUUUGUGAUAAAUAUUAUCCAAUCAUAGACUAAUUAUGAUCAAAAGAUUCGUCUAGACUAAUUAUGAUCAAAAGAUUCGUCUCGUGAUUUACAGCUAAACUGUAUAAUUAGUUUUUGUUUUCGUCUAUAUUUAAUGUUUCAUACAUGUGUCACAAGAUUCGAUGUGACAGAGAAUCUUGAAAACUUUUUAGUUUUCGGAGCUAAACAAGACCGAGAUAUAUAUUGUCAUAGUCUACAGGACAAAUUGCAUGCGGUCAGUGGACAUGCAUGGCCACGUCGUCCGUAUAGCCUGUCGGCCUUCGGAUAUGACCCACUCAACGCGGAUGCAUUGUUCAGGUCUCUGGCCUGCUAAGUCCUGAAUGAACUGGGCGCGCGCGAACAGUCGCGAACUAGCUCAUCAGACCACUUCCCCUGUGCGCGUUCUGCCUUGCGAAACACCGAGCCGGCACGGCCCACUCGCCUGUGCCCUUGGUCCCAUGCUUUCCCUCCGGCUUGGCAAGCCCCGAGUCGAGGGCAGCAGCUAGACACUACUCCCUCAAUCCCAAAUUAUCAUUCCAAAAAUUUUAUAGAGUCAAAGUAUUUUCAUAUUUGACCAAAAUUAUAGAAAAAAAUACUAAGAUUUGUAACGUAAAGUAAGUAUACUAUGAAAAUAUAAUUAAGGAAGAAUCUAAUAAUACUUAGUUAGUAUCAUAAUAAUAAUUUUAUCUUAUAAAUUAGGUCAAACUUAGAAAAGUUUGACUCUUCAAGAUUUUUGGAAUGACUUAUAGUUUGGGAUGGAGGGAGUACUACAGAACAGACCUUUGGUCACUUGCCCAAAAUAAACAAUAAUCUCGACCCAAUCAGCGUCCGGGACAAAAACAUCUUUAGUCCCGGUUGGUGAGACCAACCAAAACUAAAAGUCCCCUGCCCAACGGCUAUGGUGUUAAAGAUCGGCAGAAGAGACCUUUAGUCCCGGUUGGUCUCUCGAACCGGGACUAAAGCCCAGCCUUUAGUCUCGUUGGUGUUACCAACCGGGAUUAAAAGCUGUUGUCCCGGUCCGUCUCACCAGCCGGAACAAAAUGUUGGACUUUAGUUCCGGUUGGUAAUUAUAACCGGGAUUAAAUGUCCUUCUCCAUAUUUGAACUUUUCUUCUUCCCCUAGCCGAGUCCAAUCUUUACUCUUUUGUUGUGUUCUUCACAUUUGUUCUUGCUUGUUCUCUGGCUAUUGAUUCAUUUCAUUAUUUCUACGCCGUCAUCGACUUGUUAAGAGGUCACUAGCUUCAUCUUCUCAACAUUAGCAGUGACAUAUGUCAUUUCCUAGUGUUAUAUAUGUUUUUUUUUUGUUUUAUGAAUUCUACGCUAUUUUAAACUCCAAUCACUUGAUCGUUUGAAUAUUUGAAUGAUAGCAACUACAAUUAGUUCUCUAAAAAUUAACAUUUCAUUACUAUUAUGUCUACCACAUUUAAUGGUUUAGCUAGAGAAAUAGUGAUACUAUAGUUUUUUAUUUUAAUUAGUUUAGAAAAAAAUUAAAAACUUAUAAUACUUUCAUUUGCAAUUUGUGACCGAGUUAAUUAGUUAAUUAUAACUAGUAUGCAUACCAUAUUUUAUGAUUAGCUGGAAAAAUAGAGAACUUUUGUGCUUUUUUAAUUUUGCUUGUUUAGAAAAAUUAGAAAUAGAGAAUUUUAGGUUUUUGAUGAAAAACUGUGAAGCUUUGCUUCCCAGUGCUUUAAUUAAAAGAACCGAAAAGAAAACAGUUACAAAGUUACAGUUACAAAGUUAUCUUUGUUACUUUAAUUUCUAUAUAAAAAAUUAGAAACUUAUAAUACUUUAAUUUGCAAUUUAUGACAAGGUUAAUUAGUUAAUUAUAACUAGUAUGCAUGCAGAUUAGUUAGAAAAAUAGAAAACUUUUUAUGUCUUUUUAACUUUCCUUGUUUAGAAAAAUUAGAAAUAGAGAAUUUUAGGUUAUUUGUUACUUUAAUUUCUGUAUAAAAAUUAGAAACUUAUAAUACUUUACGUUGUAAUUUGUGACAAGGUUAUUUAGUUAAUUAUAACUAGUAUGCAUGCCAUAUUUCAUGAUUAGUUAGAAAAAUAGAGAACUUUUAUGUCUUUUUAAUUUUGCUUGUUUAGAAAAAUUAAAAAUAGAGAAUUUUAGGUUAUUUGUUACUUUAAUUUUUAUAUAAAAAAUUAGAAACUUAUAAUACUUUACGUUGCAAUUUGUGACAAGGUUAUUUAGUUAAUUAUAACUAGUAUGCAUGCCAUAUUUCAUGAUUAGUUAGAAAAAUAGAGAACUUUUAUGUCUUUUUAAUUUUGCUUGUUUAGAAAAAUUAGAAAUAGAGAAUUUUAGGUUAUUUGUUACUUUAAUUUCUGUAUAAAAAAUUAGAAACUUAUAAUACUUUACGUUGCAAUUUGUGACAAGGUUAUUUAGUUAAUUAUAACUAGUAUGCAUGCUAUAUUUCAUGAUUAGUUAGAAAAAUAGAUAACUUUUAUGUCUUUUUAAUUUUGCUUGUUUAGAAAAAUUAGAAAUAGAGAAUUUUAGGUUAUUUGUUACUCUAAUUUCUGUAUAAAAAAUAGAAACUUAUAAUACUUUGCGUUGCAAUGUAGACAAGGUUAUUUAGUUAAUUAUAACUAGUAUGCAUGCCACAUUUCAUGAUUAGUUAGAAAAAUAGAGAACUUUUAUGUCUUUUUAUUUUUGCUUGUUUAGAAAAAUUAGAAAUAGAGAAUUUUAGGUUCUUUGUUACUUUAAUUUAUGUAUAAAAAAUUAGAAACUUAUAAUACUUUACGUUGUAAUGCAGACAAUGACAUGUUCUUGGAUGUACAGUGCCGAUCGCCGCUCCAAAGAAUUCAUUCAUUGUGUGCAUUAUUUCUUAAGAGUGGCUGAGGAAAAUGGAUUCAUAUGUUGCCCGUGUGUCUUGUGAUAGAAUUUGAUGGAAUAUUCUAGCUCUAGAAAUAUUCACUCACAUUUGUUGAAGUCGGGUUUUAUACCAAACUAUAUUUGUUGGACCAACCAUGGAGAAACCGAGAUAAUGAUGGAAGAAGGUGAAGAAGAACAGUUGGAGCCUGACGACAUUAUUGCUCAAUACGGUGACUUCGGUGAUACGGCAAUGGGAGAAGCUGAAGAUGAGGCAGGUGCAUAAGGCACACCUGUUGAAGAUGAUGCUCUUGGUGAUGUCAUUCGUGAUGCAUAGAAAAAUUGUGAAAGUGAAAAAGAGAAGGCAAAGUUUGACCACAUGUUAGAAGAUCGCAAGAAAUUACUAUACCCAUCUACCCAAGAUGGGCAAAAAAUUGGCUACAACACUGAAGUUGUUAAAAUAGAAGACACAGAAUGGUGUAUCCGAUAAGGCAUUUGGGCAAUUACUGAAGAUCCAAAAAAGAUGCUUCCGAAGCCUAAUGAACUGCCCACUACUACAUACGAAGCAAAACAGGUCGUCUGUCCUUUAGGAUUAGAAAUCAAGAAGAUACAUGUAUGUCCUAACGACUGCAUCCUAUACCGUGGCAAGGACUACGAGAAUUUAGAUGAAUGCCCCAUAUGUAAAGCAUCACGGUAUAAGAUCAGGCGAGAUGACCCUAGCGAUGUUGAGGGGGAAGAACGUCCCAGAAAGAAAAUCCCUACAAAGGUUAUGUGGUAUACUCCUAUAAUACCACGUCUGAAACGUCUUUUUAGAAAUAAGGACCAUACAAAAUUGUUGCGAUGGCACAAAGAAGACCAUAAGGUAGACAACAUGUUGAGACACCCUGCUGAUGGGUCCCAGUGGAGAGCGAUAGACAGGGAAUUUCCAGAGUUUGCAAAAGACGCAAGAAACUUAAGGUUCGCUUUAAGUAUAGACGGUAUGAAUCCUUUGGUGAGCAGAGCGGUAGUCAUAGCACUUGGCCUUUUACACCAUGUAUCUAAAACCUUCCUCCAUGGUUAUGGAUAAAGCAAAAGUUUAUUAUGAUGUCGGUGCUCAUCGAAGGCCCGAAGCAACCGAGCAAUGACAUUGAUGUCUAUCUAAGGCCAUUAAUUGAAGAACUCCUACUUUUAUGGAGCGAAACAGGUGUUUGUGUGUGGGAUGAGUACAAACAGGAACAGUUCGACCUGUGAGCACUGUUGUUUGUGACAAUCAAUGAUUGGCCUGCUCUAAGUAAUCUUUCAGGGCAGACAAACAAGGGAUAUAAUGUAUGCACAUAUUGUUUUGAUGACCUUGAUAGUAUAUAUUUAAAAAAAUGCAGAAACAUCGUGUACCUUGGGUAUCGUCAAUUUCUUUAUAUGAAUCACCCAGUUAGAAAGAAAGGCAAGCAUUUUAAAGGUGAGGCAAACCAUCGAUGCAAGCCUCGCAACAAAACUGGAGAAGAUGUAUUUGAGAUGGUUAAAGAUGUAAAAGUAGUUUUUAGUAAGGGACAAGGCAGCCAACCAGUUCCAAAAGAUGCAGCGGGUCAUGCACCCAAGUGGAAGAAGAAGUCAAUAUUUUGGGAGCUACCCUAUUGGCAAGUCCUAGAGGUCCGGAAUGCGAUCGACGUCAUGCACCUAACAAAGAAUCUUUGUGUGAACUUUCUAGGAUUCAUGGGUGUGUAUGGGAAGCCUAAAGAUUCACUUGAAGCACGACAACACUUGCAACGCAUGGAAAAACGAGACAACUUGUAUCCAAAGAAGACAGAUGAUGGACGCUAGUAUUUAAGACCUGCUAGCUACACUCUUAGCAAUAAAGAGAAAGAAAUCAUAUUUGAAUGCUUAAGCAGCAUCAAUUAAGGUCCCAUCUGGAUUCUCCUCUAAUAUAAAAGGUAUAAUUAAUGUGCCCGAGAAGAAAUUUCUGAACUUAAAUUCACAUGACUGCCAUGUGCUUAUGACGCAAUUGCUUCGAGUUGCAUUAAGAGGAAUUUUAUCUCCACAUGUACGUCUGGCCACCGUAAAGCUAUGUGUAUUCCUCAGUGCAAUUUCUCAGAAGGCAAUCAAUCUACUGGAACUAGCUGCUCUACAGAAUGAUGUCCGGUCGACCCAACAAAUAACUGACGAGGCUGAGAUCCAAAAACAACUCCUAAAAAAGUGGAUCUUUUCUUAUUAUAUUAUUGUGUAUUCAUUAAAUUAAUUAAUGGAUCUAUUAGUUGAACCCGCUAACCAAUAUACCACCACUGCACGUCGUAUGUGCGUGAAAUGAACCAUGGGGAGGUGGGAGUAACUACUCCUGUGGAGUAGGAAAAAUUUACCCUAUAUAUAUAGGAUAAUUCUUUUUUACUUCUAGUAGUAGUUACUCUCAUGUCUAUAUCUCUAGAUUUAAAACGUAUAUGGCACGAUAAAGUGUAUGUACACCGAAGUAUAUGAUCAUACUAAACCAUCUAAGGUAAUAUAUAUGUUAAGUAUGCAUGCAUACAUAGAGUAUGUGAUUAUACUUAUUAUAUAUACUACAGUAGUGACAUUUUAGUAAUAUACUAAAAAAUAUGAAUUCCUUUAAAUUUUUUCGCAUGGUAAGAUCUAGAGUAUCUUAAUAUAAGUAUAUAUGAACAUACUUAAACUGAUAAACAAGUAUGAAUAUAUACGUAAUAUGGUUUAUUGAAGAUGAGAGUAAUUACUCCUGGGAGUAUGGACAAUGCAUUAUAUAUAUAAUAGGGUUUGGUGGGAACAUUUGAAAAAACUUUACACAGGCGGUUGGUCUAGCCAACCCCUAGUGGUUGUUUUCACUAGUGGUUCUCAAUUAACCGCUGGUGGAAAGUUUCAUUUCCACUUGUCCCAGCGCUAGCGGGUCUGGAAAACGCAUAUAAAAAUAAGUUUGGAACCGUUUAUGCAAUGUUUCAUCGUACUAGUGAUCGUACCUACCAGUCGAGGCACCUGUCUCUCGGCAGGGAGAUGACCGUGGCGAUGAGGAAGACGAUGAUUUUGCCUUCCUCUUCGUCGCUGACAACUGCCAAGCAGCUGCUCCUGUCCGAUGCCAGGCCAGUAGCAGUAGUGCGCAUCAAGCAUGAUGGGAGCCGUGAUGACUGUGCACAUCUUCUCGGUCAUCUAGCCCAUUGCUCACGCUCGCUAGGUAUUACCGUAGACACACAAUUUAAUUUCUUAGUCAUACUUAGCAUAGGUAGAAGUCGAGAGGUGGCAAGGUCACCACCACUGUGCGAGCAACUACAAACAUUGACUUGAGACUUAAACUAGUGUCAGGACAACCAAAACUUUUGUACUAAGAAGUUUCUUCUUUUCAUUGUUUUUUUCUAUUAAUAUGACUCAUGGAGAAAAUGGGAAAUGAAUACCAUGCUCUCUUCAGAGAAGUUUCUCCUAGUGUUGUGAUAGUGGAGUGAGUUGACGGAUUGAUUAUUUUUGUGUUGGAUCAGUUAUUUUAAGGAAGGUAAUACUCACUCAGUCCAAUGUCACUACAUCAUAUGAUCGAAACUACCAAUCCGUUUCUUUAAUGUCUCUAAAUAGUUUUUUCCUCUCUUGGUUAAACUCGAAGAAGAGAAACUAUGAAUCUUGGUGACCACAUUUUUUCUGGUGUACUAUUAGUUACACCUAUGCAUGCACAAUUGUGGCAACCAACAAAUAUUCUAUCUAUAACCUAGCUAGAUUUAUCAUAUAGAGGUUAUGUGAAGCUAGGUGCCAUACAUAUCAGUCUAUGGUCGAGGGUAGUAGGGAUUAUUUCAUCGUCAUAUGCCAAUACACAGACAAGGUGCACCGACAUCGAGUAUUUCUAAGAGAAGUUUUUCUUUAUUUUAUUCAUCACGUUAAGAGUUAUUAGUAAGGUUAGUUUUACAAUAUAAUAUCUUUUAAUAUAGCAUUAAUAAUAUGACUAUGGGAUCACUGACUGGCUAUCUAUGUGCUUCUAGGGAGUCGAGCCAAGUUGACCUAGCUAGAUUUAUAGAGAAAUGGUUGAAUGUCACGUUUACACUUCGCAUGAGUGACUAGAUGUAUUUCUUUAUUACAUGACUGACAAAAUAAGAACUUGAUAUAUUUCCUUAUUACAUGACUGACAAAACAAGAACUUGAUUAAGAUCAUAGAGAACAUGAUUUCUUAUUGCUGAGAAUUAGGUCUAGUUCGUACAGAGGAAAGAAUACAGCAAAAACAAAUAGAGACACUGUAUCACUCACUUCAUCUAUGGAUCUCAGCAAUAAGAAACAAAGGGAAACUUAAACUGGAACUAAUGUCUUAGGCUAGGAAUGAAAGCUUUAGAGAUGGGCUAGUUAGGAACAACCAUCUUCUUAUUUAUAGAGCUGCUACACAACCCUUAACACGCCCUUAGAUAUUUUAGUUAAACCACUUAACUCUAGGAAUAAAACUGUUGACACCGUUUUUGGGCACGUGUCCAUGAUCGGUAGAAUGCAGGUCGGCAAGACAAGACAGCAGUGUUUGGUCUAUAGGAUGAGUUGCCGAUGAGGAUGGUUGCUGAUGAAGGGAUAGCCGAAUAUGGCUAAGUUCAUAGGUGGCGGUGUGUUUGUGCCGAUGGCCAUUAUUAACUUGUCCCGAUGGCUACGAUAAGGAGGUCUGCCGAUGAUGCGGAAGGAGAGCAUGAAGGUUGCCGAUUGAUCGGUAGAAGUGUCCUAGUUUGUCACGGCAGGAUAGUUUUAUGUUUUCCUUAGUUAUUUAAGUCGUUUUGUACACGGAUUCUGUUUAAAUUUGGAAUUCGAAUUCUAGUCGUGUCUAGUUGUAGCUCUUUGAGCAGGGUAUAAAUGUAGACCCUAGGGUCUUGUAAUCAGAGAAUCUAUCAAUCAAUCAAACACAAGUUUUUACUCAUAUUCCAGCAUCUACUUUUUUCGACGACUUCGUCAUAUUUUCCUUUUUACUACGAGUUCUUAGGAAUUCGUCGACUUAAGUUCGGCGUAUUCUCGAGUUCCGCGUGAGUACCUCUUGGCCAUGACAUCCGGGCGCAUCGCUGUUGUCAGGACCAAAGUAUUCGAGUUACCACCUUUGCCGAUAGUAAGGUCAAAUCGGCUGGCACGCCUUAACGUUUGAAUCGGGUAUUACCCCUUUGUGUUUGCAGAUCCGCUUUUGCAUCAACACAUACUCGUCUUCUGACUCUCUUAGAUGGAUCCUUCAAAUAAUCAACGAUUUCCUUUCUCCAAUCAUCGGCAUCAAUUGCCGAUAUUGUAUUAAUCAUAGGCUGAUAUCCCGAGGCAUGCUGAGCCAACCGAUUGGCUUCUUCAUUAUGCAAUCGAGGAACAUGCUCUAAUCGGAAAUCUUUGAAUUCCUUUAACAGUUGGAUACUCUUUUCGUAAUAAGUUAUGAGAACUUCACUUCGGCAUUCAUAGCUUCCAGCCAAUUGAUUUAUAACUAGAAUCCCCGAAAAUCUCAACAUAAUCAGCAUGAACUUCUCUUAAUAAUUCCAAUCCCUUUAUUAAAGCUUGAUAUUCAGCCUGAUUAUUGUUCGUCGACGUGGCAACAAUCGGCAAGGAAAACUCAUACUUCCUUCCUUGAGGGGAAAUUAACACUAUACCGAUUCCUGCCCCCGGUCACACGUAGAUCCAUCAAAGAAAAGCGUCCAAGGUACAAUUUCCAAAGCCUCCACUGUGCCGCAAUGUUGAGUUACGAAAUCGGCCAUAAUCUGCCCUUUAACUACCUUAGCCGAUUCAUAACGCAGAUCGAACUCCGACAGCGCCAAAAUCCACUUACCGAUCAUGCCACUCAUAAUCGGCAUGGACAGCAUGUACCGGACCACAUCAUCCUUGCAAAUAACAGUGCAUUCGGCCGAUAACAAGUAGUGCCUCAACUUGAUACAAGAGAAAUAUAAGCACAAGCAUAGUUUCUCAAUAGCCGAAUACCUGGUCUCAGCAUCAAUCAACCUCCUGCUUAAGUAAUAAAUUGCACGCUCCUUCCCUUCAAAUUCUUGAAUUAAAGCCGAACUGAUGACCAUCCCAUCGGUAGACAAAUACAAUCUGAAGGGCUUCCCUUGCUGAGGUGGAAUUAGAACUGGAGGAUUCACUAAAUAAUUCUUGAUUUCAUCCAGAGCCAACUGUUGUUCCUUCCCCCAAACAAACUCUUGAUCGGCCUUUAACUUAAAAAGAGGACUGAAAGCACGAAUUUUACCAGACAAAUUAGAUAUAAACCUUCUGAUAAAAUUUACCUUGCCGAUCAAGGACUGGAGCUCGGUCUUGUUGGUAGGGGCCACUAUCUUAUUGAUGGCAUCAAUAGAUCUUCGGCUGAUUUCAAUCCCCCUUUGGUGUACCAUGAAACCAAGAAAUUGUCCUGCCGAUACACCAAAUACACACUUAUUGGGAUUCAUUUUCAAACCAUGCUUCCUUGUGCACUCCAACACCUUUCGUAAAUCGGCCAGAUGCUUUGUGAAGUCUCCAGACUUAACCACCACAUCAUCAAUAUAAAUCUCCACCAGCUUGCCGAUGAACUCAUGAAAUAUAAAAUUCAUGGCCCUUUGAUAAGUAGCACCAGCAUUCUUUAAGCUAAAGGUCUUGACUAUCCAUUCAAACAAUCCAACAUGACCAGGGCACCUGAACGCGGUCUUUGGAAUAUCCUCUUCAGCCAUGAAUAUUUGAUUGUAUCCUGCAUUGCCAUCCAUAAAGCUAAUAAUCCGAUGCCCAGCCGCAGCGUCAACUAGCAGAUCGGCAACUGGCAUUGGGUAUCCAUCCAUCGGUGUAGCUUUGUUGAGAUUCCUGAAAUCAAUGCAGACCCGCAGCUUCCCGUUCUUCUUGUAGACUGGAACAACAUUGGAAAUCCACUCGGCAUACCGACACUGCCGAAUAAACUUGGCUUCAAUAAGCUUGGUUAUCUCGGCCUUAAUAUUAGAGAGAAUAUUAGGAUUACAUCGGCGAGCCGGUUGCUGAUGUGGCCGAAAUCCAGACUUGAUAGGUAACCGAUGUUCAACAAUUGAUCGGUCCAAACCAGGCAUCUCAGUAAAAUCCCAAGCAAAGCAAUCUUUAUAUUCUUUUAACAAAUCAGUUAACUGUUGCUUACACUCAGGAUCUAACUUAGCACUAAUAAAAGUAGGUCUAGGUUUAUCACCACUACCUAUAUCUACUUCUACUAAAUCAUCGGCCGAUGUAAACCCCUGGCCUAACUUUCCAUCAUCAGUGAAUCUGUCUAUUAGAAACCUUCAUCAGAACCGACUGCUUGGAUCGAUGGAAUUUUAUAAUCGACAACCUUGAGAAAAUCCUUCUCCCAAGCUUCUCCUGAAAUACACCUAGUCUUUUCAUAGGUGUCUGCCUCUGCCGAUGCAAUAACAUAUGAAGAAUCUCCUGGGACAAUUUCAAUCUUGUCACUUACCCACUGGACCAAGCACUGGUGCAUUGUAGAUGGGAUGCAACAAUUGGCAUGAAUCCAAUCUCUCCCUAACAGUAAAUUAUAUGCACCUUUUCCACUGAUCACGAAGAAAGUUGUCGGUAAGGUUUUGCUGCCGAUGGUCAACUCAACACAUACUGCCCCCUUGACCGGAGACACGUUCCCUUCGAAGUCCUUUAACAUCAUAUCGGUCUUGGUCAAAUCCUGAUCUCCUUUCCCAAGUUUCCGAUACACUGCAUAAGGCAUGAUGUUAAUAGCAGCUCCACCAUCAAUGAGAAUCUUAGUCAUUGGCUGACCAUCCACUCUUCCUUUGACAAAUAAAGCCUUAAGAUGUUGUCUUUCAUUGUCGUCAGGCUUCUUGAAGAUGGCGGUCAUUGGAUCCAGAGCCAACUGAGCUAUUUGGUCGGAAAACUCCAGCUCAUCAUCACUAGACGGCGCCAAGAAUUCCAUCGGCAACAUAAAUACCAUGUUGACAUCUGCCGAUGGACCUUCCCCCUUGGGAUCUGAUUGCUGCUGAUCCCCAGACUGGCCAGAAUUCUCGCCUUUGCUUAGCCCUUCUCGCCUUUCACGCUGCAGUCUUCUCUUUUGUGUUCUGGUCAACCCCUCUGGACACCAGGGAGGAAGUUGCUGCUGCCUUACCGAUGGGCGACGAUUUUCUCCUGACUCCAUUCGGUAAGUAUUGGCAUCUCGGCAGAAGAUGAACUCAUCGGGAACCCAUGCAUUAGCCAUCUCUUCGAGUUCUUCCUGGUUCCUGGGAAAAUAUUGAACACGAUCACCAAGCCUGUCGUGCACACUGAGCCUGCCCCCCAGCCGAUCGUGAACGGACGCUCUUCCUCUAAUCGGCCCAUUAGAUCGCCGAUUGUCGUCGUGAUAGCACCGAUCGGAUCUAUCAUACCAAUCAUAACCGUUGCACUCAGGACAAUCUCUGACAGUGGGAAGCUUAAUAUUCUCCUCCCAACAAUGAAUGAAGAACGGGCAAUUCUAGUGAUCUCUGUGCUGAUUCCACUCUUGCCGGCGCCUUUCUUCCUCCCGAUGGUAUUCUUCCUGCCGGCGUCGAUAUCGGUCCUCACGUUGCUGCCAAGUUUCCCGAGGCCUUCUGUGAGUUAUCACAAUACCAGAUCGGGGAGGCCUUCCCGAGUUGGCUCCUUCCUGGAUUAAGCCUCUUCCCUUGGCCUCGGCAGUAGUGAUCUGAUGCUGAGGAUCCACCGAUGCACUUCUUUCAGCUGCUUCCGAUGUCAAGACCUUGGCCUUUCCCUUAGCAUCCAGCAUGUUUGUUGGGAAAGGGUGUUGAUCAAUUUUCAUCGGCUUCUGAGUUUUGGAACUGUCAAAUUUGAUCCUCCCAGAUUCUAUAGCCGAUUGCAGCUGCUGUCUAAAAACUUUACACUCAUUAGUGUCAUGAGAAGUUGUAUUGUGCCACUUGCAAUACUUCAUCCUUUUUAAUUCUUCAGCCGAUGGGAUCACAUGAUUAGGUGACAGCUUGAUUUGACCUUCCUGGAGCAGAAAGUCAAAUAUCCUAUCGGCCUUGGUGGUGUCAAACGCGAACUUCUCUAGUUCUUUAUGUCCAAAAGGACAAGACAUCGGCUUUUUAUUUUUUACCCAUUCUGCCAAGCCGAUGACUGGUUCUUCAUCAGAGUCCGAGCUCGCCGCUUCAUCCACAAAUGAUACCUUUUUAUUCCAUGCUCUCUUGGGUUCAAACAGCUUGAUGUCUUAAUCAGAAAUUCUCUGCACCAAAUGACCUAAGCUUUCAAACUCCUGAGACGCAUAUUUGUCCCUUAUGUGUGGCAACAAACCCUGGAAAGCCAAAUCAGCUAGCUGUCGAUCAUCCAGAACCAAGCUAUAGCAUUUGUUCUUAACCUCCCAUAUCCUCUGCACAAAACUUUCAACCGAUUCAUCAUUGCGCUGCCUCAAUUUGACCAAAUCGGUGAUAUUCUUCUCAUGGACACCAGAAAAGAAGUAUUUUUGGAAUUGCUUCUCUAGAUCGGCCCAUGUAACCACUGAGUUGGGAGGUAACCAGGUAAAAGCCGAUCCAGAUAAUGAUGACGAGAAUAAACGAACCCUCAAUUCGUCCAUGUUAGCAGCUUCUCCGCACUGGAUGAUGAACCUAUUGACAUGCUCCAUGGUUGACGUGUCAUCCUGCCUAGAAAACUUAGUAAAAUCCGGUACCUUGUACCGAUUCGGAAGCGGGAUCAAAUCAUAUGCAGGAGGAUACGGUGUCCGAUAAGAGUAAGUGUUGACUUUGAGUUUUAUCCCAAAUUGGUCUCUCAUUACUUCAGCAAUCUUAUCGGCCCAAUAAGCAUCGGCAUCUUGCCGAUGAGGUGGUUGCGGAUCUGACACCUGCUGGUAAGCUUCCACGUGUCUGUGCGGCGCACGAUCUGCAUGAAACAUUGGGUUAAUCAUCUGGCCUCCAAUCUGCGGACCACCAAGCUGUUGCCCGCCAAUCUGCUGUCCGCCGACCUGCUGCCCAAGAUUCAUUGGCUGGUUAGGCAUCCCCUGAUUCUGAAACCCGGGAUAGAUCUUGCCUUGCUGGAACCUUGUAGCCUGAUGACUCUGUUGGGGUGUUUGCGGAAAGACUUGCUGCCCAAGCCAUCCACUAUUAGCAUUCAUCGGCAUAGGUCCUGCCGAUGACUGGUAAUUGGGCGUUAUCAUCGAAUUGACAUACCCUGGUUGAGUCAUAAACCUUUGUUGCAUCAGCAUUGAGUCUGCCGAUGUGUUAGGCAUCUGGAAUGUUGGAGCUUGAGAAUUCCCAGUGUAAGGUCUUGCAGUAGUAGUUGUAGUAUACUGGGGACUCUGGUUCAUCGGCAUAUUUGGAGGUGCCGAUGCCAUAGGAGUCUUGCCUCUCAUAUCAGUUGCCUGAGAUGUGCCAGGCGUCUUCAAGUGUUCCGGGGGCAUACCAUAACCCCACCAGUUGGGAGGAGGGACCGGUCCUGACAUUGCCGAUGCCAAUAGAUCUGUAGUGAGCCUAAUCUGCUCAUCUGAAGUCGGUGGAUUGGUUGUCAUCGGCGUAGAUUGUGCAUUAGUGACUCCUAACGUACUUGGAGGAACGGUAGUCUGUAUUCCCGCAGCGGCUGUAGCAGCUGGUGGAGCUGUGACCACCGGUGACCCUGGCUGGUGAUGAGAGGGGCCCACAUAAUCUGGUGGCAAUUGUCCUUCCUUAAAGGUUCUGGCCACGGCAUUGAAAACCGUAUUGGACAGCACACCAGCUUGGUUGAUUAAAGCGCGGUUGAUGGCACUAUCAACCAUCUCUUGAAGUUUACCAGGAUUAGCUUCAAAAGUAACCUGCCGAGGCGUUGGCAGUGCAUCCUUUUAGAUCACUUCGCCGCUCCUGUUUAUGCUGAAGGAUCUCAGGCACUGCUGCUUGUAAUCCUCCAUGGCUUUAGCAAUAGCUUGCUUCUGCUCAUCCUUGAGAUUGGCUUCCGUCACGGGGAUGACGUUCUCUUGAUCAAACUCAGAAGUCGACAUGUUGAUCUUGAUCUUGAAUCUGUCCCACCGAGCGUGCCAAAAGAUGUGUUGAUGCAAAAGCGGAUCUGCAAACACAAAGGGCUAAUACCCGAUUCAAACGUUAAGGUGUGCCAGCCGAUUUGACCUUACUAUCGGCAAAGGUAGUAACUCGAAUACUUUGGUCCUGACAACAGCGAUGCGCCCGGAUGUCACGGCCAAGAGGUACUCACGCGGAACUCGAGAAUACGCCGAACUUAAGUCGACGAAUUCCUAAGAACUCGUAGUAAAAAGGAAAAUAUGACGAAGUCGUCCAAAAAAGUAGAUGCUGGAAUAUGAGUAAAAACUUGUGUUUGAUUAGAUUCUCUGAUUACAAGACCCUAGGGUCUACAUUUAUACCCUGCUCAAAGAGCUACAACCAGACACGACUAGAAUUCGAAUUCCAAAUUUAAACAGAAUCCGUGUACAAAACGACUUAAAUAACUAAGGAAAACAUAAAACUAUCCUGCCGCGACAAACUAGGACACUUCUACCGAUCAAUCGGCAACCUUCAUGCUCUCCUUCCACAUCAUCGGCAGACCUCCUUAUCGUAGCCAUCGGGACAAGUUAAUAAUGGCCAUCGGCACAAACACACCGCCACCUAUGAACUUAGCCAUAUUCGGCUAUCCCUUCAUCAGCAACCAUCCUCAUCGGCAACUCAUCCUGUAGACCAAACACUGCUGUCUUGUCUUGCCGACCUGCAUUCUACCGAUCAUGGACACGUGCCCAAAAACGGUGUCAACAAAAACAGUCCAACUUGACAACUUCAGGCCCAAGCAUCCGACGCCCAUGGGCUCUUCAUGACUUUGCUUUGCCUCAAGGUUUGCCAUGACCCCACUGCCUCCUCCUAUUCCUACCAGAACUCCAACCAUGUUUUGAGGCCUAAACCCAAAAACUACCGAGCCGAUGGUUUUUAGGCCCAAACCACUAAACCACCUAGUAGAGAAGUGUAUCUGCUAUGUCUCCUCCAUGAUCUUGACAUGUGUUAACUAUCGUCCUUAGCUGCCCAAUCACCAAAUAAGCCCUCUUGCACCUCCGCUUGACUCGAUCAACACUGUCUAUUCCUGGUCAUGUGUUCUUGCCUGUUGAUGUCCUCAAGUGUCAGUCCACCACGGUCAUUUUUUCGGCCAUUUUGAUCCCUCGGCUGAAGCCUCAUGUCCGUUCUUCACCGCUCCUAGUCUAUUGACACGACACGUCACUACUUGAGCUUCUCCAUGUUCAUCGACCGUGUUCGUGCUCCACACCAACACAACUAAAAGACAUGUUGUGCACGCAGUCACGCAAUGAUUAGUCCCUAAACUCUUGACAAUCACUCAUUACAAACUCAACAGACAAGAGCACAUAUUAAGCUUGUGUUUAGAGCUAAUAGCAAGGUUAGUUUUAAAAUACAAUAUUUUUAAGAUAUACUAUAGUAUUAAUGAUAUGACUGCGGGAUCCAUACCUGGUUAUCUAUGUGUGGGAGCCUGUGAGCGGAGCUAAGUUUGGGCUUGCUAGAUCUAGAGGAAUGCUUGAAUGCCGCGUUUCCACUCCGCAUGAGUGAAGAGGUAUUUGCUCGCCGGAGUUAUAUAUUUAUGCCAAAGGUGAAUAAAUAUAUGUUGCCUCCAACCUACUUGGUUGGGUAAUACACAAACAUCCAACAUACACAGCUAGUUGAUUCCUAUUUAAUAACAACCCCACCUUACAAGCACAGAGAAGACCUACACCUCCACACACAACCUAGCCAUGAAUCCUCAAAGCCCUAAAACCAGUGCUCCUUGCACCUUGCCAGUGGAGCCGGCUGCUGCUGUUGUUCCCAACGAAGCAGUGGCGACCGAUAAAGCUCCGCCGCCGCCAACGGCCAACACGGUGAUAAUCCGGGAGCAGGACCGGCUGAUGCCCGUGGCCAACGUGUCCCGCAUCAUGCGCCAAGUGCUGCCUCCCUACGCCAAGAUCUCCGACGACGCCAAGGAGGUGAUCCAGGAGUGCGUGUCCGAGUUCAUCAGCUUCGUCACCGGCGAGGCCAACGAGCGGUGCCACACCGAGCGCCGCAAGACCGUCGCCUCCGAGGACAUCGUGUGGGCCUUGAACCGCCUCGGCUUCGACGACUACGUCGCGCCCGUCGGCACCUUCCUCCAGCGCAUGCGCGAGAGCGAGGCCGGCGGCGAAGAGCGCGGCCCAGGGCGUGGCGGCGGCUCGCGCCGCGGCUCGUCCGUGGUCACGCUCACGCUGCCGGUCAACGGCGGUGCGCAGCUGACGAUGCACCACCCUGCCGCCGUCAGCCGGCAUCCGCACCAAGGUGUGUCGCCUGCUGCAGGUUACGCCGUCCGGCCCGUUCCCCGCCCGGCGGCGGUUCCAUCUGCCAAUGGGGCGGUGGCGGCGCCGCACUUCGGCGGCCGGUCGUACCAGAUGUACGGCGGCAACCACCGCCCUGUGGUUCCCUGCUACCACGGAGGAGGAGGAGCGGCGUUCGUCGACGCCGGUGGAAGCCAACACGUUGGAUUCCACGACGACGAGGCUAGCUCUUCGACUGAAAAUCCACCGGCGGGGCGUCCUGGCUCGCACUAGCCAAGAGCUAGCUAGUUUCCGCGCGUGUAUAAUAAGAGGAGAGGCGGCCAGAGGCAGAUGCAUGCACGAUCGAGAUCUCUCGUGCUGCAGGCUGGCCGGUGCACGCGCCGCCUUGCCGAACUCCGUCGCCCGUCGUCGUCGCCGGCGUGGACUAGACCUGUUUGUUAGUUCUCCAGUACCGUUUUCGUUUUCUCCCAUCAUUUACCAUGUUUCUUCGAGACACUUUUUGCUAAUCUUCUGAUGCUUGAGUUUUCGAUUCUCUUGAGGCGAUAUCGUAUCCAUCCCUUGCUUGAUUUUUUCGUCCAUCAAACUGAAUCUCAGCUUUACAUGCCCAUUUACCAACGGUGAAGAUCGUAGCCCUGCUCGAAACGAAUUCCUUCUUCUAGCUAUUGUUCAUGAUUACGUGCGUUUCAUCACGACAGGUCAAUUGCAUGCAUACAUAUGCAUGCUCCUGUGCUGGAUUUACUGGAAGUUAAUUAAUUAAUCUCUCUCUGCUCGUCGGUUGGGAAAGUGGCCGUGGCAGCCUUGAAUAGGUUUUGGAGCUAUGUCGUACGUGCACGGCCGAGGUCGUCUGACAGGCCGGCCGGUGUGACAGCAUGCUGUGCGCGCUCCAGACGAAACUGCCGCGCGCAUGACGUGGCGCGCGGCUGCCGUGGACCGUGGAAUGCCAUCGCCCGUCGCGCUCCGGCACCGGCAGCGGCACAAAUGUUGCCGUCGGCGGCUUACGAACCGCGCGGGUACGUACAUUACGGGCCUACAGCUGAUAACAGCUUUACGAACACUUAUUUCCAAAACAGCUGCAUAGAUGAAACUAUUUUUCUCCUUCUCUUACAAAGACAUAAGUUGGGAUGAAGCUGAAAAAAAUAGCUUCUCUCCCUCAUUUCUCUCUCUCAACUAUGCAUUAAGUAGUUGGUGAAGCUAUUUGGCCAAACACUUUUCCCAAAACAGCUCAACUUCAUCUAGAAAGUCACUCAUGAAGCUAUUUUCUAAAAAAACAGCUUUACUGAUGAAGUUGAGCUGUGCCAAACAAGCCCAACAUUACCAUUCUGUUAUAGCUUUGCUUCUCUCUCAACUACGUUACAUAACCGGCUGGCCACUUCAUCACUUCCAAUCCCGCCGGGGACCACAAGGCUUUCACUAGCUCUUUGUUGCUAUAUAAUUUCUUCAUACCCAUAAAAAAAGUCGUUUAAGACAACGAUACGGUCGUCAAAGCCUAACUUUGACUCUUUAUUUUUAUAAUAAAUUUUAUUAAAAAGUGGUAUAUGUAUGCUUUUAUGAAAGUAUUUUUUAAGAUAAAUCUAUUCAUAUGGUUUUCAUAUUUCUAAAUUCAACAAGUUAAAAGUUAUUAAUGAUUUAUAUUCUCAAUGUUUGACUCAAAUCUUGUCCAAAACGACUUUCUUUAUGAGUAUGGAGGGAGUAUGUCCAUAUGUAUUACACUACUAUCACCACUUAGUUGGGGUGGUGGUGGGCGGGGGGGGGGGGGGGGGGAAGAAGUCCCAUCUACCUAUGUGCAGCCUGAUGCCCUGGUGUAUAGGGAUAGAGAAUGCGACCAAAAUUGUGUGUGAAAAGUUUUGGUUCAAGGCCGGGUCAACUACAUCUCUACAUGAAACAUGCUUGCGUACUCUGGCCCAGUGUUUGCCCAAACGCGUUUAAACUAUCGUCUAUACAUAUUUAAACGCUAAAUAGUGGGUUUGCGUUCUGUUUAGACCAUAGUCACUGAAUUAAAUGCUAGACGCGUCUAACCAGUCAAACUGGUAAAAAAACAUUUAAGCUAUGGCAUUAAACAAUGUCUAAAUGAGUGUAAACGUCAAAACAUGUGUUUAAACUAUCAUUUAGGUGAUAAAUCAUGCAAGUUUGGGUGAUUGGCAAACUUUUUGGAUGAGUGAAAUUGGGUUUGCAUGUGUGUUGGGGGAAAUUUUGGUGAUAUCUAAAUGAUAUCUAUAUGACUAUGUGUGUCACUCUAUGUAUAACUGUUUAUUAUCUAUAUCAAAUUGCGUAACUAUGUUCAUGCCUUAAAUUGUAUUUAAAAUUUUAUAUAAAAAAUAUCAUUUUACAUGUAUAUUUACUGUUACAGUGCAAACCGUUUAAACCAUCUGGUCGGUCAUGUAAACUCUAAUUAAAUAGAGGGUGGCUGACCAUUUAGUGUUUUGCGUUUACGAUAACAGUACUGCUCGGCCAGCCUAAUACGUGAUGCCACCUUAAUUGCCUUGCUAUUUAUUUCAAAUGAAACCUUAUGAAAAAAAAAUAUGUAGGAAAGAUUCUCGGUCCAGGCGUUGUGCCCCUAAAACAUACUUCCACUCAAUAUUGUCACAAAUUAUAGCUUUUCAACAUUGCUCGAUCGACCACAUUAAUUUUCUAAUAUACACUCAUAUAUACAAGCUAUAAGUUUCAGUUGUUUUAUCUGCUGGGUUUGUUUUUGGUUUAGGUUUGGGAUCGGAGCGCGCCCCUUUGAAUGGGAGAGCAGGUCAUAUCUUACCAAAAUUUCGUUAGGCAGCAUUCAUGGGCUACUCUUCAGUUCAACACAAUUUUUGGCCCAUGCCAACACUCAAUGGACUGUGCAAAAUCUCACCAAUAGGAGCACAAAGCCGUGGUGGCAAAAAAAACUGCCAUGUUUUGAUGAGAAAUUGUUUGGUGGGGCGUCAAAAUUGUCUUUAUUCGUCAUAAAAAUUUCAUAUGUGUCAAAGGUUAAGUGCACAAAAUGAUACGCCAACACUCACUGGACUGCGCAAAAAUCCCACCAAUGGGGGCACAAAGCUAUGGUGGCGAAGAAAACGCCAUGUUUGAUGACAAAUUGUUCGGUGGUGCGUCAAAAUUAUCACUAUUUGACAUAAAAAAUAUCACAAGUGUCAAAGGUUAAGUGCUCAAAAUGGUACGGCAACACUCACUGGACCGUGCAAAAUCUCAACAAUGGGAGCACAAAGCUAUGGUGCGAAGAAACCGCCAUGUUUUGAUGACAAAUUGUUCGAUGGUGCGUCAAAAUUGACACUAUUUGCCAUAAAAAUUUAUCACACGUGUCAAAGGUUAAGUGCUCAAAAUGAUACGCCAACACUCAACAGACCGUGCAAAAUCUCACCAAUAGGAGCACAAAGCUGAGGUGGCAAAAAAAACCGCCAUGUUUUGAUAACAAAUUGUUUGGUGUUGCGUCAAAAUUGUCACUGUUUGCUGUAAAACUUUAUCACAAGUGGCAAAGAUUAAGUGCUCAAAACGAUACGCCAACACUCCAGGGAUUGUGCAAAAUCUCACCAAUGUUUUGAUGACAUCAAAAUUAUAACUAUUUACCAUAAACAAUCAUAUCUGUCAAAGGUUAAGUGCUUAAAAUGAUAAAAUAUCAGGCCUCAUUUGGUAUAGAGGUCUGCUUUACUUCUUAUUUUUAGUUUCCACUGUACAAGCAGCAUCCCUAGUGAAACUGAAGCUAUUUUGAAAAAAAUAUUUAGUAAAAUAGCUUAUCUUAGUAGAUCUAAGAGAAUUAGCUGGUGGAAGCUACUCUUUUUUAGCUCCACCGGCUGCCAUUGGCUUGUCUCAAGGCUUCUCGCGGGGCUCCAGCCAUGGAGCAGCUCACUUUUCGCCUCGUUUAGUGAAAGUGAAAUUGCAUGCAUAAUAGCUCCUGAAACUAUUUGAGAAUCCAAACCAAACACUCCCUUAGUUACAUGCACCAAAAUUUUGACAACUCUUAUCACAAUGAGUCAUUGGCAUGUGGAGCUUAAUCUAAUGGAUGGAAAUUUUGCCACAAUUUGUUGUUGUAACCAAAGAACUGUCAAAGCUAAUAAACAUUAAUUUAGGGGUACAAUUUUCACCAUGAAAAAUCAUUUUUUGCUGUAAUACAUCCAAAUAACUAUGAACUGUCGAUCUAAAUAGGAAUUAUCACAUAUUACCUCCGAAGAGGUAGUAGAAUAUAUAUAUAUAAGGAAAAUCUCUUCCUAUUAGAUCUAAUAUGCAUGCCAUCUAACUUUCCUAAUUAACAUGAUCUCAAGUGUUUAUUUAUAAUGAAUAAUAACAUGGAUAUGGACACACACAUGCAUAGCGGUGGAACACACACUUUCACACAUGUGCAGCCAUAAUUUAUUUACGUUCUUUGUAUUAUUCUAUUAUAUUAGAAUGUUGGGCUAUUUCAUGGUACGAGUACAGAUUUAUAUAAUUGUUAUAACGUGACAAACUGAUAUGUAUCAUGUCAUAUGAGAGGUAUGGAAUAGUUGCACAUAUUACUAUAAGUAAUUUAACUUCCAUAUCUACCUAAUGUAAAAUGACACUGGUGUAACAUUGUUUUCUAUCUAAAAAUAUAAAAUGUGACCCAACAUGAUUUUGUAAAUUUUUUUAUUUGUUGGAAUGCGACGAAUGAAUGGGAAAUUGGAAUUCUUUUUAUUCUCAACAUGAAAAAAUAAAGCUUAUUCAAUUCAUAGUAUGAUUGUAUUGUAGCAAUUUUUUUUGUUGUAACGUGACUAUGCCCAAUUAAGAAACAUAAAAAUAGCAUGUCAUGGAAGGUUGAUUUCUGACUCCCAAAUUAUCUCUUUUCCGAUGGCCUUCCAUGAAGUGUGUAGCCAUUGGUUGCAACCAAAAGGAAACAAAUUGCAUGUACACAUGCGUAUAAAAGGAAGCAAUUGGUUAUUUUUUUUAUUAAUUACUUUAUUCCUCUUAAUAUUCAUGGGCUUGGAUUUAUUUGUUAGCUCUUAUUAGGUAAUGAAAAUAUCGUAGCAAAGUCCAUAAAACAUAUAAACACUAAUACAAUAAUAAAAUUGAAGAAGUUCCCUAGCCGUGUUAAAACACACAUACUCCAAAGUUUAUAGUAAGUUGGUGGGGAAGAAGGCUCAUUAAUUAAAAUACCAACUACCUAUGUGCAGUCUUAUGUAUAGGAAUAUAGGAUAGAGAAUACGACCAAAAUUGUGAAAGGGGCGAGUGUGCGUGAACGACAAAUGUUUUGUUUCGAGGAUCAAUACUACAUCUACGUAUGAAACAUGCUUGCGUACUUCGACGAGCUGUACGUGAUGUCAUCCUUUGUUCUGGCUAUUAUUUCAGAGGAUGACACGCGAUGACGCGACCACAAAAUUUAUGUAGGAAAGAUUCUCGAUGCAGGCUUGGUGCCCAUAAUACUCCCUUCGUCUAAGAAAGAAUUUAAAUCUCACUUGUCGAGAAGUCAAAAAAUCUUUUAGUUUAACCAAAUUUAUAUAAGAUAUUAUAUAGUUAGAUCUCUAAUUAAGUAUUAUAAAAAUAUAUUUUGUAACUAAUCUAAUGGUAUUUAUUAUACAUUAUAAAUAUCAAUACUUUUAAAAUUAUAUUUGGUCAAAAUUAAGAAUCUUUGACUCCUCGAGAUGCGAGGAUUACAUUUUUUUUAGACAAAGGCAGUGCAUCUUAUGUCAUACUAUUUUAGCGAACGAAUAAUAUUUUUAUUUCAUAACAAAUCAGUGAAUAAUAUUUUCAGCUAUUGUUUUUGAGCAAAGUGAAUAAUAUUCUUCACCUCCACGUGACCACAUGUAUCGGGUAGUUUGCUUAGAAUAGUAUAUAGGUACAUCACGGCAUAUGUAAGAAAGCCAAAAUAAAUUCGAAAUAAAUUAAGAAAUAAGAAAAAUCUAUGGACACCAAGUAAAUAGCCAAGAAAGGGUUAUAGAAAAAAUAAAUAAAUUAGACAAAUCCAAAUAGAUAGAGAAACAAACACAUGUGCAUACAUGUACACAUAAUUAUAUAUUAUUCCCGCUCCUCAUAUCUAAUAACAACAUGUUUGAUAAACAAUGAGGACAAGGACUUGUGAACAAAGUAGCACCCUCAUGGCAAAAAUAAAUGCACUUUUUUGGCUUGAAAUUAACUCUUAUUUCUUAUGUAGAGCACAAUUCCAAAAUCAUCUUCCAUAACUUCAAAAAAUUAACAAAGAACAUGAAUUGAUCAUCUGCUCUGUAAAGACAACAAAAUAAAAUAAAAAAUCAGAGGUACACAGUUGGAAAUAAUAUAUCUAAAUACAUUAAUCCAACCACCAUUGCCUUGGCAUAUGCAUAGGCUGUCCAAAGAAGCACCCUUCUACACUGGAUGAAAAAAAACCAUAGGUGCAGUCAAGUGUGCAGGCAGAUUCAACAAGCCCGUCUCCCAUGCCGUCAUAAGAUUGUUAACAAAAGAUUGUUCAUAAGUUUCAGAAAAAAAACUAUAGAGCAAACAUCAUGAUACCAUGCAUCAUCUUCUGAAGAACAGUUUGAAUGACUCAGCCUGAAAGAAAGAAAGAUUUCAGCCACAAAGUUUGGAAAAUAUAUCUCAAUUAAAAAAGAAAAUAUAUUGAGAAUACAUGAAGUAUAACUAGAACCAAUUACAAUCAUUGAUCUUUUCUUAAAGUAGUUCUAAUCACUACUAUAAAAAGUAUUCGUAGCAACACGCCUUUUUUUGUAGGAUGGCACUAUAUUGAGCCGCUUCUACAAAUGGUAGCCAAACCAGCUGGCACUAUAAAUCCAUUUGUAGGGGCCGCUGGUAUUACCUGCCGCCUUUACAAAUAGACGAUGAAUAAUAAAAAAGAGGCACUAAAAUUUAACUUUUUUAAAUGACCUUGGAUGGAGAAAUGAUCAAAAUAAAAUUUGUACAUCUCGAAAAGUUAUGAAACUUUGAUGUUUACAAUUUUUUCUUUGAAAUCGGUGACUACUUCAAAAUACUGUUUGAAACUAAAUCAUAUAAUUUUAUAAAGCUAAAGCCCACUAGAUGAUUUCUCACUUCAUACAAGAUGUCCACAUCAUUCCUAUCAAGUGACCCACUAAAUGUUCUAUCUUUUUAUGUAAGGUGUCCACAUCAUUCUCCACUAAGUCUAUGUCAUCCCAUAUUAAUUAUAAAAAAUAUCCAUAUCAUCUAUAUCAUGUGAAAUACUUUAAAUAUUUAAUCUAUUAACAUACAAGUUAUCUACAUAUGCUAUUUAUUUCAUCACCUAUUCCUCUAUAAUGUUAUCAAAUAUUUUAUUGCUUUUCUUCUAUUAACUUAACGAUUGUUUAUUAGAUCUAAUACAAUAAAAUAACAUGCAAGUUAAAUUCAUAUAUAUAUAUAUAGUUAAUGAUUUAUUUUAAAGAAAAUCAUGCAGCAACGCAAGGAGUUCACCUAGUUUAAAAACACUUGAAGAACUCUAAUUUCUCUUUUUAAUCUGUUGCUUGUAACUGGUAUUUCUCUCUCAUACUAACUUCAAAUUUAAUGUUUUUCCCAAAAAUUUAUAAAAUCAUUCCCUAUCAAUUUAUUGUGUUCUUGUAGCUAUUAUUUUAUCCAUCUUUUUCAUGUGUGUGCUUUAUGUAUUUAAAUUUUAUUUUAAAUUUCAAAAAUAACAACUUCGAAUACUAUUUUGGAAUACUAAAUGAUUUCAGCUAAAAAGGUCAUGAACAUAAAACAUCAAGAUCUAUGACUUUUAUUUUGGUCAUUUCUUCAUCCGAUAAAGUGGUAGUAACAUUGUUCGCAAAAUUUACAUAUCUCUCUUAUGUCAAAUGAAUAAAUGAUCAAAAUAAAAGUUGUAGAUCUCAGAAAGUUAUAAAAUUUUAUAGUUGACAACUUUUUUAUCAAAAUCAUCUUGUCAAGGAAAACUACGUUCGAUUCUUAAAUUUGAAACUCAAAUUUUACAAGAGACCUCGGAUGGAGAAACUAUCAAAAUAAAAGUUGUACAUCUUGAAAAGUUAGAAAACUUUGUAGUUGAUAACCUUUUUAUUUGAAUUCAUCUAGGGUCUCAAACAAUCAAUUUAUGCUUGGUUUAAGGUAAUAUAUGGGAAACCAAAAUCUAAUAUAGUCACAAGUGAGCAUUGGGUAGAGUGGUUAGAGGAGGAAUACGCAAGCCCAAGAUCACAGGUUUUGAACUCCGGUAGUUGCGUAGUGCGUGAUUUUACGCGGAAAAAAUACGCAACUUGCCAGAUUGAAAAUAUAUAUUUUUUUUCAAAUUUUUUGGCCUGGAUUUUACACGUGUUGCUCGGUUCAGAAUGGCGAAUUUUUCGAACAUGAUUUGUAGUGGCGGUGCGCUGAAAACGGAUUUUACACGUGUAGUAACGGAUUUUACCGUUUUUAGGGUGGAUUUUACACGUGUUGCUCGGUUCAGAUUCGGCAGUUUUGCUAGCUGCCCCAAAGCAAGAGUGACUACAAAUACCCGAUCUGUAGGGGCGGACCACCCAUACAAAAUCCGUUUUACCCACCAGCUCACAGGCCCGAACUAAGUUUCUCCUACAACUAAAAAGACUAAAAGAUAGACAUUUUUUUGGUGCAAAUUUUGUUUCGUCCUUCUGCCUGCCAACCCGCGUGGGACCAUGACCCUGUAUUAGGAUCUAGUGUAUUAGUAAGGUGUGAUUUCCUUUUUUCUUUUUUUAUUAAAAGUGCUUUAUGUUUGAAUUUGUAUAGAAAAUUGUGUACAGAUCCAAAAAUAGUGAAAAUUUUUGUAUAGGCUCUGUGAAAGGAGUAGAACAUAGGAAAAAUGCUAGGUUCCAUUUUCGGGUAAUUUACAUAUAUAUAAAAAUUGUAUCCUUUAUUUAGUAAAUAAAACUUCCAUGAAUUUUAGUAAUUUAAUAAUAUGUUCAAAAAUCACCAAAAUUUGUGGGAUGACUCUGAAUAUUAUUUCUAGCUUCACACAAAAUUUGGUGGCAUUUGGAUAAUGUUUGUAUAAAAUAUUAAUAUACCCUUAAUUAGUAAUUUAGUAAUAAUCCUAAAAUAAUUAAGUAAUAAUUAGCUUAAUUUCUCAAAUUAGGAUUUGAGUGCUUUUGAGAUUGUGUGAUGACCUGAGGUCAUUAACCUUAAUGACCUUUGGCGUUUAAUUAUUGUUUGGUGUUAAUACUUAAUUACUGUCAUUACUACUUAAUUAAGAAUUAAUUAAGAUAAAAAAGAUUAAUAAUUAGUUAAUUAAGAAUAACUGUAAAUUGAGAAAAGUCUUAGCUUAUUGAUGCAACCUCUUGGGUAAAAACACUAAAAUGAUAAACAACUUUAAUUACUAUUUAGCCUAUCCUUGCACCAAGAAGGAUAGUUGUACUCGACUCGGUCCUUCUUAUGUAUUGUCAUAAGCAUAUCAUGAACAUACAUGAUUUUGCGUAUAGUGCACGGGCCCGAAGGAGUGACCGUUGAACCGAACCCCAAGAUUGGUGUUCCGUUCGAGGAAGUAGGAUCCGAGACUUGGGAAGUCUCCGAGGAACCCACUCAGCUCAACAUCCAAGGCAAGCCCCGGAUGCAUUAACCCUUCCUUGAAUGUUUUAAAUCUUUUAUCACUUAUGAAUUAAAAAUGCUGCAUUACACAGUCAAGAAUUGGGUUUAAUUGCAUUUACUACCUUGAUAUUUGUUAUCCUGUCCUUGCCCCCUGUUUUCUUUUAAAAAUUGCAUAGUGAUGCUUAGCCCUGCUUAUUAGAUAGGUUUUCAAAUAAGAAAGUUUGAAGGGUUGUUGUGGAAUACUUUUAUGGUCAAUGAUGUUUCAACUUGAGAUCGGUCGGUGGACUUGCUUUAAGAAUAGAGUCUUAAAGUAGUGUCGCCAACUGUGUCGAUUAAGGACCGGUCCGUUGAUGGCCUGCUGGGUUGAGAAUUUAUAGUACUAGCCACUUGCCCUCGGUAAGCCCGGUCUUGUGAUUCCUCGACGAGAGCGGCUACUCGCGCACUGGGCGUGGAGCGAUGGCGAGAGUAGUGUGUACCCUCCUAGCAAAUGGGCUAGACGGUGGAGUACUGUGCUCUCGAGUGCCACGAACCCGGUUAGAUCUUGGGAAAGCUAGAUUUGGGUUGACAUAUGCAAGAUUCGGUUCUACAUAUGUCGGGUGGUUAGGAACUCCAGCUGGAUUGCUAAGCGAUUCGAAUCGUCAUUGCUCCCCGAUUGGGAGACUCAAUUCCUUCGACCCUCAUCGUAGUUACGUAUGCAACUAAGCUAUAAAAGGGGAAAAGAUAAAAUGUCUCCUGAGGUUCGGAUCCCAAUUCCCGGACUCAGAGUGACAUGAAGCUAUGGUCGUCGGAUGGAUAAUACUUUUAUUAAGGACUAGGAAUUUACAGACUUGUCUGUAAAAAGCAACUAGAUAGACUGUCCUCGAAUUCCUCGGCCUCUUGAGGUGAGCAAUUCAUAGCUAAAACUUGAAAGUAAGGAUGCACUAUUAGUAAGCUUUUUAGCAAACAAUUUGGCUCCUUGCUCAGCCACCCCUCUUUUUAGUAAGCCUGCAUUCCUGAGUUCUCCUCUUUUUCUCUCGGGUAAGUCUUGUUGAGUACCCCAGUACUCAGGGUUUUAUAACCCCUGUUGCAGGUGAAGCUCAGGAGCUGACUUGUUUCGAACCCUAUUGUGUGACUGUCGUCGAGGUUGACGACGAAGAAGAGUGAGCGUGACCCGUGGGCAGAGUCUGUAAGUUUGUAAUCUUUGUACAAUGGUUAAAGUUGCUCCGCUGGACCUGGCUUGUAAUAACACCUUAUCUAAGUCUUAUCAUGAAGAACUACUUUUGUAAAUUAAGUUAUAUAAUGCUUCCGCUGUUUACUCUGAAAUGUUACUUUGGUUACCUCCUGUUCGUGAUACUGCCAUGUCUUUGUAAUGAAUGAUCCUGGUGUUUGUGUGGUCACUUGCUAUCCUAUAAGGGCGAGAAGAAGAAGUUUUCAUUAAUUAACCAUCACGGGUGGUCCGGACGAAUCUUGUUGUUGCACCAUAGGUAGCAGUGGAAUGGGUGUCCUGCGAUGCUCAUCGGGCUUCUAGAGUAGAUGGAUCUCCGACAUCACCGUUAGAGGUCUUUGGGACAAUGACAGGUGUCAGUGGGCCCAACUACUUAGGAGGUUCUGCCACAGCUGGUAUCGGAGCAUUCAUUGCUAAGAUGACCGUUGUAUCCUUUGAAAAACUUCAAAUCUAUUUGGAUCAAAUAAUAUAAACUUGCGUAUUUUGAGUCCAAGUGCUUUAGCUUUACCUUAUCCUUGUCUGUAGGCUUUACUAGAGUUUUUGAGGUCGUGUGGAGGAGCAACAUAAAGUAUAGCCCUAUGUUGUAAAAUUUUAAGUGAUAUAGUUAUGAAUUUUUAUUGCGGAUCGUAAGUACGUGCAUGCAUCAUGAUAUAUCACUUGGUUAAUUACCUUCCUCUUUAUCCGGGUUGGGUUGUAUAGGAUCAAUCCCAUUCUUGCUAACCUUUAAGGUCUCCCUUACUAAUCCAAGCUUACCCUCUACAGGAUGGGCCGUCUGAAGCAAACUCCUUGCAAGAGAACAGGUCCCAAGGGAGUGCCCCGACAUCAGUUGGCCCCGAGAAAUGAUCAAGCUAGUAGCAGUCGAUCCCAACCUCAGCAGGAGAUGGAGAGGUUGUCAGCAGAGUUGACAGAAGUGACUAGAUAGAUAAUGCUCAAUGUUAUGGAGAUUGGCGAGCUCAGAGCUCAAUUAACAAAUAAAAAACAAGCCACGGAGAAUUACGAGGCGAUGCUGGCCCGCAUGGUGGAAGAGCGAAAUGCAGCCAUUGCCCGGGAGGAGGAGGCCAAGAGUACACAUAUGCACGAGCUGACCCGUAUGAAGGCCAAGCUGACUAAAAGCAAGUACACUGAAAAUUUAUACAAGAAGAUGGCACCCACUGUCACUGCACAGAGGGACGUCGCGUGGCAACGGGAGGAUCAACUACAGCUUGAGAAACUUGAGUUGGCGCACCAUCUAGACACCGUCAGUGAUAUGGCGAUGCAAUACCGAGACAUUGCAUUCGACUUGUACCAUCAGCUUCAUCCACCUCUCGGGGAAGGGGAGAUGGAUACUGAUGGAGAGCUAGCAGAUGGGGGAGAGCCUGAUCAAGACCCUAGCAGUGAAGUGGAACCCGACUCUCGCGACGACAACCCGGGGGACGACUAUGGUUCCGACCACACCGACUAGUUCGGUGGAGUUGCGGGCGACGUCGUUACAGAACUUUCUAGACUAACGUAGUUGGGUUGGGUCAGUAGUGAAGUGUUUUUCUCUAAGUUAAAAGUUGUACUCGUUUGUUUUUCAGUAUGCUGAACUGUUGUAUGAUAAAUAAGUGGAAGUAUGUAAAAUAUGUCUCUAUGUUGUGGGUUUCAAGUGGUAAUGGGUAACUAUAACUGUUGUAGCAGAUGCCGAUGCGCACCCGCGGAUCUGAUGGAGCUGGACCUUCCUAGAGAGGGGAGGACAUUCCCAACCCUCCACCUGCCCCACCUUCUCUGGCUGAUGCAAUUGCUGUUCUUCUGAGUGCCACCACAGACAAUGCUCGUCUGUUGCGUGAGUUAGCGCAGCGACAACCCCAUCCUCCCCCAAUCUUUCGAGCACAACAUAACCCGGAGGGAGAAACUUGUUACGUGGAUUUCACUGAGACAAGGCCACCAGUGUUUACAAAGACAGAUGAGCCUUUGGAGGCUGACGACUGGCUCCGGACAAUGGAGCAUAAAUUCAGCCUGAUCCGUUGUUCAGAAACCCAAAAGCCCCUCUUCGCAGCCCAACAGCUUCGGGGAGCUGCAGGGGCCCUGUGGGAGAACUUUCUUGCUAUUCAGACUCCGGGACACCAGGUCACCUGGACAGAAUUCAAGGACGCUUUUCGUGCCCACUAUAUUCCGAAAGGACUUAUGGCAAUGAAAACGAAAGAAUUCCUUGCCUUGCGACAAGGCGACAAAAGUGUGAUGGAAUACGUGGCAAAAUUCAAUCACCUUUCUCAGUAUGCCACAGAGCACGUGAACACUGAUCGGAAGAAGAAGGCCUGCUUUAUGCGUGGCCUCAAUACAAAACUUCAAACCAUGAUGACCACAUGUCAGAAUGCUACUUACUAUGAGGCGGUUAACAUUGCUAUCGCCUCAGAAGAGAAAAACAGAAAGCAUAAAGAAGCAAAGAAGAAGGCUACUUCUUCCUCUUUCUCUUGUCACGGCCAAAAGCGCCAGAGAAUCAUUUAUCAUCCUCAGAGCCAUGGGCGCUUCCUAGCGCAGCCACCUUUUCAUGGCUCUUUCCCUCCUCUACAGUACCGACCUGGGUAGGAGGUUUAUCCUCGACCUACUGCCACCGCCGCAGCACCUCGCCAGCCGAACACCCCAGGUGUUCGUCCUACUGCUCUGCCAAACCACAAUUACCCUUGCUAUAAUUGUGGUAAACCUGGACAUUUCUCUAAGGAGUGCCCCUACCCUCGACAAAAUAACCCCACUUUCCAAAGGCCGCCUACCGGCCAACCUCAACCGAGCCAGUUUAAAAAUGUGGCUCAGAAAGGGCAGAAUGCACAGAGGGGUAAACCUGCAAAGAAGGUGGGACAAGUUUUUCAUACAGAGGUUGAAACCAUACCGGAAGGAGAGCCGGUGAUGAUGGGUACCUUUCCUGCUGCUAAUCAUCCUGCCUUAAUGCUUUUUGAUUCUGGUGCAUCCCAUACUUUCAUCAAUCGCACCUUUGUGGUAAAGCAUGACAUACCCAUCAGGGAAACUAAAGAUCAUUUCUAUAUACAGUCGCCAGGAGGACGACUGAGUUCUAAGGAAAUGGUUUAUCAGAUACCCAUCGAAUUUGGUGGGCAUAGUUUUCCUACCAUUAUGAUUAUUCUUAAAGAUCAAGAUAUUGAUGUUAUACUAGGCAUGAACUGGAUGACACAACGAGGGGUUGUGCUAGACAUCCUGCAUCGAACCAUCAAGAUGCCAUUGCCCAAUGGUACUUCUUACCUUUUAAUCCAACUAGCCACUCCAAAACGGGCAAUUGAACAAGUUUAUGCCACCAAAGUGAAAGAAGUUGAAAAUAUUUCGGUAGUUCGGGAGUUCCCGGAUGUGUUUCCCGAGGACCUACCAGGUCUACCACCAGAUCGGGAUGUUCAAUUCAGUAUAGAAUUGAAACUAGGGACAACCCCAAUUUCUCGAAGAGCCUAUCAAAUGGCACCAAAAGAACUAGCUGAAUUGAAAACCCAAUUACAGGAGUUGUUGCAGAAGGGUUUUAUUCAACCCAUUUCAUCUCCAUGGGGUUGCCCAGCCUUAUUUGUGAAAAAGAAAGAUCAGACAUUAAGGCUAUGUGUUGAUUAUCGUCCCUUAAAUGAAGUGAUGAUUAAAAACAAGUACCCAUUGCCCCGCAUUGACCUGCUAUCUGAUCAGUUAGACAGGGCUAAAGUAUUCUCAAAGAUUGAUUUCAGAUCGGGGUACCAUCAAAUCAAGAUUAAGCCGGAAGAUGUCCCCAAGACGGCUUUCACAACCCGUUAUGGGCUGUAUGAAUAUUUGGUGAUGUCCUUUGGUUUAACCAAUGCACCAGCUCACUUCAUGUAUUUGAUGAACUCCGUCUUCAUGCCAGAGCUAGACAAAUUUGUAGUCGUCUUCAUUGAUGACAUCUUGAUCUACUCCAAAACAAAGAAAGAACACGCUGAACAUCUAAGGAUUGUGUUGACCCGUCUCAGAGACCAUCAACUAUAUGCCAAGUUCAGCAAGUGUGAGUUCUGGCUGGACAAAGUUCAUUUCCUGGGUCAUGUAUUAUCAGCAGAGGGAGUCGCUGUAGACCCAGGUAAAGUAGAAGAUGUUUUGAAUUUGAAGCCCCCUACUACGGUGCAUGAGGUCCGUAGCUUUUUGGGUAUGGCGGGAUAUUACCGCCGCUUCGUUUCGGACUUUUCAAGGGUCGCUAAGCCAAUCACAGCCUUGCUCAAGAAUCAAACAAAAUUUGUUUGGUCGUCUGAUUGUGAGCAGGCCUUCCAGACUCUAAAAAGGGUGCUAACUACUGCACCUGUAUUAGCCCAGCCAAAUAUUGAGAAGGCCUUUGAUGUGUAUUGUGACGCAGCAGGAAUAGGGAUAGGCUGUGUGCUAAUGCAGGAGGGUCGAGUAAUUGCAUAUGCCUCUAGGCAGCUUAAGCCACACAAAGAGAAUUACCCGACCCAUGAUCUUGAGCUAGCCGCCAUAGUGCAUGCUUUGAAGAUCUGGCGCCACUACGUGUUGGGAAACACUUGUCAUCUAUACAUAGAUCAUAAAAGCUUGAAGUAUAUUUUUACUAAAGCCGAACUUAAUAUGAGCCAGCGAAGGUGGCUAGAAUUGAUCAAAGACUACGAUCUUGAGGUGCAUUAUCACCCAGGCAAGGCAAAUUUCGUAGCAGAUGCCCUCAGUCGUAAGGCUCACUGUAAUUGCUUAACAGUGACGCCUAGAGAUAUAACUCUAUGCCAAGAGCUGGAGAACUUGGGAAUAGAGAUGACUUCCUAAGGAAGCCUCGCCAAUCUAAAGAUUGACUCCAAUCUCGAAGCUCAAAUCAUAGCAGCACAAAAAUAAGAUAAAGGCAUGAAAUACCUCAAAGAGAAAAUUUCUAAUAGAGCACCCACAGUCUUUAAGGUGGAUGAUGCAUGAGUAAUCUGGUUCAAAAAUCGGUUAGUAGUUCCAAAGGUACCUGAGCUACGUCAGCAAAUCCUGGAUGAAGCUCAUACCACAAGGUAUUCUAUUCACCCAGGAAGCAAUAAGAUGUAUCAGGACCUAAAGCAGAGGUUUUGGUGGACAAAGAUGAAGAUAGAAAUAGCCUGCUAUGUAGCCCAAUGUGACACUUGUCGAAAAGUCAAAGCCAUUCAUCUCAAAUCUGCUGGAGAGUUGCAACCCUUGCCUAUUCCAGCAUGGAAGUGGGAUGAUAUUAGCAUGGAUUUCAUAGUGGGAUUGCCCAAGACGGCAAAAGGCUUUGAUUCUAUUUGGGUCAUUGUGGAUCAUCUUACCAAAAUGGCACACUUUCUACCUGUGAAGAUAUUAUAUGUUUCUUCCACCUAUGCCAAGAUCUAUUUUGUUCAUAUAUUAAGUCUGCAUGGGGUGCCGAAGACAAUAGUGUCUGAUAGAGGCACUAAAUUUGUCUCCCAGUUUUGGAAAUGCUUACAUGAAUCUUUGGGCACCAAGCUUUUAUACAGUAUAGCCUACCACCCUCAAACAGGUGGGCAAACUGAAAGGGUGAAUCAAACAUUGGAAGAUUUAUUGAGAUCAUGUGCCCUAAAUUUUCCAGACAAGUGGGAUGACUGCCUACCUCUAGCAGAAUUCUCAUAUAAUAAUAGCUACCAAGAAAGCAUUAAAAUGGCUCCAUUCGAGGCACUGUAUGGCCGUCCAUGUCGAACUCCAUUACACUGGUCUGAACCCGGUGAAAGAUGGUUCUUUGGGGUUGACUUGGUGAAGGAAACCGAAGACAAAGUUAGACAAAUUCAAAAUAACUUAAUAGUUGCUCAAUCCUGACAAAAGAGCUAUGCUGAUAAAAGACGUCGACCCUUAAGAUUUACUAAGGGUGACCAUGUGUAUUUAAAGGUAUCCCCAAUGAAAGGAGUGAAUCGUUUCGGGGUUACAGGCAAGUUAGCACCUCGUUACAUUGGUCAAUUUCCAAUCAUUGACCGGUGUGGACAGGUAGCUUACCGCCUUAAAUUGCCCGAACGAUUAUCUGGGGUACACAAUGUAUUUCAUGUAUCCCAAUUGAAGAAGUGUCUUCGAGUACCGGACCGGGUCCAAGAUUUUGAAGAUGUGGAACUUGAACCGGAUCUGACUUAUGCAGAAUAUCCCAUCCGAGUAUUGGACCAAAAAGAUAGAGUUACCCAAAGAACAACUACCAAGUGGUACAAGGUGCAAUGGAGUCAGCACUCUGAGGAAGAAGCCACAUGGGAAUCUGAAGACUAUCUAAUGGAGAAUUUUCCUGAGUUUCACGCUUCUCUUUAAUGCAACAUCCAAUAAAAAGAAGUGUACUCUAGAGGGGAUAAAGGGUAACCGAAACCAUGUACCUAAUGUACAUAUAUGUUUUUAAUGAAAUGUUCUUCCCCAACUGCUUGUCUUGUGAAAAAGCUAAUGAUAGAUUAGCUUGACAAAUUUCCUUUUACAUUACUUACCCUAAGGCUUUAAAUCUCGGGGACAAGAUUUCUUUAAGGGGGAAGGGCUAUAACAUCCCUCAUGUUACGGUUACUAAAACUGGAUCAUGUCAUCAUAAGCAUUGCAUAGCAUACUGAUUAAGCACAACCUGAUGCAUCAACUUAAAACAAGUUUACUUUGGUUGCUUGUGCUUAGGGAACUAAAGUAUGCUUAUGUUGUGAAAUGAUGCUAGUAUGGUUGUGAAAUCCUUAGUGUUGGAGGAUUCCGAGGAAAUGGGGGGGAAACCCUGAUUUUGAAACCCUAGUUUUUGCCCCUUUUUGUGCAAUUUAAAAACUAAGCAAAAUUUGAGGAUGAGUCCAAAAGCAAAGUUGUAGAUCUUGUCAAGAUGUACAACUUUGGUGUUUUGAGUUGUCAAAGUUUCAAUACAAAAUUCAAAGUAAUUUUGAAAAUACAGAUUUCCAGACAUUGUCCCCUUUUCCAAUUUGAAUCCCUAAUUCAAAAUAUGUUUGGAAUCUUGAAAAGUGACCAACAUGAAAGUUGUAGAGCUUAUCAAAUUGAACAACUUUUAUUUUGGGAAUGUUUCAAGUUAUUUAGAAAAAUCAAAAGUAAUUUUGGAAUUUCUAAUCUACCCCAAUUCAAAUAGGAAUUUCCCCCAAAUUGGGAUUUUGAAUUUCAAACUGUUUUGCCCAAAUUCAAACUCUUCCACUCAGAAUUAGCUCUGGGCCCUUAAAGAUGUUUUGUAGCAUUCAAAAUUGUAAACAACUUUUGUUUUAAUAGAAUUUUGACUUCAGUUCAACUUUUGGGAGUAAUUUGCAAAAAACAAAAAAAGUUGGAUAUAGACUGCUACAGUGAUCCGAUGAGGAUCACGAGCUCCUGUCCAGCGCGGCCGCAGAGGGGGCAGGCGCCGCCUUCACGCGUGCCGCCACGCACCCAGCCACGCAGCUGCUCGCCUGCUUGCGGUCGUAGUGAAGUGGACGAGUGUUGGCGCUUCUUAGCGAGAGGAGAAAAAAUCCGCAAGCGCACGGAAGUACCGUUGUAGCACUUCACCCGAAGGUAUAUCAGGGUAUCGUAUUUUCCCAAAGGAACGGUAUAAAAGUCGAUAGACUCUUAGCUAGUUGGCCUGUUGGGUAUUUUAAACGCAAACAGAAAAAUCCGCAAGCGCACGGAUACCGAUGUAGCUUUCACCCGGGAGUAUUCCAGAGUAUCGAUUUUCCACAGAGAACGUGAGUGUACUAAUUAAGAUCCAAGAUCGCCCAAGGAUAACUAUAUAAGUAUUUUUGGUUGGAAGAGCGGAAGUUUCCUGAGAGUUCUCUAGUUGAUCUAAGAAUCAAGAAUUACUUCAAGAUUAUCUAUAUCGGGACAUCAGAGCCCUAACCACAGAAAGAGAUGAGAAGGGGGCUAGGAAGGUCUGACUACGGUCCUACAAACACCGACCCGAACGUGGUGGAAUACGUCGACCGUUAGGGCUGUCACUACCCUAGGGCUACCACAACAAUCCGUAGGAUUGGGUGUCAUUCCAGGUAAUUGCAAGACUAAACACCACGUCUAAUCUAUUAAUUACUACUCUAGCGUUUCAAAGACUAGAGCACUUGAUGCAAGCGGGAAUCCAAUAAAUAACUUGAAUGUAAAUAAAAGUAAUUAGAGAACUCAGGAGUUAUGAAUUGAAGAACCUAGAGAACGAUGAAGAACGAACCAGAUGCUGCAAAAGUACAAUGUUUAGGAAGAUCCGACAGAUCCGGCUCCUCCUCCGCUCUCCUCUUCUCUCUCCCUAUUUUCUAGAUUACAACUAGAACUAACUAGAACUAGAACUAGAGGAACUAGAACUAGAUGAACUAGAACUAGAUCUAGAUGAACUAGAGGUAGAACUAGAAGAACUAGAGGGAUCCUCUCUACUUGGAUGAAGAAUUGAAACCCUAGCUUUGAUUCUGUAGAAGAGGUAUGAUCUCUAGGGGCCAGGGGGGUCUGGUUUUAUAGUCCCUUCAAGCGAAUCUGGGCCGUCGGAUCAAACCGACAUUGAUCGUGUGGUUUUCCUUGAAGUAUUAGGUCGGUGGAGCAUGAUCCUCAAACUUCACCCUGAUUGGUCCAGGGGGGAGGGCGGGCGCCCUCAGGACUAGGGCGGGCGCCCUGUCCCUGAGGCCUCACGUCUUCCGCUUCGGUCCCGUGGCUUCUGGAGUCUUCUAGAUGAUAGAAAAUUGCGCGGCACGUUAAUAUCUCUAUGUAAACCCGACGUGUGGGCCUUUCCUCCGUAUUUCCUGAUAACCCCCUGCAGAAAUAGACAAACACCAAAACUUGUGGAAUUCUGUUAGAUAAAACCCUAAGUCUAGGUGUUGGUUGCAUUUGGAUCCUUUUCUAUGAUUAGUUGAUGGUUAAAUGUGAGCAUUAAGGACCGUCAACAAGCUCCCCCAAGCUUAACCUUUGCUCGUCCCUGAGCAAAGAUGAACUCAAGAGUUUCUGCAGUGGUUUCAUAACUUAAAGAUACACAUGCGUUUAAACAAGAUCUGAUCUCUGGUUAGAGUAAACUGUUAAGACGUAAAACUUACUCAUUUACCUUUCACCAUGGGACUUGUAACCGUCACUUGUGUCUUGAGCAGUUAAAAGAUAGAACAGUCUAGUCAAGCGCCAUGUCUCUUGUUCUUCGAUUAACUAUAGCUCUGGAGUUUUUUGCAGAUUUUCAAAUAAAACUCAGAGAUUCCUUGUAUGACUCUCUCUAUUCUCUCUUUUGUGGUAUUUCUGGAUCCUUACCAAGGCAGUAAUGGUAUAUGCCUUCUCUCAAAGUAUGUGGCAUUUGUGGUAUAAGGCAUAGUGGCACUACCUUCUCUCUCACCCUACUCUAAUAAGGUUUUGAUAUCUGGAGCUCAUAGGUGGGAGACAGCUAAUACAUACUUACAAGACAUUUAUUGCAUAGUCAAACCAUGGAUCCAGAAGAACAAGUCAAUAAGUCAAAUCAAGAUGUGCAUGUGUGGCGAAUGAAUGGUGUAUGGUGAUGAUGGUGAUAACGAUGGUGAAAGUCUAAUUCUACUUAUGCUCUUUUGAGGGGAUACAUACCUUUCUUGCUCUUUUGAAACUUUUUGAGGAGAAUGAGAUGCUCUAUAUUUUCUUUUUCUUUUCUCUCAGGUGGGUAUCUUGUACCCCUAAUUCUACUGUCGGACACUUGUCCAUUUUUACAUCUCGUCUUACUUUUUCUUUUCUUUCGAGGUUCCGGGCACUUGCCCCUUUUUAUUUCCUCGUAUACUAUUUUUUUCUUUUCUCUUUUUUUUAGAGCACUCAUCUCAUGAGAUAAUAUAGCAAGUGGUAGUAACAAGAUAACUUGAGCAUUUAUUUCACAAGGGAAAACAUAAAUGUUUUUGGCUAUUCUCUCCCUGAUUAGGAGUAGAAUAUUUUUAGGUGGUUCUGGAGAUGGAAAUGGAUGAAUAUAUGUGGAUGCGUACUUCCGGAGUAGAAGCAGCAUGUAUGAGUGAACGUGCAAGUGAAUCUUGAUUUUAACCACAUGACAAGCUCCUAAGGGUCUACACAGCUUGACCACACUCAAUGCUCAUAAGCAGUAAAAAGUAAAUGUGUGGUUCAUAGUCUAACAAGCAUGUAUAUAUGGCUGUGGUAGGAAUUUAAACUCUCAUCAUACAGGAACUCAUCAUGCACAAUUUAAAGAUUUUCGAAGAUAAAAUUCUCCAGAAUUCUAGCAUCUCUAGAAACAGAUAAACAGCAGCUCAACCUUCCCAUAUCAUAUCCGUUAACGACUUAGACUUUAGAUCAAGUACUCUUCCCACAAGUUCAGGUUUAGAGCAAAUCUUAAUUAAUAACAGUCAUGCCUAAACUUGAGAGAGAUUUCAAUUUAAGAACUAGUCAUGGCAGAGCAACUAUUCAUCAUUUCCAUGUGAGAGCUUAUCAUGAGCGUUCAUAGCAAACUUUGUUUAUUUAUUUAUUUAGCAAACUAAUCAAAGAUAUAUAUAAGCACAAAAUUUUUAUUUGGGUUCUUAUGAUUAUGCAUCUUUUUAUUAUUAGAGUAAAGUAUAAAUGUGAGUAGAAUACUUAGCUGGAUAAAUGGGGGUGCUCUCCCCCAAGCUGGAUUUUGACGAAGUUUCUUCUGAUGUAGCUAGCAGCUGGCGGAGGUGUAUUUGAAUGUCGGCAGCACUCUGUCAGCGAUUAGGAUGUCCUUCGUCUGCUAGUCUUCUUUGAUCCUUGAAUUCUGUGGAGCUCAAAUAGACAACAAAGCUUUCUGGAACUAGUUAAGUGUUAGCAUAAAUAUCUAGCCUUUAUCAUGUUGAGCCUCCUCAAUAAAUGUUACUCAUUAGCAGGAUCAUAAUUUUAUUUUUAUAAUUUUAUUUUUAUAGGAUAGGAAUAUAUUUAUUUCAUUUUUUAUGCCACCACAGUGAAUAUACUUAUGGGUUUUAUGCCAUGAGCAUACUCACAUGGGGCUUACUAUUUUUAACAUUUUUAUUUUCUUUUCAAGAUGAUAUGAACCUGAUUAACUAACCAAACUAUUUUAAAUAAUUGAAAGGAAAAGGAUAAUUACCAAGUUUACCUCUUGGCAAGGCGUUCGGUAUUUUUAAGUCCUCCGAAUGGGACUCUCCAUUUUCUCAGUUGUCCUAGAAUUUGCUGGAUGGCGUAGUCGGUGGUUCCGGCAGCGCCUUACCACUUCUCCUUCGUAGUCUGCCCAUCCGUCCUUGAUGAUUUGCCUUCUCUGGUUGCGGUUGCGUCGUCGUCUUCUUGUCCUGACCUGCUUAGAGUCUUCAACUAUAUAGUUAGGGUCAGUAAAACAGUGGCGUACCUUCUCUGAGGGGAAGUGCAUGUGGAUUUCUCUGGUUCCAAUGUAUAUGAUUGCUUUAAUGGUGCUAAAGAACGGUCUUCCAAGGAUGAUGGGUGGAUCGUACUCGUCUUCUCCCAUGUCAAUAACCUUCAAUCUUUUAGAAUGUCUGAUCUGCCAUCUGGAGCUGAAUGUAUGUUGGUUGUAGGGACAUGGUUCCAUGUAGGAGCUGAUAAGUGACUGCGGCCAUUAUGUUGACGUUAGAUCCGGUGUCGUAGAGUGCCUUCUGAAAAGAAUAUCCGUUGAUUGUGCACUCGAUGCUUGGAACACCAGGGUCGUCCUUCUUGGUCAGGAACGGUGACUGAAGUCGACGAUCUUGACCUCCUUGAACUACAGUGACCAUCUUAGCAGACUCGGUCCACACUUGCUUGUUCCUGUUCCUCCGGUUGGUCCUCUUCCUUAUUUCAUGUUGGGAUUGCUCUGAGAUUUGUGUAGUCUUAUUCUUGAAGGUAAACGUCUCCUUCCUCCCCUUGAUGUAGAAACUGAUCUUGGCAGCACUAGCGUAGAUGACAGCUCCCGAGGUGUUCAAGAAUGGCCUCCCUAGGAUGAUGGGUGCCCUCUCAUCAGUAUCAGUCUCUAUCACCACGAAGUCUGCUGGAGCGUAUAAGGUACCAACUCGGACGUAGAGGUUCUUCAAUAUUCCCUUUGGGAAAUUUGGGCAUAAUGUUGAUACUGGAGAAAAAGUCGCAGAGUGCUUCUGGGAAGUUCACCAUGCCGAUGGAGAUCGGGAUGACGGGACGUCCUGGAUUGUAUCUCUUGACCGGCAGAAGGUUAGUAAUUACUUCCACAACAGGGUUACUCCAGUAGUUACAUCCUCAAGCAUCUCAGGGCAGUGAUUGCCUGAGUGACCAGUAUCUCCAGUGUGUUUGUGCUCGUAGAUCUAGGUUCUUCACUUGGUGGAGUCUAGGAGUUGUAAAACUCCUUCAUAUUUUGCUCGAAGUGUACCUGCUCAUAGAGACAAGGCAGAGAUCAAGUGCAUGGGCCCUGUUGGUGGAACACACCAACAGAACCAAAAGUGUAUUUGCUCUUCUCUAACCUCAAGCAUAGUGAGCAAGACAAAGUUGAUGGAUAAUAAGAUCAUGAGUGUAACAUUUAAAACAUUUGUCAGAUCAGAUCACUCAACCUUAUGGAAAGAUAAUCUAUCUAUAUUUAUGUUUAUAUAUAUAUAUAUCUUCCAAAGAUUGAGUAUGCAACAUUUUAGCUCAUAUGAUUAGGAGUGUGGGAUCACUAAGGUGGAAGGACUAAACAUAUUGAAUCGAUUGGGUUGGUUAAUCUAGAAUUGUAAAUCAUACAUGUUUGUCUCUUUUAUUCAUGUGAAUGCCAGAACCAAGGAAAAGCUUAUAGAAGUGAUAGUCAAGUACCUUAAGAUGUUACCUUACUUGAAGAGUGAUGGUACAGUAUUACCUUGUGGAAGCUUUCCUUUCUUAGUGGUUGUGCAUCGUGUUUGUGGCACCCUCCAUGGAUCAUCUCUUGUGAGCUAUGCCUUCCUUGUGUAGAUUGUUAAACUUCAUGUGUCUCUCUCUUUGUCUCCAAUGUGAGUUUGUCUCAGGACUUCCCAGGUCGAUAUUGAAAGUUUUCCUGUAGGGGUUAGUCCAACAAAAUAUCCAAUAUCUACUAUAGCAUACUAUCGGCUCAAAAAUCAACCUAGACACCAUGUCUAAUUUGAUUUAGGAGGGUAUUUUAACCUAAGCACCAUGCUUAAUCUAAAAUCCCUUGGAAGUAAGAUCAUCAUUCCUAGCUAAGGACCAUGCUUAAUUAAGAGAUAAAUGAAACUACUCCAAACCUAGAAAUAUACUAAAGCAAAUAAAGGUGGCAUGAGAGCAUUUAUAGAGAUCUACUCAAGUGGAGAUGAAGUAGUGUGAUUAGUAUUUAACAAAUUGAGCAUGUCUCAAAGGUUGGGACAACCAACAUAACAACAUGGCAAAGGAUGUUUUUAUGUAAGUACUCCCCCAAGCUUGAAUUUUGCAAAAUUCAAGUUUGGAUGAAUUUAAUUCAAUGUUGUAUGAUAGUUGGUUGGACAUACCUUGUGCUUGUCAUUCAUCCGAUCUUCUUGCUCCAAUCCUAGAAAGGUUAGUGACAAGAAUACCCAAAGGAAUAUUUUUACAAUUAUUCUUAUAUGCUCAACACACAAGGUAAUGUUGCAAAUAAUUCAAAGCUCAUGUUACGAUCUGAUCAGUGCUUAUUUUAGGACAUUAAGCUUGUCCUUGGGAAACCAUCAAUUUAUGUCAGCGAAGUGGUUUCCCCUCCAACUCUGACCUAUAUCGAGAUCUACAAUAUUUAAUAUAGACAUAUGCAUCGACAACCGCCCUUUUAAAGUUUUUAUAAAUAGAAAGGAUGAGGGGGUUGGAGAUCUCGAAUGUGGUGAUGUUGGAGAUACCAAUGGAUUGUGAAGAUAUUGCAUAUGAGCAUGGAGUAAAUGAAGUGGCUAUGAAAUAAAUUCCAUGCUCAUUAAUGCUUAGAGUGAAAUCCAUGUGGUAUGGUGAAAAUGAUAAGGUGAGUGUGGUAAAAAAGGAAAAGAAAAAGGAUACACGGACGACUUGGUUCGAAACUAGCACAGCUACCGUUCCCCGGCAACGGCGCCAGAAAGCUUGUUGGGUAUUUUAAACGCAAACAGAAAAAUCCGCAAGCGCACGGAUACCGAUGUAGCUUUCACCCGGGAGUAUUCCAGAGUAUCGAUUUUCCACAGAGAACGUGAGUGUACUAAUUAAGAUCCAAGAUCGCCCAAGGAUAACUAUAUAAGUAUUUUUGGUGGGAAGAGAGGAAGUUUCCUGAGAGUUCUCUAGUUGAUCUAAGAAUCAAGAAUUACUUCAAGAUUAUCUAUAUCGGGACAUCAGAGCACUAACCACAGAAAGAGAUGAGAAGGGGGCUAGGAAGGUCUGACUACGGUCCUACAAACACCGACCCGAACGUGGUGGAAUACAUCGACCGUUAGGGCUGUCACUACCCUAAGGCUACCACAAUAAUCCGCAGGAUUGGGUGCAAUUCCAGGUAAUCGCAAGACUAAACACCACGUCUAAUCUAUUAAUUACUACUCUAAUGUUUCAAAGAUUAGAGCACUUGAUGCAAGCGGGAAUCCAAUAAAUAACUUGAAUGUAAAUAAAAGUAAUUAGAGAACUCAGGAGUUAUGAAUUGAAGAACCUGGAGAACGAUGAAGAACGAACCAGAUGCUGCAAAAGUACAAUGUUGAGGAAGAUCCGACAGAUCCGGCUCCUCCUCCGCUCUCCUCUUCUCUCUCCCUAUUUUCUAGAUUACAACUAGAACUAACUAGAACUAGAACUAGAGGAACUAGAACUAGAACUAGAUGAACUAGAACUAGAUCUAGAUGAACUAGAGGUAGAACUAGAAGAACUAGAGGGAUCCUCUCUACUUGGAUGAAGAAUUGAAACCCUAGCUUUGAUUCUGUAGAAGAGGUAUGAUCUCCAGGGGCCAGGGGGUCUGGUUUUAUAGUCCCUUCAAGUGAAUCUGGGCCGUCGGAUCAAACCGACAUUGAUCGUGUGGUUUUCCUUGAAGUAUUAGGUCGGUGGAGCAUGAUCCUCGAACUUCACCCUGAUUGGUCCAGGAGGGAGGGCGGGCGCCCUCAGGACUAGGGCGGGCGCCCUGUCCCUGAGGCCUCUCGUCUUCCGCUUCGGUCCCGUGGCUUCUGGAGUCUUCUAGAUGAUAGAAAAUUGCGCGGCACAUUAAUAUCUCUAUGUAAACCCGACGUGUGGGCCUUUCCUCCGUAUUUCCUGAUAACCCCCUGCAGAAAUAGACAAACACCAAAACUUGUGGAAUUCUGUCAGAUAAAACCCUAAGUCUAGGUGUUGGUUGCAUUUUGAUCCUUUUCUAUGAUUAGUUGAUGGUUAAAUGUGAGCAUUAAGGACCGUCAACAUGGCCCAGAAGAAGGUAGGAGGGAUAACUUGGUUAGAGAGGAUACACUAGGUAAGACUACUAGGCGAAGAGAGCUUUCCCACUAUGUGUUGCUUCAGGCCCAGAGGUAGAUUCCUGGGUUCAGCCAGGCGAUCCUUCUAUCAGCCCUACUCUAUGACCGAACGUGGGGGAAUACAAGGGAUGACAGGGCUGUCACCACCACUGCCACCUACCUCUCUGCCCGUGGGUCACAGUGCAAACAAAGGUAGACUCUGACUUAGACACCUCGUCCUCGUCCACGUCUUCCGUCUUUAUCAGGAGUCCUCUUACUAGAGCACCCGUCCAAAAGGACGUACGAUGAGUCCACAACAAAUAGCUUUAUGAAAGUAACUUCGCAAAGUAAUCUGGAACCCGAAUGUAAUCACAAACCUCUUACUUCAAGUAGUAAGACGAAUAUAGAGGUCAAGUUGGAGCGAGAGUCGACAGACCCGGCACUUCGUCCACCCUAGAGUAGGACUUGCUUGAUCCCGCUUCUACACUUCAACUCUUUCCUCACUCUCUCUAAUCCCUAAACUAGAAUAGCUAGGAGCUAAUCUAUUGGAAAAGUAGCACUACUCCUUCUAUUCUUCUUCUUGUAUCUUGAUGCUUUGAAAUGUGGAGAGGAGGGACCAAUUUAUAGCUCCAUAGGACGGUUCGUGCUGAUCUAAAUGUGGUACUAGGUGAAACCGUCCUAUGCAUGGCGGCAUGCAACCGCCAGAACAAAGUGGGACCGGGGAACCGCCAGGGGGGUUGCGCCCGCACCUGGUUGCGCCCGCAACCUGGGUGGGCCCCCCUGGCCACCGCCUUCGCGUGGUCGGUUUGUUGUUGGGACUGGACUUCUGCCACGGUCACGGAUGGACCCACCUCGUUUGUUAGGUGGACUUUUCUAUUUUUCUUUGAUUGCGCCUUCUGGAAAUACGUUUUCUUGAAUUAAGGGUCGCCAACAACUCCCCCACAUUUGGUCCUUUACUCGUCCUCGAGUGAAGGCACGUAGGACCAAAUGGGUUCAUCUUCCUUGUCAAAAAGUGUCUGUAUAUGAAUUAUUCCAAGCUUCACCUGAAAAAUUUAUGAACUUCAAAGUGUCUACCAAAAUUAUCUUGGAUAAUUGAAAUAUGGAAUAGCUUGGAUUCAAAUCUUCUUGCAUUGCCCCAGCGCAGAAACUUGGGUUUUUGUGUGUUUUAAAAAAGAAAGAUAGCAUAUGUUCCUUGAAUAAUUCUCUCAAAUCACUCUUAUUUGUAGGUGGUUCCUCUCCAAGGCAUAUGGUUAAUUGCCUUCACUUGAAUCAUCCUAUGUCUAAAGGGAUUAUCUGGAGCUUGGAUAGGAAAAAGUGGCGAGCAUACUUACCCUACAUAUGUUGUCAAGUCAAACCUUAGACCAUGCCGGAGGGAGUACGUCAUACCCUUAGAUCAGAAUGUGCAAGUGUGUGGAGUAUGAGGAAUUUGUGAAAAAUCCUAAUCCUAAAGUUUUUUGAUCACUCCUUUGCAUCAUGACUCUCUUUUAUUUGAAGGAUAAAAAGGAGAUAAACAUAUGGGCUCUAUCACUUAUAUAUAUAUAUAUAUAUAUAUAUUUCAUGACGGGGACUUUUGAUUUUUUUUCUUUCUUUCCCAUCUAUGCCUCUUUGGCUUUCUCUCUUUUUUUACUAUAGCCCAUAUGUUUCGAUGGAUGGUAUCUUGGAAAAUAGAAAGAGAUGUCAUGAUGUCAAAAUGUAAGGAGUGAAUUUUGGGGUUGCGCAAAUCUCGGGGUGAGAAUUUGGCACUUUUAUUUGGUGUAAAACUAAGGCACAAUUCUGAGGAUAAGAAUCGGCAAAAUUUUUGGUGGAUGGAAGGGUGCAUGUUUUGCACGACUUCUCAGUGUAAGAGUCGGCUUUAUUUGGUGGGUGUAAGUGAAUCUCAAUCAUGGGUGCCUUGGUAGGUAAAAGCUCGGAUUAUUCAAGGAACUUGCUAAUAUUUUAUUUUUAUGAAAUAAAUCCCAAGUACUUUGCAAAAACCAGCAAGUAUCAUGUCAUCCUACUAUAUCUCAUACGCCAAUUAUUUAGAUAAAUGGGGUCCCUAUAAAACGGUGUUCAUAAAUCUUCAGGGGUGUUAGCGAGAAAUAAAGAGUAUACAAAACUCUAAUUGAGUAUAGGAUACAUGUUUGAUGGAGUAUGAAGGAAACAUUAUUUUAAAUUUUAUUUUAAGCUUUUUGUAAAAGAUUUUUCGUAAAAGCAAAAGGGAGAGUAUGUGCAAACCGUAGUUGAAGCGUUCCUCCCCCACACUUGUUUUCUUUCCUGUCUUUUAUUAGUAAUAAAGCAUAUACAUAUUUAAGAAAACAAGUGCUUUAUUGAAACAAAACAUUUUAUUGAUAACUUCUCACAGGCACAUUACAAAAGAAGGAAAUUGAAAUAAGCAAAGAAAACAUGUGCCUAUUAUUUUUAGGGGUAAUCUAGAGAUCUAGAACAUGUGCGACCCCUGCUGCCUUAGCGAUCCUGCGCAGAUACUAAGAUGUGUUGAUAUUUGGGAACACAAUAAGGAAUUGAUCCGCAAGCGCACGGAUAUCGGUGAGCACUUCACCCGGGAGGUUAUCUAAAGUAUCGUAUUUAUUUUUUUACCACUAGGAGAAAGAGUGCAUCUGACUAACCUGGUCUAUUACUACUAACCUUUAGGCUACAAAGAAUGUUUCUCGAUGUGAGUGAUAUAUAGAGAAGACUACAACUGUAAUCUCUUUCUAACCUUGGUAAGGAUGAUCUAUUGUUCUAUUGAGGAAGCUUACAGAAUCUAGACACCACAGAGGAUGUUCAACCCGCACCUAUAAACCCUAUCCUUCCUGCUAACGAGAUAUGGUUUGCAAAGGUAACUCGGAAAUGUCACGUUCCUCGCUACUACCACGGUCCAGCUAGUCAGGGGAUAUCUAUGAUUAUCCUAGCCCAAACAUCACGUCUACGCUAGAGAUGAUUACUCUAAACUCUACGCGAAGAGAUUAAAGUAAACUCAUAAACCAAAAGAACAAUAAAACAAGAACUUACUAGAAUUUAGAAGUCGAAAUAUUGAAGAAUCCUAGGAGCAAGCUUCGGGUUAGGAGAACUUGAUCCCGCAGGUACAACCUCGGAGUAGACACCGACAGGCCGUGCUUCCUCCGAUCCACACCUCCACUCUAUCUCUCUCAAUCUACUAGAAACUAAAAGAUCUAAUUCUACUCACAUUGGUUGCUAAGCCCUAAAAAAGUCUAUUUAGAGGAGAGGUAUUCCUUCGAGGGCUCCUCUCAACUCUAUGAUGAACUUGUCUCCUCCAGGGGCCAGGGGGUCUGGUUUUAUAGUCCCCUCAAGUGAACGUGAGCCGUCGGAUCAAACCGACAUUGAUUGAACGGUUAUCCUUGAUCCUUUAGGUCGGUGGAGCUUGGUCCGCGAAAAGAGUUCUGAUUGGAGUCCAGAGGGGGGCGGGUGCCCUGGUCCCUAGGGUGGGCACCCUGGGCCAGGCCCCGUUCGGCCUCCGCUUCAUUCUCGUGGCUUCUGGAGCCUUCUAGAUGGUAGAAAAUUGCGCGGUGCGUUGAUAUCUCUAUGUAAUCCAGACAUGUGGGCCUUUCUUCCUUAUUUCCUGAUAACCCCCUGUAGAAACAGAUAAACAACAAAACUCGUGGAAUUCUGUCAGAUCAAACCCUAAUUCUAGGUGUUGUUUGCAUAUUGGUCCUUUCUCUUGUUUAUUUGAUAAUUAAAAUUGAUACUUAAGAACCGUCAACAAAUACCCCCAUACUUAGGCUUUUACUCGUCCUCGAGAAAAGGAUGGUUAAGAACAAUAUCUAGGGUAAAACAUUUUAAAACAUUUUCUUCAUAUCUGCAGGGUGUUGUAAAAAUUCACUGUAUACUGUAGUCAAGGAAAUAUAUGAUCAAGAGUAGAGGUCCUUUCUUCUCAAUCCUGUCACUUGGAGUUUUUGCAUAUUUUUGAAAAUAAAUUUAGCAUACAUUUUUAUCCUCAUAGGUUCUCUCAGAUCACUCAUUUGUCUUUUAUAUAUCUCACUGAAGCUAUUUUAAUUUGCAAAAAAUCUCAAGCAUACUUACCUUGCAUUUAUUGCCUGAUCAAAAUGGGAUCCGAGGAGGGGAAUGUCAUACUCUUAGAUCAAAGACUUUGGAAAUUAAAAACUUGUCAACUCUUGCUGGCAUAUUGCUUAUUAGAGGGACCAUGGGCUAUUAUUUUCUUUUUCUUCUUUUUUUUAAGUGGAUACCGAGGUACCCCUAAUUCUACUGCCGGACACUUGUCCAUUUUUUUCUACGAGGUUGUCGAGCACUUGCUCCUUUUUAUUUCCUCGAAAUAUCUUUAUUUUUGCAUAGCCCAUGCCUCUAAUGCAAUAAUACUUCGGAAGAGUGAAUCUUUCUGAAUAAAUGUCUUGAUCUUAGGAGCAUGAUAAAUCUCUCAAAAAGGGUCUAACUCAUUUUCAACAAACUCAAUACAGAGUAGAUAGCUUUUAUAAUUAUCAUAUUAAUAUUUUCAGGUUUAUCAGGCAUAUAAAACACUGAGGAUGGUAGCUAGAAUUUUUGAAGAUUUUGAAAUAAAUUCUCCAAGCAACAUUAAGAAACUCAUACGCUACCAUCUCACAUUCCGCAAUGACUUAAGUAACACAGGGUUUUAAAAUGAUUUUUCAGUAAUUGCAAGUUUUCAGGAAAUAUUACAGAGUGAGAUUAAUCAUGAUUAGAAACAUUUUAAUCUUUUUAAUUUAUCAUGUCGGAGACAAUAUUCUGCAUAAUCCAAGAUAUAUAUAUGUGUGUGUAAAGUAAAGUGUGCAGAGUAUGUACCUGAAUUGUGGAGUGGUGUAGUCGAAGUGUGUUUGGCAUGUCGAGGGAUCUCCCCCAUACUUGUUUUCUGCUUUCUUGCAUAAAAAUAAAGUAGAGACACACAAGAAAUAAUAAUAAUACUCUUUAUUAAUCUUGAGGCAUUUAUUACAAAUGACUAGUAGCAAACUGAUGAUAAUAGUAAAAUCUAACCGAAUUUAAAGAUAAAUACUCAAGAUCUAAUCUAGAUAACUUAGCGACGCUCUAAUUCCUUUAUCUUCUUAUUGGCAUUAGCAAGAUCAUGCCUAAGGUCUAGUAUAACGGUGUUGUGGUUAGAGAGCUGUCUAGUGAUGGAGUUAACCGAGGACUGGAGGUCUACGAUAACUCUGUCUAGCCUACGAACGUCCUCAUCAAUAUCUACUAUAGUCUUGCGACGCUUAGGAGGUGUCUCAAAAGUAUUGAGAGCGUGCUUCGGGGCUGCCUUUGGAGGGAUGAAACAGACUUUGGCUGCUCUAAUCCCUUCAAAGUAAGGUCUCUCCUCCUCCGUAGUGUAGCGGAUGCUACUGAUCUCGCCGCUCCGGUUGGUCUUGACUCCAACGACCCUCUCAUUGGGUCUAGGUGGAAGGAUCCUUGUGCCGGUUGGCACCUUGAUGGUGGUCUCCUUCUUGGCUGAUGGUCCCUUGAGAAGUAGGGGUUGUGGCGGUGCGGUGAGAACUGGUUGAGCAUAGUAGGAUUGGGCAGAGCUGCGCUAGCAUAAUGGCAUGGCUUCUAGCUAUAGCUCUGUGUUGUCCGGGACGAGAGCACGGGCGUUGGGGUCUUCCUCAGGCUUCAUGUUGAGGCUGAAGGGGACGACUUCCCAAUCAUCGUGGAACUCUUCGGCCGUUGGAGCAGCGAGGACUAAGCAAGCUCUAAUUGAAAAAGGAGAGAAGGCUUGGAUAGAUUGGUGUUUGAAAACUGACGUCAGGGUCUGUUUAUAUAGGGGUCAAAAAGUGCCUCAAGCGUGUUUCUAGAUGCAAAACUAAUUAGGAAAAUAUAUGUAUGACCCAAAAACGUCAAAUUAAAAGUGUCGGGCUCUAACUCUCCAUGGGAAGGUAAAGUUGGAUUACGUCUAUUUCUUCUAAUUCUUUAUUGGGCUCUAAAAAUAAUUUAAGACGUUGACCAUUUACCUUGAAUAAUGUACCUUCGUCAUUUUGAAGUGUGAUAGCUCCGUGGGAUGAUGAAUUGAUUACCUUGAAUGGUCCUUCCCAUUUACUCCGGAGUUUUCCAUGUCCGAAAAGCUUCACCCUAGAAUUAAUAAGUAAUACCUUAUCUCCAGGUGCGAACUCCUUCUUCUUGAUCCUCUUGUCAUACCACCUUUUGACUCUUUCUUUGUAGAUCUUCGAAUUGUGAUAUGCUUUCUCUCGCCAUUCUUCCAAUUCUGAUAGUUGCAUUCUUCUAUGAUCUCCAGCAACAUCUAGGUCCAUAUUCCAUCUCCUUAUGGCCCAGUGUGCUUUGAAUUCUAGUUCAAGAGGUAGGUGGCAAGUCUUCCCGUACACCAAUUGGUAUGGGGACAUUCCAAUUGGGGUCUUGUAUGCUGUCCGGUAUGCCCAGAGUGCAUCGGGUAACUUGUCUUUCCAUGUCGUUCCCAUUUCAUUCACUGUCUUCUGAAGAAUAUUCUUGAUUUGCUUGUUGGAAGUCUCUGCUUGGCCACUUGUCUGAGGAUGAUAGGGGGUAGCGACGUUGUGACGGAUUCCAUGUUUUGAUAGAUAUUGCUUGAAGCGUUUGUCGAUGAAGUGUGCUCCUCCAUCACUUAUCACUACUCUGGGAACUCCAAAUCUUGGAAAUAUAAUUUCUUCAAACAUCCUCUUUGAACUGAUGUUGUCGGCAUUCUUGCAAGGUAAUGCCUCUACCCACUUGGAUACGUAGUCAACUGCCACCAAGAUGUACUCACACUUCUUUGAUGGAGGAAAUGGACCCAUAUAGUCUAUUCCCUAGACAUCAAAGAGCUCAAUUUGAAGGUUGUUGGUGAGUGGCAUGGCAUCUCUUGUGUUUAUGUUUUCGUGCCUUUGAUAUGGCCCACAUCUUCUGAUAUAUUGCUUCGUUUCUUCAUACAUUGUAGGCCAGUAGAAUUCACACUGCCAAAUCUUUGAAUGUGUACGGAAUGCUCCAUAGUGACCUCCAUAUGGUGAUGAAUGACAUCUGUCGAUGAUCUUCCAUCCUUCCUCAGUGGUCACACACCUCCUAAGUAAGCCAUCAGAGCAUACUCGGAAGAGGUAUGGCUCAUCCCAUAUAUGUGAACGACUUUCUUGAAUAAGCUUCUUCUUUUUUGCUCCUGGUGGUACAUACCCUGAAACCAUAAAAUUAAUCAUAUCUGCAUACCAGGGGUCAGACCUGUUAAUCCCGUAGAGCAUGUCGUCCCGGAGUGAAUCAUUGAUGGGGGUUUCCUGUGGAUUCUUAAAAUACAUCCUAGACAAGUGAUCAGCAACAGAAUUUUCCACUCCCUUUUUAUCUUUUAUUUCUAAGUCAAAUUCUUGAAGUAAUAAGAUCCAUCUAAUCAGGCGAGGUUUAGCAUCUUUUUUAGUGAGCAGAUAUUUUAGUGCAGCAUGAUCAGUGUAAACAAUUAUUUUAGCUCCAACUAAAUAAGAUCUAAAUUUAUCAAUGACAAAGACAACAGCCAGAAGCUCUUUUUUAGUGGUUGCAUAAUUAAGUUGAGCUCCUGUCAAGGUUUUACUGGCAUAUGCAAUUGCAUGAUGCUUCUUAUUUUUAGUUUGUCCCAAAACUGCCCCCACAGCAUAAUCACUAGCAUCACACAUAAUUUCAAAAGGCAACGACCAAUCAGGGGGUUGAAUGAUUGGUGCAGAGAUGAGUGCAUUCUUUAAUAAAUUGAAAGAUGUUAGGCAUGCAUCAUCAAAUUCGAAAGGAGCAUCCUUGGCUAGCAAAAGAGUAAGUGGUCUAGCAAUAAAUGAAAAAUCUUUUAUAAAUCUGCGAUAAAAACUAGCAUCGCCAAGAAAGCUUCGAAUUCCUUUUAUAUUCACAGGUGGAGGUAGUUGUUCAAUUACUUCAAUUUUAGCUUUGUCUACCUCAAUACCUCUUUCAGACACUAGGUGUCCCAGCACUAUUCCUUCCCUAACCAUAAAAUGUCAUUUUUCCCAAUUAAGGACUAAGUGCUUUUCUUCACAUCUUUGCAAAACCUUGUCUAAGUUUUCAAGACAUCUAUCAAAUGUUUUUCCAUAAACAGAGAAAUCAUCCAUGAAAACUUCCAUAAUCUCUUCAAUCAUAUCAGAAAAUAUAGACAUCAUGCAUCUUUGAAAAGAAGCUGGUGCAUUACAUAACCCAAAAGACAUUCUACGGUAAGCAUAAGUUCCAUAUGGGCAUGUAAAAGUGGUUUUGCUUUGAUCAUCGGGAUGGAUCGGGAUCUGGUGAUACCCUGAAUACCCAUCUAAGAAACAGAAGAACGAAUGGUUCGCUAAUCGCUCAAGCAUCUCAUCUAUGAAAGGUAAAGGAAAAUGAUCCUUUCUCGUGGCUUUGUUCAGUUUUCUAUAGUCUAUGCACAUCCGCCAUCCUGUGACGGUGCGUUGCGGAAUUAGCUCGUUCUUUUCAUUCAUAAUGACAGUCAUGCCUCCGUUUUUAGGCACAACUUGAACUGGGCUCACCCACUCACUAUGCGGCACAGGAUAUAUAAUCCCUGCAUGCAACAAUUUUAUAACUUCCUUUUUAACUACCUCUCUCAUAGUGUUGUUAAGUCUGCGUUGGGGUUCUCAAGAAGGUGAAACAGAAGGAUCUAUUGGAAUACGAUGGGUACAAAUCAUAGGACUGAUUCCUGUAAGAUCUUGGAGUGAGUAGCCGAAAACUGAGUGAUGUUUCUCAAGAAUGGUCAUUAAUCGCAGAGUUUGCUCCUGAGUGAGUUUAUCACUAAUGAUCACAAGAAACUCUGGAUUAUUGUUUAGGAAAGCAUAGAUAAGACCGGGUGGUAAAGUUUUAAGCUCUAUGGGAGGUCUAGGCGUUUCUGCAAACUCAUCUAAGGGUUCACGUUCAGAAGGUUCGGCCUCUUCUUCUGUGAAGAAAGGAGUUUCGUCUUCUAAGUCUGCUUCAUCUAAAAGCUCUAGAGAUGCAGCCUUUACCUCCUCCAUAGGAUCAGGCAAAAGAUAUGACUCGGCCUUAUUAUUUAAGGAGUGUGAAAUUGUUAUUGGAAAUUUAAAGGUUUUCCCAAAAGAAAUGUGUAGCUUUCUAGUAUUACCUUCAUAAAGGAGUCUUCUAAAAGGUUGUUCUAUCAACAGGUCAAAGUACCAUGUAUAGAAGUUCAAAUAAACCAUGGAGCCUUCUACCGUAAGAGGUAGGACAUUAAUAAUUCCAAGACUGGGGACUAAUCGUCCCGAAGAUUCCUUUAUGACUUUUGUUGUGGGGGUUAAGACAAGAUUUUUAAAUAAUUUAAGUGCAAAAGAUUCAGACAUGAUGUUGAUCCCCACAACAGGAUUAUAGAGAGCAUCAAAUCGAUGAGAAUCAUAAGCACAGUGUAUAGUUAUAGAGGGUGUGUCCAAACGGAUCACAUCAGAGGAAAGCUCUGAUUCCUCCAACCAUUCGCUACUCAUGACUGCGAUAAGCUCUCUUAAUUUAUAUUCAGUUGGCAAACAAAUGCUAAAAUGGCCGUUUUGGGGUUUGUCUAUAGAAUGGUAUUUUGAAAUGUUUCCAAAAUCGGCAAAAAGAUCUGAUUCUAUAUCCAGCAUGAAGUCAGGUGGUGGAAUUUCUUUCUUUUGUGGCUCAGAACUUGGGAUAGCUAAAGUAGAUGGAGAAUUUGGCAGAGUGUCUACUUUGGCUUUGUGGGUUUCAUCAUGAAGGGUAUUAUCUAUCUCAGCUUCUAGGAUUCUAUCUAGGAUCACUCUAGCAUCAUCAGUAGAGAUGCGAAAGAAAGAACGUCUAGACAUUGUAUGUAGCAUUUGUUUGUGAUCUUCCUGAAGACCUCAAAAAAAUUGAAAUAAAAGAACAGGGUCUUCAAGAUUAAGGUUUGGACCAGAUUCUAAAAGAUCAGAAAAACGUUUCUAGGAUUUUCCCAAAGUUUCAUUAUCUUUUUGUUUAAAAGAUAGGACUUCGAGUCUAAGGUCGCUGAUACGGUCGAGGGAAUAAAAAUCUAAACAAAAGUUGGCUCGUAAAACUCCCCAUUCACCUCGUUGUUGACUUACCUUCUGAUUAUACCAUUGUCUAGCUUCUCCCCUUAAAGAAAAAGGAAAAAGCUUCCAACGUAAAGUUUUAUCAGAAAUGCCUUCAAUGCGAAGACAAUCAUAUGUUUGCUCAAAAUCUCUAAUACGAAGGUAAGGGUUUUCGUCUUCCUUUCCAGAAAAAGAUAGGUUUUGAAUCAUGGCAAUCAACCUGGAACUUAACCUAUACUGGGAUGUUUGAAUAGGCUGUGAUGACUCCAAUGGUAAAAGGUCAGUUACUGAAGGGAUUGCAGAUUCGUGGAUCGAUUUAGAAUUUUGGUUUUUCCAUAAGGUAAGAAUAAAGAAAAUAAAUAAAAAAUAUAAAAGAUAAGAAAAGAUAAAAGUAUAGAUACAAGCUAGUAGUAAGACUCAAGGUUAUCUCAGCAAACCGUCUUUCUCCCCGGCAACGGCGCUAGAAAUGCUUGUUGAUAUUUGGGAACACAAUAAGGAAUUGAUCCGCAAGCGCACGGAUAUCGGUGAGCACUUCACCCGGGAGGUUAUCUAGAGUAUCGUAUUUAUUUUUUUACCACUAGGAGAAAGAGUGCAUCUGACUAACCUGGUCUAUUACUACUAACCUUUAGGCUACAAAGAAUGUUUCUCGAUGUGAGUGAUAUAUAGAGAAGACUACAACUGUAAUCUCUUUCUAACCUUGGUAAGGAUGAUCUAUUGUUCUAUUGAGGAAGCUUACGGAAUCUAGACACCACAGAGGAUGUUCAACCCGCACCUAUAAACCCUAUCCUUCCUGCUAACGAGAUAUGGUUUGCAAAGGUAACUCGGAAAUGUCACGUUCCUCGCUACUACCACAGUCCAGCUAGUCAGGGGAUAUCUAUGAGUAUCCUAGCCCAAACACCACGUCUACGCUAGAGAUGAUUACUCUAAAACUCUACGCGAAGAGAUUAAAGUAAACUCAUAAACCAAAAGAACAAUAAAACAAGAACUUACUAGAAUUUAGAAGUCGAAAUAUUGAAGAAUCCUAGGAGCAAGCUUCGGGUUAGGAGAACUUGAUCCCGCAGGUACAACCUCGGAGUAGACACCGACACGCCGUGCUUCCUCCGAUCCACACCUCCACUCUAUCUCUCUCAAUCUACUAGAAACUAAAAGAUCUAAUUCUACUCACGUUGGUUGCUAAGCUCUAAAAAAGUCUAUUUAGAGGAGAGGUAUUCCUUCGAGGGCUCCUCUCAACUCUAUGAUGAACUUGUCUCCUCCAGGGGCCAGGGGUCUGGUUUUAUAGUCCCCUCAAGUGAACGUGAGCAGUCGGAUCAAACCGACAUUGAUUGAACGGUUAUCCUUGAUCCUUUAGGUCGGUGGAGCUUGGUCCACGAAAAGAGUUCUGAUUGGAGUCCAGAGGGGGGCGGGCGCCCUGGGCCAGGCCCCGUUCGGCCUCCGCUUCGUUCUCGUGGCUUCUGGAGUCUUCUAGAUGGUAGAAAAUUGCACGGUGCGUUGAUAUCUCUAUGUAAUCCCGACAUGUGGGCCUUUCUUCCUUAUUUCCUGAUAACCCCCUGCAGAAAUAGAUAAACAACAAAACUCAUGGAAUUCUGUCAGAUCAAACCCUAAUUCUAGGUGUUGUUUGCAUAUUGGUCCUUUCUCUUGUUUAUUUGAUAAUUAAAAUUGAUACUUAAGAACCGUCAACAAGAUGUGCCUCGGCUACGCGAUCUUAGGCUUUUUCUAUAUUUGCGCGAGCGAUCCUAUUGCUAGUACGGAGUGAGGCGAUGGUUGGCCCUUUGGGCUUCUUUUCAUCCUCACUAUCACUAAAGAAACCUUUGAGAACAUUCUUCUCCUUUCUGAGCCAGAAAGGAUCCUUAGAAGUUUCAUUUUCCUCGGUUCCUUUACGGAAGACCCCCUUAGCAUACCCUCCAUCCGACUUACGUACUCCCCUAAUGGUAUAGGAACGACUAUCCUUUACGGGAGAUGAGAGGGAUGAUACACUAGAGGAUGGGGGCAUGACAGCCGCGCGCUUGCUAAGCCUACUACCACUAGGAGUCUUUCUCUUGACGCCGAGGACACCAGUGGUUUGACGGCCAACGGGCACCUUCUUCUUGGCACCAUUCUUGAGUGAGCGCGCCGUGGAUUUCAAGCUGGACACAUUGCUGAAUUCUAGGCUUGGUGGAGGCAGGAUGGCUAGAGGUGUUUCAAUUGCAGCACGCGGUUCUUCCCUCACAAAAGAGCUCUCAUGGUAUGGGGCUAUGGCUGUUGACGGUCCUUAAUGCUCACAUUUAACCGUCAACUAAUCAUGGAAAAGGAUCCAAAUGCAACCGACACCUAGACUUAGGGUUUUAUCUGACAGAAUUCCACGAGUUUUGGUGUUUGUCUAUUUCUGUAGGGGGUUAUCAUGAGAUAUGGAGGAAAGGCCCACACGUCGGGUUUACAUAGAGAUAUUAACGUGUGCGCCAAUUUUCUAUCAUCUAGAAGACUCCAGAAGCCACGGGAACGAACGGGAGGCCGAGCGGGCCCGGGGGCAGGUCGCCCGCCCUCCCCCCUUGGGCGCCCGCCCUAGCUCAGCAACCAAUCAGGUUGAGUCUCACGGAUUAUGCUCCACCGCCUUUGAGGAUCAAGGAAAACCGUGCGAUUAAGGUCGGUUUGAUCCGAUGGCCCACAUUCAUUUGAAAGGGCUAUAUAAGCAGGCCCCCUGGCCCCUGGAGAACAUACCUCUUCUACAGAAUCAAAGCUAGAGUUUCAAUUCUUCAUCCAAGUAGAGAAGAUCCCUGUAGUUCAUCUAGUUCUAGUUCUAGUUUAUCUAGUUCUAGUUCUAGUUAGUUCUAGUUGUAAUCUAGAAAAUAGGAAGAGAGAAGAGGAGAGCGGAGGAGGAGCCGGAUCUAUCGGAUCUUCCUCAACAUUGUACUUUUGCAGCAACUGGUUCGUUCUUCAUCGUUCUCCAAGUUCUUCAAUUCAUAAUUCCUGAGUUCUUUAAUUACUUUUAUUUAUAUUCAAGUUAUUUAUUGGAUUCCCACUUGCAUCAAGUGCUCUAGUCUUUGAAACGCUAGAGUAGUAAUUAAUAGAUCAGACGUGGUGUUUAGUCUUGCAAUUACCUGGAAUUACACCCAAUCCUACAGAUUGUUGUGGUAGCCCUAGGGUAGUGACAGCCCUAACGGUCGACGUAUUCCACCUCGUUUGGAUCGGUGUUUGUAGGACCGUAGUCAGAGCUUCCUAGCCCCCUUCUCAUCUCUUUCUGUGGUUAGUGUUCUGAUGUCCCAAAAUAAAUAAUCUUUGAAGUAAUUCUUGAUUAUUAGAUCAACUAGAGAACUCUCAGGAAAGUUCCUCUCUUCCCACCAAAAAUAAUUAUAUAGUUAUCCUUGGGCGAUCUUGAAUCUUAAAUAGUACACUCACAUUCCCUGUGGAAAAUUGAUACUCUGGAAUACUCCCGGGUGAAAGCUACAUUGGUAUCCGUGCGCUUAUGGAUUUUUCUGUUUGCGUUUAAAAUACCCAACAAGCUUUCUGGCGCCGUUGCCGGGAACGGUAGCUGUGCUAGUUUCGAACCAAGUCGUCCGUGUAUCCUUUUUCUUUUCCUCUUUUACCAUUCUCACCAUACCACAUGGAUUUCACUCCAAACAUUAAUGACCAUGGAAUUUAUUUCACAGACACUUCGUUUACUCCAUGCUCAUAUGCAACAUCUUCCCAAUAUUUUGGUCUCUCCAACAUCACCACAUUCGAGAUCUCCAACCCCCUCUUCGUUUCUAUUUAUAAAAACUUUAAAAGGGUGGUUAUCGAUGCAUAUGUCUAUAAUAAAUAUUGUAGAUCUUGUUGAGUUGAUAUAGGUCAGCGUUGGAGGGGAAACCACUUCACCGACAUAAAUUGAUGGUUUCCCAAGGACAAGCUUAGUGUCCUAAAAUAAGCACUAAUCAGAUCGUAACAUGAUCUUUUAAUUAUUUGCAACAUUACCUUGUGUAUUGAGCAUAUAAGGAUAAUUGUAAAAAAUUCCUUCGGGUAUUCUUGUCACUAACCUUUCCAGGAUUGGAGCAAGAAGAUCGGAUGAAUGACAAGCACAAGGUAUGUCCAACCAAUCAUCAUACAACAUUGAAUUAAAUUCAUCCAAACUUGAAUUUUGCAAAAUUCAAGCUUGGGGGAGUACUUUACAUAAAAACAUCCUUUGCCAUGUUGCUAUGUUGGUUGUCCCUACCUUUGAGACAUGCUCCAUUUGAUUAAUACUAAUCACACUACUUCAUCUCCACUUGAGUAGAUCUCUAUAAAUGCUCUAAUGCUAUCUUUAUUUGCUUUAGUAUAUGUCUAGGUUUGGAGUAGUUUCAUUUAUCUCUUAAUUAAGCAUGAUGCUUAGUUUAGGAAUGAUGAUCUUACUUCCAAGGGAUUUUAAAUUAAGCAUGGUGCUUAGGUUAAAAUGCCCUCCUAAAUCAAAUUAGACAUGGUGUCUAGGUUGAUUUUUGAGCCGAUAGUAUGCUAUAGUAGAUAUUGGAUAUUUUGUUGGACUAACCCCUGCAGGAAAACUUUCAAUAUCGACCUGGGAAGUCCUGAGAUAAACUCACAUUGGGGACAAAGAGAGAGACACAUGAAGUUUAACAAUUUACACAAGGAAGACAUAGCUCACAAGAGAUGAUCCAUGGAGGGUGCCACAAACACGAUGCAUAACCGCUAAGAAAGGAAAGCUUCCACAAGGUGAUAUUGUACCACCACUCUUCAAGUAAGGUAACAUCUUAAGGUACUUGACUAUCACUUUUAUAAGCUUCUCCUUGGUUCUAGCAUUCACAUGAAUACAAGAGACAAACAUGUAUGAUUUACAACUCUAGAUUAACCAACCCAAUAGAUUCAACAUGUUUAGUCCUUCCACCUUUGUGAUCCCACACUCCUAAUCUUAUGAGCUAAAAUGUUGCACACUCAAUCUUUGGAAGAUAUAUAUAAAAAAACAUAAGUAUAGAUAGAUUAUCUUUCCAUUAGGUUGAGCGAUCUGAUCUGACAAAUGUUUUAAAUGCUACACUCAUGAUCUUAUUAUCCAUCAACUUUGUCUUGCUCACUAUGCUUAAGGUUAGAGAAGAACAAAUACACUUUUGGUUCUAUUGGUGUUUUCCACCAACAGGGCCCAUGCACUUGAUCUCUGCCUUGUCUCUAUGAGCAGGUAUACUUCGAGCAAAAUAUGAAGGAGUUUUACAACUCCCAGACUCCACCAAAUGAAGAACCUGGAUCUAUGAGCACAAACACACUGGAGAUACUGGACACUCAGGCAAUCACUGCCCCGAGAUGCUUGAGGACGUAAACUACAUCAACAACAACUACUACUAUUACAACUGUCCUCAACAAAAUAAAGGUUGGAAUCAACAUAGGCCUAACUACUCAGGUAAUUAUCAAGGUAAUAAUUCUUACAAUAAUAAUAAUAAUAAUAAUUUUCUACCUCUGAGAGAGUUAGUGUCUAAUCAAGGAAAGCUAAUGGAUAACCUAUCUAAGAAAUUGGCAUCUAAUGAUAAAAUGUUAGAAAAUAUAAAUAAUAGAAUGGAUAAUUUCUCUACUGCCAUCAAGAAUCAAAUUAGCUUUAAUAAAAUGAUUGAAUCUCAGUUAAAUCAAAUAGCUGCUGCUGUUCCUGUUACUAACCCCGGUAUACCAUCACAACCGGAAGGAUUAGAAUCUGCAAAUCUUGUGGACAUGUUUGAUGCAGGUAACUACUGGAGUAACCCCGUUGUGGAAGUAAUUACUGACCUUCUGCCGGUCAAGAGAGGCGAUCUAAUAUGCCCCGUCAUCCCGAUCUCCAUCGGCAUGGUGGACUUGCCAGAAGCACUCUGCGACUUUGGCUCCAGCGUCAACAUUAUGCCCAGGCUUACAGAUCGGACACUAAGUUUCCCAAAGGGAAUAUUGAAGAACCUCUGCGUCCGAGUUGGUACCUUGUACGCUCCAGCAGACUUCGUGGUGAUAGAGACGGGUACUAAUGAGAGGGCACCCAUCAUCCUAGGGAGGCCAUUCCUCAACACCUCGGGAGCUGUCAUCUACGUUAGUGCUGCCAAGAUCAGUUUCUACAUCAAGGGGAGCAAGGAGACAUUUUCCUUCAAGAAUAAGACUACACAAAUCUCAGAGCCAUCCCGACAUGAACCACGGAAGAGGACCAACUGGAGGAACAAGAAUAAGCAAAUGUGGACCGAGUCAGCUAAGAUGGUCAUUACAGUUCAAGGAGGUCAAGAUCGUCGACUUAAGUCACCGUUCCUGACAAAAAGGACGACCCAGGUAUGCUAAGCAUCCAGUGCUCCAUUAAUGGAUACAACUUCCAGAAGACACUUUGCGACACCGGGUCAGGCGUCAACAUAAUGGCCGGAAUCACCUAUCAGCUCCUGUUCGGAACCAUGCCCCUAAAACCGACAUACAUUCAGCUCCAGAUGGCAGAUCAGACAUUCCGAAAGGUUGAAGGUACAGUAACUGAUGUCCCUGUCAAAAUAGACGAUCAUUUUGUCCAUACAGAUUUUCAGGUUAUUGACAUGGGAGAAGACGAGUACGAUCCACCCAUCAUCCUUGGAAGACCAUUCCUCAGCACCAUUAAAGCAAUCAUCUACAUUGGAACCAGAGAAGUCCAAAUGCACUUCCCCUCUGAGAAGGUACGCCGCUAUUUUACUGACCCUAACUAUAUAGUUGAAGACUCUAAGCAGGUCAGGACAAGAAGAAGACGACGCAACCGCAACCAGAGGAGGUAAAUCAUCAAGGACGGAUGGGCAGACUACGAAGGAGAAGUGGUAAGGUCUGAAGACAUACAGCUUGAACACAACUGUCUUGAGGAGACCGUAGCACUGAGUCAGGUGUGGAGAGAGAAAAUAGUUAUUCACGAAGAGGAGGCGCCGCCGGAACCAUCGACUACGCCAUCCAACGAAUCCCAUGACGACUGAGAAAACGGAGAGUCCUCGGAGGACUUAAAAACACCGAACGCCUUGCCAAGAGGUAAACUUGGUAGUUAUCCUUUUUCCUUUCACCUAUUUAAAAUAGUUUGCUUAGUUAAUUAGGUUCAUAUAUUCUUGAAAAGAAAAUAAAAAUGUUAAAAAUCGUAAGCCGCAUGUGAGUAUGCUCAUGGCAUAAAACCCAUAAGUACAUUCACUGUGGUGGCGUACAAAUAAAAUAAAUAUAUUCCUGUCCUAUGAAAAUGAAAAUAUAAAAAUAAAUUUAUGAUCCUACAAAAGAGUGUAACAUUUAUUGAGGAGGCUCAACAUGAUAAAGGCUAGAUAUUUAUGCUAACACUUAACUAGUUCCACAACGCUUUGUUGUCUAUUUGAACUCCACAGAAUUCAAGGAUCAAAGAAGACUAGCAGACGGAGGACAUCCUAGGACAUCCUAAUCGCUGUCAGGGUGCUGCCGACAUUCAAAUACACCUCCGUCACCUGCUAGCUACAUUAGGAGAAAUUACGUGAAAAUCCAGCUUGGGGGAGAGCACCCGCAUUUAUCCAGCUAAGUGUUCUACUCAUGUUUAUACUUUACUCAAAUAAUAAAAAGAUGCAUAAUCAUAAAAAUCUAAAUAAAGAUUUUGUGCUUAUAUAUAUAUUUGCUUAGUUUUAUAAAUAAAUAAAUAAUGUUUGCUAUGAACCCUCAUAAUAAGCUCUCACAUGGAAAUGAUGAAUAGUUGCUCUGCCAUGACUAGUUCUCAAAAUUGAAAUCUCUCUCAAGUUUAGGCAUGACUGUUAUUAAUUUAGAUUUGCUCUAAACCUGAACUUGUGGGAAGAGUACUUGAUCUAAAGUCUAAGUCGUUAACGGAUACGAUAUGGUAAGGUUGAGUUGUUGUUUAUCUGUUCCUAGAGAUGCUAGAAUUCUGGAGAAUUUUAUCUUUGAAAAUCUUUAAAAUGUUACAUGAUGAGUUCCUAUAUGAUGAGAGUUUAAAAUCUUACCACAGCCAUAUAUACAUGUUUAUUAGACUAUGAACCAUACAUUUACUUUUUACUGCUUAUGAGCAUUGAGUGUGGUCAAGCUGUGUAGACCUUUAGGAGCUUGUCAUGCGGUUAAAAUCAAGAUUCACUUGCACGUUCACUCAUACAUGCUGCUUCUACUCCGGAAGUACGUAUCCACAUACAUCAUUUCCAUAUCCAGAUUCAUCCAAAAUUAUUCUACUCCUAUCUAGGAGAGAAUAGCCAAAAACAUUAUCCUUAUUCCCCGUGAAAUAAAUGCUCGAGAUAUUUUGGUUACUACCACUUGCUACAUUAUUCGAGGAGGGUGAGUGCUCUGAAAAAAAGUAAAUACGAGGAAAUAAAAAGGGGAAGUGCCCGAAACCUCGAAAAAAAGAAAAAGAAAAAGUGAGACGAGAGGUAAAAAUGGACAAGUGUCCGACAGUAGAAUUAGGGGUACAAGAUACCACCUGAGAGAAAAGAAAAAUAAAAUAUAGAGCAUCUCAUUCCCCUCAAAAGCCUCAAGUGCAAGGAAGGUAUGUACCCCUUCAAAAGAGCAAAAGUAGAAUUAGACUUUCACCAUUAUUUUCACCAUUAUCACCAUUCAUUCGCCACACAUGCACAUCUUGAUUUGACUUAUUGACUUGUUCUUCUGGAUCCAUGGUUUGACUAUGUAAUAAAUGUCUUGUAAGUAUGUAUUAGCUGUCUCCCACCUAUGAGUUCCAGAUAUCAAAACCUUAUUAGAGUAGGGUGAGAGAGAAGGCAAUGCCACUAUACCUCAUACAAAAAAUACCACAUACUUUGAGAGAAGGCAUACACCAUUACUGCCUUGGUAAGGAUCCAGAAAUACCACAAAAGAGAGACUAGAGAGAGUCAUACAAGGAAACUCUGAGUUUUAUUUGAAAAUCUACAAAAACUCCAGAGCUAUAGUUAAUCGAAGAACAAGAGACAUGGCACUUGACUAGACCGUUCUAUCUUUUAACUGCUCAAGACAAGUGAUGGUUGAAAGCCCCAUGGUGGAAGGUAAAAUGAGUAAGUUUAAAUCUUAAUAGUUUACCCUAACCCAGAGAUGAGAUCUUAUUUGAACGCAUGUGUACCUUUAAGACAUGAAACCACUGCAGAAACUCUUGAGUUCAUCUUUGCUCAGGGACGAGCAAAGGUUAAGCUUGGGGGAGCUUGUUGAUGGUCCUUAAUGCUCACAUUUAACUGUCAACUAAUCAUGGAAAAUGAUCCAAAUGCAACCGACACCUAGACUUAGGGUUUUAUCUAACAGAAUUCCACGAGUUUUGGUGUUUGUCUAUUUCUGCAGAGGGUUAUCAGGAAAUAUGGAGGAAAGGCCCACACGUUGGGUUUACAUAGAGAUAUUAACAGGUGCGCCAAUUUUCUAUCAUCUAGAAGACUCCAGAAGUAGACUUAGUUUUCUAAUUCUGAUAACGGUGCCAAAAAUGCCAAACCUAUCCCUCAUACCACUUAAGCCAAGUUGUCAUCCCCAGCAUGAUAUGAGAGACGCGGUAUUGAAAUAUGCAAUUGCUCUUCUAAAUAAAUAAUGAAUGGGAUCUGCAAGCGCACAGAUUAAUACCGAUGUAGCAUUUUAACCGGGAAGUAUUCCAGGUAUCGUUAUUUAUAUUUUUACCACUGGGAAGGGAUUAGCAAUCAUCACUAUUGAUUACAGAAUAGAAUAUGAGAUUGAGUAUCUAUCAUUGCAUGUAUAAUUGAAAACAUUUAUCUAACUCUUUCAUACAGGGAUAAAUGUCACAUAAAAGAUAUAUGAAGUAAUGAAUAGUGACAAAGAUAAUUAAUCUGAUCUAGCACAUAAUAAAUAUGAUAAGCACCUCAAUUAGAUACUCUAGAAAGUCAUUAGCAUGGUAUUAGAACGAACUACAAGAAUAUUUCCUAAGUUAUUCUCAACUAUAUAGUCUAGCAUUACCAUAAUUAGUGCAAGCAUACUUAGCAAUCAUUGCGAGACAAGACUACGCCCAUGCAUAGUGAUAUUAGCAAGGUAAAUGAGAAACAUAGCAAUCACUCCCCUGUAAUAAUGUUGCUCUGCCUGCCCAAUACACGAGAGGGGGACUAUAUAUUGAAGCUGCCACUAUCACGAACUACCCCACGAUCUGGCAUAUUGGGUACAAUCGCAGAUAAAUACGGUAUAAGCACCAUGCCUACACAAUAUCUAUCAUUUACCCAUGGAUCCGAUGGAUAAAUGCUAUACGAUCCUAAGCAUGUAUAUAGAUCCAAUCUAACUAAGCCAAGUACAUAACUAUGAUAAACUAAGAACAAUAUAAUCUUG